GCAGCAGUUACUGGCGCUGUCGGAGAUUUGUUGGAGUAAAGCGCCAUGAGGCUGCCUGGCCUGGUUGCAGGGAGGAGAGAGCCAUUAUCCAGAUCUGCAUUAAAGCCUGGACACUGGAGAGACAUGGAAGCCAGGAUGCCAGGGUGCGGUGGGAUUAAUUGACCAGCCUUUCAGUACCAGAGCGGAGAAGGCUUAAUAGCAGACUCCAGGGAGUCUACAAAACAACCUUUUUGUAUUCUUUGUGUUUGACUUGUGUUUAAUUUGUUCUGUCUUCAAGCAGUUCUAAGUGCUUUCUGUACCCCACACAGUAUUCAGCUGAUCCCAUUUGAUCCUGCACCUCCAGCUGAGGAUGGGUGUGGCAGAUACCAGACAUUGUGGACCAGGAUGUAAGAACCCCUUUAGUCCCUGUGAAGUCAUCUCUAAUCCAGGUCAGUCCUACAUCUUCUUAAACGAGUAGAAAUGAUUGGCUGCCUCCUCUGAUUGAUAGGCAAGAACACCAGUGGCCAAAGGGACAUUUGCAGAGUGUCUCUCUAGCAGAGACCCUUUCAAAGGAUCUGGGAGAGACCUUGGUAACAUAUUCAUGUGAUUAUACGUUUUGAAUAGAAAAGUUUUUGUUUUUGUUUUGUUUAUGUUUUUAGUGCAGUUGCUUAAGAUUGCUGUCUCUUUCAACUCCAAGUUCCCCUCUGUUUCGCUUCCCUUGUGCAGGGAGAUGUUGCAAUGUCUGUGGGCAUUUUGGAAUUCCGUUAAGGAGAAGCUGCGGCGAGCCAUCUCGUUUGUGUUUAGUGGGUAUGAUAAUAUAGGUUCCACGCAUAGUUAUGUUAUUGCCAGCUGCCCCAGUAUAGGAAUGGCUGCCAGGAAUAUUUUUGCCACCUGCUGUGCCAUCACCAGCCUCCAGAGUUGUAGGCCUGGAAGUCCUAUCAUGAUAUGAAGAUGUGCUGUUUUGCCUGGUACUGGAUGUGUGUAGUUAGUAGAGGAGAAACAAGUUUUGAAAUGGACAGUUAGAAGCUAGUCUAUGGAAAAAUCUUUUAAAUCUUUCAGCUCACAUAUUCACAUAUGAGAGAAACUUGGCAGAAGUUUUCCCAAGUUUUCCAACAAUACUAAAAAUGUACACGGCAUUGCUAAUUACAAGUAUGAAGCUUGAAGAAACUUCUAUAAAUUAUUAAUAAAUGCUCACCAACUAUGUAGAGGAAAGAUUAAAUUGUCUUUCUGUUCUCUCUAUAGAAACUUACAACUGCCAUAUGAAGAGGUGAUUUUGCAUUUAAUAAUGUAUGAAAAGAGAAGCAAUGCAGAGAUUUGUCAAGCAAUUAAUAAUAGUAUUAGUUUACUUUUUAAAAUCUGAAAACUUUUGCUAUUUGUGGUAUUUGUCAGCUUUUAAAAAUAUAUGCUUUAUUGUGAUUUAUUUUCUCAUUCUAAACAGAUAUUUACUUUCACACUUAACUUUGAGUUUGUCAUUUUAUAUUCUUUUCUAAAACAUAAAUUCCCAAAUUUAUAAGCUUUAGGCUCAGUAAAGCCUGAAUCCGCCCCUGGGUAAUUGACUUGUCUUUGGAAAUCCAGGCUCAGGAGUUCUCCUCCUUUCUAGGGCAGGACUCUGUCUACCUCACUGUAAGUCUGGCAUUAAAGCUACAGGCAGACCUAAUGAAUGACCCUUCCAAUCCCUUGUUUUAAACUCAUGUACAGAAUUGAAAUCCCCUGGAGUAUCUUGCCUUUCCUAAAGCUUUCUUCCCCCACCCUAGUCAGAGUUGAAGCUUGUAAGGUUAAAUGGAAAGAUCCCUGGGAUAGUCUGAUUCUAGUUGAAAGUCAGACACUAUCUAAUCGGGUGAAUUUGACCAAGUCAGUAUAUCUUUUUAGACUCCAAUUUCCUCACCUCUCAUCUGAGCAUAAUUAUGAUAGCCUGGUCUUUCUUACAGGAUUAUAGUAGGUGCCACUGAGAUUAAAUGAGAGACUAAAGUUGUCUGAGAAGUACAGAGUGCUUUAGAAACAGAAGGGAUUAUGUUUUAUUUAUCAAGUCAAAGCAACCAUCGUCCAAACCUAAGAUUUUUAGGUGCUUAGAUUGGGAUUCCAUGUGAGUGAAUAUUCUCUACAUUUUUCCUGACAAUCGCAACCACUUUGCAUUUUAUAGAUCUGGUGCAGAAACACAUGGACCUUUAUGGUGGCAUGUGUGAUGGGGCAGGCAACAAUAUCUCUUAGAUGUUGGAGGGUACUGGAGGAUUUGGUGUAUCAGAGGGGGUUUAAUUCACAUUCUCAGGGGCUGCUCCUUUGAGGUAAGCUCCUCCUCUGUGCAUUGAAUAUUCUGAUGCUUCUAAUUGACUUGAAAAUAUCUUGUCCCUCCUUUGAAAUGUCACCUAGUCCUUGUCAAGUGUAUUUCCAGGCAGUCAGGAUCAAUACAUCAUUUGGUUUAAGCAUAUGAGAUCGUGAUUGAUGGCCCAGAUGAGUGUAGGUUUCACUCCCAGCAACAGUCCUGAUAUUAGAUGUUGCUGAAACCCAUUCAUAUCUAUGAGCAGAGAUCAGUGAUCUAGAAGACAAUGUCUUGAGAAGAGAUGUAAUCUAGAGUGGAGUUUAUCACAGCUGGCCUUUAGGUUCAAGCUAGUCAGAGGGUCCAGGAUUCAAAGUCAAUUCCACUUCAACAGUUACUUGCUGGGUCUCUGUUUUGUUCUAGACAUUGUCCUGUAUGUGAUGGGAUGUAAGGAAGAUCAAGCUUGUCCUUCCUCAUAAUAAGCUUACAGUAUAAAGAGGAGUUAACAUACAUAUAUGACAUAGUCGUGUCAAUUGUGUAGGGCUGUAACAGCAGUAGGAAAACAGCUUUCAAGAUCCAAGGAAGUAGAGAUAAUGUCCUCUUUGGCCUUCAUUUUUCUUUAUUUGAACAGUGGGAAAAUCUUGAGUAAAAACAGACUUAGGUAUAGGCAUUGCAAAGUUAACCCUUUUACUCAGCUUAGUCCAGAAAUGAGUCUUUGUUUCUCCUGUUUAAUGAUCAGACACUCAUUUUCUGUGAUGCGUUAGUCAUUGUACCAGGUCCUGCUGAGAUGAAAGAAUAUUUACUCCCCAGCUUCAGGGAGCCCGUGAUCUAAUUUGAUUGUCUUUCAUAUAGGAAGAAAAUACUGCUGGCCCUCAGGGGUAGGACAUACACAGUAUUGGGGAGCACUUGUGCCCAUUUGUGGCCACUUUCCCACUCAAUUCUUCUGUCCCCAGGUAUUCUUGGUUUUAGGACAGUGAAGCGACUUUCAAGGAUGUGUCUGUGGAUGUGGACCACCACAGUCUGAUGCAUGUGAAGACUGACAUACAACCGUGGCUUCCUCAUAUUAUGGCCCUAGUUAUCUGCUCAAUCACAGUCUCCUGCAGCAUCCCGCAGUCCCUGGGGCUUGUAUCCUUACAGGGCUGGUACAUGUAUCUGGAUCUGGACCUGCAGUCUAGUCCCAUCUCAGUCAGAAGGAGCUGUUUGUUUCCUGCCCUUCUUUGACUCUGCCUAAAUACUUGCAAUCAGGGUGGGGUGUGUGUGUAUCUAGAUGUUAUUAUCUUGUAGGUAGAAGGUUGAGCUUUCUUGAGAUGGACUCAGAAGGGUAAGGGAUAGUAAUGGCAGUGGACCUGGAACAGGCUGCCUCUCUAGCAAUCCUUUGCUUGUUCCCAGAGCCUAGCUUCCUCUGUCCUUCCUGUUUGGCCCUGCUCUCACACCCUAGUUCUGGUGACUCUCCCCAUGGCUGCCUGCUUUUCUGGUCACUCUGAAAGCUCUCCCCAUUGCUAUUUGUGUGGACAUUGUGCCUUGCUAGGCUUCUGGCUUCUCUGAUGCCUGGAUUUCCUGCGAGUUUAUACUGUGAGGUGAUUCUUCCCAUAUGAAACAUGGAACAAGGGACAUCCUGAGAUGGGAAAUCCUGCAAUUUACUAAGACAAAGGGACACUAGAAUAGGUAGUAGUUAAAGGAGCUAAUGAACAGAAAGCCCUUAGUGUGGUCCUUUCAAGUAGUACACUCUCAGUAAAUCCUGUUGUUGUUGUUAGUAGCAGUAGUAGUAGUCAUGCUGUGAUUGUUUUUACUAUUAUCAUCAUAAUCAUUUUUUGACACCUGCUAUCCUGUCUUCACUCUGCAAGACAGAGAAACCUAGCAGUGCUCCUUGAAUGUCAGUGUGCAUACAAAUCUCCAGAGGACCUUGUUAAAAUGAGAAUUUUUAUUUAGCAGCUCUGAGCCUCUGAAUUUUUUAAAAUUUAAAUCCACAUUAGUUAACAUAUAGUGUAAUAAUGAUUUCAGGAAUAGAAUCUGGUGAUUCAUUACUUACAUAUAAUGCCCAGUGCUCAUCCCAACAAGUGCCCUUCUUAAUACCAGUCACCCAUUUAGUCCAUCCCCCACCCACCACCCUGCCAGGAACUCUCAGUUUAUUCUCUAUAAUUAAGAGUCUCUUAUAGUUUGUCUCCCUUCUCUGUUUUUAUCUUAUUUUUGCUUCCUUUCCCCUAUGUUCAUCUGUUUUGUUUCUUAAAUUCCACAUAUAGAUGAAAUCAUGAUAUUUGUCUUUCUCUGACAUAUUUCACUUAGCAUAAUACACUCUAGUUCCAUCCACAUUGUUGCAAAUGGCAAGAUUUCUUUCUUUUUGAACCCCGAGUAGUACUCUGUACACAGUUGUGCCUUGCUAGGUUUCUGGCUUCUCUGAUGCCUGGAUUUCCUGCGAGUUUAUACUGUGAGGUGAUUCUUCCCAUAUGAAACAUGGAACAAGGGACAUCCUGAGAUGGGAAAUCCUGCAAUUUACUAAGACAAAGGGACACUAGAAUAGUUCCACUGUGUGUGUGUGUGUGUGUGUGUGUGUGUGUGUGUAGAUAUCUAUAUAUAUCUAUAUCUGUCUAUCUAUAUCUCUAUGUAUUUAUAUAUCUCCACAUCUUCUUUAUCCAUUCAUCAGUCAGUAGACAUUUGGGCUCUUUCCAUACUUUGUGAGGCUCUGAAUCUUUAACAAGCUCUCAGAUAAUGCUGGUGUUCCUGGUCCGUGGACCACAGUUUGAGUAGCAAAGGUCUAAGGGACCCGGAAAAUGGAAGGAGAAAGAGGGUAGGGUGUUGAGCAAAAAGAAUAGGAUUGGGGUUGUUCAGUCCCUGAGUACCUCUGAAGUCAGAAACACAGAUCGGGGACAAUGCUGCUGGAGGCCUUAUAAGUUCCCCAAGUUUAUUAAUUUUUGUAAUUAUUAUUAAAUAACUGAUUUUAUAUGGAAAUAGCAGAAAAACAGAUUAAAUGAAAAGGAUGCAAAGCUUGUUAUCCAUCAUGUUGUAAGAGGAGACUCCAUUCUACUUAGCCAUCAGUGACAGAGAAGAGGAACCUUUGUCUUGUCCUGGGUGGAUUAUGGCAGGUUUCGAGAAGACCUGAAUCUUCAAGUUCAUGGAAAGAGAGAAAGAGGAAGGUUGUGAGAGCCUAGGACAGAGUAGUGAUCCUAUAUAGGUCAUAUUUUGUGUGAUCUGUUUGGUCCUUUUGGACUCUUGCUUCCCCCAAUUUAAUAGAUUAUAAACUUGUUGGAGAAGAUGGACUUCAAUCAGAAAUAAUUUGUUUCCUAUCAGUACUUUGCUAAUGAUAGUGUCUCUUGCAAUAUUAGAGCUUGUUUAGGGCCAGAUAUUAUUUCAUAUAUCUGCAUAGCAAUUCUAAGAAAUAGGUAUUGCUUUAUUCCAAUAUCAUUCUUACCAAACAUAUUUUGUUUUGCCUAUUUAUUUUGUUCAUUGUCUCCCCCAACUAGACUGCAGGCUCUGUGCAACUUUGUUCUUGCUUCCUGGUCACUACCGUAGCACAUCACACUGAGUAGUUGGUAAAUAUGUAUUUGUCAAACAAGUGAUUGGAUGGAUGAGAAAAUCAAACAUUAGGAAGGCUUGCCUUAGGUCACCCAGAUGGUAAAUGCUGUAGUCAAAACCCAAAUCCUGUGCAUCUUGCUCUACAACUCUUUCCCACGCUGUUGUGCGUGCUCCCUGUGAUUUUAGCUACUUUCUAAGGCUCACUGCCAUGAGCUUAGGUAGUGAAUCACACCAUUCUAGUUGAGUCCUUGGCCACUGAGGCCAAAUUGCUGUGGGUACCACCUAGGUAUUUAACAUUAGCUAUCUGUGAUCUCUAUGAGGUCACAGUAGGACUGACUGAUAAGCCAGCCCCAGGUCAUGGGUACUCCCAGAUAAGCUAGGGGAAGAUGCUUCUAGAGAUCACACACCCCAGUAUGCUAGCAGUCAGCUCAGAGUUAGGUGUUCCAUAUAAGGCUCAUAUCAUCUUUUUCUUUAUGAGGUUUGCCACUCACUCAGCCCCAACAGAGGAUUUGCUUAUUCACUGUUGUUUUCAGCUCCCAAGGAAAACAUUAUAAGGUACAUGUUUGAAUUGGAAAAGAAGCAGUCAGGCAAGCCUCCCAAGUGACACAGAGUCCACAGGCAGAGAGUAUCCAGCUUUCCCUAUUAGACACAACAGUUGGAUGCUGACAGUGGUCCUUCUGCUGACUAUUAGGCACUGCUUUAACAUAUUAGAGACUCAGGAUGGCAGCUUUAGCAGAACAUCAGAAAACGAAAUCAACUCAUUUCCUAAAGCUAAAUUCUUAAGUCAAAAUUGGCAUCUAAGAAUCUCCUGACAAAAGUUAUACAGAGCUAGGUGACCUUUAUUGAGCAAGCCAGUCACAUCCUGCCAUACCACAACCCUGGGCCAAGGAUCCAGGAGACUGAUGCUGGGGAUCCCUUCUGAACCAUGCUCAGAGGUAUAAAAACGCAAGUGAUUACACCUGCCGCUUAACACAUUCCAAAAUGCCCUUAACAUAACCAGGCCCAGUAGGCAUGAGGCCAGAAAUGAGAUCCAAAUUGAUAGAAAUAAAAUGUGCUGUGCCUUGAGAUUGUUGUAAUCAGGAAAGGAAGAAAGAAAAGGAUGUUGUUCUGUGCCAGAAAACGGAAACUUUCUAUUUUGGAUAUUUUAAAUAGCUUUUCUGUGAUGGAAGCCACGAUUCAUGAAAAGUCAACAUCAGAGAAUUAUCUAGGCUUUUAUCAUGUAAUCAAGACAGGACAUCUUCUAAUUGGUUCAUUAUGCAGCUACCAUGGCGCCAAAUGAAAUGCUCAAUUUUUAAAUGGCUUUAUCCAAUGAAAGAUAAGAUCUGUUGUUUUUAUUAUGUCCCUUGAAAGAAAAGCCCCUCAAAUUAUCCUUGUGAGAAAUUUUUGUGCAUAACUGGAUUCAUGAAUUUAGAGGGACUCUAAAAUUCCUGUAAUGCAGUCUAAGAGUUUACUGUGGCUUAAUGAUCAGUGAAGGGGUUAAUUUUCAGAACCCUUCUCCAGUAUAUCGUAAAUAUGGAAAUGAGAGCAAGGAAAACAGCUCUCAAAUUUUGGAUGAUCAGUGGCUCAUACCUUACCUGCAGCUCGUGAGUUCAUUUUGUAACAAAGGGUUGAGGAAUUUUCUGCUUGAGGUACAUACAUCACAACAAUCUCCAAACCCAAAUGAGGGCCUAGCUCCAUCAGGAAUAACGAAUGUCCAGGCUGUUUCAGACCAUAAUUUAUUUCUGUGCCCAGAGUUCAUCACAUGAUCCACCACCACUGCUCAUUUUCUGAAAAUAAUUUCUCUAGAUGUCCAUGGGCUUCCAGCUCUCAUCACCCAGAACAGUAAAGAAUAGUCCCAUCACCUCACAUAAUUUAUCCCAGUGUCCACAAAUCUCUCCAGGUCUCCACAAACAAAGCAGAAUGCAAAAUGCAGAGUACAAUUGUUCAUCAGUGCAUGAGCAUGUCUCCAAGUGCAUCACAGAAAAAGCGAAUAAAGGAGAAAAUUAUGGGCAUGGGGCUUUUAACCUGUGGCUCUGGUUUUACCCUUGCCUCACUCUAAAAUGAAUGGAUCUCUGGCUACAGAGAGAUUACCCUUGUUUCUCGUAUGAACUCCCCAUUGUAGAUGGUCUAAUGCAGUUUGGUCUAAAAUCAAACUGGAAUCUUAGUUGUCAUGGGAAAUACAAGAAGAAGUAAACAGCAAGAAUCAUGUUUCAGGCCAGAUAUAGGAAGUUGCAUUUAGACCUUGCAAGAAGAACAUGUCCCACAAACAUCACCGUGUUUGUUUGCUUCAGAUUUCCUGGUAUUUGUGGUCAGAGCAGCGUUACAGGAGAGAUAAAAGGACAGGAAAUCAAGGGUGUCAUGCCUUGAGUCAAGGUGAUUACAUCUUUUUUUGCAAUUUCUUUCAGGUAAAUAUUAUGUUAGGAAAAGCUAGAAGGGGAAAAUUACAGUGAAAAAUUUACCACAAGUAUCAUCAAACUCAAUAAAUCAAUUCCCAUGGAAGAAGUCAUUCUAAUGUCGCUCUUAUGUUUUAGGAAAGUAAAUCAGAUAGUCAAGAAAUACCAAUGAAAUAACUGUAAUCAUUACUUAGGAAUUUGUUCAUCAAGAACCAGUCACUCACUUAGUUUGUGCCUACACAAUUCCUUCUUCGUUUCAAGCCAGUUAUAUGUCAUAACUAAAGAGUGACCAUUGACUUUUUGUGUGCUUCUCCUAUCCUUCCACUAACACUCUAUCUUCCCACUGCACCUUCUCCAUCAACUAGAACAUAUCAUCCCCUUUUGUCAAUCAUGCUGUCUUGUUCUUACCGUCAUGCCCAAACAGCUCAUUAUUUUGAAAUUAUAAGUACCCAUCUCUCUCUCCUAUUUGACUGUGUAUCAGUCAUCAUUGCAACUCUGUGCCUAGCACACUGGUAACUAUAUAGCAGGCAUUCAUGUAAAUUUUUAUUUAUUUAUUUAUUUCUUAAAAGAAUUUAUUUUUUAAUUUACAUUCAAGUUAGCAUAUAGUGCAACAGUGAUUCAGGAGUAGAUUCAUUAAUCCCCUUAUCCAUUUAGCCCAUCUCCCCUUCCAUAACCCCUCCAGCAACCCUCUGUUCUCUAUUUUUAAGAGUCUCUUAUGUUUUAUCCCCCUCCCUGAUUUUAUAUUAUUUUUGCUUCCCUUCCCUUAAGUUCAUCUGUUUUGUAUCUUAAAGUCUAAUAUGAGUGAAGUCAUAUAUUUGUCUUUUUCUAAUUUCAUUUAGCAUAAUACACUCUAGUUCCAUUUACAUAGUUGCAAAUGGCAAGAUUUCAUUCUUUUUGAUUGCUGAGUAGUACUCCAUUGUAUAUGUGUACCACAUCUUUAUCCAUUAAUCCAUCGAUGGACAUUUGGGAUCUUGCCAUACUUUGGCUAUUGUCAAUAGUGUUGCUAUAAACAUUGGGGUUCAUAUGCCUCUUCGAAACAGCAUACCUGUAUCCCUUGGAAAAAUACCUAGUAGUGAAAUUGCUGGGUCGUAGGGUAGUUGUAUUUUUAAUUUUUGAGAAACCUUCACACUGUUUUCCAGAGUGGCUGCACCAGUUUGCAUUCCCACCAGCAGUGGAAAAGAAAUCCUCUUUCUCCGCAUCCUCACCAACAUCUGUUAUUGCCUGAGUUGUUAAUAUUAGCCAUUCUGACAGGUGUGAGCUGGUAGCUCAUCAUGGUUUUCAUUUCUAUUUCCCUGAUGAUGAGUGAUGUUGAGCAUUUUUUCAUGUGUCGAUUGGUCAUCUAGAUGUCUUCUUUGAAGAAGUGUCUAUUCAUGUGUUUUGCCCGUUUCUUCGCUGGAUUGUCUUUUGGGUUUGAGUUUGAUAAGUUCUUUAUAGAUUUUGGAUACUAACCCUUUAUCUGAUGGGUCAUUUACAGCUAUCUUCUCCCAUUCCAUUGGUUGCCUCUUAGUUUUGCUGAUUGUUUCCUUCACUGUGCAGAAGUUUUUUAUUUUGAUGAGGUCCCAAUAGUUCAUUUUUGCUUUGGUUUCCCUUGGCUCCAGAGAUGUGUUCAGUAAGAAGUUGCUGUGGCCAAGGUCAGAGAGGUUUUUGCCUGCUUUCUCCUUGAGGAUUCUGAUGGCUUCCUGUCUUACAUUUAGGUCUUUCAUCUACUUUGAGUUUCUUUUUGUGUAUGGUAUAAGAAAGUGAUCCAGGUUCAUUUUUCUACAUGUCACUGUCCAUUUUUCACAGCACCAUUUGUUGAAGGGACUGUCUUUAUUCCAUUGGAUGUUCUUUCCUGCUUUGUCAAAGAUUAGUUGGUCAUACAUUUGUGGGUCCAUUUCUGGGUUCUCUAUUCUGUUUCAUUGAUCUGAGUGUCUGUUUUUGUGUCAGUACCAUACUGUCUUGAUGAUUACAGCUUUGUAUAUAGCUUGAAAACAAACUAUAUUCAAUAUAGUUUGUAUAUUGAACUAUAUACAAUAUGUAGUUGUAUAUAUUGUACAACUAUAUAUUGUGGAUUGUGAUACCUCCUGCUUUGGUUUUCUUUUUCAAGAUUGCUUUGGCUAUUCAGGGUCUUUUCUGGUUCCAUACAAAUUUUAGGAUUGUUUCUUCUAGGUCUGUGAAGAAUGCUGGUGUUAUUUGAUAGGUAUUGUAUUAAAUAUGUAGAUUGCUUUGGGUAAUAUUGAUAUUUUAACAAUAUGUGCUCUUCCUAUCCAGGAGCAUGGAAUAUUUUUCCAUUUUUUUGUGUCUUAUUCAAUUUCUUUCAUAAGCUUUCUAUAGUUUUCAGUGUGUAGAUUUUUCACCUCUUUGGUUAGAUUCAUUCCUAGGUAUUUUAUAGUUUUUUGUGCAACUGUAAAUGGGAUCGAUUCCUUGAUUUCUCUUUCUGUUGCUUCAUUGUUGGUGUAUAGGAAUGCAACUGAUUUCUGUGGAUUGAUUUUAUAUCCUGUGACUUUGCUGAAUUCAUGGAUCAGUUCUAGCAGUUUCUUGGCAGAAUCUUUUGGGUUUUCCAUAUAGAGGAUCAUGUCAUCUGCGAAAAGUGAAAGUUUGAUCUCCUCCUGGCCAAUUUGGAUGCCUUUUAUUUCUUUGUGUUGUCUGAUUGCUGAGGCUAAGACUUCCAAUACUGUGUUGAAUAACAGUGGUGAGAGUGGACAUCCCCUGUCUUGUUCCUGACCUUAAGGGGAAAGCUCUCAAUUUUUCCCCAUUGAGGAUGAUAUUAGCAUUGGGUCUUUUGUAUAUGGCUUUAAUGAUCUCGAGGUAUGUCCUUCUAUCUCUACUUUCUUGAGGGUUUUUAUCAAGAAAGAAUGCUGUAUUUUGUCAAAUGCUUUCUUGCAUCUAUUGAGAGGAUCAUGUGGUUCUUGUUCUUUCUUUUAUUGAUGUGAUUAAUCACGUUAAUUGUUUUGUGGAUAUUGAACCAGCCCUGCAUCCCAGGUAUAAAUCCUGCUUGGUUGUGGUGAAUAAUUUUUUUAAUGUAUUGUUGGAUCUGGUUGGCUAAUAUCUUGUUAAGGAUUUUUGCAUCCAUGUUCAUCAGGGAAAUUGGUCUGUGGUUCUCGUUUUUAGUGGGGUCUCUGUCUGGUUUUGGAAUCAAGGUAAUGCUGGCUUCAUAGAAAGAGUUUGCAAUUUUUCCUUCCAUUUCUAUUUUUUUGGAACAGCUUCAAGAGAAUAGGUAUUAACUCUUCUUUAAAUGUUCAGUAGAAUUCCCCUGGAAAGCCAUCUGGCGCUGGACUCUUGUUUUUUAGGAAAUUUCUGAUUACUGAUUCAAUUUCUUUACUGGUUAUGGGUCUGUUCAAAUUUUCUAUUUCUUCCUGUUUCAGUUUUGGUAGUGUAUAUGUUUCUAGGAAUUUGUCCAUUUCUUCCAGAUUGCCCAUUUUAUUGGCAUAUAAUUGCUCAUAAUAUUCUCUUAUUAUUGUUUGUAUUUCUGCUGUGUUGGUUGUGAUCUCUCCUCUUUCAUUCUUAAUUUUAUUUCUUUGGGUCCUUUUUCCUUUUGAUCAAACUGGCUAGUGGUUUAUCACUUUUGUUAAUUCUUUCAAAGAACCAGCUUCUGAUUUCAUUGAUCUGUUUUUUUGGUUUUGAUAGCAUUGAUUUCUGCUCUAAUGUUUAUUUCCUGUCUUCUGCUGGUUUUGGGUUGUAUUUGCUCUUCUUUAUCCAGCUCUUUAAGGUGUAAUGUUAUGUUGUGUAUCUAAGACCUUUCUUCCUUCUUUAGGAAGGCCUGGAUUGCUAUAUACUUUCCUCUUAUGACCACCUUUGCUGUGUCCCAGAGGUUUUGGGCUGUGGUGUUACCAUUUUCAUUGGCUUCUAUGUACUUUUAGUUUCCCCUUUUUCUUGGUCAGCCUUUCAUUCUUUAGUAGGAUGGUCUUUAGUCUCCAAGUAUUUGUUAUCUUUCCACUUUUUUUCUCGUGGUUGAUUUUGAGUUUCCUAGCAUUGUUGCCUGAAAAUAUGCACAGUAAGGAACUCAGUCUUUUUGUACUUGUGAGGGCUGAUUUGUGUCCCAGUAUGUGAUCUAUUCUGGAUAAUGUUCCAUGUGCACUGGAGAAGAAUGUGUAUUCUGCUGCUUUAGGAUGAAAUGUUCUGACUAUAUCUGUUAAGUCCAUCCGGUCCACUAUGUCAUUCAGAGUCAUUGUUUCCUUGUUAAUUUUCUGUUCAGAUGAAAUGUCCAUUGCUGUAAGUGGGGUGUUGAAGUUCCUACUACUGUGGUGUUACUAUCAAUGAGUUUCUUUGUCUUUGUGAUUAAUUGAUUUAUAUAUUUCGGUUUUUCCACAUUUGGAGCAUAAAUGUUUACAGUUGUUAGGUCUUGGUGGUAGACCCUUUAAUUAUGAUAUAACGCCCUUCUUCAUCUCUUGUUACAGUCUUUAAAGUCUAUAUUGUCUGAUAUAAGUAUGGCUACUCCAGCUUUCUUUUGGUGACCAUUAGCAUGAUAGAUGGUUCUUCAUCCCCUUACUUUCAAUCUGAAGGUGUCUUUAGGUCUAAAAUGAGUCUCUUAUAAACAGCAUAUUGAUGGAUCUUGUUUUCUUAUCCAUUCUGUUACCCUGUGUCUUUUGAUUGGAGCAUUGAAUCCAUUGACAUUUAGAGUGAGUAUUGAAAGAUACAAAUUUAUUGCCAUUAUGUUGCUUGUAGAGUUGGAGUUUCUGGUGGUGGCCUCUGGUACUUUCUAGUCUUUGGUGCUUUUUUUUGUCUUCUCUCAGAAAGUCCCCCUUAAAAUUUCUUGCAGGGCUGGUUUAGUGGUCACUAACUCCUUUAAUUUUUGUUUGGGAAAAUUAUUAUCUCUCCUUCUAUUUUGAAUGACAGCCUUGCUGGAUAAAGAAUUCUUGGCUGCAUGUUUUUCUGAUUCAGCACAUUGAAUACAUCCUGCCACUCCUUUCUGGCCUGCCAAGUUUCUGUGGAUAGGUCUGUUGCAAACCUGAUCUAUCUUCCCUGGUAGGUUAAGGACUUUUUUACCUUGCUGCUUUCAUGAUUCUUUCCUUGCCUGAGUAUUUUGUGAAUUUGACUAUGAUAUGCCUUAUUGAUGGUCGGUUUUUGCUCAAUCUAAUAGGAGUCCUCUGCGCUUCCUAGAUUUUGAUGACUGUGUCUUUCCCAAGUUAGGAAAGUUUUCCACUAUGAUUUGCUCAUAUAACCCUUCUACCCCUUUUUUUCUUUCUUCCUCUUCUGGGAUCCUUAUGAUUCUGAUGUUGUUCCAUCUUAAUGAGUCACUGAUUUCUCUCGUUCUUAAGUUAUGCUCUUUGCUUUAGUCUCCCUUUUUUUUUUCUGCUUCAUUUUUCUCCAUAAGUUUGUCCUCUACAACACUGAUACACUGCUCUGCUUCAUCCAUCCUUGUCACUGUGGCAUCCAUUUGAGAUUGCAGCUCAGUUUUAGCAUUUUUUAUUUCAUCCUUCCUAGCUUUUAUGUCUGCAGAAAGGGAUUCUAAUCUGUUUUCAACCCCAGCCUAGUAUUAUUAUUUUGAUUCUAAAUUCUGGUUCAGUCAUCUUGAUUGUAUCUGUGUUGAUGAAGUCUCUGGUUGUCAUUUCUUCCUGUUCUUCCUUUUUGGGUAAAUUUUUUGGUUUGUCAUUUUGAAGGAAGAAAAAGAAUCGAUAAGGUAAAAAAAUAAAAUUAAAAAAUUUAAAACAACACAUAAAAAAACCAAAUAAAUGAUGCUAGAUCUUAGGUGUGUUUUGGUCUGGCUAUUGAAAGGAGCUUGAUAGAUUAGAGAAGAACAGGGAAAGAUAAGAAAAGAAAAAGAAGAAAGAAAAAAAGGAAAAUGUUUGAAAAUUUGAAAAAAUUAAUACAAUGAAAUAAAAUAAAAUGAAAUGGAAGUAAAAUAGAGUGUGGGAAAUUUGCAAAAAAGUAAAAAAUAUAGUAAAAAAUUAAAGAAAAAAAAUAUAUAUAUAUAUAUAUAUUUUUUUNNNNUUUUUUUUUUCAACGUUUAUUUAUUUUUGGGACAGAGAGAGACAGAGCAUGAACGGGGGAGGGGCAGAGAGAGAGGGAGACACAGAAUCGGAAACAGGCUCCAGGCUCUGAGCCAUCAGCCCAGAGCCCGACGCGGGGCUCGAACUCACGGACCGCGAGAUCGUGACCUGGCUGAAGUCGGACGCUUAAAUGACUGCGCCACCCAGGCGCCCCAAAGAAAAAUAUAUUUUUAAAAAAAAAAUUUUUUUUUAACAUUUAUUCAUUUUUGAGACAGAGAGAGACAGAGCAUGAAUGGGGGAAGGUCAGAGAGAGAGGGAAACACAGAAUCUGAAACAGGCUCCAGGCUCUGAGCUGUCAGCACAGAGCCCGAUGCGGGGCUCCAACUCACGGACCGCGAGAUCAUGACCUGAGCCGAAGACGGACGCCCAACCGACUGAGCCACCCAGGCGCCCCUAAAGAAAAAUAUUUUUAAUAAAAAUGGGAAGUAAAAAUAAUUUUUUUCUCUUUCUGUAAAAAGAAAAAGAAAAAAAUUAAAUAGAUGGACCAGCGAACAUACUGAAAUACCAUUGAAAUUACAUCAGUUUCUCCUAGAAGUCAAGCUAUGAAGCACUUUAUAGUCCAUAAACUAAGCAGGUGGAGAGACUUGUGGUGUUUCUGAAGAGCGUGGUUGGCCCAGUUGGGCAGGGCUUAGUGUAAUGGCUAAACCAUUGUCUACUAGAUGCUGCUGCUUAGUUUACUGGGGUGGAUUGUUGUGGCACAUGUAGGUUUUUAUGUGCAUGCAUGAAGGGUGAAAAUGGCACCCAGUCCCUGGUAUCAGAACUCUCUUCUCCCUGACCAGCAAUCACGCACCCCUCCUUUGUCUCUGGCUUGAGUCCACUCCCCGCUUUUACACUGUCUGUGACCAAGCCAUCAGGUUGUCAGGCGGCACCUCCCUCCUGAGUUUUACUUCAGAUGUGGCUGUGUUUCCCAACCCAUUAUUUCUGAGGGACUGCGGCUUUGACCCGUUCAGACGCCCUGGGGGAGGGUCUCACUGAGCAAUGGCCGUGUGUCCCCUUGCCCCCAGGAAUGUUCAUGAGACCAUGCUGCUUCUGAUGCGUAGAGACUGUGGCUAGGUCCCAUCCCGCCCCAGAAAAGUUUCACAUGAUCGUUUAGCAGCAUUGUUUCUGGGAUUAUGGUAAAUCACAACACAUAUCUGGCUCUAGGCUUGUUCUUGUCCCAGCACCAGUGAAUGUGGUUAUUCUCCAGGGUCUUCUGGGACCUUUGCCUGUGGGGUGGCUGCACAGCCUCUAUCAAAUGUCCUCCCAGCAGGGGAAUCGCCUCUCCCAUGUGGCCCAAGGACACCUUGGAUCUCGCUGUCUGCUCCUGGGGAUUUUCCAGAGAUUUGCCAGAGCACUGCCAGGUAUUGACCUAUGGAGUUUCAUAGUCUUCACUCCCCCUGUUAAUAGAGUCUCACUGGAAUUUAAAUCCUCUUUCUCCUUUUUCCCUUGUUUUGUUCAGUCCCUCAUGUACUCUUUCUUUUCUCUACAGCUGCUUUCGGGCAGAGGGGUGGAUGAUUUCCCAUACCCCAUCCCACCACCUCCCUCCCCCACCCCCCAUCUCUGUCUUCUCUCUGCAAGCAAAAGCAGCUCCCUGUCCUUUGUGGCUUCUCUCUCCCCCAUUUGACCUCUCUGUGCUGCAUACCUUCUGAGUUCUGUGAUUCAGGUUGUGCCGAUUGUUGUGUUAAUCCUCAAAUCAGUUUUCUAGGUGUGCAGGGUGGUUUAGUGUUGAUCUGGCUGUAUUUCAGGGAUGCAAAAUAAAAAAAAGCCUUCCAUGCUGUUCCUCCAUCUUGACCCCUCAGUAGUUCAUGUAAAUUUAUUGAAUGGAUAGAUUUGGAAACAAGGAGAAAAUCCCAUUUUCAAAUAUUCUGUGCGCAUACAUAUAUGUGAUCUCUAAGUUAUCUUUAAUAGAUUGAAAUUUGUAAGUUAAUCAUCUAUACACUAUACACAGGGCUCUUUGGUUUUUUUCUUAAUUAUAAACUUGUUGCAUUUAGAUACAGUUAAUUGUUUAGCCAUGUAUGAUUUAGCAAUGUAUGAUUUAGCAAUGGAACUUAAGAACAAUCUUCCACCUAUAAAAGUCAAACUCACAUAAACAGAGCAUAGAAUGGUGGUUUCCAGGGACUGCAAAGUGGGGAGCUGUAGGACAAAGGGUGCCAACUUCCUGUUACAAGAUGAAUAAGUUUGGGGGAUCUAAUGUGUAGCAUGGUGACAGUAGUUAACGAUACUAUAUGCUUGAGAGUUUCUAAGAGAGUAGUUCUGAAAUCCUCUUACCACACCCAGGGUAAUUAUGUGACAUGAUGGAGUUGUUAAGUAACCGUAUUGUGGUAAUCAUUUAACAUUAUAUAUGUACACUUAAUUAUCACCGUUGUAUACCUUAGAUUUAUGCAGUGUUAUAUGCUAAUUACAUCAGACCAAAGCUGCAGAGCAUGGGGCAGUGGGUGGAGAAAGAAGAAUCUUCCAUCUGGAAGUAAAUGUUUUUUUUUGUUCUCUGUGAGUUACAUUGUUAGGAAUACUCUGUUAUGUCCAGGAAUGGGCCAUUUACUAAACGAUGCCCUUUGCUGACAAAUCCUAAUUUUUGUUUAGAAAGGCAUUAGAAAAAAUUUUUGUUUUGUAGGGUACUUCUAUAAAAUUCUAAAAGUUUUAAUAAGUGUCAGCAAGUGAGGAACUGUGGAUAUUAUUUGAAUAGUAGUGUUCACAACCAACGGAGGCGAAGGGAUUUGUCUUGUACACAAUUAUCUACCAGUUUGCCCCAGUUCUUUUCUUUUUGCCUGAAGCCCUGUCCUUGGCUGUCUGGAAGUAUGAGGGUCCUAGGCUUAGGAAGACCUCACAUCUUCAAAGAAGGUCAGGAGCCUUUCCAUUAUUUCUGUCUCAUAAGUGUCCUAAGGCCUCUUUUCUCUUUCUUCUUUUACUUCAGGUGCCCUAUUAGAAAUGAAACCAACCUCUCCAUUUUCCUUUUUUUUUUUUUGACAGAGUGGACCUUCUGUCUUCUGCUACAUACUUCUCUGAAAUUAGGGGUUAUAAAUGUACUUCUAAGCGGCUGCUGCUGUGUUUUUAUGAUGGGUGGCAAAUUAAUUUCUUAUCUGUUGAUGUUGGACUAUCCUUUUCCCACAUGCCAGGUGUCAGAAAAAGCCUCUCAUUCUCCAGACUGCUGUGCUCAGUUACCUUUGCCUUUCCUUGCUCCCUUUAUUUAUCUGUCUCCCUGGCUUUGUGAGUGACCUUGAAGAGAAUGCUUUCUUGAGUGUUCUAGGGCUCAUCUUAUGGGUUGCCAGUUGUCAUUGGAUGACUUAAGGUCCCUAGUUCUUAUUCUCUUAUCCCCACUUCUCUCCCACCUCCAAUCUAUAAAAUAUUAUUCUCUUUUUUUUUUUUUCUGGAAGAGGAUGAAGUGCAUUGUGUCUUGAGAAUGGGUGCCAACACCAAUGUUAGCUUUUGGGAGUCUGCUUAUUGUUACUUACAAUACCUGUCCUCCCUGCUCCUGUGUGGAUGUGGGAGACUCCCAGAGCUUACAGCCUUGGGCUGUAAGAGUCUCUGUCCAGCCUCAGGAGGCAGAAGGGUAGAGAAAAGAGGCAAUAAAGCCAUAUCAAGUGUUACUCUUUCUACAUGAUAAUCCAAGGCAAUUUAACCCAAUUAUUAUUUUAACCUUCAGAAUGUAUCCAGAUCCCCUCCCCUGCCCCCCUAGAAAGAAUGCAAUAAUGACUAAUUUUAGCAUAGUACUUUGUGGUUUUCAGUUCACUUCAGGAUAUUCUCUGUCAUACCAUUUUCAAAACAGCCCCAUAAAGUAGGCAAGGCUGGUAAUAUCACUCUGUGCACACUUCCUUCAUCCUGCUUUUGCUUUCUAUAUUUAUACAUCAACAUCAAGUGAACUUUGAGCAGGCCUUUGCCAUUCCACUCCACAGGUAAGAAAACUGAAGCUUAGGGAGGUGAAGUGACAUGCCUAAUGGAUGAAAGUUAAAAAAUUCAGGUCUCAAGCUCAUGCUGUCAAUAUGCUUUAAAAAAAUUAACUUUUUUAUUUUGAAAUAAGUGUAUAUUCACAUUAUUUGUACGAAGUAGUACACAAAGAUUUUUUUUUUCAACGUUUAUUUAUUUUUGGGACAGAGAGAGACAGAGCAUGAACGGGGGGAGGGGCAGAGAGAGAGGGAGAGACAGAAUCGGAAACAGGCUCCAGGCUCUGAGCCAUCAGCCCAGAGCCUGACGCGGGGCUCGAACUCAUGGACCGCGAGACCGUGACCUGGCUGAAGUCGGACGCUUAACCGACUGCGCCACCCAGGCGCCCCUCACAAAGAUUUAUAUUACCUUUCUUUACCCAGUUUUCCUCAGUGGUAACAUCUUCCAAAAGUAUGGUACAGUAUCACAGUCAGGAUAUUGACAGUGAUUUAGUCAAGAUACAGAACAUUUCCAUCACCUCGUGGAUCUCACUUACCUCCUUCCCCUAACCCUUCUUUAACUUCUGACAAUCACUAAUCUGUUCUCCAUUUUUAUAACUUUGUCAUUUCAUAAAUUGUUAUAUAAACAAAACAAUGUGGUAUUCAUCUUUUCAGGAUUGGCUUUUUCCCUUAGCAUAAUACUCUGAAGAUGUGUCCAGGUUGAUGUAUGUAUCAGUAGGUUUUUGUUUUUUUUUUUAAUUGUUGACUAGCAUUCCAUGUUAUGGAGGAACCACCACAGUAUGUGUAACCAUUCAUCCAUUGAAGGACACAUGCGGGUUGUUUUUAGUUUGGAAUAUCAAAAUAAGGCUGCUAUAAACAUUUCUGUAGGUUCUUGCAUGAAUGUAAGUUUUUAUUUCUCUGGGACAAAUGCCCAGGAGUGCAUUUUCUGGCUUCUAUGAUAGUUGCAUGUUUAGUUGUUUCAGGAAGUGCCAAACUGUUUUCCAGAGCUGGGUGUACCAUUUUAUGUUCCCAUCACCAAUGCAUGAGUGAUCCCAUUUUUCCACAUCCUCCCAGCCUUUGGUGUCACUAUUUUUGAUUGUAGUCAUUCUGAUAGAUGUGUAAUGAUCUUAUUGUGAUUUUAAUAUGCAUUUCUUUAAUGACUAAUUAUGUUGAACAUAUUUUUACAUGCUUAUCUGCCAUCUCUAUUUCCACUUUAAUGAAAUGUCCCUUUAUGUCUUCUUCUGCUUAUUAUCUAAUUGCCUUCUCUUUUUUUGUUUGUUUCUUUUUUAUUAUUUAUUUUGACUGUUGAGAAGCUACUUGUAUAUUCUAGAUACUUGUUCUUCAUUACAUAUGUGGUUUGUACGUAUUUUUUCCCCAGCCUGUAGCUUGUGUUUUUAGCCUAUUAGCAAGAUCUUUUGCAGAGCAUCAUUUUUAAAAUUUUGAUGAAGUCCAGUUUAUCAGUUUUUCCUUAUAUGCAUCAUGUUUUGGUAUCAAGUCUAAGAACUCUUUGACUAGCCCUAGAUUCCAAAGAUGUUCUGAUAUUGUUUUCUAAAACAUUAUAGUUUUAUAUUUUACAUUUAGGUCUAUGAUAUAUUUUGAAUUCACUUUUGUGGAAGGGGUAAGACCCAGGUCAAGGUGGGUUUUGUUGUUGUUGUUGUUGUUGUUGUUGAAUUCUGAUUUAAUUUGAUCUAGUAUCAUUUGUUGAAAAAACUCUUCCCUUCAUUGAAUUACUCUUGUACCUUUAUCAGAAAUAAGUUGGGCAUAUUUAUGUGGUCUAUACCUGGGUCUUCUUUUCUGUUCCAGUGAUCCAUCUGCUGAUUGAUCCACCAAUACCACACAGUAUUGACUACUGGGGUUUUAUACUAAGUCACAGAAUCAAGUAGAAUAGUCUUACUAUUCACAGUUGUUUUUAGCUGUUUUAGUUCCUUCACUUUUCCAUAUGAAUUUUACAAUAAUCUCUAUAUCCACAGAUUUUUUAAAAAAAAUUGGUAGAAAAUUCAUUGAACUUACAUAUCCCUUUGGGAAAAAUUGGAAUCUAUACUAUGUUGAUUCUUCCAAUCUGUGAACAUGGUAUGUCUCUCCGUUAAUUAGAUCUUGUUUGAUAUUUCAUUAGAAUUUUACAGUUUUUAGCAUAUAAACUCUGUACAUAUAUUUUGUUAGUUUUUUUGAGUUAUUAUAAAUGGUACUGUGUUUUUAAUUUUGGUGUCUCCAUGUUUAUUGCUGAGAUAUGUAAAUACACUUGCUUUUGUAUGUUUAUUUGUAUUUUCCAACCUUGGUGAGCUCACUUAUUACAUGAAUUAAAACAUUUUUUGAGUUAAAAUAUUAAAAAAGUAUUUAAUAUGGAGUAUUUUCAUAUGAAAAAGAAAUUCAUAUGAAGACAGUCACAUCACCUAAAAAUUAGAGACGGUUCUAUUUCUUCCUUCCAAUAAGUUUAUAAUUAACUUUAUUUUCUUUAUUGCAUUGGCUAGAACUUCUUGAACUGCUUUGAAUAAGAGUAAUGGAAGUCAAAUAUGUAGGACAUAGCUAAAGCAUUGCUGAGAAGGAAAUUUAUAGCACUGAAUGUAUACAUUAGAAAAGAGGAAGAGUCUCAAAUCAGCCAUCAAAACUCUGCUCAAGAAGCUAGAAAAAGAAGAGCAGAUAAACCCAAAGCAAGCAAAAGGAAGGAAAUCAUAAAAAUAAGAGCAGAAAUCAAUGAAAUGGAAAAUAAAAACAAUAGAGGAAAUAGAAGAAACAAAAAUCUGGUUAAAAAGAUCAUUAAAAUUGUAACACUUCUCACAAUAUUGACAAAAAAUAGAGAAGUCAUAAAUUACCAGUAUCAGGAAUGAAACAAUUUUCAACAAGUUCUACCAGAAAAUAGAAAAAGAGGAAAUACUUCCCAAUUCAUUUUUUAAAGCUUGUAUUUCCUUGAUACCAAAAUUAAACAAAGUACAAAAAAUAAAACUUCAAAUAUCCUUCAUGGAAUAUGUUUAAUAAAAUAUUGGCAAAUAUAGUUUAGCAAUAUAUAAAAAGAAUUAUAUUCUAUGACCAAAUGGAGUUUAUUCCAGGGAUACAUAAGAUGGUUUAAUAUUAAAAUAUUAAGUAUUAAUAAAAUGGAGUUUAUGCCAGGGAUCCAUGGAUGGUGUGAUAGUUACACUUAUGGUAAACAUAGCAUAAUGUAUAGAGUUGUCAAGUCACUAUGUUGUACACCAGAAACUAAUGUGACAUUGUGUGUCCACUAUGUAUACUUCAAUAAAAAAAUAGAUAAUCAAUGUGAUACUGUAUUUUGCUUACCUCCCUACCCCUCUCUCUCUCUUUCUUUCUUUCUUUCUUUCUUUCUUUCUUUCUUUCUGUCUGUCUUUCUUUCUUUCUUUCUUUCUUUCUUUCUCCCUUUCUCCCUUUCUCCCUUUCUUCCUUUCUUAUCCGUUCUUUUGUGUUUAGAAAACUUCUUUAGCUGCUGUUUUUAGGAUGGAUAUACUGGUGCCAAAUCGUUAGUUUUUCUUCAUCUGAAAAUGUCAUGAUUUUCUGUUUACUCCUAAAAGAUAUUUUCACUGGAUAUAGGAUUCUGUAUUGACAGUUCUGUUCUUUCAGCACUUGAAAACUAUUGUGCUACUUCCUUUCACCUCCAUCACUUUUGAAGAGAUAUAUGCUGUCGUUCAAAUGUUUUUUCUGUCUGUAGAUGAGGUAUUAUUCUCUGGCUGCUCUUAAGAUUAUUUCUUACUCUUUAGUUUUCAGAAUUUGACUAUGACGUGCCUUGGUGUAGUUUUCUUUAGGUUUAUCCUUUUGGGGAUUUACUUGAAUUCUUUUUUAUUGUAGUGAAACAUAUAUAACAAAGUUUUCCAUUUUAAUAAUUUUCUUUAUUUAAAUUUUAGUUAACAUAUAGUGCAAUAUUGGUGUUAGGAGUAGAAUUCGGUGAUUUGUUACAUACGACACCCAGUGCUCGUCACAAGUGCCGCCCUUAAUACCCAUCAUCCAUCUAGCCUAUCUCCCACCAGUCCCCCUCUAUCAACCCUCAGUUUGUUUUCUGUCAUUAUGAGUCUCUUGUGGUUUGUUUACCUCUCUUCUCUUCCCCCACGUUUCCCAUGUGUUGAUCUGCUUUGUUUCUUAAAUUCCACAUGUGAGUGAAAUCACAUGGUUUUUGUCUUUCUCUGAUUGACUUAUUUUGCUUAGCAUAAUACGUUUUAAUAAUUUUUAAGUAUACAAUUCAGUGGCAUCAAUUACAUUUGCAGUGUUGUAUAACCAUAUUAACUAUGUAUUUCUAAACCCUUUUUAUCACCUCAAACAGAAACUCUGCAUUCAUUAAGCAAGCACCCUCCCUUUCCCCCUCCUCCCAGCCUGUGGUAGCCUCUAAUCUACUUUGGUCUGUAUGAAUUUGUCUGUUCUACAUAUUUCAUGUAAGUGAAAUCAUGCAAUAUUUGUCCUUUUAUGUCUGACUGAGUUCACGGCUCAUCCAUCUUACAGCAUGUAUCAGAACUUCAUUUUUUUUGGCUGAAUGAUAUUCCAUUGGAUGGGUAUUCUACAUUUUUAAAAAUCUAGACUCAAGUUUUUCAUAUGUGAAUGUCUGGUCAUUCCAACUCCAUUUACUGAAAACACUAUCUUUUCUCCAUUAUAUUGCUUUGUCAAAGUUAGUUUGACUAUAUUUAUAUAGGUCUAUUUCUGGGUUCUCUAUUCUUUCUACUUGUCUGUUCUUUAACCAACAUGUUUGGAUUACUUUAGCUUUUUAGUAAAUUUUGAAAUGGAAUGCUGUCAGUCCUUGGCCUUUUUUUUGUUGUUGUUGUUCAAUAUUGUGUUGGCUAUUUGGGGUCUUUUGCCUCUCCAUAUAAACUUUAGAUUGAAUUUGUCAACAUUCAGAAAACAACUUGUUGGGAUUUUGAUUUGGAUUACAUUGAAUCUGUGGAUAAAAUUGGGAAGAACUGACAUUUUGACAUUAUUGAGAUAUUACUACCCAUGAACAUUUAUCUCUAUUUAGUUUGUCUUUGAUUUCUUUCAUAAAGUUUUAUAGUUUUUCUCAUACCGAUCUUGUGUAUAUUUUAUUAGAUUUAUACCUAAGUAUUUCAUUUUUAGGAGUGCAAGUGUAGAUAGUAUUGGGUUUUAAAUUUCGAAUUCCACUUGUUCAUUGUUGAUAUAUAGGAAAGCAAAUAACCUUUGUGUAUUAAUUUUGUAUACAACGUUUGAGGAAUGUUUUAUUGAUCUUUUUGGAUAUUCAACCUAGAUUGUCAUAUCACCUGCAAAGACAGUUUUAUUGCUUCCUCCCCGGUCUGAAUAUCUUUUUUUCUUUUUUUAAUUUUGCUGCAUUUGCUAUGGAUCCCAGUAUGAUAUUGAAAAGCAAUAGUGAGCAGAGACAUCUUUGCCUUGUUGCUGAACUUAGUGGGAAAGCUUAGAGUUUCUAAUGCUUAGGUAUAAUGUUCUGUGUAGAUUUUAUAUAGAUAUUCGGUAUCAAGUUGAGAAGGUUUCUAUUAUUUGUUUACUAAGAUUUUAAAAAAAUCAAUGGAUGUAGGAUUUUGUCAAGUAAUUUUUCUGCGCAUAUUGAGAUGAUCUUGUGAUUUUUCUUCUUCUCUGGCCUUUUGAAAUGGUAGAUUGUAUUAAUUGUUUUUCACAUGUUGAACUAGCUUUACAUACCUGAGGCAAAUCACACCUGCUUGUAGUAUAUAAUUACUUUUUUACAUUGUUGGAUUCAAUUUGUCAACAUUUUGUUGAGAGUUUUUGUAUCUAGGUUUAUGGAAUGUUUUCAUACAAUUUUGAAGUUUUAUUGUAAUUUGUCUGCUUUUAGUCAUAGGGUAAUGCUGUCUGUCCUCAUAAAAUGAGUUAGGAAGUAUUUUCUCUGCUUCUGCCUUCUGAAGGAGAUUAUAGAGAAUUGGAAUAAUUUUUUUCCCUUAAAUGUUUGGUGGAAUUUACCAGUGAACCAACCUGGGCCUGUGCUUUCUAUUUUAGAAAGUUAUUAAUUAUUGAUUCAAUAUCUUUAAUAGCUAUAGGCCUAUUCAGGUAGCCUAUUUCUUCUUGUGUGAAUUUUGGCAGGAUGUGCUUUUUAAGGAAUUGAUCCAUUUCAUCUAGGUUAUCAAAUUUGUGGGCAUAGAGUUAUUCAUAGUAUUUCUUUAUUAUGCUUUUAGUGUCCAUGGUGUCUGUAGUGAUGACCCUUCUUUUGUUUCUGUUAUUAGUGAUUUGUGUCCUCUCUCUUUUUCUCUUAGUUAACCUGGCUAGAGGCUUACUGAUUUUAUUUUAUUUUUUUAAAGAACAAGCUUUAGUUUCAGUUUUUUCCCCAUAUUGAUUUCCCCAUAUUGAUUUCUAUUUUUCCCCAUAUUGAUUUCUAUUUUCAAUUCCAUUGGUUUCUGCUCUGAUUUUUUUUCUACUCUGAUAUUUAUUAUUUUUUUCUUCUGCUGACUUUGGAUUUAAUUCACUAUUUUCCUAGUUUCCUUGGAUGGACAUUUAGAUGAUUAAUUUUAUUUUAUUUUAUUUUAAAAAAAAAUUUUUUUUUUUCAACGUUUAUUUAUUUUUGGGACAGAGAGAGACAGAGCAUGAACGGGCGAGGGGCAGAGAGAGAGGGAGACACAGAAUCGGAAACAGGCUGCAGGCUCUGAGCCAUCAGCCCAGAGCCUGACGCGGGGCUCGAACUCACAGACCGCGAGAUCGUGACCUGGCUGAAGUCGGACGCUUAACCGACUGCGCCACCCAGGCGCCCCUAGAUGAUUAAUUUUAGAUCUUUUGUCUUUUCUAAUGUAUGCAUUCAUUGCUAUAAUUUCCCUCUAAGCACUGCUUUUGUUGCAUUCCACAGUUUGGAUAAGCUGUGUUUUUAUUUUAAUUUACUUCAAAAUAUUUUAAAAUUGUUCUUAAGAUUUCUUCUUUGACCUAUGUGUUAUUUAGAAAUGUGUUCUUUAAUCUCCAGGUAUUUUGGAAUUUUCCAGCCAUCUUUCUGUUACUGAUUUCUAGUUUAAUUCCACUGUAGCCUAAGAGCAGACAUUGUAUGAUUUCUGUUCUUUUAAAUUGGUAAAAUGUAUUUUAUGGCCUAGAAUGGGCUCUAUCUUGGUGAAUGUUCCAUAUGAGCUUAAGAAGAAUGUGUAUUCUGCUGUUUUGAGAUGAAAUAGUCUAUAGAUAUCCAUUAUAUUCAGUUGAUUAAUGGUGCUAUUGAGUUCAACUAUGUCCUUACUGAUUUUCUGGCUGCUGGGUCUGUCCACUUCUGAUAGAGGGGUGCUGAAAUAUCCAACUAUAAUAAUGGAUUCAUCUAUUUCUCCUGGCAGUUCUAUCAGUUUUUGUCUCAUAUAUUUUGACACUCUAUUCUUAGGUCCAUACAUGCUAAGCAUUGUUAUGUCUUCUGGGUGAAUUGACCCCUUGAUCACUAUGUAAUGCCCCCUCUAUCCCUGAUAACUUUCCUUGCUUUGAAAUCUGCUCUGUGUGAAAUUAAAUGUAGCUACUUCUGCUUUCUUUUGAUUAGUGUUAGCAUGGCAUAUACAUUUUCCAUCCAUUUACUUUUAACUAUAUGUCUUUGGAUUUAAAGUGGAUUUCUUGUAGCUAAUAUGUAAUUGAGCCUUAUCUCUGAUGAUUUCUGUCUUUUAAUUGACGCAUCUAGACCAUUGACAUUCGAAGUGACUAUUGAUAUAAUUAUAUUAAUAUUUGCCAUAAUUUUUAAUGUUUCUAUUUGUUGCUCUUGUUCUUUGUUCCUAUUUGUGUCUUCCACUUUUUUUCUGAACUUUGUUGUUUAAUUGAGCAUUUUAAAUAAUUUUCUAACUUUCUUAGCAUAUUAAUUCUUUUUUUUUGUUACUUUUUUUAGUGGUUGCCCUAGAGUUUGAAAUACACAUUUACAACUAAUUCAAGUCUGUUUUCAUAUAACACUUUGUCAUUUCACAGUGUGAGUACCUUAUAGAAACAAAAUAAUCUUGAUUUCUUCCUUCUUAUUUCUUUUGUUUUGCUGUCAUUCAUGUCACUUAUACAUAAGCAUACAUAGCUCUCAUUGUAUAUGUUAAAUUUACCAAUAUUUGAAUAUAUUAAUAUUAAACAUGUAUAUUAAAUAACUAUAAAGCACAAUAAUCAAAAACAUUGUGGCUAUUAAUAUUUUGAACAAAUGUAUCUGUUAUAUCAGUUAAGAAUGAAAAGCUUUUUAAAAAUUUUUUUAAUCAAUGUUUAUUUUUGAGAGAGAAAGAGAGCACAGGUGGGGGAGGGGUAGAGAGAGAGGGAGACACAGAAUCUGAAGCAGGCUCCAGGCUCUGAGCUAGUAGCACCACAUGGGGCUUGAACUCACAAACCGUGAGAUCAUGACCUGAGCUGAAGUCGUACACUUAACCAGCUGAGCCACCCAGGAGCCCAAGAAUAAAAAAGCUUUUAUAACAUAUUUUUAUUUUAUCACUUAUUUCUUCUCUGAUUCUGUUACUUUCUUUGUAGAUCUGAGUUUCUGACUUUUAUCACUUUUCUUCUCUAAAGGACUUCUUUUAGCAUUUCUUGCAAGGCAGGCCUGUCAACAACAAAUUCUGUCAAUUUUUUUUGAGAAAAUAUUUUUCUCACUUUCGAAGGAUAAUUUCGCAGGGCACAGAAUUCUAGGUUGGUAUUUAUUUUUUCUGUCAACAGUUUAAAUAUUUUAUUUCAUUCUCUUCUUGCUUACAUAGUUUCUGAGAAGUCAGAUAUAAUUCUUUUAUAGUCUAAGUGUUCUUUCCCUCUGCUUUAAGGAUUUUAAUUUUCUGUCAUUUGAAAAUGAUCCACAUAGGUGUAGUUUUUCUAUCAUUUAUUGUUCUUGGUGUUCUCUGAGCUUCUAGAUCUGUGGUUUGGUGUCUGACAUUAAUUUGGGAAAAUUAACAGUCCCUAUUGUUCCAAAUAUUUCUUCUGUUCCUUUCUUUUUCUUCUUUUCUAGUAUUUCCAUUGUAUAUAUAUUACACCUAUUUUAGUUAUCCGAAGUUCUUGGACAUUCUGUCCUGGUUUUUUCUGUGUGUUUUUUGUUUUGUUUUGUUUCUGUUUGCAUUUUGGUUUUGGAGGUUUGUAUUGAGAUAUCCUCAAGCACGGCAUGUCUUUCUUCAGCAUAUCCAGUCUGCUAAUAAGCUUAUCAAGGGUGUUCUUCAUUUCUCUUACAGUGUUUUUUAUGUAUAGCGUCUCUUUUUGGUUCUUUCUUAGAAUGCCUGUCUCUCUGCUUCCAUUGCCUGUAUGUCCUUGUAUGCUGUUUUUAUCUGUUGGAGCCCUUAGCAUAUAAAUCAUAGUGUUUUAAAUCCUGGUCUGAUAAUUUCAACAUUCCUGCCAUAUAGGAGUCUGGUUUUGAUGCUUGGCUUAAUUUUUUCAAAAAAAUUUUUUUCUUGAUAUAAGUGACAUGAUGUGCUAGGUAAAAGAGAGUACCACAAAUGGGCUGUUAGUAAUGUGCAGUUGGGGGAGAGUUCUAAGUCCUAUGAUUAGGUCUCAGCCUUUUAGCGAAUCUUAGUUUCUCUAGGCUGUAAACCCCGCAUGUAUUUCUCACUCUUCCUCCCUCCUGCUGCCUUAUACUGAGACAAGAAGAUUAGAAUGUGUUGGGAGUUGGAUACUUCUCUUUUCUCACAGGGAAGGUUAAAGGGGGAUGGUUGAGUAUUUCCCUUCCUCCAUGUGGAAGACUAAAAAUGGCUGGGUUUUUUUCUUGUUUGUUUUGUUUUUUAAUAUUUCUCUUCCCACUGAGUUAGGCUCUGAUAAAACCUCAACAGGUUAGGCUCUGGUUAAAUAACUUCUCUGAGGGCAGACCUUGUUAGGUAGAAUAGAGCCCUCCGGCAUUUUCCAAAAUGGUUCCUUUUCCCUGCCCCUUGCUGGAAGCAUGAGAAGGAUUUUGUCUGCUGCUCACUGUGAAAACGAAGUCAAGCUCAUGGAGGUAAAACUCAGAAAUAUGUGAGGUCUCCUAUGAAUGCAUCUCCUUGGGGUUUUUAACUGUCAAGAGUUGUGCACACUGAACCUCCAGCAGUUGUCAACUACACUUCAGGUUUUCCUUCUGAGCACCUGUUUCUUUGGAGGUUUAAACUCCUGAGUUUCUGCUCAGGUUAAUCAUGAUUCUCUGUAUUCACCCAUCAAUCUCUGCAGUUUUGAGGUCAGUGGUUUGUCCUGUAACCUCACUUCUCUUUUGGAUCCAAGAAGAUUUAUUGAUUUUCUGGUUUGUUCAGCCUUUUUACUUAUUAAGAUGCAGUGGCAACUUACAAGCUUAUUAUAUGGUGGACCAAAAACUGGAAGUCAAAGAUGUUCUUUUUUUAACUUUUUUAAAAUUGUUUUUAAAUUUUAAUUCCAGUAUAGUUAACAUACAGUGUUCUAUUAGUUUCAGUAUACAAUAAAGCGAUUCAGCAAUUCUGUGAAUCUAACACCUCAAUGCUCAUCCUGACAAGUGCACUCCUUAAUCUGCAUCACCUAUUUCCCCCGUGCCCCCACCCACCUCCCCUCUGGUGACCAUCAGUUUGCUCUCUGUAGCUAAGAGUCUGUAUCUUGGUUUUUCUCUCUCUCUCUGUCUUUCCCUCCCUCUCUUUCUCUCUCAUUUUCUCCCUGUGCUCAUUUGUUUUUAAUUUUUUUAAAUUUUUUUUUUUCAACGUUUAUUUAUUUUUGGGACAGAGAGAGACAGAGCAUGAACGGGGGAGGGGCAGAGAGAGAGGGAGACACAGAAUCGGAAACAGGCUCCAGGCUCUGAGCCAUCAGCCCAGAGCCUGUGACGCGGGGCUCGAACUCACGGACCGCGAGAUCGUGACCUGGCUGAAGUCGGACGUUUAACCGACUGCGCCACCCAGGCGCCCCUCAUUUGUUUUUUAAAUUCCACAUAUGGAUGACUUUCUUUUUCUGACUGGCUCAUUUCUGUUCUAUGUUCCAGUUCAUUGAUUCUUUCCAUUGCCUUAUUCAUUCUGCUGUUAAUUUUUUUAAUUUGGUUUUUGUACUUUUCAGUUCUAAAGUUUCCAGUUGGUUCUUCCUUGUAUCUUGUUUAUUUUCUGGGGAUUUCUGUUUCUUUGUCUAGAUUUUAUAUUUUUUCAUCUAUUUCAAGUAUGUCUGUAACCUGUAAUUGAAGCACUUUUUAUGAUGAGUGCUUUAAAAUAUUUGUCAUAUCAUGUAAUUCUAACAUCUCUGUCAUCUCAGUGAGGGUAUGUAUCAUCUUUUUUUAUUAUUCAGUUCAGCAUAUUGCUGUUUCUUGUUAUGAUGAGUGAUUUUCUACUUAGACCUGGACCUUGUGGGUAUUCUGUUAGAAGACUCUAGAACUCAUUAAAACUCUGAGUUUUUUUUUUUUUUUUUAAUUUUUUUUUUUUGACAUUUAUUUAUUUUUGAGACAGAGAGAGAGAGAGCAUGAACAGGGGAGGGUCAGAGGAAGAGGGAGGCAUAGAAUCUGAAACAGGCUCCAGGCUCUGAGCUGUCAGCACAGAGCCCGACGCGGGGCUCGAACCCACAGACCGCGAGAUCAUGACCUGAGCCGAAGUUGGACGCUUAACCAACUGAGCCACCCAGGCGCCCCAAAACUCUGAGUUUUAAUUGAUGUCCUAUGAAACCCCUCUGGAAGGUGAGGGAGGUUCACAAACUCAUUACUGCCAUAUGGAGGUGGAAGUUCAGGUUUCCCACUAACCUUCCACAGACAGCAGAGUGGAGGCUCCUUGUUAAUGCUGGGCAGGGGUGGGAAUUCUGGCUUGAGUCUGAUACCUCUCUGGCUGUGGGAAAUAAAAGUUCCCCAUUAUUGUUCCUCACAUGGUCUGUACUACCUAGUGGGGGUGGCCUUGUUACCACUGGACAGUGGUGAAAGUCUUGACCCUUCACUAGGCUUCUGCUGACACCACCCUCGUGGGAAGGGGAGGUCUGUCUUGGUAUUUCUGGGUGGAGGUUGAAGUCCGGACUCCUCAUGAUAUCUCUGAUGUCACUGUUCACAGGGGUGAGAGUAACUCAUUACCAUCCAAUUGGGAUGGCAGUUGCAGCCCCUACUUAUACUUCUUGGACAUCCCCAGAUUCAGUGGGUUAAGGUGUCCUGUGGGUUAAAGUGAGUUAUAGCCUUGUCUAGGCUUUCCACUUGGCCUUCGCUGAAAUGGGUGGGGAUGGGGCCACAGUUUUACCUGUUGUGUUGGCAUAGAGUGAUUAUUGUCUAAAAGUUUUGUCUUUGUAGUAUUCCCCUUUCUUGGUCCUUUGUUUAGAGAGAGUUGACUUUUGUCUGCGCUUGCUGGCAUUUCCAGACUGCCAGCUUCUUCAGCUCCUACUCUGAGAUAUAUGAGGCCAAAAGGUGACCAGAGAACUCAACAACAGUGUGUCAUUCCUUGGGUCCUCUAGUUCCUAGUCAGUAUCCCUUCUUCCAUCAUUGGGAAUUUUAUGUUUAUUUUAUAUAUAAUUUCUAGAGUUUUUCGUUGUACUUAGGGGAAUAGGUUAAAACAUAUCUUUUCUGUCUUACCAGAACUGUCCAUAUACUUUUAGUAAUACUUAAACUUUCCAUAUACUUCAAAGUAUGGUUUUCAUAUUCUCCUCUUCCAGACUAGUAGUUCCUUAUUAAAUAGCUAAAUAUUAAUAGCUCCUUAUCAGUAUUUCUAAAACUACAAGCUGUGGCCCACUGAUGAGUCAUAAAAUUGAUUUGAUAGGUCAUGACCAGCAUUUUAAAAAAUGAAAUAAAAUAUAAUAGAGUGGAAGAUAAAGUACCCCAUACACAGCAAGGGGAAUAAUUGUGUCAUCAUAUUUUUGAUUGCUCUGUGUGUGUGCACACAUGUAUGUGUGAAUACUGUGUUGCAAAGUAACAUGUAUUUCUUAUCUGUAGGUUAGUCAACAAAGUUUGAAAGCCAGUCACUUACAUGGCAAAGAAUGGUGAGAGGGAGAGGAGAGAAUUAUUUAAGCUACAUUAGAUACAGGCCCACAGGCACUCGUUGGGUUAGGGGAUUGUAUGUUAGCUCGGUACAGAUUGGACAGAAGUGCUCUCUGCCCCAGAAGGACUUGCCUGUAGGUUGAAAGGAGGAGAACACAGUGUCACUGUUGGCCCUGAACCCAGGUUCCUUCCCACAGCCUGAACUUGGCAGCAAGUAGGUUCUUACAGGGAAUGUUUGGAGGAGACUCCUUUGUACUCCAGACAUGGAUUCAUCCAAGCAGAUUUUCUUAGGAAAAGAAAGUAGAUUAGUACCGUCCACUCCAGCCCCAGACACCUGCAUGUCUGAGUUAAAAGCAAAGUCUUGCUGGGUACUUCUUGGGCUCUGCUGACACUUGAGUGAGGCCAGGUCAGUAGGGAGAGACAGGAAACCAGAACACUGGUGGAUAAUCCUCAGGGCUGUUCCUUGGUGGGGAGAGUAAAAAAUAAAUUUCCCAAAACAAAAUAGUAGAACUUCAAGACCUGUGUUACUGAAGGAUAAGCACAAGAGGUUGGAUAUAAAUCUGGUAAAUAUAAAAUGGCCAGAACACCUUAAAUUUCCAUGGAGUGCUCCAUAUUGUUUUCCUUUAGCAGACUCUUUGGAAGCUAUUAACUCAUGUGAUCUCAUACUAGAUGAAUUGUAUGUGUCCUAGAGAUUCUAACAAUGAAUCUUGAUUGCCUGUUUUGGGCCAGGCUCAAUGCUAGGCACUUUUACGUGGGUACUGUUAUGGACUCCUUCGAAUACCCCUGUGAACAAGUGUGAUUAGCCCCAAUUCACAGAUGAGAGUGAUGAGACUUAAAGAAGUUAAGUAAUUUGUCAAAAAUUUUGUAAGUGGCAGAGUCUGGAUUUAGACCAGGUGAACAGAGCUCAGGUCCAGCAUGCCUUUUACUGCACUACAGUUGCUUUUGUGAAAUGAGGCCAUGAGAGACUGCAACCAGUCUCCCUGAGAAUGAAGAGGCCCAAAUAUUUUUUAAAGGUCUACAGGACCUACUGUUGAUAUGUAGGCAGUGAAAAGGCUUCAUGAUAUAGGACUCUUUCUGCAGCUUGACUAUUUAAAGAAAAUGAAUCAUCGUCCCUAAAACAAAUUUUACUGGUUAAAAAGAGAUCACCAUGAAAUCUACCAGACCAUAAAACAAAAUGUGAAAUAUGACAGGAGAUAGAAGCAAUUUCAUCUAAUACUGAAUGGUGUAUUUUCAGAAACAGCUGUAAAUUAAAUAAAGGAGCACAUAUUUGAAACUGUUUAAGCCUUUAACAAAUAUUUGGGACAGUGAAGCUGUUAUGGGAACUUACUGUCGGUGAUAAAAGAACCAGUAGAGAUAAAUUCUGGUUAAUAAAUCCUGUCAUUUUGUCAAUGGAGUAGAAAGUACUUUCAAUAAGAGGUUCAUGAUGCAGGACACAUUCCAGAAACCCUGUCUUCAACAUCUGGAGUAGGUGGCAUGGUCUAAACCCACAUAUCAGCCUGCUGUUACCAUUUCUGUUCUCCUCUAGUGUUAAAACAACCAAAGAAAAUCAAAACAGAUACCUGAACAAUCCCUACCUCAGCAUCAGAAAUAGCAAAGUGGUUCCUGAGCAGAUUAAUAAAGACAGUACUAAGGGCUGAAGUGCAGACUGAGCAAUACAGGUAGAAACCUUAAUAAUUGACUCUAUGUCAGCUCUGAGUGGCUAUAAAGGAUUCUUUGGGGACAGUGUUUUAUAAGGCAACACAAUUGACUGAAUCAGCUAGACCAGCUCUCUUAGCCGAGUUAGGGUGGGGGUGGUGGUUGGGAAGACUUGAACGUCUAAAUCAGGUGCAUUAUUCACUAUGCAGAGGUUUAAUUAAAAAGGGGGGAAAAUCAUAUGCUGUAACCUUCUGUAGGAAAAAUGCCUUUUUUUAAAACCAUCGUUCCAGUGACACCUGGAUCAUUACAGUGAAGAAUUUAAAAUCUAAUCACCCACAGGGUAUUUACACAUGUUAUCACAGGAGCUUGGAGAGCAAAUCAGGAUAGACCUAGGUGCUUUUUAUUUAACCUGCAGUCAGUCUUGUCUUUUCAGUUCCUCAGAUGCAAAUACAAUAUCAUUAUGGAGGUAACUCAAUUUACAUAGAUGUAUUCCUGAAAACCAGAUGUGCUGUGUGAAAGCCAAAUUGUUGUGGAUCAAAUUACGUUUUAUAUCCUAAGGGAACUUGUUAUUUAAGCAUCUGUGAUGCUUGCUAUGACUUAAAGCAUUGGCAUUUAUAGGCCAAAUGGUUGUCUCUGUUCUAAGAUGGUGUGUCUGUGUUACAGUCAGGGUCAUGUUAGGUAGGCUAUGCUGUGGGAAAAAAUAAGUGUCAUUGACUUAAUGCAACAAAGGUUGAUUUCUUAUUUUUAUCAGAAUCUGAUGCAGGUUGAACGUGCCCCCACCCCCCCACCACCCCAUGCUGCUGUCUUCCAGGUACCCAGGGACUCCGGGACUCCCAAUGGUUUCAUUCUUGCAACUCUAACAUUUCAGUGUCAUAUGACCACAAAUAGAUGCACAUAGGCAGAAAAGAUAGCAAGGUGAGUGCCCAGGAAGUCAAAAAUAGUUUGGUGACCACCCUAGCAUUUGCCACUGUGUGAUUGCUUCUGUGGGUUUUGGAAGCAAUGAUGAGACUUUCUGGAAUAGCCAAAUGAUUUUCAGAGCUCUUGGUACAUUACACAUUCAGUAAUACUUUUUGUGUACAAAUAUAACUGUUCAUUAAAAUAAUGAUAAAGGCCAUCUCUUAGAAAAGAUACAUUGGCCAUGAGAUUCAGGAACCAGAGGAAGAAGAUCCAUGGGAAAGGAGUACUGGCCCUCACAAGGAAUGUUGGCACAAAAUGCGCUCUGUGCGGUAUCAUUAGUCAUAAGUGCAUGCUUUCUAGUUUCCUUUGCCUUGACUUUAUAGUCACCUCCUGGAUUAGUCUCAAAUUGCUCUUCUGACUCUGGUCCUCUUGUUUACUUGUGCUUGGCCUGCAUGUUCCUGACUUGGUCCCCAACCUCAACCUACAACCCUGAUCCUUCCCUUCAUUCUACAUCCUUGAUUUGUAAUUGCCUUCCCAGUAUCUGACCAUUGUCCAUAUUCUGCUCAUAUCACUGCUCUCAGAUAGCAUAUGCUGCUGUGUUCCCUAAAGCCUGCUCAAGGACAUCACUCUGGCAAUUCUUCCAUUCUCCUCCAUCACCAAACUUCCCCUCUCCACUGAAUAUCCCCUCUCUACUGCAUUCAUUGUUUCUCCCAUCCUAAAAGAAAACUCCUCUUGACCUCAGUUCCCAUUCUAGUAACUAUUUAAUCUCCUUAUUACUUCAAAGCAUGUUAAGUUUUAAAAAUUAAUUUAUCUCCUCCCACUCUCACCUGAAAGUACCUUAAUCAGGCCUUCACUACUGCUAUUCUCCUGAAACUGUAUUUGUCAAGGUCACCUUUGAUUUCAGUGUUGCUAAAUCCAAUAGUUACAUUCAGUCUUCAUCUUACUUAAAAUCUCAACAGCACUUGACACACAGCUGUUCACUCUCUUCUCUGUGAAACUCUUUCUCUUGGCUUCCAAGAUAAUCACACUUGCUUGGUUUUUCAUCUACUUUUAUAAAUGUUCUUUCUCAGUCUUUUUAUUUUCCUUUUUCCCCUGUUUUACCCCUUAUUUCCUCAUCUAAAGGAACUGAGUACCGCAGUGCUUAGACCUUGGAUCUCUUCAUUUUUUCUAUCCAUUGUCACUUCAUAGGUGAUCUAGUCUAGAUUUAUGGCUUUAAAUAGCAUCUCUGUGUUGAUGUCAUCCAAAUUCUUCAACCCAGUUGUCUUCUCUGAGAUUCAUACAUCCUACUGCCCACUUGACAUCUAUACUUGGAUGUCUAAUAGGGGCUGCAAAUUUAACAUCUCCAAAGCUAAGCUCUGGAUCUUUCUCUAAACCAGGUUUUCUUACUCUCUUCUCCAUUUCAUUUCAUGGAACUUCAUGUUUUUAAAUUGCUAGGAUAAAAAAAAUCUUGAUACUCAGCUUUAACUCUUCCCUUUUUCUCAACAACAGUCAUUGAUCCAUCAGAAAAUCCUGACAAAUUCUUCUAAAAUUUGACCACUUGUCACAAUUCCCAUUAUGUCUCACUUAUGUUAUCACAUAACUCCCUAUCUGAUGUUUUGCCUGUGUCUUUGUUCUCCCUGCCUCCCUCUAAAUCUGUUCGUACCAAAGCAUCCAAAGUGACCCUAUGAAAAUAUAAAUCAAGUCAUAUCAUCCUUCUGCUUAUUACUGUCAUUGGAUUCCAUUGUCAUCAGACUGAAACCCAAAGUCCUCAUGAUCACCUGUGGGGCUCUGUGUGACCUGGCUCCUGGCUCCUGGCUCCUGGCUAUUUCUGUUAUUACUCUUGCUCUUUCCACUUCAGCCACUUUGCAUAUGCCAGGCAGUCUUCCCCUUCUAGGUCUUGACCUUGCUGUUUCCUCUGCCAGGUGUGCUCUUUUCCCAGCUAUUCACAUGGUUCACUCACUUUCCUCAUAUCUUUACUUAAGUGCAGCAUCUCUGAUCACUUCCUGAUCACUUAUUGAAAAAUUUCAAUUAAUUCCCUGAUAUUUUCUGUGCCUCUACCAUGAUUUAUUUUCCCUCUUGCCAUAACAUAUUCUUUUUUUUAAUUUUUUUCUAAUCUUUAUUUAUUUUUGAGAGACAGAGUGUGAGCAGGGAAGGAGCAGAGAGGGAGACAGAGAAUCCAAAGCAGGCUCCAGGCUCUGAGCUGUCAGCACAGAGCCCGACGCAGGGCUGAAUCUCACGAACUGCGAGAUCAUGACCUGGGCCGAAGUUGGACACUCAACUGACUGAGCCACCCAGGCACCCCAACUUUUUUUUAAGUUUAUUUAUUUUGAGAGAGAGAGAGUGUGAGGGGAGCGGAGCAGAGAGAGAAGGAGAGGAAAGAAUCUCAAGCAGGCUCUGCACUGUCAGGAGAGACAAGGCUUGAUCUCAUGAACCAUGAGAUCAUGUCCUGAGCCAAAAUCAAGAGUUGGAUGCUUAACGAACUGAGCCACCCAGGUGCCUCCAGACAUACCAUAUUCUUAAACUAAUUUUAUUUUUAAAUUUUAUCUUCCCCAUUGGAGUAGAAGCUCCAUGAGGGUGAGAUAUUUGGCUGAUUUGCUUGCUCUUGUGACUCAAACAAUGCCUGAGAUAUAGUAAGUGCUCAAGAAACAUUUGUUGAAUGGAAGAGCAAAUCAGUGAUAGAUUGUGUUCCCAAAGGUAAUUUGAAAUUCUCCUAUUGAGAACAUUGUUCAUAUUUUCCCACAGAAGUAAUGAUAUUCAUGGCAAGUCAGUCCUAUGCCAUUGGCUCAAAAUCUAAGUUCUACAGUAUGCCUAAAACGAGGGGCUUUUGUUGAGGUGUCAUACAAUGUCCCCUAGCUAGCUUUUACCACUGAGACAUACUUGGAAGCAACUGAUCACAGUAUAGUGUUGUGAGGGCUAUAAAAGAGGAAUUGCAGAAUCGAAUCCAGUGGGAAGCUCAGAAGAAGGAGGAGUGAUUUUGGAAUUGGAGUUAACUUCACAAAAGAAGUGGGUCUGUAAGAAUGGAUGAAAGUUUGCCUUAGAAAAGGAGGGAUAUUUAUUUAUUUAUUUAUUCAUUCAUUUAUUUAUUUAUUUAUGAAUAUAAUUUACUGUCAAAUUGAUUUACAUACAACACCCAGUGCUCAUCCCAACAAGUGCCUCAAUGCCCAUCACCCAUUUUCCCUCUCCCCCACCCCCCCAUCCACCCUCAGUUUGUUCUCUGUAUUUAAGAGUCUCUUGUGGUUUGCCUCCCUCCCUCUCUGUUUGUAACUAUUUUUUCCCCCUUCCCUUCCCCCCAUGGUCAUCUUCUAAGUUUCUCAAGAUCCACAUAUGAGUGAAAACAUAUGGUAUCUGUCCUUCUCUGACUUAUUUCAUUCAGUAUGAUACCUUCCUUCCAUCCACAUUGCUGCAAAUGGCAUGAUUUCAUUCUUUGUCAUUGCCAAGUAGUAUUCCAUUGUAUAUAUAAACCACAUCUUCUUUAUCCAUUCAUUAGUUGAUGACAUUUAGGCUCUUUCCAUAAUUUGGCUAUUGUUAAAAGCACUGCUGUAAGCAUUGGGAUACAUGUGUCCCUAUGCAUCAGCACUCAAAAAGGAGGGAAAUUUAAGAGGCAGAAGGAAUAGUAUAUCAGAUAUCAUAAGUAUAAAAGUAUAUGGUAUAUUCAUAAAAAGAACAAAUUUUAUGUGACUGGAAUAUUAAGAGAGGCAGGUGAGUUGUAGAAAUGCCAUGAGCCAUGUUAGGGAACUGAGAUAUACUCUAUCAGUGCUAAGAAAGGUUUCUGGAUUGAAUGGAGUUUUGGAGACUGAAAAGAAGCAAAAACUCAUUGCUUCCAUAAGAAAUUAUCUUAACACUUUGUGGCUUAUCAGUUGUUGGGUUCUCAAAUUUCCUUUGGUUUCUAACUAAUUCAAAAAAUUAAUUGAUUGAGCUACUUCAAAGUUUAGGUAAUUACUAGUAUCUAAAAUCUUAUGUACUUCUAAUUCACUGUGAUAAGUAAUAUGCUCACUUUUACCUUAUUUUCAGAAUGUCUGACCUCUGGAAGUCCAAAUAGGAAUUUACUGCGUUUUACCCAAAUAUCAUCUUUAUGAUAUCCACAUACAUUUUGGUUAAAUACUGGCAUGUUAUCUUUAUGAUCAUAGCUACUCAAUAAAGUCAAAUUUGAAAUUUAGAAAGAAACUGGUGACCUGGAUAAAGGCCUAUCAAAAAUGCAGGUGCCAGAAACCUGGGAGAGAUAGCCAAGGGAAAAGACAAAGGAGUCAAGAUUCAAAAUGAUCCUGAGCCUGAAUCCUGAAUGCCGAGUCUACACCAAGAAGAAAAAAUUUAAAUGCAGAAAAGCUUAAUGUCCUGAGUGUAGGUUCAGAAAUUUAAUUAUGUGAGUCAAGAUUGCGGAGGGGGGGCUUGAGCUGGCACCUGAUAGGAAGCUAACUAAGUACCAGGUACCAUUCUGAGAGCUCUCUGUAAGUGAAACCAUUUAAUCCUAACGGCAUCCCUAUGAAUAAGGGAAGUUAUUUUCCCCAUUCCACAGGCACCAGAAUUCUCCCAAUGUCAUAUACCCACAGAAUGGUAGAGGUAGGGUUCAACUGACCUGGUAACUACUGUGCUGUACUCCGUGGUAGCAGUUCACGCGAACAUUUUAGAAUAACAGGGCUUGUAGGAAAUUGAGAGAUCAGGAUAUUCAUGGAUUCUUUGCGCUUUCUGGGCAAUGCCUUUAUAGGUCCCCUCCAAGAGCAGUGGGGUGAGUAACUGGGUGGGCAGAGAUCCAAUGAGGCAAACAAAACCAGCACACUUCCAUUGGUUCUGUUUCCCUGUUGGGGAUACAAAUAUGGUUCCAUUUGAAGUAAGAGUUCACACAACUCUUUUAAAGAAGUGCCUUUGACCUUAUAGCCUAAGCACUUGUAUUGUUCAUGAGGAUGCCAUGGCCAAACUAAUGAGUGUAAUAUGAACUAACAGUGAAAGGGGCCUUCUUGAACAUAAAACCCAUUUUUUUUAGUAUGAUUCCAUUUUUUAGAAAAAAAUUAUUGUGGUAAGAACAUUUAAAGUGAGAUCUAACCUCUUAAAUUAUUAACUGUACAGUGCAUUAUUGUUGGCAAUACGUACAAUGCUAUACAGCAGAUCUUUAGCACUUGUUCCUCUUGCUCAACUGAAUCUUUAUGCCUGUUGAUUUGUAACUCCCUAUGUCUCCCUGCCUGGCUCACUUGGAAACUACCAUUCCACUCCUUGAUUCUGUGACUUUGACUCUUUCACAUAUUUCAUAUAAGUGAAAUUAUGCAGUAUUUGUCUUUCUCUGAUGGGCUUAUUUUACUCAGCAUAAUGUCCUGAAGGUUCAUCUAUGUUGUCACGCAUGGCAGAAUUUCCUUCUUUUUAAAGGUGGAAUAGUAUUCCAUUCUAUGUGUAUCCCAGUUUUCUUUAUCUAUUUAUUUGUCAAUGGACAUUUGGGUUUUCUUCCCACAUCUUGGUGGUUAUAAAUAAUGCUGCAAUGAACAUAGGAUAAAGCUAUUAUCGCUUUGAGAUUCUAAUUUCAAUUCAUUUAGAUAAAUACCCAGAAGUAGGAUUGCUGGAUCACAUAGUUCUAUUUUUAAUUUUACAUACUGUUUACCAAAGAAGCUGCAUCAUUUUUGUUCCAACUAACAGCGCACAAAUAGUCUAAUUUCUCCACAUCCUUGCUAAUGCCUGUUAACUUUUUUUGAUAAUAACCAUCCUGAUAAGAGUGAAGUAACAUCUUACUGUGGUUUUGAUUUGCAUUUCUCCCAAGAUUAGUGACAGCAUUUAAAAAAAAAUGUACCUAUUGGCCAUUUGAAUGUCUUCUUUGGAGAAAUGUCUAUUCAGGGCUUUGGCAACAUUAAAAAGGGCAUUUGUGUUCCACAUACCAGAGAUGACUGUUCUUUCUUGCACCACAUUGGAAUAAUGUACUUAAUUCAGGGGUUGCAUUGUAACUGAGCUACAGAGUGGUCCCCAGAAAGGCAGACAGCAUGCUGUGCGGUCUGGAACAUACAUAGAAAAAGACUGAAGUGGUUAAGGAUGUCUAGCCUGGAAAAGAAGUGAAGGAGAAGGCUGACAGUUGUUUCAAACAUGAAGGGCCAAUUUGUCCGAGAAGGAAAAGUUUGAGGAAUAAAACGCUUUGGUCUCGAGAUAAACAUAAAGAGUGCUUUAAUAGUAGAAUUCCAGAAAUGGAAAAGGCAUCUCAUGAGGUAGUAAGGUCCCUGUCGUGAGAUAUAUUCAAGCCAGGUGGUGAGCACUGUAGAGAUGCUGCUGAAGUGGUUCCUCCAAUGGUUAGGAGGUUUGACAAGUUAGCGUCUGAGAUCACUUUAAACUGUAAGAACAUAUGAGUCUAAGAGGUCCUCAGUCCAAAGGGUAAGCCGUUAAAUCUUUACACUCCAUUUGAUGUUACAAAUACCAUUUUAGAUUAUAUUCUUUAUCCAAGGUCAUUUACCAUAACCCUUUAUAUAAAUCAAUAGAUGAUAUGAUUUUAGCAAUUCCCAGCUGAUCUAACAAUAUAUCAAUUCUAAACAUAGAAUACGCAUUAGAUUUGGUUCACAGAUCAAAGAGUUUUAGAGCUAUGAGCUAUGAAGGCCUUAGAGAUUGUCUGAUUCAAUCCUUUUAUUGCAGGAUGACAGAAUUGAAGCAAAGAGGCAGCGUGUCUUCUCCUGCCUUACCUAGGUCCCUGCAGAGGCAUAAGGAAAUGAACAGACUCAACCCCGUCCAUUUCUAAGCCAGUAUAAACUAGGGCAGGACCCUUAGCAACAGUCUUUGGCUCACAUCUGGGAAGGCCUAGAAUUUGUUGAAUAAUGAUAGUCGUGGUUUAUCAAGUGCCAGUUCUGUAGCAGACACUAUUAUGGGUGUUUUGCAAACACUGUGAAACUUAAUUCUAUGAGAGCAGGAUUAUUAUCUUUAUAUUACAGAUGAGGAAAGUGAGGCUCUGUGAUUUACCCCAGGUCACAGAGCUAGUAAGGUGGCAGACAUCUGAUUCUAAUACGCAAAGGUUUAACCCUAAAGCUUAUGUUCUUACCCACUUCAUGUUGCCAUUCAGGCAUAGCCCAUAUCUGCUCACCUUUCCUGGUGCACUUUCUUUGCUCACCAGAUUGGAUCUUCCUAAUACAGGCAUUCUCCUGGAUCAUGCCUGAUGUAACUACUCCUUAUGGACAUAGGGUAUGGAGCCAUUGACCUGCUCCUCAGGACCAGGUUUGGCAGCCAGGCCAUCACCAUACUUUUGAGGGUGUAAUUUUUCAUAGUUUUCACCUUGUGUUAGGACAGGUGAAGUAGCUUGCUCAAGGACACAAACAGUAUAAAAGAGAUCUGGGACAUGGGCCCCAGAAUUCUAUUACUCAGCAUAGUGCACAUUCUUCUAUCCUUCAUUCUAUCUCCCCAUAAAGCUGUAAAUAAGACAUAUACUUUUCGUUUUUUAAUUUGAGCUUCACAGACUAAUACAAAGUAAAAAGCCAGGAAUUAUGUUCUGUUGUCUUCUGGCACUGACUAUUGGCUGUGAAGCCAUCCAGGAUAAUAUGGGUUUCUAGUAUCCUUGUAGACAACUCAAUAUUUUUCUCCCUUGUAUAGCGUCAGUCUUCAGGCUCAAGCAUUUUCCAAUUAAUUAGAGAGUUUUUAAAGUAUUCUGUACCAUUUGGUGUAUUCUAUUUGUUACAAACAAUUGAUUAUGUGUAUGGUUGAUCUCUUUUGUCUUCCAUAGCUAUCAGCUACUCUUGAAUCAUUUUUAAAAAUUUUUAAUAUUUAUUUAUUUUUGAGAGAGAGCGAGACAGAAUGCAAGCAGGGAAGGGGCAGAGAGAGAGAGACACAACACACACAGAAUCCAAAGCAGGCUCAAGGCUGUGAGCAGUCAGCACAGAGCCUGAUGCGGUGCUUGAACUUGUGAACCAUGAGACCGUGACCUGAGCUGAAGUCGGAUGCUUAACUGACUGAGCCACCCAGGUGCCCCUCUUGAAUCAUUUUACUAAAAGAUUUCUAUUCAUUCCUCUCUUAGUUUCUUUAUUUAUAUUUAGAAACUACUUAAAACACUUGCAGAAUGUUGAAGUUUUAACUCCAAUAGGGGUUAGUCUAUUUCUCCUUUCAGUUCUGUCAGUCAUUGCUUUAUGAAUUUUGAAGCUCUUUUAUUAGAUAUGUGCACAAUUAGGAUUGUUCUCUCUUCUUCAAGUUCUUACCAUUAAAAAAGUCCUUCCUAAUUCAUGAUAAUAGUCCUUGUUCUGAAGUCCCCUUUUCUGAAAUUAAUAUAGCUAUGUUAGAUAUAUAUUUUUUAAUUUUUUAAUGUUUAUUUUUGAGAGAGUGUGUGAAUGGAGGAGGGGCAGAGAGGGGGACACAGAAUCUGAAAUGGGCUCCAGGCUCUGAGCUGUCAGCACAGACUGAGCCACCCAGGUGCCCUAACUAUAUUAGAUAUUUUAUUCUGAUUGAUAGAUAUCUUUUUUCAUUGUUUUACUUUUAACCGAUUCAUCUAGUUUAGUUUUCAGUUAACAUUAGCAUGCUCUUUUUCUGUUCUCUUACUUUUGAGAUACCUGUAUUGUACUUAAAGUGAGGUUGUUGGGGCACCAGGGUGGCUCAGUCAGUUAAGCACCUGACUUCGGCUCAGGUCGUGAUCUAACGAUUUGUGAGUUCGAGCUCCCUAUUGGGCUCUGUGCUGACAGCUUGGAGUUUGGAGCCUGCUUCGGAUUCUGUGUCUCCUUCUCUCUCUGCCCCUCCCCCACUUGUGUUCUGUCUCUCAAAAAUAAAUAAAUGUAAAAAUUUUUUUUUAAAUAAAUAAAGUGAGGUACUUGGGGUGCUUGGGUGGCUCAGUUGGUUAAGUGUCUGACUCUCGAUUUUGGCUCAGGUCGUGACCCCUGCAUCUCGCUCUGUGCUGACAUGACAACAUGGAGCCUGCUUGGGAUUCAUUCUCUUCUCUCUGCCCCUCCUGCUCACAGUCUCUCUCUUUCAAAAUAAAUAAACAUUAAAAAAAAAAAACAAGGUAAGUUUCUUAUAGGCAACAUAUAGUUGGGAAAUUUUUUAAUACACUGUAUUUCUGUCUUGUGAUUAGUGUAUUUGAACUGCUUAUAUUUACAUUAUAUAUUACACUAAGUCUGCUCUGAUAAUCUGCUUGUUUUUUUUUUAAGUUUUAUUUAAAUUCUAGUUAGUUAAUAUACAGUGUAAUAUUUCAGGUAUACAAUAUAGCGAUUCAGCACAUCAUACACCCCCCGUGCUCAUCAUGGCAAGGGUCGUUAAGGAUCAUCCUUAAUCUCCAUCACCUGUUGCAUCUAUUUCCUCACCCAUGCCCUUCUGGUAACCAUCAGUUUGUUCUCUAUACUUAAGAGUCUGUUUCUUGGUUUGCCUCUCUCUUUUUCCCCCCUUUUGCUCAUUUGGUUUUUUUAAUUAAAUCCCACAUAUGAGUGAAGUCAUAUGGUAUUUGUUUCCCUUGUCUCUGUUUCUUCUUGUGAGUUGCAAUGUUCUGUAGAUAUCAGAUCAAGUUGGUUGCUAGUAUAGCUCAAGUCUUCCUUGAUUUUUAUUUUUUCUGUGCUGUCUGAAGUCUCUACUUUUCUGUAUUCUCCUUUGCAUUUCCGUGUGAAUUUUGGAGUCACUUUUGCAUUCCUUGAAAGACUGCUAAUGUUUUAAUUGAGAUUGCAUAAAUCUCUAUAUAUAAUGUAGGACAACUGAUAUUUUCAUGGUAGAGAGUAUCCUUAACUAUGAAUAUGGUACAAAUUUACAUUUAUGUAGUUCUCUUUAUUGUCUUUCACUUUUGGUUUGUACUUUCUCCAUAAAAACAUUGCCCACGUUUUGAUAUAUUUAUGCCCAGGUACUUUAUAUGUUUUUAUGGUACUUCAAAUAUUUAAAACUAUUUUCUGUUUACUGCUGUUACAGAGAAGUAGAAUAUCUGUAUAUGAAUUUUAGUCUAGCUGCUGCCAUAUUUUCUUACUAAUUCUAGGAAUUUGCAAAAUCAUUUGGAUUUUCUGUGUAGAUAAUCAUAUCAUCUGUGAAUAAUGACAGUUUGUUUCUAUGAUUCCAAUCUUUAUAGCUUUUAUUUUCUUUAAUAAUAAUAUAUGGAUUAGGCUCUCCAGUGCUAAAUAGGAGUUAUUUUAUUAGGAAACUUUAUCCUGUUACUGAUUCUACAGAAAAUAAUACUAACAAUUCUCUAUUGAGGUGAUGUUUCUUCCAGGUUUUUGGUAAGAUGUCAUUUACUAGGUUUAGGAAGAUACUGUAUACAUGUACUGUUCAUGUGUGUCUUCAGAAUUAAGUUCAUACUAAUCCCAUAAAAUGAACUAAUGCCAAAAAUUGCUCUGGAGAUUGGGGAUAUAGCACAGAACAAAACAGAUAAAAAUCCUUACCUUUAUUUCCUUAUGUUUUGUUGUUCCUUGAAUAUUUGGCAGAAUUUACCUAUAAAACGUUUUGAGACCAGUGUUUACUUGGUAGAAUAUUUAAAAAUUGCUGGCUCAGUGUCUUGUAUGACCAGUGUUUUUCUAUUCUUUUUGGGCCAUUUUUGAUAAAUGAUUCAGGAAUUUGUGGAUUUUCUCUACAUUUUAACAUACACUGGUAUACGAUUAAUGAUAAUUGAUAUCGUUUAUCUCUUUGCUGUAUUACUGGUUGUAUCCCUCUUUCAAAUAUUAUUACUCUCUUUUUAUAUCUUUAUCUUAAUUUUAUUUUUUGUACUUUUUGCAUAGGUAAUGUAUUUAUGUGGUUAAAAUUCAGGAGGCCAAGAAGGAUAUACAGUGGAAAAUCUCUCUCUCUUUCUUGUUUUUCUGCCAUUAAAUUACCCUCUAAUUACUGUUAUCAAUUUCUUGCAUAUCCUUCUAGAUAAGGAUACAUAUAUGUAAAAAUAAGUAUAUAUAAGUAAAUAGUUCAACACUUUCUUAAUUGGAAAUAUGCUUUUGUUCCUCUAAACUCUUGCACUCAAUAAUAUAUGGAAUAGUAAUUUUCCAUAUCGGGAAAGAUCAAUGCUUUCAUUUUCUUUUGUGGAUACAUAAUAUAAUCCUAUAUGGAUAUAUGUAGUUUAUUUUAUCAGGGUUGUUUUUUUUUUUUUUUUUGGUCAAAGGACCUAAAUUUUAUACUAUCUUAUGCUACUAACUUUGGACAUUUGUCAUUCUACACUUGUGCAGAUGUAUCUUAGGAUAAAUUCCUAGGAGCAAAAUUAUUAGAUCAAAGGGUACAGGAAUAUAUUUUAUUUUACUCAUUUUGGGUAAACCAAACAUGCAUGUGUGUACAAUUCAAAAGAAACAAAGGGGUAAAUGGUGAAAAAUAAAUCUUCCCCAUAUCCCUUUUGCCAAGUUCUUCCCAGAGGCAAUCACGUUUCUUUCCAGAGAUAUUCUAGGUAUAUACAAAUAUAUAUGCAUAUGUAGGAUAACUUCUGUUUCAGAUUGCGUUUCAGUUUGUGGGUAUCUAAAAGGUUUUGCUUAUUAUUUUGGCCAAAAAAGAAUUACCAGGUUUAGUGAAUCUACUUAUUUUAAGAAUCUCCUUGUUGUCUUUCAGAUUCAGCCUUAUACCUUUGGACCUCAUCAGGACAAAUAAUGUCCUCUAUUGACUUUUAUUAUGCCCACUCAUAUAUUUUAGAAGAAAGAGGAGGUAUUUUUAUGCAGUCCUUAAUUUUUGUUGUCCAGAAAUUUCAAACAUGAUACAAUUUGAAUUGUUUCCUAUCUUACACCUCCUCAUCUGAUAUCCUCUUGGGCAUGAUUUCAUCUUUCUUUUGCACCGGGCUUUCAUUUCUUGUGUGUCAUGUAUUUCUCUUUCUUGAUUUACUUCCUAGCUUUGAUGGGAUACAUUCUUUAGUAGUAUUCUGAGAAAGCGUCUGUAGCAGGAAAAAAUUUUAGAUUAUCUAUGUCUGAAAACAUCUGUACUUCUCCCAUCCAUUUAAUUGGUAUUUGGUUGGUAUAGAAAUAGAAUGUAGAAAACAUUUUCCUUUAGAACUUUGAAGUCAUUGUUUAAGUGUCUGUUAGUUUUCCAUAUUGGUAUACAGAUAUCCGAAGCUAUUGUGAUUCUCGAUCCUAUCUAUGUUACCUGUUUUUUCCCUCUAGAAGUUUUAGGAUCUUUUUCUUCUUCUCAGUGGUCUGAAAUUUCACAGCAAUAUGCCUUAGAGUGGGCUUGCUUCCAUCCAUUGUGCUGUACCCUUUUCAGUCUUGAAAAUUGUGUCUUUCAUUCUUGAUAAAUCUCCUUGAAUUAUUUCAUUGAUGAUAUUCUGCUUUAUCUUUUCUCUCUUUUUGGAUGCUGGACAUACUGAAAUGGAUUUCUAAUUAGAUUAUCUUUUUUUUCUACUCGGAAUAAUUUAUUGUCUUUUUACUUUAUGGUAAAAUUUCUUAAAUUUAUUUAGCAGUCCCCCUUCCUGAGUUUUAUUUCUGCUAUUACACAUUCAGUUUUGUUUCCUACAUGUUCCUUUUAUUCUCACAUUCUGCUAUUACUUCAUUAAAACUUUGUCUUUUCUUGUAUCUCUGAAGAUACUAAUGGUAACUUAAAACUUUUUUCCUUCCCUUUCUGAGAAAUCUUUGCUUUAUUUAAGUUGCCCCCCUCCCAUUUGUUCAGUUUUGUUUGCCUUUCAUGUUAGAGGCUUUCUUGUAUAUCUGAUAAUCUUUGGUUGUAUAUUAAUGACUGAGAGCCAGAGACUAAAAAUUUAUUUAGAAGCUCUCAGCAUUUGGUGGGUUUUCAACUUUGAAUAUCACUGUUGGCCAAAGAGUGUGAGAUGUCUUGUGGGGAAAGAAUUUUGUUAAUAACUUUGUUUCUAGUUUCCCAACUUAUCCUUUCUUUAUUAAUUACUUUCUUGUACUUUUUUGGGGUUUAUUCUCUUGUUUUAUUCUCCCUCACUUCCUGGGUUGUUUACCUUACGAGGUUUUACCCCUUCCUCUUUUCUAAGUAUUUAAAUCUAUAAAAAUUUUUUCUAAGCAUCACUUUGCCUAUGACCUACAAAGUUUGAUGACUGGUAGUUUGAUUGUGGGUCUUCGUCCUCUACCCGUGAAUUAUUUAGAAGCUUGUGUGUGUGCACACAUACAUGUGCACACCUUUGUUUUCCAUUCAUAUGUUUCUUUUUUAAAUUGCAUUGUGGUCAGAAAUAUCUGGCCUUUGUGAUAGUAAUUAUUGAGAACAGUUGCAUGUUGGAGCACCUGGGUAGUUCAGUCAGUUCAGCAUCCUACUCUUGACGUCUGCUCUGGCCAACAUCUCAUGGUCCUGAGUUCAGACCCCGACUUUGGCCCCACAUGGGGCUCUGUGCUGACAGCAUGGAGUCUACUUGGGAUUCUGUCUCUCCCUCUCCCUGCCCCUCCCCUGCUCAUUCUCUUUCUCUCUCCCCCCCCUCCCUCCCUCCUUCUCUCUCUCUCUCUUGCUCUCUCAAAUAAACUUAAAAAAAAUUUAAAAAAGGGGGAUGCCUGGGUGGCUCAGUCAAUUGAGCGACUGACUUCAGCUCAGGUCAUGAUCUCAUAGUUCAUGAGUUUGAGCCCUGCGUCGGGCUCUGUGAGGACAGCUUGGAGCCUAGAGCCUGCUUCAGAUUCUGUGUCUCCCUCUCUCUCUUCCCCUCCCCUACUCAUGCUCAGUCGCUCUCUUGCUCUCUCUCUCAAAAAUAAAUAAAUAUGUGCUCAGUUAGUAUGUGCUCAGUUUUCAUAAAUAUCCCCUGUAUGUUUGUAAAAAGAAAAGUUACCAAAUUAUUGGUUGCAUAGCCUGUAUAUAUGUCUUAUAUAACCCAAGUUUGUGUACUGUGUUGUCCAAAUAUUUCAUACUCUAUCAAUUUCUGAGAGAGGUGUGUUAAAAUUUUGCCAUACCAUUAUAGAUGUUCUUUCUCUAGGAAGUUCUUUCAUUUUUUGUUUUAUGCAUUUUAAACUGUUUUAUUCAGUAUAUUCAAAUAUAAAAUUGUAUCUUUUGGGGGAAGCAAAUACUUUUACCAUUAUGAAAUUAUUUUCUUUAUCUCUGGUAAUGCCUUAGCUUUAAAGUCUAUCUUUGCCUGAUAUGAACACAGCUAUAGGAUUUUUCUUUUGGUUUAUGUUUAUAUCAUAUAUAAUUUUUCCAUAUUUUUACUUUCAGUCUUUUGUGCCUUUAUGUUUUAGGUAUAUCUCUUAUAAAGACUUCAUAGUCUUUUUUAAAAGGUCCUUUUUGACAAUCUGUGCCUUUUAACCAGAGUUUAUUUUCUUUAUUGGAAUUACUGAUAUAUUUAGCUUUAUUUUUUCUAUUUUACCUUAUGAUUCCUUUUUGUUUUGCGUUUGCUGUGUUCUUUUUUUCCUUCCUUUCUUGCCUUUAUUUUAAUUGAUGCAAGUAUUUUUUUAUUCUCUACUGCCAUGUGUAUGUAUAUAUAUGUUUUAUUUAUAUUUUGUUUGGUUGGUUAAUAUACAGUUCAAUAUCAGUUUCAGAAGUAUAAUUCAGUGAUUCAUCACUUACAUAAAACAUUCAGUGCUCAUCACAACAAAUGCCCUCCUUAGUACCCAUCACCCAUCUAGCCCAUCUCCCACCCACCUCCCUUCAUCAACCCUCAGUUUGUUCUCUGUCAUUAAGAGUCUCUUGUGGUUUAUUUCCCUUUCUUCUCUUGUAUCCCCUACUUUCCAUAUGUUCAUCUGUUUUGUUUCUUAAAUUCCACAUCUGAAUAAAAUCUGCUUUUGAAGAUUUUUAUUUCUUUUAAGUGGCUACCUUUGAAAUUUUUAAAAUAUAUGCUUAACACAAUAUAAACUUAAUUAAUAUUUUUACCUCCCUCCCCCAAAAUAUAAGGCCUUAGAAUGGUUUAAUUUUAGUCACCUCUUACCAUUGUCUAGAUGUCCACCCUUUUAGCUCUCUUUUUUAUUAGAUCAUAAAUUAGACACUUUUUUUUAUCAUUUUAUAGAGUCAGUUUUUAUAUAAAUAUAAAUACAUAUAUAUUUACUUUUUAUUUCAGUAUAUGUGCUGCCAAAAUGAACACAAUAUGUUUACUUUUUAUUUCAAUCAUAUUCUUUCUUGUAUGUUAGACCUUCUUGCUGUUUCCUUUCUUCUUGAGACACAUGCUUUAAAAUUUUCUUUAGUAAAGAUUUAGUAGUGGUAAAGAGAUUUUUAUAGCUAAAAAUAUCUUUAUUUCAUCUCUGUUCCUGAGAUAUAGCUCAUAUUAGUGUACAACUUUAGCAUGAUGUAUUAAGCAUGAGCCCAAAUAUUCAUUUUUAUAAAAUGCAGGGUCACAUUAUUUUCAGGUUGAGACAAUUUGAUUGAACCAAACUGGCUACGGUUUCCCUAGUUGUAGCUGUAUGAUGCAAAUCUGUGUAGAUCUCAGAAUUACUUAGGCACAGUCUGGUGGCCAGAUGUGUCUAUCAGCUUAAAUAUUGAUGGGACAUUUCUGGGCUCCAUGGUAGGCUGAGAUUUCCAAGAGAGUAACCAUGAUUCUAAGGAUCUCUUAUUUAGUUGGGGAAAUUGAGAAUCAUCUUUUUUCCACUUUCCUUACCUCUUUAACCUUUGAUCUGUACAUGAUAAGAACUGGAGCGAGAGAAGGAGCCUAUCUUCAAUUGUAUUAUAUGUGUAUCUACUUAUGAAGAAAUGCAUUACUGCUUGGAGAUUUUACUGAACUUUUUGUCAUCACAGGAGAAAUUACAAUAUUAUAUUCUGAAUCCACUGCUGCUGUUGGGAUAUUAGCUAUCAAUUUAAUUACUAUGACUAUGCAAGUAAUCUCUGGUUUCUUUUGAGGUCUCUGGUUUAUUUUUGGUGUUCUGAAAUUUUACUGUGGUUAAUGUUGCAAUUGUCAAGAUUCCUAAAGUGAGAUUUCAUGUCUUUCAGCAGUUCUGGAGAAUUCUUGCUCAUUGGCAUUUGAAUAUUGGCUCUUUUUUGCCUUCUAGUUUCAGUGUCCUUCUGAAUGCUGGACUCAUUAAAUCUGUGUUUGGUCUUCUGAGUCUGUAUUCUUGAGUUUAUUGAUUUCUAUUUAAUGUUUGCUAUUUUAAUCAUAUCUCUGAGCGGCGUUUUGCGUAUUUCUUAUUUUCUAACUCUCACUUUGAUGUAUUUAUUCUGUUUAAUCCUUUCAUUGAGAUUUUUUUAAUGGAGGUGUAAUUAACAUACAAUGAGCUGCACAGUUCUUAGAUAUUCAUUUGAUGAGUUUAGACAAUGUAUAUAAUCAUUUAACAACCACCCAUAACAAAAUAGAAAACAUCACAAUUACUGCAAAAAGUUUCUUGGUCUCUUUCCAGUUACUUUUGUUUAACUUCUCAGUUACUUCAUUGUUAAUUUCAAGAAGUUAUAUUGAGUUGUUUUUAAAAUCUGCCUGGUCAUGUUUGAUAGUCUGUUGCUCCUUAUUUAAAAUUUUUUUUUUAACAUUUAUUUAUUUUCAAGAGACAGAGUGUGAGUGGGGGAGGGGCAGAGAGGGAGGGAGACACAGAAUCUGAAGCAGGGUCCAGGCUCUGAGCUGUCAGUGCAGAGCCUGACAUGGGGCUCGAACCCACCGACAGUGAGAUCAUGACCUGAGCUGAAGUUGGACACUCAGCCGACUGAGCCACCCAGGCACCCCAUGUUGCUCCUUAUUUUAUAAAUUCCUUUUCUAAUUCUCUAACGUACUAAAAUAGCUAUUUUAUAAUUCUCUAUCUGAUAAUUCAAAUAUCUAAAGUCUUUUAUUAUUGUCACUAUUAUUCCUAGCUGAUUUUCACAAAUGGUGGCUUUUUUACCCUGAAUUUUGUGACUUUUAUUGUGAACUAUACUUAUUGGAACACAUUUUAUGAGAGGCUUAUGAGGUCUAACUUGGAGGAACUUCACCAACAUACUCCCUACCCCCCAGAACAUUUUGUGUUUGUUGUUUUAUAAUAUUUUCUCAAACUCUUAUUUUUCUCCUUUGAAUGUAUGUUUCAGUUUUUUUAAUUAUUAUUUGGUAAGAGAGAUGUCAGUAGUAUAUAAGUUUUUGAAGGUAAGAAUUAUUUUUUAGGGGUGACCAGUAGCUCAGUCAUUUAAGUGUCCUACUUCAGCUCAGGUCAUGAUCUCAUGAUUCGUGAGUUUGAGCCCCGUGUUGGGCUCUGUGCUGACAGCUCUGAGCCUGGAGCCUGCUUCAAAUUCUGUGUCUCCCUUUCUCUCUGCCCCUCCCCCAUUUGUACUCUGUCUGUCUCUGUCUCUCUCUCUCCUAAAUAAAUAAACAAAUAUUAAAAAUUUUUAAAAAAGGAAUUACUUUUAAAAUGAUAUUCCCUCUCUUUUGGUGAUUCCUUUUCAAAUGUAUAAUGUAAUUUUCAUGUGAUUUUUUUCAUGUCCCUUUACUCAGUUCUUUAUUUUGGUCUGGGGGUCAUGGCUGCCCCCAGUUUUCAGCUUCUAAGAUGUUGGUUCAGCUUAGAGGAAGGUCUCAGAAAUUACAGGCUUUCUGUCUUGUGAUCUGGUGACUACGAUCAUGGUGUCUUCCUCACUGGAUUCAUCUCAGUGAUCUCCCUCGGCUAGGGGUUAGGGUCAGCGACAAUAAAAUGAGAUGUCGGCAUUGUUUUUCCUUAAAUGUCUCCUCCCCUGAGUACCGUAUUGUUCAUCUGCUUCUCCCAAACAUUUUUAUAUCAUUUUAUUUUUUUAUUAAAAAUUUUUAUUUUAAUUCCAGUUAGUUAAUAUACAGUGUUAGUUUUAGGUGUAUAAUGUAGUGAUUCAACAAUUCCGUACACCAUCCAGAGCUCAUCAUGACAAUUGCACUCCUUAAUCCCCAUCACCUAUAUUACCCUUCCCCUAACCCCCUCCUCUCUGGUAACAGUCAGUUUGUUCUCCAUAGUUAAUAGUUUGUUUCUCAAUUUCUCUCUCUCUUUUUUCCCCGUGCUUGUUUGUUUUGUUUCUUUAAAAAAAAAAACAUUUUUUAAUGUUUUUUUAUAUUUGAGAGAGACAGAGUGCAAGCAGGGGAAGGGCAGAGAGAAAGGGAGACAGAAUCUGACGCAGGCUGCAGGCUCUGAGUUGUCAGCACAGAGCCUGACGCAGGGCUUGAAUUUACUAGCCAUGAGAUUAUGAUCUGAGCUGAAGUUGGACGCUUAACCACCUGAGCUGAGCCACCCAGGUGCCCCUUGUUUUCUUAAUUCCACUGAGUGAAAUCAUAUGGUAUUUGUCUUUGUGUGACUGACUUAUUUUGCUUAGCAUUAUACUCUCUAGUUCCAUCCAUGUCAUUGCACAUGGUAAGAUUUUGUUCUUUUUUAUGGCUGAAUAAUAUUCCAUUAUGUAUAUAUACCACAUCUUCUUUAUCCAUUUCAUCAGUAGAUGGACACUUAGGUUUCUUCUAAUCUUAGCUAUUGUAAGUAAUGCUGCCAUAAAUGUAGGGGUGCAUGUAUCCCUUUGAGUUAGUUUUCAUAUUCUUUGGGUAAAUACUCAACUGCUUGAUUGUAGGGUAAUUGUGUUUUGAACUUUUUGAGGAACUCAUACUAUUUUUACAGAAUAGCUGCACUAGUUUGCAUUCCCAUCAACAGUUCAAAAGUGUUCCUUUUUCUCCAUAUAUUUGCUAACACUCUUGUGUGUGUGUGCUUUUGAUUAGCCAUUCUGACAGGUGUGAGGUGAUAUCUUUUGAUUUGCAUUUCCCUGAUGGUGAUGAUGAACAUCCUUACAUAUGUCUGUUGGCCAUGUAGAUACCUGCUUUGAGGAAAUGUCUGGUCAAGUCUUCUGUCCAUUUUUAAUUGGAUUAUUUGGUUUUUGGGUGUUGAGUGUUAUAAGUUAUUUAUGUAUUUUUGAUACUAAACCUUUAUCGGAUAUGUCAUUUGCAAAUAUCUUCUCCCAUUCCAUAGGUUGUCUUUAGUUUUGUUGUUUCCUUUUCUGUGCAGAUGCUUUUUAUCUUGAUGUGGCCCCAAUAGUUUAUUUUUGCUUUUGUUUUCUUCAAGUUCCCCAAACAUUUUGGACCAGUAGUUGGUUAACUAGCCUUUCCUGUAUAAUUACUUUUAAGGGUCUUAUUGAGGAACUGAGGAGCUAGUUAUGCCAGCUCCUAGAAUUCUCCUUCAUCUUGGUCUGGGUUUCUCACUAUUUAGCAUGUAUGCUUCAUUGUUUACAGUUGUUUUCUUACUCCCAGAGUUAACAAUUUUUUGUUGUUGUGGGGCACCAGGGUGGCUCAGUCAGUUCAGUGUCCAACUUUGGUUCAGGUCAUGCUCUCACGGUUUGUGGGUUCAAGCCCCGCAUUGAGCUCUGUACUGACAGCUCAGAGCUCCAAGCUGGAACCUGCUUCAAAUUCUGUGUCUCCCUCUCUCUAUGCCCCUCCCCUGCUCACACUCUGUCUCUUUCUGUCUCUCAAAAAUAAACGUUAAAAAAAUAUUAAAAAUUUUGUUGUUGUUGUUGUUUUCUGGAGUUAAAGAGAUUAUGAGUAAAAAUGUCCUUCCUUACUCUGCCAGCUUUACAUGGAAAUUCCCUUACAAUGUUUACUAGCUUAACAGUUUAUCAAAAUUGAGUAACCAGCUUGGGAAGAAGAAUUGUGGGAAAAGCCAAACGAUUAAAAUAUGUUGGAUUACUUCAGUAUCUGUUUUACCUCUUUCCUGGAGUCACCUCCUUUUCACUAACACAAAAUAACGACACUUGGACCAUUACUCUUCCAGUCUGGCCAAGUCGUAUUAUCGUGGUUUGCUUUGGUAUGUAUUUCUGUGGCAGAGAUGGCAAAAGCUAAACCAAAAUUCCUGCUUGAGCUUCCAUACUGUUGGGUUGUCACUGUAAAGCAGCUCCAUAUUCGAGAGUUACAUGUCCCCAUCUUCUGCAUCUAGGAAGGCCAUGUACUAGUUCUCACCAAUGGAAUACAAACAAAAAUAAUGAUGUCACCUUAAGGCCAAGGAUAUUAAAAAGAGGUGCGGCUUUUCUGCCUUCUAUUUUUCCAUCUGCCAGAGCAGAACAGAUGGUUUCAAGGCUCUAGAGGAAUAACAAAUGCAUAAGAUGUUUCAUGAACUUGGGUCUUUCACCAAGUGGAGAAAAGCAGCUUAUCUACUAGGAACCCCUACAUUGGAUUUGCUAUUUAAGUGAGAAAUGCACUUUUAUUUUGUAAGGGUGCUGAAUUUUUGGAAUUGGUUUGCUAUAAUAAUGCUGUGUGCCUUACCCUAACUUGCAUAAUCUAGAUAUUUAUUUUGAGAGACCUAUUCCCUUUUUUUUUUUGGUGGUCAGAAACAGGACAUCAGGUUAGAUGUUCCAUGCUAUCAAGCAUACCAAGACCUUCCAUCAUCUUUAAUGCUCAUCCAAUUUUGAGUACUUAAUGAAGUUGCCUUUUGACACAUGGCUUUAUAUAAUGACAUAUAUCUCUUUAAGGUUUUAUUUUGUUUUAUUGUUUAGCAUAUCGCUUGGGAGAUGUUUUUCUGAUAUAGUAAUUAAGAAAGUACAUUCUUAGGAAGUCCACAGCAUUAAAAACAUUUUUUAAAUUAUUUUUUUAUUUUAGAGAGGUGAGGGGGGGAGAGGAGCAGAGGGUGAGAGAGAAUCUUAAGCAGGUUCCAUGCUCAGUGCAGAGCCUGAUGCAGCACUUGAUCCCACAACCCUAGGGUCAUGACCUGAGCUGAAAUCAAGAUUCGAACCCUCAACCCGCUGAGCCACUCAGGUGCCCCAGUCUACAACAUUUUAUGGAAGGGCAGAAGUGCAUCUUAUCUCCCUCUUGAGACAUUUUAUAAAAUGCUUUUUUAAAAUCCCAGAAAUUUUACAUAUUUUACGUCUCCUGUAUUUUUCUAUACCAAGAGUUAUUGUUAUUUAAUUUCUUCCUGAGACUUGAUACAUGGUCUAGUACUAUGAUUUUGAACCCUGUAAUAUUCACUUCUAGGGGUUUUGGUGAAAUCUGAUGUCCUUCUCACUUUCUUUCUAGUUCUGAAGUGAGAACACAGUGGAUGCCUGGCAGAGAUUUCCUCUAUCCAUGCAACAGUCACUUAUCGUGAUAAUUUUAGGUGAAUAGUCUAACUAUUGUCAGUUGUGAACUCUUGCUAUAAUUGGAUAUAAACAUGGGGUUUCAUUGAGGUGAUCAGAUUCCAGGCUUACAAGUUAGUGCAAGCAGGAAGGAAGAGGAGUUGGAAAUCUUACUCGCUGUUUUGAGGUGGGAGGGCUGCUGGACUCUGUUUCUCUGACAUUCAGAACUCUUCCUACAGUCACUGUUCACGGCAGGCUGAGUGUCUGGGAAGAUGAACAGGAGAAUGGAUUGGGUGACAGCAGCCAGGAAUUUUCUUAUAUGCCUUUAUGCAGUGACUGAGUAGGCAUGAGUUACUGUUCCUGGCACUGAGACUUAGCAGGUGCAAUAAGACGAAAGGGGGAAAUUUGUCCUGUGAAUGACAGAGGGCACUGACAGCUUGGCACAAACAGACUUAGAAGACUAGUGUUUCUGCUGUGUGCGCUGCCAGUUCGUCUAGUCCUGAUGAGUCUCCCUGGAGUGGCUAACAUGACCCACGUGCUCCCUAGAGCUGGUACAGAGGAAGUUCAUGUUCUAUUCUGCCUCCUUCAGGAUUAUGAAGGGGCCACCCAUUCUUCCCUUUUAAAGUUUCAAGUGUUUAAUUCGUGAAUCUCUCAUCUUAAAGCAUUUCCUACCGGAUUGACAAAGCAUAGGGGUUAAUUAAAGCUGCAGAAAGAGGCAGGCUGUUUGGUUCUUCCUUACAUCGGGCUGGGAGGCUACAGUCUGGCCAGUUUGAGCACAAACUUGGAGAGCCUCCCAGCUGGAAUGGAAUCAAAAACUUCUGUGCCCUCAGGUUUGUUUACUUUUGGCAUUAUCCAAUGUUUUCUGGCCUCUGAUCUUAGGCAGGAGGCUCUGAAUGGCCCUGACCCAGCGUCCAGUUUAGCACUGGGAAGAAUUAAUGCAAGUGAGAUCAGCAACAUCCGGGUUUUUUUUUAAACCCUGAAACACACAGGGGGUGAGGGCUGGGCCAGCUGUCUGAGAUAUCCCCUGAAACCCCCAGUGCAGCUGGAUUUUCCCCUCCCUUGUGCCAAGCAGGCCUAUCAUUAUUAGAUCACACUGCUCUUGGGCCAUGUGACAAGCAUACUAUGGGGCAAAUAAUACAGUAAAGAAGAAUGGAAAAGGAACUGCAUUUUGUUUUCUUUCAUUCUCUUUGCAGAAAGCCUGCAAGUGUUAUGCUAAAAUCUGCCUAUUGAUUUUGGUAUAAAUAGUCCUCUUUUUCUAAUCCAGAUGCAGCCGUGUGCCCCUCUGUUCAGGGUUGGUGAUUCUCUGUUGUGUCUUGGGAGUAAUAAGAAGAUUCCACUGGAAAGAAUGCAGGCAAAUCAGCCCAGCUGAGAUUACAUAAAAGGAGAUGGAAAAUUGGAGAAAGUAUGUAAUAAACCUCAAUAUCUAGUUGAGUGUGAUUUUUAACAAAAGGCUCUUGCAUUUAGCUCAAUGACUUAAGAUCUUUAGAUAGUAGCUAAAUACAUUUUUUCAAACUUUUCCAGCCCUGAGCAGGAGCCAUUUCAGUAGGCAAGGUAAUUCUACUGGAAAGGCAUAAGCCGCUAAAAUCAGAGGCUUAGGGGUAGAUUUUAGCUCCUUGGUGAUUUGUAUUUAGAACUUCAGAGCCUUGGGCCCUGCUAAUGAGCAGCUAGGCAUCUUAUGGGGAAGUUAUAUUUCCCAGAUCUAGGAGAGAGUCCUCUUGUCUUGAAAGAUCUGGUGAAUCUUGGAUUUAUCCAUAUAUUUUUACUAUUCCAUAGCUCCACUAUUCUUGGAUUCCUAUGCAUGCCCCCCUCCCCUUAUUAAUUUAUCUUAGCUUCUGCUUUACUUCUCCAGUGCUACCCAUAGCUCUUUCCCUCCUGCCCUUAGAUUUUGGCCUUGUAGAGGAGCGUUUCCUAAGCGUGUUCUCAUCGGAUCUAUGAGAUACUGCACAAUAAAAGGCUUUAUGGUCAAUUUAGAUUGAGAAAUAAUGCAUACUUCACAACUCUUUUGGAAAUUUGUAAUGCAGUUUUUAAAAGUCACUGAAGGAAAGUUAUUUUCAUUUGUUGAUGUGGAUAUAUGUAUAUUUAUUUAAUACCAAAGUGUCUACUAGCUUUAGUUUUAGAAUUACUAGUUUUAGAAUUUGCUUUGGGCAUUAACACUGUAAUGCCCACAGGCUGAACAAUCUGUCUAGACCAGUAGACAUACAGGUUACUGAGAAAUGGCCAUGGAUCAUCAAACCCUCUGAAAAGGCUUACUUUGAAGGCAAAGGAUGAGCAUCGACUAAUUAUAUAAAUACAAAUGAAAGGAAUCAAAUGUUUAGUAAAGCACAGACUGCCUAAAAUAAGGUGAAUUGGCUGCUGUCCAUUGAGGAGAUGAUGAAACAGGGAUAUUCAUGAUCUUGAUAAAAAUGGAUCCCUGACAGAGCCCUUAAAAAGGAACUACUCAGAGGGGCACCUGCGUGGCUUGGUUGAUAAAGCAUCUGCAAGGUGUGGAGCCUGCUUGGGAUUCUGUCUCUCUCCCUUUCUCUCUGCCUCCACCCCCUGCUUGUUUUUUUUUUUUUUUCUCUCUCUCUCUCUCUCUCUCUCUCUCUCAAAAUAAAUAAAUAAACUUAAUAAAGGAACUACUCAGUGAAUUCUACAUGCUUCAUGGAAUACAUAGAUACAAAACCUAUGUAGCACAAGAGACAACAUGGGGAAGAAGAGGCACAUACUGGAUAGAGAAUCAACAGACAUGGGAAUUGGUCUCACUGCUUCUACUAAUUAGAUAUGUGAGCUGGGACCAACCAUUUCAUUUCCCCAAGCCUUAUUUGUCAAAUAAGAUGAUUAGACAGGAUGCAAGUCCAUUUCUAGUUCUAAAAGUCAUAGUAUAUAUAAUGACUUUUCAAGUUGGUCUGUAUGUGAGCACAGUGGAAAUCAAACUGAUGCAUACUUGCCCCAGCUCCCUAGGCUUCUAUUCCCUUUUAUUUUGGGGAGAUGUUAUGCAUUUGAACCAUAUGUGUUGCACUAAUUGGUAAGAGUAUUCCAUUCUGAGUCAGUAACCACAAGUUUGGGAAAGAAGAGAGUGCCUGAGACAGGAAUGUUGCAAGUAUCUUGCAAAUUUUGGUUACCUUUAUUGAGAAGAACUCCUUCUGCAGUCUGAAAGGAGACAUUUUUUUAAAAAAUGCGUUUAGCAGAUAUUUAAUUAAUAAAUACCUAUUAUGUACCAGGCUCUGUUUUAGACACUUGGGGCAGUGUGUGUGUGUGUGUGUGUGUGUGUGCGCGCACACACACGCAAGAUAAAAGACAAAAUUCCCUACUUUCAAAGAGCUUAUAUCUUAGUGGAGGGAGAAAGGUAAUAAACAAUAUGCCCAAUAACUAACUAAAGUAUAUAGCAAAAAGUAAAUUAUAUACUAUGUUUUAAAAUGCUAAAUUCUUUGGACAAGGGUAAGGGGGAAUGGAGGGUUGUAAUUAGAAAUAGGGUAGUGUGAUAGAGAACCCAGAAAUGGACCCACAAACGUAUGGCCAACUAAUCUUUGACAAAGCAGGAAAGAAUAUCCAAUGGAAUAAAGACAGUCUCUUCAGCAAGUGGUGCUGGGAAAACUGGACAGCGACAUGCAGAAGAAUGAACCUGGACCACUUUCUUACACCAUACACAAAAAUAAACUCAAAAUGGAUGAAAGACCUNNNNNNNNNNNNNNNNNNNNNNNNNNNNNNNNNNNNNNNNNNNNNNNNNNNNNNNNNNNNNNNNNNNNNNNNNNNNNNNNNNNNNNNNNNNNNNNNNNNNNNNNNNNNNNNNNNNNNNNNNNNNNNNNNNNNNNNNNNNNNNNNNNNNNNNNNNNNNNNNNNNNNNNNNNNNNNNNNNNNNNNNNNNNNNNNNNNNNNNNNNNNNNNNNNNNNNNNNNNNNNNNNNNNNNNNNNNNNNNNNNNNNNNNNNNNNNNNNNNNNNNNNNNNNNNNNNNNNNNNNNNNNNNNNNNNNNNNNNNNGAAGGAAACAAUCAGCAAAACUAAAAGGCAACCGACAGAAUGGGAGAAGAUAUUUGCAAAUGACAUAUCAGAUAAAGGGUUAGUAUCCAAAAUCUAUAAAGAACUUAUCAAACUCAACACCCAAAAAACAAAUAAUCCAGUGAAGAAAUGGGCAAAAGACAUGAAUAGACACUUCUCCAAAGAAGACAUCCAGAUGGCCAACCGACACAUGAAAAAAUGCUCAACAUCACUCAUCAUCAGGGAAAUACAAAUCAAAACCACAAUGAGAUACCACCUGACACCUGUCAGAAUGGCUAACAUUAACAACUCAGGCAACAACAGAUGUUGGCUAGGAUGCGGAGAAAGAGGAUCUCUUUUGCAUUGUUGGUGGCAAUGCAAGCUGGUGCAGCCACUCUGGAAAACAGUAUGGAGGUUCCUCAAAAAACUAAAAAUAGAACUACCCUACGACCCAGCAAUUGCACUACUAGGCAUUUAUCCAAGGGAUACAGGUGUGCUGUUUUGAAGGGACACAUGCACCCCCAUGUUUAUAGCAGCACUAUCAACAAUAGCCAAAGUAUGGAAAGAGCCAAAUGUCCAUCGAUGGAUGAAUGGAUAAAGAAGAUGUGGUAUAUAUACACAAUGGAGUAUUACUUGGCAAUUAAAAAGAAUGAAAUCUUGCCAUUUGCAACUACGUGGAUAGAACUAGAGGAUAUUAUGCGAAGUGAAAUUAGUCACAGAAGGACAAAAAUCAUAUGACUUCACUCCUAUGAGGACUUUAAGAGACAAAACAGAUGAACAUAAGGGAAGGGAAACAAAAAUAAUAUAAAAACAGGGAGGGGGCAAAACAGAAGAGACUCAUAAAUAUGGAGAAUAAACUGAGGGUUACUGGAGGGGUUAUGGGAGGGGGGAUGGACUAAAUGGGUAAGGGCACUAAGGAAUCUACUCCUGAAAUCUUUGUUGCACCAUAUGCUAUCUAAUUUGGAUGUAAAUUAAAAAAAAAUAAAAAAUGAAACAAGUUUAAAAAAAAGGAAUAGGGUAGUAUGGGUAAUUCUCAUUGAGAAAGGGAUAUUUGAGCUUAGACCUGAAAGUGAAGGAAGGAUGCUGACAGCAGAAACAGUGCAGAGGCAAGAGUGUGCCUAACAGGUUCUAGGAAUAGCAAAGCAGCCUGUAAAGCUAGAAAGGUGUGAGCAGGCGGGUAUGUUGCAAAGGAGGAAUCUAGGAUGCUUUGGCUGGCUGGAAAAAAUAACCAUUGAGCCUACCUACUAGGGCAGUGUCAAUACCCAACAGCAGCAUAGCCUGGCCUCAGACUUCUCUCCUUGUAGGAAGCCUUGUAGGAUUCUCAGGAAUGGCAUUCCCUGCCUGGCCUGAGUUACCGAGUUAGCGGAAUAUCCAUCCUCUCCCCAGCAAUAAAGCAUCCAGCCUUUGCAUCUGUUAACAGUCUCCCCUGUAAUUUAUGCAUUGUGUGGUUAGUUUAAAUGCUGACUCUAUCAUUAUCUGAGUUUAUUACCAUUGCCAUUUGCGUAUGUUUGAUGGGGGGGCGGGGAGGCAGGAAACCUCUGGACAGAUUCCAAGUUGGAUGUCUGGCUCUCUCUUUGCUCUUCUCCCCCAGUCCUCUGUCUUCCCCAGGGCCUGGGCCGUGGCCAGCUGUACAUUAUGCUAUGAAAUAGGUAAGUGUUCUUAGUAGCCUUGUUGCUCUCUUCUGUAUCUGCUUCCUUUCUUAUCCCUACCAUGCCUCUCCCAACAUUCCUGACUUCUGAGAACCCAGUGAGAUAUAGUGUAUCUGCCUCUCUCUCCAUCCCCAUGAACCAUCAGCACUGACUGUCAACCAGGACCUGAUAAAUUUGCUCACAUUAACAUAAGCCUGGUGAUUACCUCUUGUGGGGUAGGGUUCUGCUUUUUGACAGGGAAUAAAAAAUUUACUCUUGCAUUUUGCCAUUUCAUGUGUUGAGUUAGAAUGAGGAGGGCAUGGGGGUGAUGGGGAAGCUUCUCAGCAUCCUGGAACCCUGAAAAUUAUUACCAAAUGGUAGGCAGCCACCUACCAUUCAGAGAAUCAACCUUGGCCCCUGCUGCCCACUUACCUCCAGCUCGGCUCUACCUGCUUUCCAUAAAUCACCUUUCUCCAGGAUUUCACUGCCUUUUUUUUUCUUGUUUUGGCUAGGAAUCCUUCUGUAGAUAGUAAGAUAUAUAGUGAAAUGUUUGUGAGAGUCUCUGAAUUACUCUUCCUCUUGAGAGUUGGGAAGCGGUUCAAGCCAUAAGGGAGGGGUGGAAGGGAUUGUUGCGCAAUGGCCAGCAACUUGGUUUAUUUCACAAGAUUAUGUUUUCUGUGUUGCUUGCAGUGUGAAAUACUGUGCACAGGUGCCCCCAUUUGAUUCAAUUUCAACCCUCAUCAUGAUUGAUAGUCCCACCUGAUCACCGCCAGAUCACUUUGCUGUUCGCCCUUGUCUGCUGGGCUGCAGUCUAUGAGCAGGGAGCCAGAGCCAGACAUUUUAAGGGCUCAGAAUGAACAAGCAUGUCUGUCUCUCCCUUCUCUCCAAAUGUUCACCCAUCUAGAUUUUUUAUUCAAUCAACAAAAGUCUGAUCCAUAUUUCUUUGAAAAGAAGCACUGCCAGAGCACGGAAAGUGGUAUUAAACUGAAUGGAGGAGUUACAGAUAAUAGAGAUGCAAAACCUUGGAAGAGCUAAAAUGAGUGAGAGGCAUUUUAUGACCCAUUUAUGACCUCGUGUCUCCAUGUUCGUACCAUCAACUUCAGAGUCAUUGUAAGUUAACACAGCAACCAUCAGUUAUUGAAUAUUUAUUAUGUUGUCACUCUUAGAAGUAUUUUAUGAGAAUAGAUUCUUUAAAUGGUCUCAACCACCUUAAAAAGUCAUUUAUUAUUUCCACGUCUCAGAUGACAAAACUGAGGUGUUUGAAAGGUUUGGUAACUUGCCCCAUAUAUAAGCCAAUCAGGGAGGCAGAAGUCUCUAUAGACAAAUAAAGAUAAGUGGUUAAAAUGUGUCUGUAUAAAUAAAGAUAGAAUUUUAGAUAGUAAGACACCUAAGCAAGAAUCUAAAGAGCUUCUUUACAUAGGAACCUUUCCUGGUGCCUUAAGAUAGGAUUCUGUCACAUACUGACUCCUCAGGAACAGACCUCAAAUAAGCCACCUCUGUGUCACCCUUGGCCUGAUGCCUCCUCUCUGUUGGGUCUCUUUCUCUGUUUUUUUCUAUCCCAAUAGUGACAUCUGGCUACUCCUGAGAAGGUGCCUAUAGGCAAAGGAUGCAAAGACUUCUUUGUUAGUGAGUCUAAACACCACCUCCUCCGAGAAACCUUCCUAUCACCCAGGCAUAGAUCUCCUCCCUCUGUGCUUGCAAAGCACAUUGUGUCUAAUUCAGCUAAUAAGACUGUUCCUGUUACUCAUACAGUGCUGUGUACAGCCCAUCCUUGUGAAUGCCAGGCUUUGUGCUAAGACUUUAACAUUUACCGACCCAUCUAAUCCUCCCAAUAACCCUGUGAGGUUGGUACUAUUGCUAGGAUACAGAGGAGGAAUUGAGGCACAGAGAGAUCAGUAACUUGCUAAAGGUCAUCUAGCUAGUAAGUGGCAGAGUCAGGAUUGAGAGCUAGGCAGUUUGCUGUCAGCACCUGGGCCUUCAUCACAUUCCCCUUCCAUGGUGGGUUGUAACCUAUUCCCAAGGCUUUUGUCCUAAUUAGGCUGCAGCCUCAAAGGCAGGGAGUGUAUCUCGAACAUCUCUUUGUCCUCAGCUCUGGGCACACUGCCUGGCACCUAGCAGCAUCCGGGAGUUUAUUUGCUGAGUGAUCAAGUGAAAGAAGAGUGGUUCCUGGAGACGGACUGAGAGGCAGCUGGGGCAAACCACUCAGAUUUGUCUCUGCUUUAAGGCACUAAAUUGCUGCCUGGACCCUUACUUUUAGGACAAAAAAGUGAGAGGGAGGGGAGGUAUUGCAGAAUAAGCCUUGUUUGACUCAGAUCUUCCCUGACACUGUGACUGUGCCUUCCUGCCUCUCUUCUGUUUGCUUCUAAAAACCUACCCUGAUUUUCCCCCACUUGGGCUGCACUUACCUCAUCGUCCUUUGUCCUGUCAGUUAUGUCUCCAUGUGGCACCUGUUACAUCUUGUCAUGACAGUAUGUGUCCCUUGCCCCUUCUCUACCACUCUGACAAUGAACUCCUUGAGGGAAUGACUGUGUCUUCAUCAUCUUGUGCCCAAGUGUCUGGUGCAGAGCCUGGCCCACCACAGGCCUUCAAGGCAUGCUUUCUGAAUGAAAGGAUGCUUACUUACUGCUAGACCUGGUACAGGCGGGCCAAGAAAGUACAAGAGCGAAGGAAUUAUUAUGCAUUUGAAAAAAAUACCUAAUCUCUCGCCCAAAGAACAGAGAAUCAUUUACUUGUUUCUCAUUGUCUUCCCUUUCUUUCCUUCUAGCUCUCAUCAUUUGGUAAGCAAUGCAGACAAAUUCUUUUCUUAGGAUUGGUUAAAAGAGGCUGAAAUGGUGGUUUGAUUGGGUGGGGGUGGGUAGGGAGUUAGAGGAAACAUAAAACAAUAAAGAUGAUUUAAUUUAUACUGAUCACAGCAACCAGCUGGCUAUGCCAUCAAUUAUUACACCCUCGAAGUUAUUAAAGAGCACCUCUGUCAUAGGUACCUUAUUAGCUAGGGAUUUAUGGAGCACAGAGCCACAGCAGGAAAUAUUGAUAUUUCCCUCACAACAUCACCUGUGGAUGUCUGGGUUGUCUGUCUCUCAGCCCUAUCUCUUCUCAUGUAUCCUCAUUCUAAGGCCCUAUCACCUCAGGCUUGAAUCCCAGAAUGUUUUGCUCCUAAAGUAUGCAUGAUGAAAACAACGUCCCUCUCUUGUGCUUCAAUUCAUCUGGUGGGUUUUACACUUGUGACUAUUAUAUUCCUGCUUUCCAAGCAGAAAGUGUUCUGGGCUCAUUCAAAUACUUCUAGAGUAUUCUGUGUCAUAAAUCACCUCCUUUGAUAGGACCUCUGGUUUCAAUCUACUUUUUAAGAGAAAAUUCUAGACAUCAGAUCUCACUAUAUAUGCAUGAAGUAGCAUGAGUCCCAGAACCUGAGACCUUCAUUUCCUUGGCCUAUGCUCUGUCUUCCCUCCUUGAAACCCAGAAGCCCCAAUGCAAAUGAGUCUCAGCCUUCACCUAAGGAAAUUUCCAGGUUCCUUACUUGGGUCUCUGUACUUAAUAUAAAUAAAUAAGCUGCCUUGACAUAAAAGGCAUAUUUCUUUUUAACACAAUUAGGUGCUUUUCUCAUCACUAGAAGCAAUUUAUUCCUAAUUAUAACGAAUUAUUAUGUGUGAUAUUAGAAAAAAAACCCCACAAAUAGCAUUUUAAAAUUUGGAACCUGGGUAGGGAGGAAUAACAAUAUGGAGUCAUUCAUGUCGAUUCAGGUAAGUUGUAUAAUUUUUCCUUUGAAGAUAACAUUUUUAAGAACUAAAAGAGUUUCCACAUUUUGAUCUUUUGAAGUACCAAAGUGACAACACAGGCAGAAAGAGAUGACACAAGAAAAGUAGCAAUUUAGUUACUUACCCAGAAAUGCAGAGUUAGGUGUUAUUAAUGAGUGGCUAGAUCACACUUGACAUUUUACAAAGUGACUUACAUUCACACCUGUGCAUGUGGGUGCGUGCGUGCGUGUACACACACACACACACACACACACACACACACAUGUACACACACACACACCACAUGUAGAGUAGAAAAAGAGGACAGAACUAGGUCUUCGUCCUGAGAGGCAGAAUCAAUUGUGAAUAGUGCCCGUCUUGGCAGGAUGGAAUAAGUAAUGUAAAUGCAUGAAAUGGAGAGAUCAGGAAUUAAAUCUAUGAAUGAUGAGCGUUAGCUGGGCUACGUUUAUAUGCAUACACGUCAGUCACUCUGUUUACGGCUGCUGAGCUCAUGGUGUCUCAAACAUCAGCUACGUGAAGUGGGUGGUGGAUUUGGCUCUUUAUUAUUUGUUUAUUUUUUUACCUCCUUUAUUGAGGUAGAAAUGACAGGUAAAAUUUGCAUAUUUUUAAGGUGUAUAACAUGAUUUUAUAUGUGGUAAUCUUCCGUUAUCCGCAGGGGAUAAAUUCCGAGACCCUCAGGGAAUGUCAGAAACCAAGGAUGGUACCGGACCCUCUGUAUACUAUGUCUUUUUCCUAUACAUACAUAUGUAUGAUGCAGUUUAAUUUAUAAAUGAGGCACAGUAAGAGAUGAACAACAAUAACUAAUAAUAAAAUAGAACAAAUAUAACAAUAUACUGUAAUACAAGUUAUAUGAACAUGGUCUCUCUCUUUAAUAUUGUACUGUACUUACCCUUCUUCUCAUGAUGAUGUGAGAUGAUGACAUGAGGUGAAUGACAGACUUCAUGAUGCAUUGUUAGGCUGCUCUUGACCUGAUGAUGUCAGAAAGAGGAUCAGCUGCUUCUGGACCACCAGUAACUGAAACUGCAGAAAGUGAAGCUAUGGAUAAGGGGAGAACUACUGUGCAUGUCCAUUGUGACAUGAUUCCCACAGUCAAAAUAAUCAACACAUCCAUCACCUCACAUAGUUUUUUAUUUUGUUUUGUUUUUUUUGGCGAAGAGUACAUAAGAUAUAUUCUCUUCGUGGAUUUCAAGUAUACAUACAGUAUUAACUAUAGUCACUAUGCUGUACAUUAGGUCCCCAGAGCUUAUUCAUUUUAUAACUAAAAGUUUAUACCCGUUAACCAACAUCUCUCCAUUUCCCCCAGCCCUCAAUCACUGGUGACCGCCAUUCCACUCUGCCUCUGUGAGUUUGACUUAUUCAUAUUCCACAUAUAACUGAGGUCAUACAGUUCUUAUCUUUGUGUGUGGCUUAUUAAACUUAGCAUAAUGUCCUCAGGGUCCACCCAUGUUGUCACAAAUGGCAGGACUUUCUUUUUAAGAAUUCUCUUGCAUACACACACACAUACAUACACAUACAUACAUACAUACAUACACAUACCACAUUUUAUAAUCUAUUCAUUUAUCAACAGAUACUUAGGUUGUUUCCAUAUUUUUGCUAUUGGGAAUAAUACUAUAAUGAACAUAGGGGUGCAGAUAUCUCUUCCGGAUACUGAUUUCGUUUCUUUUGUGUGUGUGUGUAUGUAUGUAUGUAUGUAUAUCCAGAAAUGGGAUUUCUGGGACAUAUGCAAGUGCUAUUUUUUUUUUUGAGGAACACCCAUAUUAUUUUCCAAAUGGCUAUGCCAGUUUACAUUCCCACCAACAGUGUGCAAGGUACUCUUAUCUCCACACCCUUACCAACACUAGUUAUCUCUUAACCUUUUGAUAAUAGCCUUCCUAACAGGUGUGAGAUGAUAGCUCAUGGUGAUUUUGAUUUUCAUUUCCCUGAUGAUUAGUGAUAUUUAGCACUUCUUCAUAUACCAAUUGAUCAUUUAUAUGUCGUCUUUGGAAAAAUGUCAAUUCAAGUCCUUUGCCCAUUUUAAAAUAGGGUUAUUUGGUUAUUGUUGAUUAUAUUGUUGUUGUUAGCUAUUGAGUUGUAUCAGUUAUUUUUAUUUUUUGGCUAUUAACCCCUUAUCAGAUACAUGAUUUACAAAGAAAUUCUCCCAUUCAUAUGUUACCUUUUCAUUUUGUUGAUUGUUUCCUUUGCUGUAUAGGAGCUUUUUCGUUCAGUGUAGUCCCAUUUGUUUAUUUUUGCAUUUGUUGCCUUUGCUUUUGGCUUCAUUUCCAUACACACAAAAAAUCAUUGUCAAGGAGCUUUUUCCUGUUUCCGUCCAGGAGUUUUAUGGUUUCUGGCAUAACAGUUAAGUCUUUAAUUUAUUUUAAGUUAAUACUUGUGUAUGGUGUAAGGUAAGGGUCUGUUGUUAUUCUUUGGUAUGUGGGUACCCAAUUUCCCCAACCCCAUUUAUUGGUAACACUAUCCUUUCCCCAUUCCGUAUUCUUGGCACCCUGGUCACAGAUUAGUUGAUUAUAUAUGAGUGGGUUUCUGGACUGUCCUGUUCCAUGGGUCUGUGCAUCUGUUUUCAUGCCAGUACCAUAUUAUUUUGAUUACUAUGGCUUUGUGAUAUAGUUUGAAAUCAGGACAUGUGAUUCCUCAAGCUUUUGUUGUUCUUAAAAUGUUUUAGUAUCUGGAUUUUUUCAGUUCUACAAAUUUUAGGAAUUUUUUUUCCUAUUUCUGUGAAAAACAGCACUGGAAUUUUGAUAGGAGUUGCAUUAAAUCUGUAGAUAAUUUUGGGUAGUGUGGACAUUUUAACAAUAUUAAUUCUUCCAGUCCAUGAGCAUGAGAUAUUUUUACAUUUAUUUGUGUUUUCUUCAGUUUCUUUCAUAAAUGUAUCACAGUGUUCAGUGCACCUAUCUUUCAUCUCCUUGGUUGAAUUAUUCUCAAGCAUUUUAUUCUUUUUGAUGCUAUCAUAAAUUGGAUUGUUGUCUUAGUUUUCUUUCCAGAUAGUUUGUUGUUACUGUAUAGAAAUGCAACCGAUUUCUGUAAGUUGAUGCUACAUUUUGUAAUUUUUGCUGAAUUGAUUUAUUAGUUUUAACAGUUUUUUUUAAGUAGAGUCUUUAGGCUUUUCUCUAAGAUCCUGUCACCUACAAACAGACAAUUUUACUUCUUCCUUUCUGAUUUCAAUGGCUUUCAUUUCUUUCUCUUGCCUAGUUGCUGUGGCUAGAAUUUCUAGCACUGUAUUGAGUAGAAGUGGCAAGAAUGGGCACACUUUUCUUGUUCCUGAUUUUAGAGGAAAAGCUUUUGGCUUUUCACCAUUGAUUAUAAUGUUAGCUAUUAUAAUCUUGUCAUGUAUGGCUUUUAUUUUAUUGAGGUACAUUCCUUAUAUACCUAAUUUUUUGUGAGUUUUUACCAUGAAAAGAUGUUGAAUUUUGUUAAAUGCUUUUUCUUCAUCUACUGAGAUAAUCAUAUGAUUUUUAUCCUUCAUUCUGUUAAUUCAGUUAUCACAUUUAUUGUUUUCUAUGUAUGUUCAUCCAUCCUUGCUUCCCAAGAAUAAAUUCCACUUGGUUAUGGUAUGUGAUUCUUUUAAUGUGCUGUUAAAUUCAGUUUGCUAGUAUUCCAUUGACCAUUUUUGCAUCUAUGUUCAUUAGUGAUAUUGGUCUAUAAUUUUGUUAUGGCAUCCUUAACUGGCUUUAGUAUGAGGCUAAUAUUGGCCUCUUAAAAAUGAAUUUGGAAGUAUUCUCUCCUCUUGAAUUUUUUGGAAGAGUUUGAGGAUUGGCAUUAAUUCUUUGCAUAUUUGGUAGAAUUCACCAGUAAAGGUAUCUGGUCCUGGACUUUUCUUUGUUGAAAGGUUUUUGAUUGCUGAUUCAAUCUCUUUACUAGUAAUUGGUCUGUUCAGAUUUUCUUUUUCAGCAUGAUUCAGCCUUGGUAGGUUGUAUGUUUCUAGGAAUUUGUCCAUUUCUUCUAGGUUGUCCAAUUAGUUGGUGUAUAAUUGUUCGUAGUAGUUUCUUAUGUAUUUCUGUGCCAUCAGUUUUCUCUUUAUCAAUUAUUAAUGACUCUUGAGACUCCUAGGCAUGUUUCUUUCACAAAAUAGUUGACCAAUCCUAUUAAAGCCUUUUAAAGAGAGGAAAGCAGAGUCAGAGAGGGGCCAGAUCUGUUUAAGGUCCCAUAAUUUUUCAGUGCUUGAGGUUAGACCUUCCUACCAGGACUUCUUCCUACCAUCACAUGGUACUUUCCAGGCUUGCAGGGUUCACCACUCUUUGUCACUCUCUCCAUCCUGGUAGUGGCCAUUAGUUAUGACUGUAAGUGCCCUGUGGUUGAAAUCUACAUCAUUAUAUUGUUUUCAUUAUUCCAGAGCAAUCAGAUGUACUAUACUCCUUUAAUAGAUCAAGGACUGUGCCUACAGAAUACACUGUAGAACUCCCAAAAUGGAAGUCUCAUCCAUUUAGGAGAUAUUCAUUGAGUGCCUACUCUGUACCAGACCCCUUUCAAGCAUUAUAAAUGAAGCAGGGUAUGAGACCAAAUCUCUACCCUCAUGGAACUUAUUUUAUCAUCAGGGAGACAGAAUCCCCAGCAGUCACUAGCUGGAGAUGGGCAGCUGCUCAUUUUAGGGAGGUGUGAAGCCCCUGUGGUGCACUGUUUUGAGAUAUCGGUAUCCUAAUACCUACCGACUAAUCUUGUUUCAGUUUCCUACCAAGCCUCUGAUUCUUCAAUCUCAGAUUUUAGUUUAAACCCCCUGAGUCACAACUUUACCACCAUAGAGUAAGAACCUGAUGACUUUCAACAGUAAGAACAAGCAUGAUUUCAAGUUCCCAAGUCCCAUCCAGCUGGGAUCAUUCUCUGAUAUUAGAGGACGAAAUAGAUCAGGCUUUGUGAUCAGGUCAGAUACAUGAGGAGACAAAUUUAGAAUAAGCAAGGGAUACCUUAAGUCACAACUGAGGGACGUUAGAGGUGUAGAAGUUGGUGGAGGAGGGAGGGCAACUUUAAUCAGAGAGAGUGAUUAUGGAAUCUAAUUAGCCUCUCAUUUUCAUUUGCAGAAGGAACAUUCAAUUCACUUAACACCACUCCACAGAUCCUUCUACUCUCAUCUGUACCCAGGGGAAAACAAAUUCCAAUGUAAUAGAGCAUUUGGACAGCAGUAGACUAUCACAGGGAGAGCAUGUAGCUAAAAAUGAGGAGGCUUGAGUUUCAGUCUUGGCUCUACCUCUACUAGCUUUGUGACCCUGAGCACAAUGCCUCACUCCUAGGGGAUCCAGUGCCCAUCUGCUCAGUGUGGAGAUUGGAUUAAAACAUUUUAAAGGUCUCUUAAGCUGCAAAAUGCUAUACUUAUUAUGUUUUUAUUGCAUAUCUCCAUACUAUGGCCUACUAGUGCAUAAAGUUACCAUUUUGGAAUUACUAUAGUUCUGUUGAUAAGAGUUUGAGAUUUGGAAUCAGGCAAACCUGAAUUCCAGUGGUGACCCUACCCACAUAUCUUUGGGCCAGUUACUUAAUCUUUCUAAUCCUCAGUUCAUAAAACAAGGACAGUGAUAAUACUUGUCUUAAAGAAUUGUUCUGUGGGUCAAAUUGUUCUGUACAAAGCCCUUUGUACAGUGCGUGGGACAUAGUAAGACUCAAUAAAUGUUUAGCUGUUACUAUUUAGUGGUCUGAUUAAAAUGUUCAGAAUAACUUGGGUAUUUUAUCUCUUUUUUUAAAAAUGUGGGGCAGGUCUCUUUUUGAAAAAAAUUCCUUGAUGACACGGCUGGGGAGGUUUAUUUGUGGGUAAGGUAAGUAAUGGGGCAAGACUGAAAUAGCUCUAUGGAAAUAAAGCAUUUAAUGUGGGAAUGAAUGAAGUUGCCACCCAGAACUAACAGCCAGAGUCCUGGCUGAGCUGUAAUUAAUUAAUACGAUGGCCAAGAUUUAUAAGGCUAUUUUAAGAAGUAGCUGCAUUGCACAGAGCCCUGGAUUUUAUGCCUGAGCUGAAGUAAGAUCAAUGGGAAAUCCAUUCAGUCCCAUGGUUUAAUGGGUGUGGAUGAGGAUUUGUCCCCAGAGUUGGGGCUUUGUGCAUCAUGGCUACCCGGGUGCUUUCCCUGGGGUGGAGGCUAAGGGAAGGUGAGAAAAGUUGAUCACUUGGAGCCAGAGGAGAAAGAAUGAUAGCCUGUUCCUCUUUCCCUGUUAGAAAAUGCAGAGAAGCGGCUCCCAACCCAAACUUUUCCAGAAGGCCUCUCUUUUAAUGCCUAGAUAUAUCCUAGCUAGAAGGUAGGAUGUUUACCUCUUCUCUUUAGGAAGACUUUGGAAAGACUACACUGAGCGCAGUGUACGUCCCACUGCCAGGAGCUUGGGUACCUGAGAUGACAGAUCAGCAAACCACAGGCUUCUGCAGAUGGCUUUGCUAUCAGCAGGGACACCUAGUGCUUGUCCAAAGUUCAUUCCAGGGGGCCAUUUGCAUCCUGGGGCCCUACGGUAAACUGGAAUUUUGUGACUUGCCUCAUUUCCCUUGGUGGCAGAAAUAAUGUCCUUCUAAGACCUCUACAACAGGAUUUGGGGAUGAAAUCCCCCUAAUAUAUUUGGGGAUAUAUGUUUUCAGUUCCUCUUUUACUUUGUGCUCAAGGAGGACUGAAGAACCAGAGUACAGCUAUCUAUGUCUCCCUGGACUUUACUUCUGAGUACGAGGCCAUAGAAACAUCUGAUUUAGGCUCACCCCUGGGGAAGGUGAUUUUCCAUUUUCCCUUGGUCCAUGUUGAACUUUUUUCUGCUAUGUCAGCUUUGUUCAUGUUCCUUCUGUCUGCAUGUCCUUCUCCCUGGAGCCCAGCUCAGCUUCUUUAAGGGUUCUCUCCUGGGCUAGCAGUGACCUUGGCUGAAUAUAAACCUGGCACAUUCUGUUCUCAUUGUUCAUGGAUUUAAUACCUGGCUCCCUGCAUGUGACUUGCUUGUAAUUUUUGUAGCUUCUUGGUCCUUUCUUUUUCAUAAUUUACCCAUUCUUUAAUCCUGCCUCUUAGAAAUACCGCCUAUGAAAUACUCAUAAACUAUUUGAGUUUCAAUUAUGAAUCUUGUUUUGUCUUCUGAAUGUGAUUCUUACAUUUCUUUCUCACUCCAUGGGCAAGGCACCUGGUGGUGAGAUCUAUCCCUCCUUCAGUCCCAAGGAGAUCCUCAAUGCACUUAUAUGAAAGUUUACAUUUUAUUAAUGAUUUAAAAUUGUAGCUCAUCUUCAAAAUCUAAUUGGAACCCCUUCAAUAAUACUAUAAAGUAACUAUCAUUAUCCUGGUUUUACAGAUAAAGAAAAACAGAGGCCCAAGAAAAUUAGGUGACUUGCCUAAGGCAAUCCAAUUAGAAAAUAGAAAAUGAAGACUUGAAUAUGGGUCUUUUUGAUUUUAAGUUCAGUUCCUAACCCACCACAUCAUCCACUGUAUAGAGAUUGGGGCUCCUGCGUGUUUUUUUCUCAUUUUCUGUGACCUAAAUCUCUAGCUUCAUAUCAAUUUCAGUCCCAUUUUUUCCUGUUGCUUCAUCCUCUUGCCAAGAUACCACAGUUUCAGGACACAGAGACUUUGCCUUUCCCAUGAAAAGUCAUGCAAAAAAGUGUGAACUUAUCCUAGACAUAGGGCGUUUAAAUGGCUUCUGCUCCAAUCAGUUUUCUGUACUUGGUACCAAAAAGACAACUGUGUAGAGUUGCCUCACUAGUAAAUGCAAGGCACAGGUAAUCUUUGUAAAAGAACAGAUAAGCUUUAUGUCUAAUAGGUUAGGAAAUUACACAGUGAGCCAAUCAUUUACUUUGAUGAACAGUAUUUAUUACAUAUCCACUGAACACCUAAGUAUUAUGUACCAUUGGACAAGGGCACAAAGAAAUAGCUGUAAAUAGUUGCUAAAGAUCCUGGAAUAAUCAAGACACAGACUUGGCUUACUGAAUCAUAAUCAGCAUUGGAGAAGGAGAUUAAGGGAGAUAAAUACCUGUUAAAUGUUAUUACAUAAUACGUGCAGUGUGACAUAUGUGACACCUUAAGAAGGUGUCAGAUCUGAAGGGCAAGUCUCUCUGUUCAUGCCUCUCUCCUCAAUGCCUCACAUGGUGCAUGUGAGACACUUGCCCCAGCUAUUUUGAGAGCAAAAGAAUGCAACCAUGAAAGUAGAGAAGAGAGUGGAUGACUUCCUUGGAGAGGUAUGGAGAAAGGGGUUCAGAAAAAGGCUUUGCACAUGAGGUGAUAUUUAAAGGGUCCCUACAAAUGAGUAGGAAUUUAUUUUAGGGAGAAGGGUGAGAAGAGGCAAAUGUGGGGUUCUGAAAGAAUAGGACUCAUGGGAGAUGUGGCUAGGGAGGGGCUGGGUGACGAAGGGCCUUGGGUGUCCUGCUAGAGGAUUUGAUUAUGCUUUGUAAGUGCUGGAAUUAAGGCUGGGAAGUGACAGGAUUUAGCCUGUAUUUAGAGUGGGGCAGGGACUGAGGCAGGUCUCCAUGAAGGCACCAUGGCAUUCUUCUCUGCAGCCUUGUGGGUGUUUUUAGGGCAGUAGAGGAUGAAGCCUGAUCGAUGAAGAUGCUGUUAACUGAGGUGGGGAAUUUGGAGUGCAGAAGAGUUGUGAGCAUGGGAGCAAGGGAAAGGGGAAUGGAGGUCAUGGAUUUCAAAUGUAUCCGAUGCUGAAUUCCAGAUGCCUUUGGGAAAUCCAAGGGGAUGUAGUCAGGAGGCAAGUUGUGACAAAAGACUGGCUCUGUGGAGAGAAGUGGGAUCUAGGAAUUUAUAUAUAGAAGUUAUCAGCAUGUAAAAAUUGUGCACUAUUGGUAUGAAUGAAAUCACCUUUGGGGAAGCAUUAAGCGGGCUUAGAAGAUGCUUCUUGGCAUUAAACCAUCUCUUAUACUGACGAAGCAGUCUAGAGUGUUGAGUCCCCUUUGCCUAGAGGCAUCUUUUCUUUUUUUUAAUUUAAAUACAAUUUUGCUAACGUAUAGCACAGUAUUGGUUUUAGGAGUAGAAUCCAGUGGUUUAUCACUUACAUACAACACCUAGUGCUCAUCACAACAGGUGUCCUCCUUAAUACCCAUUAUUCAUUUUAGUGCAUCCCCCACCCACCUCCCUCCAUCAACCCUGUUUGUUCUCUAUCAUUAAGAGUCUCUGGGGCGCCUGGGUGGCUCAGUCCGUUAAGUGUCUGACUUCAGUUCAGGUCAUGAUCUCACAGUCUGUGAGUUCGAGCCCCGCAUCAGGCUCUAUGCUGACAGCUCAGAGCCUGGAGCCUGCUUCAGAUUCUGUGUGUGUCUCCCUCCCUCCCUCCCUUUCUCUCUCUCUCUCUCUCUCUCUCUCUCUCUCUCUCUCUCCCUCCCCCCCUUCCCCCGCUCAUGCUGUGUCUUCCUCUCUUUCUCAAAAAACAAGCAUUAAAAAAAAGUCUCUUGUGGUUUGUUUCUCUUUCUCCUAUCCCUGCACCCCUUCCCAUAUAUUCAUCUGUUUUGUUUCAUAAAUUCCACAUAUUAGUGAAAUCAUAUGGUAUUUUUCUUUCUCUGAUUGACUUAUUUCGCUUAGCAUAAUACAGUCUAGCUCCAUCCAUGUCAUUGCAAAUGGCAAGACUUCAUUUUGAUGGCUAAGUAAUAUUCCAUUGUGUAUAUAUGGAUUCAGGUAGAAAGAUCUUGAGAUUAUUUUUAUGAUUCAGUUCUUCAUCUUCACCAAUACUAAUCAAGUUAAUUCAACACCAUGACCAGGCCUGAAGUGUAGGAAAGUCACUGUAUUAGGUACUGUAGGUUUUACAAAAGGAGUAAACCCUCCCUUCAAGGAACUUCUAACUUCUUAGAGAACAGUAAGCAAGUGACUGUAAGGCAAAGUAGAAGAAAUUACCAUUUAUGUUAACAAAUAGGAUGCUCUGAAUGUUCAAAGAUGAAGGGAUUAGUAUGUUUGCAGAGGACAAGGAAAUGUUUCAUAGAGAAGAUGGUCUUGAAGAAUGAACAGGUUAAUGAUCAUCAGUUGCUAGAGAUUAGUGAUAGAAGGAACAAUCAAAUCAAAGUGGCAGAGGAUUAAAUUCAGCUGGUUUGUAAGAAACACUGUGAGGCAAACCUGAGAAGGUGGGUCAAGGCCUUGAAUACUAGGGUGAAAAGAUUGUAUUUAAUUUCAUAGUUUGAAGAACUCCAACUCUCUUUCAACAACAUUUCAGAGGUCGAGCUAGGCCUUCCCCAGUUCAGAACAAAUGGGCGUUAGAACUGUGAUCCUUUCUCAAGGAGAAAGUUAAUUGAUUGACAUUACAAAGUCAUCAUAUAUAGUCAACUAAAAUUGAAAUCCACUUCUGAAGACAGAUGCUGUUUGUUCAGGACUAAGCCACAGCCCCCAUUCCCAUUCCCUUAGAUCCAGAUCUGUAUUUUCUUGGCACAAGAUUCCCUUGAGGGGACUGCUCUUGUUUUUCUCGUGAGUCAUUUGUUAUCUUAAAUAUUGGCAUCUGUGAGAUAAGAGUUUUCUAAAUCACAUUUACAGAAUGCUUGUAAACACUCCUCAUGUUUAGAACAGGUUUCUUCAUUGACCUUGUGCCAUUGAUGUGCUUGAAGCUAUUUCAGGGCAUUAAAUUCCCCAAAGCUUUACUAUGGAAACAUACUCCCAGGUCAUAACUCUUCCCUCUGCCUGGGCGUGGGCCCCAAACGUUUAUGUGGCGGCUGACAUAACCAAUCCAACAGGAUUUUCAGUAAAACCUGAGCUGCCAUAGGGAUACAAUAUUUCUUUUCCUAAUUGCUCAUCAUUUCAUACUAUUUCUUCUAACAGCAAUUGAGGAUGACAUUACACUCCCUUUUAUGUCAGUUGAUAAUGCAUAAUUCACUCGUGGAACAGCCAACGACUGUAUUUACUAACACAUUAAAAAACAUCAAUGUGUAUUCAGGCUACAGCCAUUUUUACACCAGUAUUUUAUGUGUGCAUCAAAUGGUGGAAUUGUGAAAAAGGGGCUUCAUUCUUAUAAAAUGCAUCUCCCACCCUUAUAGACAGAAUGUACAACUGAAGGCCUGUGAAUAAACAGAUGCACUGGUUAUUCUCUGUAGCAUACCCCAGUGACCCCCAUCCCAGCCCAAUUCCAUUUUCUGUCCUUCCCUGCCUUGCUUUGCUCUUGGGAGGCUGUCUACUGCAGAUUGCAUCACCUGGGCCCCUCUGCCACUGGCCCUUGAUUGAGUUUGGCCAGUGGGAGACACCAGUAAAAGACCAGAGGAGAGGAGAGAGAUUAUGGUAUUUCUUUCCUGCUCUUUCCGUGUUUUUCUCUCUCUCUUAGUGCUGUGUUUCUGGCAGUAGCUAUACCCUGCAAUCACUGUAGCCUUUUUUGGGUUCUGAGUACCCUAAUUCUUCCCCUUGUCCCUUCUACCCUGGAAGUGUAACAGCUUUUAUCAGAUUUUAGUCCCUAGGUGCCUCAGUAUCCCCACCCAUCACUCUAUAGGUAACCCCUUUACAGAGAUCUCUUCAUUAGAGCCAUUUGGGGUAUAUUGCAUUUUCCAUCGAGAUUCUGAGGGAAACACAAUAUAUUACAGUUUCCAAAUAAAUUAUUUGGCAAAUAAGCUCUCUGUUCACCUUGCCCAUAACCUGCCUGGACCUUUCUUUCAUGGCCAUCAAGGGGCUCACUAUGGAAAUAUCAAAAGCAAUUAAUUAUAGAAAAUUGAAGCUUACUUCUAAAAAAAUGGGGUCAGAAUAUUCUACUUUGAAUGAAGACACUAUAUUGUAGGUUUUAUAUGCAUAGCUUAUGGGAGCAUAUAAGAUGAUAAAGUUUUGAUGUGAAUAAUGUGUUCACUGAUGAAAAAAGGUCAGAGGAAGAGGUGUAGUGGAUCAAAUCCAUGUGAUUCAGCAGACAUAUAUUUUUAAGUGAGAAAAGAAAAGGUAGGAUAUUUAAGAAACACAACAGUUGAAUAUAGGGGAAGGGAAGGGAUGAUAAGAUAAAAAAAGAGGGAGGUAAACCAUUAGAGAGUCUUAAAUAGAACAAACUGAGGGUUGCUGGAGGGGAAGUGGGUGGGAGGGGGAUGGGCUAAAUGGGUGAUUAAGGACACUUGUGAUGAGCGCUGGGUGUUAUAUGUUAAGUGAUGAAUCACUGAGUUCUACUCCUGAAACCAGUGCUACACUGUAAACUAACUUGAAUUUAAACAAAGAAAGAAAAAGAAGGGUAAGUGUAAAAGGAAUAUUGAAAAAUACCUAAAGCUCUUCCUACAUACACUGGUUCUUGAAAAAGGUUUGCUAGUAGUGAUCUGUGUGAUUAGGGUAGGAUGGAAGGUUGUGAAAUUACAUCCAAUACCAAGUGCUCUUUUAUAGGAAAUGCAUAGAUUGCUCAGUAUGAGAAUUCUGGAGAUCUAGAUCCACUCUCAGUUCUGCUGAGAGAGCUUCACCACGUCACUGAGCCUCAAUUUUGCCAUGGACAAAUGGGGAUAAUUAUAGCCAUUUUAGGUGUUUCAUAGGAUCUCUAGGAUUAUAAAAUUUAAUUAUAGACAUGAAAGCACUGGGGUGCACACACAUGUUAUACACUACUAAAAUAAGAUCUUAAUGUAUUUUAUCUCAUUAGAAAUUAAGCCUAAAUGUUUUUUCCUCUUUCAAUGUGAAAAAUAUAUAUAUUUGGAAGCCAGACUUGUUGCUUGAGGACAUAUCUCAUGGGGCUCAGUAGGACCGAGAGUUCCAGAAAUAAACCCUGAAACCAUUUUGCCUGUUUGAUGUCUUAUACACAGAGGAGGCUCAAUACACAUUUGUGGACUAGAUUUAUUUUAUCUAAAAUUGGUCCAGGUAUCGUUAACAUUUUAAUGACUGCAAUGGCAUAGACCUAAGUGACUUUUUCUGUCAUGCCUCAGUUUUGAUUAGAUCACAGCUAAAUUAGUGGGCAAGUUCUCAUGUUCAGAAUAAGGACUGAAAGUGAUAGUUCUCACUGGGCUUUCAUAUGAUUAACAAUACAGAAAGUGCUGGAAACUCUAUUGUGUUUAGUGACUUUGUAGAGCAAGUAAUGAAGGAAUAUUCAGAAAAUUCUGAAUUUGGUAGAAAUAACAGUAGGCUUUUAAUAAAGAAGAGUGGAUAUAAUUGAGAUAGUCUCUUCCUACAAAAAAUGGGAAGAGAGAAUCUUUACCAUUGAAAUAGCAUAAUCUCAGCCAUCAGAAAAAUCUUUAUCGCCAACUGCUUGACCUUGGAGCAGCUUUUUGUAAAUCUCUCUGGGUCUCAGUCUCCCCAUUUGUAAAACAGAUGUAAAAUGGCAAGAAUGAUAUAUAUUUUAGUGCUUUCAUUGAUCAAAUGCUCAUCUCAGUGCCUGGCAUAGACUAGGUCCUUAAUAGCAGUUAUUAUCUGUGAAAACAAUAAUCUGACUUCAGUUUGCCAUCUUUUCUCCAGGGUGUAUUCAUCAAUAUAGGCUAUACUUUGUUAAAGUAAAACUUUGAAAUAUGUGUGGCUUAACACGAGAAAGGUGUAUUCAUUGCUCAUGUCAUAUUGUGACAUGGAUUAGGUGGUUCUCCUCCAGGAGGUGACUCAGGGAUCUGGGAUUCUUCCAUCAUGCAGUUAUGUCAGCUAAGACCCAUGGUUUCAGUGGAAAGAGAAGCAGUGGGAAAUACUGGCACGUAGCUUUUAAGAGCCAGGGCUAGAAGUGGCCUUACAUCGCUUCUAUCUACCUUUCAUUGGCCAAAACAGAGUUGCAUAGCCUCUGACCUAAUUGCGAGAAAGGCUGGAAAAUUUAGUUUUCAUAUGUCCUCAAGAAAAUAAAAAUGAUGUAUGUCUGUUACACAUGGGAGGUGGAAGACUCACUGAUCCUAAAACAAUAGACUGAUAAAAUGCUUGUUUGGUAUAUUUGGUAGUUUUCCCAAUUUUUUAUGUGACAGUGUAUCAGGACCUUGUUUUGUAAAACCCUCAGUCCUUGGAAAUGAUCAAGCAGAUUCUAGUCCACCAUGAAAGGUGCAGCAUGAAGGGACCUGAGGCUUGAGCUUCUUCCUGCCUCUGCCCUGGACAAGCAGAAGCAGAAAAAGGAGUGAAGGUUAUCAGCCUGGAAAAUGAGGAACAUGUGGUGAGGAGUCGUUUGGCUGCAGGGAUCUGCCAGGAAGCAGAGGUGAUGUAAAGCUGCUUUGGGCUUUAGCAGAUAAAGCAGGAGGCCAAGAAGAUCCUCCAGGAUUAAGAAGAAGAAAAGAUCUGGGGUUAUCAUGGUGGUUAGAGGAAGAGAAGCGGUCAGCUCCCCUUGUGGAGGGUGUAAUGGCAAGGCAGUGUCAGAAUCAGGACUAGUAGUAAAAAUCUCAGAAAAUAGUCACUCUAAAACCCAGGAGGAGCCUUUAACUUAGAAGAAAGGUUUUAAUUGUCCCAUACCUUUUUAAAAAAUCAUGUUGGCCCAACUAUAUUUUACAACCUUUUUUUUUCUACCAAUAACAUUUACAUUUGGUAAAUGUGGGGGUGGUGGUAGGAUCUAGACUUUAUAUUUGACAUUUUACUGAUGAUACAGUUUUAGUGUAAAAUGCAUGGAAAAUUUGGGCCUCAAACUCUUAAGCAUUGCUCACUUCUGUAUAUGCAUUUACUCUGAGUCUACUGUAAUUAAUUCUUUUCUUUCUUAAGCCUCUACUCAAGUAGUAUCUCUUCCAUAAAGCCUUCCCUGCGGAUUUUUGCCAGCAUGGUCUGUGGCUAAUGUAAUGUCCACAUUACAUUACCAGACAUGUAAUGUCCAUGUGGCAUUACCAGACAUGUAAUCACCGGCCACCUUAUAAAUUUCUUGGUUUGUUUCAUGUUGUUUAAUUCUAGGAUUAGUAUUGAACUUUUAUUGUGAUCAUCUCUGGGCUCUGCAACCUGAGCCCCAACACAAAGCAUCAUAGUCGAUGCUCCAUAAAUGCAUCUUGUGUUGAUGAAUACAUGCCAUAACCAGACAAAUUAGAGGUAGAAGCUGAAUUAUGUAACAGGAAAUGAAAACAUGCCCCCAAGCAGAGUUGCCUUUGUAAGAAUUCAGAUUUGGGAGUGUGGUGUUGGAGUUAUCUCUGUUGGUACUUUUAUGCAUCAUUGAGAGGAGAGAUGCUAUUCACGGAUGCAGCAUCCUUUCUUCUUAAGUGAAGUGACAGGGAAUUAAGCUGGAGCCUCAUCAAGCACAUCUAGAAAUACCCAUUUGUCAAUCUCCUGUUGGGAGAAUGAAUCAUACUCUGUGACUUUAAGAGGAAAUUAAUGCUAUAGAUGUAUAUAAUAUUUUCCCAGGAAUAUUGUUCCUGGGAUAACUAUAAAUAUAAAGGAAUUUCUACACUCAUGGGAAAUAGGAUUAUUCUGACGACCCCUGGAGAUGGGAGAAAGAGAGCUUGUGGAGUAGGCAGGCAUCUGUCUACCUAUGUGAAAGUCCAGUGUCUGCAGUGCCCACUGGAUUUAAAAUCCUGCAGUAGACUCUGUGUCAGGCCCCGUGCAGUCCCAGUGCUUACUCCUCAGAACACAGCUCUCUUUAGACUCUGAUCAGCACCAGAGGGAACAACCUGGCCAGUCACCCGCAACUUUCGACUCAUCUGCUUUUCCUUGGAUUGAAUAAAAAUAUAUUGGGCAUCAGCUGCUCAGGUACUGGGAAGAGAGAGCUAAUUUGGGCUCCCAGUGAAAAGGCACAUCAGAGAAUAUUAGUAAAAUCACAGUUUUUAGAGUCAGAUCUAAACCUCAGAAUCCCAGGACUUUGCAUUCUCUUUGCUGUUUAUAUUGAACUGUUCAUUUCUUGUAUACUAACUGUGCAUUAGGUAUUAUGCUAAGUUACACAUAUUAUUUCAUUUCAUCUGUAUAAUAUUCCUAUUCUCAUUUAUUCAACAAAUCUGUAUUGAACACCUGUUAUGUGCCUGGAAAUGUCCUAGGUCCAGAGAGUACAAUAAUGUAUAUUAUGGACAAAAAUACCACUCAUAUUGACCUUACCUUCUGGUAGUUGAAACAGAUAAUAAGCAAAAUAAAUAAGUAAAAUAAUCAGUGUGUGAAUUGGUGAUAAGGUUUAAGGGAAAAAACGGGGUAGGAAAGGACAGGAUGGCCGGGAAGGCUUCAGAGAGAAGGUGAAUGUUGAGUACAGACCUGAAAGGGGAAAGGAGUGAGCCAUGUAAGUACUUGGGAAAAGAAUAUUGCAGAGACAGGAAGCCUAAAGUGCAAAGCCCCAGAGAACAGCAAGGAGGCCCUUGGCUAUCAUGGGAAUGAGCAGAGAGUGGAUGCUGGGAGGUGAGAUCAUGAUGCCUUGUAGGUACCCCAUAAGGAAUCUGGCAUUUACAGUGAGUGAGAUGGGAAACCAUCCGAUAGUUUGAGCAAGUAAAAGAUGCAGUCUGACUCACUGGUUAAUGGCUUCACUGAAGGUGUGUGGGGCAGAGAGAGAAUUGGGAAACUCACAGUUGUCUGCAUGAGAUGAUGGUGGCUUGGACAAGGGUUCUAGAAUUGGACUUGGUAAAAAAGAGUUUAGGGGUGCCUGGGUGGCUCAGUCGGUUGAGCAUCUGACUUUGGCUCAGGUCAUGAUCUCACAGCUUGUGGGUUCAAGCCCCACGUUGGGUUCUGUGCUGACAGCUCAGAGCCUGGAGCCUACUUCAUAUUCUGUGUCUCCCUCUCUCUGCCCCUAACCCACCUGCAUUCUGUCUCUGUCUCUCUAAAAAAAAAAAAAAAGAGUUUAGGUUAAGGAUAUGUUUUAAAGGUAGAGCCAACAGGAUUUCCCUGCACAUUGGAUAUGGGGUAUAAAAGAAAGAUGAUGAUAAUAAGGGUUUAGACCUAAUCAGUUGGAAGAAUGAAGAUGCCAGGUAAUUAGCUCAGAAAAGAGGAUGGGAGAAACAGGUGUAGGGGAGAUAUUAGCAGCUCUAUUCUACAUAUGUUCAGUUCUAGGUGCUGGUGAGAUACUCAAGUUUAGAUGUGGAAUAGGAGAUGUACAAAUAUGGAGUUAGGGAAGAAGUUCACAUUAUAAAUCUACAUUUUAGUAUCAUCAGCAUAUGGAUGAUGUUUAAAGCCAUGAGCGUGGAUAAGAUAACCAAGGAAAUAAUAAUAAUAAUAAUAAUAAUAAUAAUAGUAAAGAAACUAAGACUUAGGGCAGUUAAACAACUUACCCUAUAUCGUGUAGCAAUGGCAGAUCAGUGACUUAAAUCCUGGUCUGUCUGACCACCAAGCCUGUCUUCUUCACCAGCAGAGUGUCCUGCCUUCUGUGAUGGCUGAUAAUGAAUAGUUUCCCUGGACUUGACCAACUGGAGAGUUGGAUCUGAUGGCAGAAAAGAAUGAUCCAUUGGAAUUUGGAAGAGUCCAACAUGGAGAAACCAAAAAGACUCCUGUUCCUUCCCUAGUUCUCCAGAACAUGUUGACGAUAAUGUCUUACAUUAAAAAAAAUACUUCUAGAAGAGUGUACUAACAAUCCUAACUCUUUACUCUUCCCUGCAUCCGUGCCCUUUGCCUUGGAACAUUCCAGUUUCACCCACCACAGAGGCAGAUCAUGCCCUUCACCCCUUACUUCAGGUUCACCAAUGUGACUUGUUUUGGCUGAUGGAAUGUUAGAAGGCAUCAAGUGAUCCAAGGCUUGAGAAGCUCUUGUGUGACUGGCUUGCCCUAUUAUGCCUAUCCCAUGGUCCUGGGAAGAACAUGCCUGGGCUAGCCUGCUGAUUUCAGGAGGAGGAUGAGGAACAGAUGGACCAGAGAUGGUCUGCCUCUCUGAGCCCUGCCUGGACCAGUCAACUCCAGUCUGACCACAAGACAUGUGAAAGGGGUUAGUAUCCAAAAUCUAUAAAGAAAUUAUCAAAUUCAACACCCAAAAAACAAAUAAUCCAGUGAAGAAAUGGGAAAAAGGCAUGAAUAGACACUUUUCCAAAGAAGAUAUCCAGAUGGCUAACAGACACAUGAAAAGAUGCUCACCAUCACUCAUCAUCAUUGAAAUACAAAUCAAAACCACAAUGAAAUACCCCCUCACACCUGUCAGAGUGGCUAAAAUGAACAACUCAGGAAACAACAGAUGUUGGCAAGGAUGCAGUGAAAGGGGAAGGAACACUUCUGCACUGUUGGUGAGAAUGCAAACUGGUGCAGCCACUCUGGAAAACAGUUCAGAGGUUCCUCAACCAAUUAAAAAUAGAAAUACCUUAUGACCCAGCAAUUGCACUACUAGAUAUUUAUCCAAAGAAUACAAAAAUGCUGAUUCAAAGGGGCACAUGCACCCCAAUAUUUAUGGCAGUAUUAGCAACAAUAGCCAAAUCAUGGAAAGAGCCCAAAUGUCCAUCAAAAAAUCAUAUAAAUCCAUCAUAUAAAUCCAUCAUAUAAAGAUGUGGUGUAUGUAUAUAUAUAUAUAUAUAUAUAUAUAUAUAUAUAUAUAUAUGUAUAUACACACACACACACACACACACACACAAAAUGGAAUACUACUUGGAGAUCUAAAAGAAUGAGAUCUUGCCAUUUGCAACAAUGUGGAUGGAACCAGAGUGUAUUAUGCUAAGCAAAAUAAGUCAGAGAAAGACAAAUACCAUAUCAUUUCACUCACAUGUGGAAUUUAAGCUACAAAACAGAUGAACAUAAGGGAAGGGAAGCAAAAAUAAGAUGAAAACAGAGAGGGAGACAAACCAUAAGAGAUUCUUAAAUACAGUGAACUGAGGGUUUCUGGAGGGGAGGUGGCUGAAGGGGAUGGGCUAAAUGGGCAAUGACCAUUUAGGAGGGCACUUGUUGGGUUGAGCACUAGGUGUUAUAUAUAAGUGAUGAAUCAUUAAGUUAUAUUCCUGAAAUCAUUAUUACACUAUAUGUUAACUAACUUGGAUUUAAAUGAUAAUAAAAAAAAAGACGUGUGAGUAAAGCCUGCUGAAAUUAGGAAAGCUGCUCAGAGAAGCCCCACUGGUUCAGACAACCCACACAUCAGGGAGGAGAAAUUAAUUCUUUAAGCCACUGAGUUUAGGGCUGUUUUUCUAGGCAGCACAAUUUUUUGUUUUUGGCAAUAACAAACUGAUAUAGCACCUUUCAAAGCACAUCCAUAGACACUGCCUCAUGUGAAUCUCAUGGUAAUUUUGUGAGGCUGAAACCACUACUACCCCCUUAUACCUCUGGUGGAAGGAAGCUUAAGCUCAGAGAUGUCUCCUGACUUGCCAUAUAGUAUGUAGCUAGUAAAUGAGAGAAUGAGAAUCCAAGCAAGGGACAGCUUCUGGUCAAGUCUCCUGCCCUCAUGAGUUCACUAUUUUGCCUUCUUCUUUGCCAAUCAGAGAGCCUGGGGCCAACCAUUUGGAAAGACAGUUUGCUCUCAUGAGAUCCUGGGAGCAGCAUCUUCCUUGUCAUUCUAGAGCUCCUGUUUUACAUAACUAGUUCUUGAUUUAUUUUAUUGGUGACUCACACAUACACAUGCGUAAACUCACUCACUGGGUGAACUGAAUCUUGCUUUUCUCAUAUGGCUUAAGUGAAUCUAUUCAGGCCAGUGACAGGGUGGAGAAGGCUCUGGCCCUAAGCUCAAGGAAGACUCCACCCCAUUCUCCAGACCCCAUGACUGAAAGCUUUCUCUCUCUUCCAUGGCCUCUGCAUCUACACAUCCAACAGACUGCAUCAAAGUCCAAAGACGUCUCUAUUUCCCACAGCAGUUCUCCUGGGGAGCAUGCUGAAUUCUGGGAAAACACUUACGUGAAUGGCACAGUGGUUUGUCUGUCUCAUGAUCCACUUCCUUAAAAUUAAAGCCAUUUUUAAAAAAUUUUUUAAAUUUUCUUUAUUUCUGAGAGGCAGAGAGAGACAGAGUGCGUGUGGGGGAGGGGCAGAGAGAGAGGGAGACACAGAAUCUGAGGCAGGCCCCAGGCUCUGAGCUAUUAGCACAGAGCCUGAUGCGGGGCCCAAAUUCGGGAACCAUGAGACCAUGACCUGAGCCGAAGUCGGAUGCUCAACCGACUGAGCCACCCAGGCUUCCCAUAAAGCCAUUUUUUAAUUUUCUGCCAACGAAGCAGGGGCUCAUAUGUUGUCCAGGGAAGCCUUCUUUGUUAUUUGUGUUCACAGGAUGUUCCAAGUUAGAACGUGACCUAAGACUUCAGAUAAAUGAAAAUGGUUCCUCCUGACAAAAAGGUUGGAGUUUUUAAUAGAUGUUAAGAGUAGCAUCAGCCUUCUGUGGCUGUGGCAGGGGGUGCUAGAUGGGGAUGGGAGUGUCCUCAUAGUCUAGAAGACAGGGCUCUCUCACCCUCACCUUUUCAGUUUCAAUCCCACUUUCCUGUAGGCAAAACCCCCCUCCUGCGAGGCGAGCCUCCCCACUCCCUCCCCUCCCACCACACCAGGUGGUUUCCCACCUUUGUGAUUUUAUUCACACCAUUCUCCUGCCCCAGUGUUCUUUCCCAGCCACGCCAGUUAUGUGGCAGGUACUGUUCUGGGUGCUGUGAAAUAUAUAAAAAUGUCUUCCUUUAUGCCCCUUUGCAUUUAAGUAAAUAGACACUACUAACAAGUAAGAUGUCACUGAUGACAACAAUAGGUGAUAAGAGUUACAGAGAAAGAUAACAGGUGGGUAUUAGAGAGUCAUGGGGGAGAGGGCUGCAAUGUUAAUUAGGAUGUUCUGGGAAUGUUUCACUGAGAAGAUGCCAUUUGAACGAUGACCUGAAGGAGGUAAGGGUGAGCCCGACAGUCAUCUGAGAAUUCAGUGAGUAUACCAGGUAUGUUUGGAGAAUAUUAAGAGCCUCUGUGUGAUUGAAAUGGAGUUGGGGGGGGGGGGUGUUGAAGGAAAGUAGUAGUAGAUGAAGGCAAUGAGACAAGAAGCCAGAAGAGUGACAUGUCUGACUUAAGUUUUAAUUGGACCUUCCUAACUACUGUGUGGAAAAUAGUCUGUAGUGGGGGCAAACCCGAAAGUGGGGAAACUAAUUAGGAGGCAAUUACAGUUAUCCAGGUGGGAGAUGAUGGGUUUGGCCAAGAGAUAGUGAUGGAUACAAGAAGUAGUAGUCAGGUUCUGUAUGUAUUUUGUAGGUACAGCUGAUAGAAUUUGGAUGGGAGUAUAAAAGAAUAAACAGGGAUGACUCCAAGAUUUAUAGAUCUGCAAGGUGAGUAUCUGUCCUCCUUCAAGGGCCAGCUCCAGCUGCCACUACUCUAGCAAGACUUCAUCGAACACUUCAGAAAUCUGUCUUCUAAACAAAUAUCAUUUAUGGGCCAUUUAUCAAGUACUGCUCUGAGCUAAGAGCUUUUCCUUUUUCAUGCUUUUAUGUCUCUUCUUCCCAACAAGUUUGUAAGCUGUUAAAGAGCUGAAGCUGUGUCUGAUGCUUCUCAGCAUCUCCCAAAGUUCAAGAAGUAGUGUCUAACACAAAAGGAAUACAAGUUGCCUUCUAAUUAUGAAUUGAUAUAGGAUUGUGGAGUCUUAGUAUUCCUAUCCAAUAGGCAUGUCACAGCCACAGGGUGUGUGUGUGUGUGUGUGUGCGUGCGCGUGCAGAAUCCAGGGACCAGACACAAGUGGAGUGGAGUCAGGGGAGUGCAGGUGCACUGGCUAGACCAGGCUCUCACAGUGGAAGGUAUGCUGUCCUCUUCAUACCAGACUGCACCCCGGUGUAAUCCACAUGGUGUGGUAUUAAUGAGAGAACUUUCCAGCCAUGGUAAAUGAAAAAUAUAAAAAUAAAAUGGCUCUAAGCAAGGGCUGGAGUGAUCUCUAGCUUCUCUUAGUUCUAAUAUUCAAAGUGGUUCAAAAGUUCUAUUUACACUAAAUGACUCCUCUAAAACUUUUGGUCCGAAACCAUUUUUUUAAGUUACUAUUUAUUAUCUUGAAACCUUGUGGAAUGUGUGUGUGUGUGUGUGUGUGUGUGUGUGUGUGUGUGUACACAUGCACACGCAUGUGUGUAGUUAGGCUUCAAGACUAAUUGGUCAUUCUGAAUUCUAAAUAGCCAGAAAAGGAGGCAGAUGGAUGAAGCUCCAGGAGGUGAGAGAUAUGUGACUGCUUAGUCAGUUUUUGUCAAUUGGUUGAUAAAUGACCCUCAGGACUAGGAAGUGAGAUCCCAGUCUCAGAGUCAGCUGAGAGGCCUAGAAAAAGGAGAGUCUCCUUGUGAGCUCUUGAGCUUCUAGACCAGUGUUUUUCAUCCUCUGGAUUGAGAUAUAGUAGUGGGUUAUGAGAUCAAUUUAGUGGGCUGCAACCAGCAUUUUUAAAAAUUGGAAUAAAAGAGACAAUAAAAUAUGAAAGUGUCUUCAUGAAUGAUGGUUUUAUUUUGGGAAACUUUGUUUUAGUGUUGUGUAUUUAUGGAUGUGUAUGUGUAUGUCCUAAAUAACAAUGUAGACUCUAUUUCAAAUAAGCUUAAAAUACAUUUUAAAAAAGGGAAACCACUAUUCAAGACAAUUUGGAGGCAAGUGAAAGAUCUAAUUUAGAGGGAGACCCUUCACUCUUUGAGCCCCUUCCCCCAGUGACCAGCACACUGAGUCCUGUGUUUUCCAGGAGGUAGCCAGCCACAUGGUCUACACUCACACAUGAAUCUCUUAAAGGGAAUUAGUGCUGUCUACAGUCACAGGUAACACACACACAUGUGCCAGCACAUAUGCACACCUUCACUUGGAAGAGCACCCCCGCCCAGCUCUGGGAGACAUCCCUAAGCCCUGGUAGAUUCUUAGAAUUCAGCAUUCAUCCAAGGAUGAAAUUCAGGAAAAGGGGGCUGUUGGUUUCUUGCCUGAAGCUGCCUCUAAAGCUUCAUUAAAGAGGUCUCUCCUCUUCCCUCCCUACACAUGCUACUGUUUGCUGGAGCCACACAUGAGCCCUUAUUUAGCAUGCACUUCUAAGCAAGGAGCAUUGACUUCCUCUUAAUUGAGGCAUAAUAAUUAGAGCAUUAGCACAUUAGGAGGGUGAGACAGCAUGUUUAGCUUUUGUGAUUAAUUAUCUGAGGAUUGUAAUAAGUUGUUAAGACAUUAAUUACGCUGGCAUGUUUACUGCGCUAGGUUGCACAGGCAAUGCUUUGCCGUGGCAAGUUGUAACAUGUCUAAGGAGGUAGCCGUGAUGGGAGGCACAAGUGGGUUGGGUCACCUACGUGUGUCUGUGGAGCACUGCAGCCCUGUCUGAGAGAGCUGGAGUCAAUGCCUGCUUUUCUUCCUGGUUGUGUGUGGACUCAAGAUGUAGAGGAAUUAGCUUUUCUUUUAAUGCUGACUCAGUGAAACGAAGUCACUUGAGCUCUCCAAGUUCAAAGCUUUUCAACCCUAGAGGUCAGUAAAAACAUAAAAUAUGUCCUACUCUAGACAAAUACAGACUUGUGGGUCUUCCCCUCAGGCACAAGAAUGCAUCUGUCUGUUGUGUUGGUGGGCAGCCUGUCCUAGGGAAGAAGAGAUACCAGGGGGGAGAACCCUGGGCUCCCGAGCUGGGCAGGAGCAAGGAGGGGGGUCCUGGAACCUCUGGACAGAAGCAUGAGAGAGAAGGCACUGUCCGUGGUCUUUCCGAUGUCACGGGGUGGGACCACCUGUGCUGGAAAGGCAUAACCAUAGGCUGGGUGUGCAGAGCAUGAUGGAGGCAGACAACGGUACUUCUAACUUAAAGAGGUAACAGAAACUUACUACCGGAGAGAUCAUUUACUAGUUGAUUGUUUCAGGCUCUUUAUGUAGACUUUCCUAGGAAGUCGUUACUUGUUCUUGCUGAGAGGCGAGGUCAGCGAGAGAAGCCCAGGAGGUGCGUAGAAUGCACAUGUUGAUCUAAUGUUAAAUGAAGCCACCACCAGGCUGUAUAACUACACUCAUGCUCAGCUUAGGUGGGUGGACUAGUGGGAAGUGUGCCUUUAAAGGUAAAGAGCUGAUACAUUUUUUCAAGAUUAUUUUGUUUAAUGUUAUAAAUGCCACAUUUGUAAAAAAUCAGCAAAGAUUAGAAAUAAGAUUUUAUUUAAUCUCUAUUACUCUGCCUUGAAUGGUUAUUUAUAUUGUAAUAAACAUGUGUAGUUGCCAAAGGAUGUGGUGCUCUUCCUAAAAUUGUCUACAUAACACACUCAUAUUAACUCCCCAUUAAUUUUCUCAUUUCCCCAUUUAUUUAGCAAUUUGAAAGUUCUAAAUAAUUAGUUUUGUUCUUAAAAUUAACAGCUUUCACAAUCACCAUUAAUUUUUGAGGCAUUUUAGCCUUGCAGUAAUAAAUGUAUAUUUAAACCAUAACCGACUGAUAGAGUUUCAACACAUAAAGCACAUAAGGAGAUGUUCAUUUCAAAGUCUGUGUGCAAUGCUUUCAUAUAUUUGAAAGUGAAUACCCAGAUAUUAACAAUAAAUUCAAAUGACAUGGCUUUUUUUUUUCUUUAAAGGAAUAAUCGUGAAUAGAAAAGCUGGUGAACUAGGUGAUCACACACUCAGUGAUCACACAUACUUUCAGGGGUCCUGGAAAUUAUGUUGAAGCGGGCCUUUGCCUAUUUAGCCUUCCAAUGGCCAUAAUCAAACAGAAGAAGAGAUUUUGGCCAAGCCCCAGGUCUGAAGGCUGACUUUGGUAUAUCCCAGUCUAAUUUAUGAAAAUGCAAAGGCAGCUUCUGCAUAGGGUAAAUUACCUUCAUCACGAGUUUGGGGCCGGUGUCUUUAGGGCAGGGUUGAGAAGGCGUCAUUUAAACAGAAAGACCUGAUGUCCAAGACCACAGCGGGAGUCAGGGUGGAACCUGGACAGGAGCUGCUCACCCCUGCCGCCAUCUUGUAUCUCUGUAUCCAGCCUAGUCGGGCCUGCGGAAGGAAGCAGGGGAGGGUGAUUUGUCAGCCUGAGCUGGAACUGGUGGGAAUCACCAGCUUUCAGAGCCCCAAGGAGGCCUGUGGCCUGGAAAUGUGGGGAGGUGUGAGCAGAGCCCUGGUACCCCCUCACACAGAGAGUUCCUUUCUCAGCUCCCUUUAAGAAUGUUCUAAAUUCAGAGCAAGUCUUUCUGAGCCUUUUUACCUUGGAGUUCUUAGGGUCUGCCCUGCCAGGCUGGGCCAGAGAGAGACCUUUUAGACUCCAGAACAUACCCCUGACCUGCAGGUGGAGGCCUAAUGGGUUUCAGAUGCUACAGAGCAUACAGUCUUUCUCAGCUCAGAGCUUUCCCCCUCACUUUCCUGCUCUUUCUCACUGCCUCAUUCUGCUCAGAGCAAGGUGUAGUUUGCUGAUAUCCCACUAGACUGUUACUAGAGCUUGGAAGAUGGAAGUUAUCAUGACUAAAUACAUUUCAAGUCUUCCACACAUAUCUGAGUACAGCAAACAUUAAAAAUUAAUGCCUCUAAUAAUAAAACCCAGAAUAAAAAUGCUGUUAUUACUAAUUGUAAUUUAUUGCAAACUGGUAGUGUGUUGAGUGCUCUGAAGACCAUAAAGGUGAAAAACAGCCUUCUUUGUACAGGUGAGUGGGAUGAAUGAUUUCCUCACUCCUGAGAUUCCUUGCGCAAGGAUACUUCCUUGCCCAGCUAUCUCAGGAACACCUUCUUCCUGGUUGUAGGCCAAGGCUGCCCCUCAACGGUGGGGGAAGAAGAAGGAAGUCUUUGAGCCAUUUAAAGGGGGUGAUGAUAGGGGCACCUGGGUGGCUCAGUUGGUUAAAGCAUCCCACUUCAGCUCAGGUCAUGUGAGUUUGAGCUCCGCAUCAGGCUCUGUGCUGACAGCUCAGAGCCUGNCCGUGGAGCCUGCUUCGGGUUUUGUUUCCCUCUCUCUCUGCCCCUCCCCAGCUGACUCUGUGAUAGAGACUCUGUGUCUCUAUCUCUCAAAAAUAAACAAACAUAAAAAUUAAAAAAUAAAAGGGGUGAUGAUAACCAUUCCCUUUUGUGGUUCUGGUGGCUAUGAUUCACAUGGCUGAUAGCAGCUAGCAUUCGGUACUAUUAGUUAUCUUUUCAUAUAUGCUGUAAGUCUCUCUGCCUAAGUAAUAUGUCACUUGAGAUUUAGACUGUUUUGAAUCUUACAGUGCCUAUUACAGAGUCUUAAAUUUUUUUUAAUGUUUGUUCAUUUUUGAGACAGAGACAGAGAAUGACAGGGGGAGGGGCAGAGAGAGAGGGAGACACAGAAUCUGAAGCAGGCUCCAGGCUGUCAGCACAGAGCCCGACGUGGGACUCGAACUCGUCAACCAUGAGAUGACCUGAGCCAAAGUCUCUCAGCCAACUGAGCCACCCAGGCGCUCUACAGUGUCUUAAUGUGCAUUAUUUUAAGAGAUCUGAAAAUGGAAUUGUGUAUGUGUGUGGGCAGGUCUUUUGCCCCUACUAAGUUAUAAUCUCUUUGAAGUUAAAGACAAUGUCUUAUUUAUCUUUGUAUCCACUGUUCUUAGCGGUGUCUUCUCUAUUAACAGUUUUUUUUAAUUAAAAAAAAAUGUUUUUAGUGUUUAUUUUUGACAGAGAGAGAGCGCGCGCGAGCCAGCAGGGUAGGGGCAGAGAGACAGAGACAGAAUCUGAAACAGGCUCCAGGCUCUGAGCUGUCAGCACAGAGCCUGAUGCCCAGCUCGAGCCCAUGGACUACCAUGAGAUUAUGACCUGAGCCGAAGUCAGACGCUUAACUUACUGAGCCACCCAGGUGCCCCCCCUCCUUUUUUAAAAUUUUACAUAGAGAGAAGGUGUGAGCAGCCGAGGGGCACAGCAGGGCAGUGGGGGGGGGGGAGAGAGAGAGAGAGAGAGAGAGCGAGAGCGAGCCUUAAACAGCCUCUACGCUCAGCAUGGAGCCUGACACAGACUCUACCUCACAACUGUGAGAUCAUGACCUAAGCUGAAAUUAAGAGCUGAAAGCUCAACCGACUAAGCCACCCCAAUGCCCCUCAACAAAUAUUAAUCAGUUACAUAUUAAGCUGUGUUAACUUUUCUCCUAGCUCUGAUACUCUUACACAUUAAUUAGAUAUGUGAUUUUCUACUCAUUCAUUUAUGAAACGUAAGUUUUGCAUUAUACUAAGGUCUGUGCUAAGUGCCAAGGAUACAGAGGCAAACCAGACAAGGUUGUACCCUCUUGGAACUUAUUUUCUAGCAGGACAGAUGAUAAUCGAAUAAGCAUGUGAACAGACAGGAUGACUUCCAGCCACGGUAAGUGCUGGCCGGUGAAUUGUGAGUGAAGAGCAAGUGGGGCGGGGGACAAGGCUACUGCAAAGAGAGCAGUUGCAGAAUGAGGGAACCCAGACUGUGGCUCCCUUGGUAUCUGCUCCACUCCUGGCCCCGGGCCACAUGUGCUCGACCCUCAGUGACCAUCUGUGGAACUGCUUCGAAUGGAAUGGUGGAAUGGAAGCCGCAGAGAGGACAGAAAGCGUGAGGACAGGCAGAGAGCCGAAGUCACUACAAACUUGAGCAGUUUAAUGCUUUAAAUAGGGUUCUGGUCAGGGGCUGUACGGCAGCCUCGUUCUUCAUUUGAAUUUACUCCCUGCAGAAUUAAUUGCAGAAGUCCUUCAGAAAGCAGCAGGGAAGUAUUACUUGCCCAGAAAACAUUCUGAUUUAGUGUGAGGUUUGUGCUUACGACAUAUUUCUGAGAGGAGGAACCCGAUUUUGUAGGCUUCAUAUUUCUUGCAGAGCCUAUUAGAGUACUUAAUUUAUACACACACACUGAUACAUAUGCGUAUGUAUGUAUAUAGGUGUGUAUGCAUGUGUUUCUGUGUGUUUGGUUGUUUGAUUGGCUUGAGGUCUAGAACCAAAGAAGGAAAAGGAUUUUCGGUUUCUAAAAGGCUGUACUCUUGUCCCGUAAAAGAAGAUGUGCCACAAGAAUGUCAAAAGACAGUUUAAAAGGAGAAACACAGGAUUAUGCGUUCCUCCUGGUUAUUGCGUAUAAAUUGCUUCUUUGCCUGAAAGAUCAUGUUCCAUGGGGACCAGCAAGUGACUGGCUUAAUAUUGUUGGUCCCUGUGCCACAGAGUGAAUUGAGUUCUUCUCCCCAGUAGUGGGGUGAUUGUGUCUAGAAUGCCAAGCACAGGAGGUGGGCAUUAAUUAGGGCUAACAGCCUAUAAUUGGAGUUGCCUUUAUUCCUCCUUCCAUUCUCCAAGCCUGAGACUGUCAGAAGGCUCGUUUUCACUGAAGCGUCAUAAUUAACGCAGAGUCUAAUGUGAAAGGCAGAUGAGGUUGAAGCCCAAAAUAGCUCAGAGCUCCCCAAGGGUGUAUGUGUGCAGAACUGUGGGGAACAGGCAUGGGGAAAGAGGAGACUGGCAUGUAGGUUGACCUCCAAAUGUUUCCCUUUUAGAGAGGGAGUUUGGGGGUCAACACUGCCAUCUCCCUUUUAUAUUCCUAAAAGAAGAACUCUAAACCCCUGAAAUGUUCACGGAUGGACUAACAUUUCAGAAUCCUGGGCUACAGAAGUGGCAGGAACCAUACCCAGUAAGUCUCAAAUCCUCUGCUUUGCUUUGUUCUUGUUUGUAAGGGAAGAUUUCCUCCCUCACGAGGCUGACAUAUUUUUGGGGUGGAAGCCCUGGGACCUGGGAAGCUGGGAAAUGUAAUAAUGUCCGCAAAGCUAUUGGAGUGCCUUGGAAGAAAAUUCACGAUAUUUCUCUUAUUAAUGCCAGUCUCCCAAUUCCCCUGAACUCUGAGAACCCAUUUAAGUGAUUACUUCGCGAGGAGCUAGUAGAAAAGCAAGGCUAAUAUAUUUCUUCACUUGGCAGCGCCCACACAGCAAAGGACCCUGAGUGCACUUACCAUCGCUGUCAUCUUCUCACUCUUUCCCCCUUGGUCCUGCUUAGAACAUAAUGAACUAAACACCUGCAGUUUCUCUCCUAAGAAGAUCAGAUUUCAUGAACUUUCCAGCAGGUAGCUUGUAGCCCCCCUGGCACACAUUUACACAUAUGUACUUAAUUCUAUGCCAUUGGAGAACUGGGAGAAAGGUGGGAUGGUGGGGGUGCCUCUGCCACACCGCUGUUCUGGGUCUCCAGUUAGGAGAGAAGGACAACAGCAAAAGAGAAGACUAUUGAAUGCUCUAGGUUCUCUGCACCAGGCUUUCUUGGAGUUUUCAGACAACAAACCAUUGGCUUAAUUUCCAUCCUGAGCCAUUUAUUGGAAGUGGAUCCCUAAAUAUAUGCAGUUUCCCUCUUCCCAUCAAGGGGAGGCACCAGAGGAGGGUCACAUGAUGCUAGGUACAAAGAGAAGAAAGAGCAGGUUUGCUAACUUGAGAUGGGGAUGAUUGGCAUGUUGGGGAUAUUGCCUUAUUGCAUUUGCUGCUACAGGGUGACUUUGGGAACCUCAAGCCAUACAGCUCUUCUGGUGAAGAUGGGAAAUGAAACCCAGAUUACUCACAGCCAGCUGCAGAUUCACAAAUGCUGGAGGCACCCACAUGCAGAAACCAGCUGCCUUGUUUCUGUUGUGUGCUCAUAUGCCCUCGGGGCCUUAAAAAACUCUUUUAGGCAGUAAUCUACUAAGUCAUUACAUUGCUUCAUCAAUAGAUUUCUCUGGAUUAUUAGGGUUUUUAUUCUCAUGCUUGGCCAUAUUGGAAAAAUCAGGGAUAAAUCGUUUUCCCCAUCUCAGAGUAAUCAGGCCCUGAAUUAUUAUACACAUUGUUUUCUGAUUUUUCAAACUUCUGCUGACAUUUACUAAUUUACCUGGGCUGAAAUGCUUGCAGGUGCAAAUAAUAGGAGCCGAAGCCAGCCAGUGUAUACUUCUUAAAGUUACUUGGGAAAAGUCACUGGGUAGCUGUGAGCGUGAGCUUUGGAGCGGACUGGGGAUCAUACAGCCAGGGGGAGGAGCAGUGUUUAGCGGGCACACACUGGCUGAUGUGGCCGUACUGAGCCUCUUCUGAUGGGUGGGUACCUCAUGUUCUGGUUGUUUCGUUGCUUGAGUGUCACAUCUGCAUGCAGCCUGCUCUUGUUUUGACAGUGGCACCGAGAUGUUUUGAAGGACGGAUGGUGCUGCUGUCCAUAUACUGAACCUUAAAAGCCUGGAGAUACAUACAUUAAAUACAUACAGUGUUUGUUUUUAAAGAGGCUGGAGGUAAAACUCCAGAUCUCUGCACUUUCUCCAUGAUAAAUCUUUAGUGGGCUAGCAUUCUUCACUACCCCCCCCCCAACUUUUCUAAAAUGUUUGAAAAGUUUUCCAAAAUGUUAGAAGCUAGAGAAGCCUAUUUAGGUUGUUUUCAGGAAACCCCGAGUUUAAGAACAACUAGACACUAGGAAAGACACAUGGGAAGAGAUUAGCGGUUAGGGCAGUAAGUGGGCCAGCUGUGAAGGGCACUGAAAAUUGUGCUGUAGUUGUACAGGAAGGAACACCAAGGACGUGAGUUAAAGCGUCAGCUCCAUUGUUGAACUCCCCACGUGACCCUGGAAAAGUCCCAUCAGCUGUUUCUUCUCAGUUUCUUAAUCUGUCAAAUGGGGAGAAGACCUCACUGAAAAGACUCAGGUUCUUCCCCCCUUUCCAUUCUGCAUCCUCAGACUGUCAGAUGGUCUCCUGUCAUGGAUGUAAGAGGGUUGCGGCAGUUCCUAGUCUCACAAAAUCAUACACAGGUGACUGAAGGAGUCCACAGAUUCUAAGUCGUCAUGGGCUGUGAGUUGCACCAUUACUUUAUACACCACUACAAAAGAAACAGCACUGCCAGUUAGAUUGUGACAAGCUGUUUAUUGUCAGAUGCAUCCUGAGUUGUCCAAUCAAUGAAAUACAGUAUACAGUAUGUUUUCCUAGUAUCUUUGUGCUGUUUCAAAGGGGCAUAUGCACCCCCAAUAUUUGUAGCAGCACUACUGACAACAGUCACAGUAUGGAAAGAGCCUAAAUGUCCAUCGACUGAUGAACGGAUAAAGAAGAUGUGUGUAUAUACAUGCACGCACACACAUACACAUACACAUACACAUACACAUACACAUACACAUACACAUACAAUGGAGUAUUACUCAGUGAUCAAAAAGAAUGUAAUCUUGCCAUUUGCAACAACAUGGAUGAAACUAGAGAGUAUUAUGGUAAGCAAAAUAAGUCAAAGAAAGACAAUUAGCUUGGGACUUCACUCAUAUGUAGAGUUUAAGAUACAAAACAGAUGAAUAUAAGGGACAGGAAGCAAAAAUAAUACAAAAACAGAGAGGGAGACAAACCAUAAGAGACUCUCAAGUACAGAGAACAAACUGAGGGUUGCUGGAGGGGAGGUGGGUGGAGGGAUGGGCUAAAUGGGUCAUGGGCAUUAAGGAGGGCACUUGGAAUGAGCACUGAGUGUUAUGUGUAAGUGAUGAAUCAGUAAAUUCUGUUCCUGAAAUCAUUAUUACACUAUAUGUUAACUAACUUAACUUGGAUUUACAUAAAAAAGAAAAGAAUGUCUCUAGAAACUUUUGCCAUGCCACUCCUCUUCUAGCAGCAGACUUGCUGCAUUCGAGCCCUGAAACUAAUCCCUGCAAGUACCACUGUAGCUGCCUUGUUUUGUGUUGGUCCUCCUAUUCUCUUGCCUCCUGGGCCCUUGGGUGUUCACAGCUACAGCAGCAGCCUGGCCAGUCCAUGUAAGCCCAUGCCAUUUUGCUGAGUCUCUGGCUUCUCCCACCAUGUGUGCGCUUCGGUGAAGCACCAUGCCAACACUUACUCCUUAUGGGCCAACCUCUUCGCGGUGGGAGACAGAGACUGGGAGAAUGUAGAUGAAUGCUUCUCUGUUCCGCCUGUGAGGGCAUGUUCUGGAAGUGCGGGUUUUUGAUGUAGCUUGUCUGGAGACAUCUGGAGUGCCUCAGUAACUCCGUGUCUCUUUGUGAAAUGGUGGCCACCAUGGAAAAGCAUCAACUUUUAGUUACUUCCCAUUCUUCCUUGCGUCCCUUCCCUCCUCCUUCACCCUUUAUGCCCUGGCAUCACACCUCCCACUGACGUGAUCACACGUAAGCCUUGCCUGACACCCUGUUUCUGGGGAAGCAGGCCGACACAACCACCACAGUCACCUCCCACUAGUCAGGAUUAGUCCUAGCUCCUUGGGAGAGGAGUGGACUUCAGAAGAAAACUGAGGCUUUCCCAAUGUGGAACAGAGAAGACGUGGCUCUAGAGUGAAUAAUCAACAGUGUUUGAUUAGUGCCUGCCCUGCUUUACUGAAUUGUUUAAAACCUCAGUGAGGUACUGAGUUUUGAAGGCACGUAGUCAACCAUAAAAUAACAUAAAAAUGCAGAGUUGUCCUUGGACUUAUGACUAUUCACAAGUUCUAGAGCAUCCCCAUUAAUUUACUCAUUUAACAAGAAUUAUUUAAGGAGCACCUGCUAUUUGCCAGUCAUGUGGCGGGCAUAGAGAAUACCAGAGUUUCUGCCCUACAGGAGCUUCUUGUCUAUAGGUGAAAUGAGCAAAUAAACUCCAUGUGAUUACAGUUUUCUAGAGGGAACUAGAGGGUGUGUUGUAAGUACCUAGCUUUGGGGAAUCAGAACUUCCUGGGCAAAAUGAUACAUUAGCUAAGAGCUGGAGGAUGAGUAGGGGGAAAUGUGGUUGGGGGUGGAGCGGUGUGACAAGUAGAAAGAAAAGCAUAUGCAAAGCAGAAGAGGUGAGAGAGGGCUUGCUGUUACUCCUUUUUGGCUAGCAUGCUAAGUGCUGGUUUACAAAAGCAUGGAUACCAGAAAGUGUGGUUUGAAUUGUGAAGGCAACGAAGAGCCGCUGAAAUUUUUAAGAAGGCUGGUCUAAAAAAAAUCUCUUCAGUGAUGGUAGAAUGAGUGGACUUUUGAUGGGGAGGGAAGCAGGGUAGGAAGCAAGGAAGCAGAGAUACCACUAUGUAAUGAGGUAUUUCCUUUUAUUUGCUUAAAUCAAUUUUGAGUUUUUCUUGUUGUGAGUAUUUUUCAUGAUUUAAGAUUUCAUGAAUAUUGCAGACUCCACAUAUGUCCUUAAUAUCCCCAUAUAUGUCUCCUAAAGGAGAGGUUAACAUUUUCAAGUAAAGGGAAGGGAUCUUCACGGCCUUUGCCCCACACAAUCAUCAGCUUAAUGGCUCUUUUUUGUCUGUGCUGUUAGUUCUGAUUAGAUCUCGGGGGCACUAAUGAGUGCAAGGUCAAUAAUGUGACUCCCCAGGAGAGCCAAUUACCCCUACAGAGACAAGAACCACAGACUGAAUUUCUACAUGUGGCUGGUCAUCGCAGCCGUGAGCCACCGGUUACAAAGUGUACAAGGGGCAUAUCCACUAGUUGACUCUGUUGUCCGUAUUUUUACUUAUUCAUUCAUUUGUUUAUUUAUUCUUUCCUUCCUCUCUGAGUGAGCUCAGGCUUCCAUAACAAAAUACCAUAGAUUGGGUGGCUUAGACAAUAUGCAUUCAUCAUCUCACCAUUCUGGAGGCUGGAAGAUCAAGAUCAGAGUACAGGCUGAUUCAGUUCUUGGUGAGGGUUGUCUUCAUGGUUUGUAGGUGGCUACCUGCCUCCUUUGUGCUCACAUGACCUUUCCUCAGUGCACAGGAAGAGGGCGAGCAAGCUCUGUGGUGUCUCUUCUUAUCAGGACACUCAUCCCAUCAUGAAGGCCUCACCCUCAUGAUCUUAUCUAAACCUCAUUCCCAAAGUACCCUCUCCAGAUACCAUCCCAUCUUGGUUAGGGUUCAACAUAUGAAUUUGGGGGGCAUAUAAGCAUUCAAUACAAAGCAUUCAAGUACAAUAUUUGAAAGAAUACAAAUUCUUUCUCCCUUCAGUCAUUUUUUUUUCCCCUUUUAACCUGCAUGUAUUAGAUGCCUUCUAUGGAUGAGCUACACUGUUAGGCACUACUGGUAAAAAAUUAAACUAGUAUAGACCUUGCUUUAAAGAGGUCUAGCGGAGAAAGAGGAGAGAAAAUAAAAGAUGCUGGUGUGGUGUGAGUGCUGAACAAGAGUUGUGCAUGAAGUGCUGUGAAAGUACAGAGCAGAAAUAUAAACCUACAUAAACCUAAUAACUUUGUGGUAGAAAGCAGAGAGAUGAAGGGAAAGGGGUGGGAGGUGGCAUAUUUUUGAGGAGAGAGUGUUAGGAAGGAAACUCUCCGAAGGAGAAGAGAUGCUUGAGCAGAGUGUUAAAGCAAAGGAGACAUCAGCCUGGCUGGGGCAUUGGAGAUGGGGUUGGGUUUCGUACUCCAGUGAGAGGGGCCCUUCAGGAAAAGUACUAAGGUAUGUGACAGCAUGGUGUGUGUAGGGAACAGCAAGCUUACCAUGAAAGGAGACACCUGGGUGGCUGUGGGGACAGUCAACAGAUGAGGCCAGGAAAGUGGGCAAAAAAGCAGAUCAUGAGAAUCCCUCUAUGGCAUGGUGUGAAGGUUAAAUUUAUUUUGAAGACAUUAAGAGGCUCUGAAGGUUUUAAACAGGAGAAUGACAUACAGAUUUGCAUUUUUGGAAUGUGAGUGGAUUUAGGCAUGUGGAGGGUAUUUGGGUAAAGUUAAUGGGGCGCCUGGUUGGCUCAGUCGGUUAAGCAUCUGACUCUUGAUUUCGGCUCUCAGGUCCUGAUCUCACGGUUUGUGGGUUCAAGCCCCACGUUGGGCUCUGUGCUGACAGCUCAGAGCCUGGAGCCUGCUUCGAAUUCUUUGUCUCCCUCUCUCUCCGCCCCUCCCUCCCUCCCUCUCUUCCUCCUUCUCUCUCUUUCAAAUAAAUAAAUGUUAAAAGCUUUAAAGAAAAAAAAAAAGGAAAGACAAUUACAAUGGUGUUUAUGUGUGAAUCUCCUCUCGGUGUUGCUUGUCCUGUUCAUGGAGGAUCAGUAGCAGUAUUGAUUUUGCCCAUACGGGAUGUCACAUACAGAUAGAGAAUUAAAACUACUGCGGUUUGGUUAAAGAAAGUAAUGAAUAUAGACAGUGUUCAAGAGAAGAUGCUCACCCUCUGUAGGGGAUAGUUUCUAAAGACUUGGUGACUAAGGAAAUUUUUGAAUUCUCUAGUAAAAUGUUCACCUCCUUUUAGCCCCUUAUUUAUCUAGCAUAUUUUUUUUCUUUAGUUGCCAGGAUGAAUAAUAUCAAGCAUUCUGAAAUAAUACUAUCUCUAGGUUUGGGAAAGAGCCUCAUUUCCCUAUGUCCGAGAGAGCCUGGCUUGUCACUGUAUAUGGUGACUAAUGUUAUACGGUCAGAACUGUGAGCAAUGGUGAUGGCAUGGUCUUAAAAGUUUUCUUCUGAUCUUGAAUUGUGGAAUCGAGAAAUAAAUGGGGAUAUUAUUAGAUUUUCUAAAAUUUCCCAAGAAGUUUCUAUUUUGGAUUCAUAAAAGUAAUGUGACAUAAUUCAAAGCUUCCUAUCUUUUUCAAGUGAACAUUUAUUCAACGGAAUUUACUACUGUGCAGAUAGUAUGGUAGUAAAUGAUAUUUCCUCAUGUUGUUCAAACAGAAAAAAAAAAUGUGCUGUUCACUCAUCCCACCCUCCCUGAAUAGAGGAAGAACAUUUAAUCUGCAUGUCACUUUCUUUUGCCAGAAGUCAGUAACCCCCAGUAUUUUUAGCUCCUUUUGAAAGUCCAUUAGAAACGUUGCUUUUUUUUUUUUUUUUUUGGAGACCUUUCCUGCCUUAUGUACUGACAUCAGCGUAUUUCUGGUUUUCCGCUUGGACCUGUGGAAGAGUGUCUGGGUCUGUUCCUCUUUCAUUUGCCUUCCUGUUCAUAAACCCUAACUAGAUUUUCUUAAAUCUCUUCCUGUCUUUCUACUUUUUAUUCAGUAAGUCUUGUUCUUGUUUAUAUCCUCUCUUAAUGGUAGAGUUGUUUCUAGAAGAUACAUCAUUCCAAAGAGCCGCCCACAUGUGUCUCAGAUUCAGGCUCCCACACCUGUUUUCUCUUCACCAAUUAUGUGACCACCUCUCAGAGGUGGGACGAGAGAGCUGUACUGAAACACAGAAUUUGUAGGCACAUAGUGAUGAAUGCUGUAUUCAAAAGAGCUAUAAUUCUACUUGCCAGUGUGAUUGCCUGAUUUUAAAUCCAGGCAGAUCAUAGGGUGAAAACAACUUCCAAUGGAAAUGUCUUAAUAGUUUGUUUAUUAAACAUUUAAGGGGAACCUAAAAACUUAACAUAGAAUGAAUGGUGGCACUUCUAUUUGAAAUUAGGGUUUAGUGUUUGUGGUGUGAGAUCAGAGAGAAGCAAAAACGGAGUGGCUCUCACUCCAAGCUGUUCACUUGCUGUGUCUUCUGCAAGAGAGGUGAUACUCGUUAGGUGCAGGCAUACCCCGUGUAUAUUGGCAUUACAGAGUUAAAAAGCAAAGCCCUACGCCUGUUGGGAUGAGCACCGGGUGUUGUAUGGAAACCAAUUUGACAAUAAAUGUCAUAUUAAAAAAAAAGGAUAAAAAAAUAAAACUCGCCCAUUCCAAUAAAAAAAAGCCCCAGUUAUACAUCAAUAAAGCGAAAGAAGACUACAUUUUAUCACACGCUAGCUCUUCAAUCUGUAGCUGAGGACAUUUAUUAUGUGAGGCAGGAAUAGCCACAGACGAUCAGGCAUUGCAGUAAUGAGAGUUUUUCCAGGCAGUCCAGAAAAUAUUUAUUCCUCAUCUAGAAUCGUGAAAGGCUUAGAGCAAAACAAAGCAAAACUACUCUCUUGUGGAGGAGGAGGGGGCAUUUGAUGAAUUAUACAGGCACAGUCACAUGGCCCCUUAGCCUGCAUUGCCAGUAUGUGUGCUGUGGCAAGUGAGAGGUGGAAUCAGGAGCAGAAGCGCAACGGAAGUGGGCGCAGUCUUCACGAGCUGAUGGGGGAGCUGCCUCCAGAUGGGGGGGAUUGUCAGCACAGUACAGUUUCAGUACUAGAGGGCUUCUUUUUUUUCCUUUUGAAAGACUGACUUCGUUAUCUCCUUCAAGAUAUAUGAUGAACUUUAGGUGAUCCGCUCAUAUACAAAUAUUAGGAUGAAAACACGUUCCAAAGAAAUGUUAAUUUUAAAGAAUUAUUUGCUUUGUAAAAUUUUUCUACCAUAGCUUGAUUCUAUUUGGUGAAGCAGAAUUUACAUCAUGUGACAUUUACAAAUUUUAAGCAUUCAUUUUCCUGAAUUUUGAUAAAUACACGUCACAUCGCUUUCAUCACCAACAGAAUUCUCCCAUGCUGAUUCUAGUCAGUUCCCACGUCCACCUUGUAAUCAGCAACCAGCAACCUGAUCCCAUCACACAGCCUAGUCAUGCCUGUUCUUGAGAAUUCUAUAAGUGGAAUCAUACACUAGGGCCACUGUUUUCUUUCUGGUUUUACACAAGGCAGUGUUUUAAUACUAAUCCAUGUUGUUGUGUGUUUCAGUAGUUUAUGCUUUUCAUAAUGGGUAAUAUUCCAUUAUGUGGAUAAAUUAAAAUAAACUUAUUUAUUCUCUUGCGUAGGGACAUUGAGAUUUUUCUAAUUUUGGGUUAUUGUUAAUAGAGCCCCUAUAAAUAUUCUUAUGCAAGUAUUUUUAUGGGCAUACAUUUUCAUUUAUUUUGGUUACAUAUAUAACAAUGGAAUUAUUAAAUACAGGUAUGUGCGUAUUUAAAUUUUUAAGAAAGUGGGGUGCCUGAGUGGUUUAGUCACUUAAGCAUUUGACUCUUGGUUUCUGCUCAGGUCAUGAUCUCACGAUUUGUGAGAUCAGUCCCCACAUCAGGCUCUGUACUGAGUGCAGAACCUACUUGGGAUUCUCUCUCUCUCUCCCUCUCCCUCUCCCUCUCCCUCUCCCUCUCCCUCUCCCUCCCUCCCUCCCUCCCUCCCUCUCUUCCCCCCUUUCCCCUGCUCACACUCACUCUCUUAAAAUAAAAUAAAAAUAAAUUUGUAAGGAACUGGCAAACACUUUUCUUGAAGUUACUAUUUUCUCCUUCUGCCAGCAACAGUGCAUGAGAAUUCCACUUGCUUCACAUUCUCAGCUCAGUAGGUAUUGUCUGUCAUUUUAAUUUUAGCUCUUUCAGUGGGUUUGAAAUAGUAAGUGGUAUUUCGUCCUUUUAACUUACAAUUCUCUGAUAAUGGUUUUGAACACCUAUUUACAUACUUCUAUGCUAUUUCUGUGUUAUAUUGUGUCCUCAUACCUUUGUGUGUAGGUGACAUGUCUGUUCAAGUCUACAGUCUACUUUGUAGUGGGGUUGUUUAUCUUUGUAUUAUUAGUUUAUAGGAAUUCUUUAUAUAUUCUGGAUACAAAUUCUUUGUCAGCUCUGUGUGUAGCAAAUAUUUUCUACCAGAUGGUGACAUGCCUUUCUUAUUUUCUUUGUAUUUUCUUAACAGUUCGUAUACAUGAUUCUUUUUUUUCCUAUAAUCUAUUUAUUUUUUAUAAAUUUUACAGCCAAGUUAGCACAUAGUGCAACAGUGUUUUCAGGAGUAGAUUCCUUAAACCCCUUGCCCAUUUUAGAUCAUCCCCUCUCGCACAACCUGUCCAGUCACCCUCUGUUUGUUCUCUAUAUUUUGAGUCUCUUAUGUUUUGUCCCCCUCCCUGUUUUUAUAUUAUUUUUGCUUCCCUUCCCUUAUGUUCAUCUGUUUUGUAUCUUCAAGUCCUCAUAUGAGUGAAGUCAUAUGAGGAUCUCUUUUGCACUGCUGGUGGAAAUGCAAGCUGGUGCAGCCACUCUGGAAAACAGUAUGGAGGUUCCUCAAAAAAUUAAAAAUAGAACUACCCUGUGACCCACUAAUUGCACUACUAGGUAUUUAUCCAAGUGAUACAGGUAUGCUGUUUCUAAGGGACACAUUCACCCCCAUGUUUCUAGCAGCACUAUCGACAAUAGCCAGAGUAUGGAAAGAGCCCAAAUGUCCAUCAACAGAUGAAUGGAUAAAGAAGAUGUGGUGUGUGUGUGUAUAUAUAUAUAUAUAUGCACACAUAUAUAUGUAUAUGUAUACAUACAUAUAUAUGUAUGUAUAUAUGUAUAUAUAGGUAUACACACACACACACACACGCACAAUAGAGUGUAACUUGGCAAUCAAAAAGAAUGAAAUCUUGCCAUUUGCAACUAUGUGGAUGGAACUAGAGGGUAUUAUGCUAAGUGAAAUUAGUCAGAGAAAGACAAAUAUCAUAUGACUUCACUCUUAUACAUAAUUCUUUUUUUUUGCUUAUACAUGAUUCUUAACAGUACUAGUGCUUUAUUUUGUCCCCUGUAAGAAAUACUUGGCAACCACAAGUUUGUGAAGAUAUUCUUCUGUCUUAACUUCUAGGAGUUUUUUAGCUUUUAUACAUACACACACAGACACACACACACACAUAUAUGUAUAUAUAAUUUUGUUGAAUUGUAUUUUUGUGUAUAGUGUGAAGCAGGGAUUGAAAUGUUAGUAUUUCUUAGAUGUUAUCCAGCUGGUCCAUUCAUAUGUGUCAAAAAGACUUUUCUUCUCACCUGUUGAAUUAUCUUGGCAUCCUUGUCAAAAAAUCAGUUGGAGUUACCACAGAGUUUCUUUGAGUUCUUCUCCAUCCUGAGACUUCAGCAGGCCCUUCUCACCUGCACCUCAGAGGGAGACUUGUCUCCUGUUCUGACCCCAGCCUUUCUCAUAUUCUACUGGAAAGGCCCAUAGAAAAGACUGAGAAGUGGGUACAGACUCCCCUGGAGCCUGAGGCUUCCAGGAAUCAUUACUUGCCAUACCCACCCUGAGCUUUAAAAAUUUGAAUUCAGCUCUUUGCUUCUUACUGUUUUGACAGCAGCUGCCUCCCCAUGCGACCACUUCAGCAAGAAUGCAAGCAACUCUGGGUCCCCUCUGAGGUCUUGGAACCUUUUGGAUUUUAUGUUACUAUUUUUUUUUAAUGACUUCGAUUUUGAUUUUGUGGAUUAAGUAGCAGAAGCCACAUGCCCAGUAAAUUAUUUAUUUCAGAUGUUGUAUGUUAUCUAGAUUUUCUAUUUGGUUUUCAUUUUAGUUUUCAUUGCUAUUCUGAGAUUUCCUCAUUGGUUCACAUAUUCCAUCUUUUCCUUAAUAUCAUUGUGCAUAAGGUUAGCAGCUGUUUUAAGGUCUUUUUAUACAGUUUCCAGCAUCUGUUUCUAUUGCUUUGUCUCUAGAUUAGUUAUGUUUUCCUGCUUAUUCAUAUGUCUAGUGAUUUUUACAUUUAAUGAAAAUUGAUAUAAUGGGGGUUAAGUCUUCUGUCUUGCUAUAUAUCCCAUCUGUUCUUUGGUCCCCUUUUCUUUUACUCAUUUCUUCUAGAUUAAUUCGGUAAUAUUUAUUUUUUUAAUGUUUAUUUGUAAGAGAGAGAGAGAGAGAGAGAGAACGAGAUCGAGUGGAGGAGGGGAGGAGAGAGAGGGAGACAGAGGAUCCAAAGCAGGCUCUGUGCUGACAACAGGGAGCCCGAUGGGGUGCUGGAACUCACAAAGCAUGAGAUCAUGACCUGAACCAAAGUCAGACACUGAGCCACCCAGGUGCCCGAGUUCAGUAAUAUUUACAAUUCCACGUUAGCUACUUAUUUUGUUUUCUUUGGUUUGCUUCGUUAGCUAUAACUCUUUUCUUUUGUAGUCAUUGCUUUAGGGUUAAUAAUAUGCAUUUUAAAGUACUUUCAAGUAAUAUUGUUUAUUAUCUCAUAUAGUGUAAGAGCCUUACAGUGCUAUACUUCCAUUUUCCCUCCCCUAUCCUUUUGAUACAAUUUUCAUACAUUUUAGUUCUACAUAUGUUAUAAACUCAACAUACUGCUCUUAUUUUUGCCUGUUAAAUAAUCCAUUAUCUUUUAAGGAAAUUUUAAAAUUAAGAAGUCUUUUUGUAUGUAUCUGUAUAUUUACCAUUUCUAGAAAUAUUUCUUUUGUGUAAUUGCUGAUUUCCAUCUGGUAUUUUCUUUCUUUCUUUUUUUCUUAAGUAUUCAUUAAUUUAUUUUGAGUGAGACAGAAAGAGAGAGAUUGAGAGAUUGUGCAAGCUGGGGAGGGGCAGAGAGAGAUGGAGAGAGAGAAUCCCAAGCAGGCUCUGGGCUGUCGGAGGCUCAGUCUCACAAACGAUGAGAUCAUGACCUGAGCCUAAAUCAAGAGUCGGAUGCUUAACCAACUGAGCCACCCAGGUACCCCUGGUAUUUUCUUUCUGAUUGAAGGGCUAUCAUUAACAGUUUCUGCAGUGUUGAUUUGCAUAAUAAAUUCUUUCAGCUAACGUUUGGCCGUUACAUAUGCAAAAAUUUUUUUCUGUACUAUGUGUCACUUCUUAAGGGACUCCUGUAAUAUGUAAAUUGGAUAAUUGAAGGUCAUUGAUGCUGUUUCUUUUUCUUCUGCUCUGUGUUUACCUUUGGUGAGAUUCUGUCACUGUGUCUUUAAGUUUACUAAUCUUUUCUUCUACUGAGUCUAAAUGACUUUUAAUACCUACCAGUGUACUUUGUCACCUCACACAUUGUAGUUUUAUCUCUAGAAGCACAGAUUUGGUCUUUUUAAUGCCUUCCUUGUCUCUAACAGUUGUAACCUUUAUUCUACAUAUUUGAACAAGUGAAAUAUAGUUAUAAUAACUGCUAAUGUUGUUGUCUACUAAUUGUCAUCAUGGCAUUUAUAUAUCUUUUUCUGUUGAUUUUAUUUUUCUCUUCAUUAUGGGCUUUAUUUUUUUAAACUUUUUUCAUGUGUUAUAAUUUAUGGUUCGAUGAUAGCCAUUUUGUAUAUUACCAUGUUGGACUGCAGGAUGAUUUUAUAUUUUUAUAAAUGUUCCUGAGCUAUGUUUUAAGACACAGUUAAGUUACUUGAAAACCAUUUAAUUUCUUUUAGGUACACUUAUCAGCUUUCUUAGGUGGCACCAUAGAAGCUUUUAUCUUGGCAUGCCUUUCAACCACUACUACAGUACCCUUGUGAAUUGUGCAGUUUUUCUACUCUGGCAGUGGGAACAUGGAUUUCUUCUGACCAUGUGUGAGCUCUGAUAUUUUUUUCAACUCUGUUUCUUUUGGGUGUUUCUUUCCCCAGCUUUGGGUAAUUUUUUUAUAUGCAUACUCUGAGAGUAUUCAGCUGAAGACUUAAGGCAGUUCUCCCUCUUUAAGUAAAGACUUUUCCUCUUCAGUACAUUGUCAGUGGAACUCUGGUCACAUUGGCCUUCCUGGUAUCCCAUCUGUAUCUCUUCAACUCAGGGAAACUCCCUUGCCCUGCAUUUUGGGAGCUAACUCCACGUAGUAAGGUGGGACGAUUGUAAUCCUCCCUCAUUUGUCUCCCUUUUCUCAUGCAUCAUUGUCUUCUACUGCCUGAUAUUCUGUGUUUUGAAAACCAUUGUUUUAUAUAUUUUGCACAUUUUAAAAAUUGUUUUAAGCGAGAAGGUGGAUCCAGUUCCUGUUACUCCAUGUUGGCUCAAAUGGAAGUAUAUUUUUUUUUUUCAACGUUUAUUUAUUUUUGGGACAGAGAGAGACAGAGCAUGAACGGGGGAGGGGCAGAGAGAGAGGGAGACACAGAAUCGGAAACAGGCUCCAGGCUCUGAGCCAUCAGCCCAGAGCCUGACGCGGGGCUCGAACUCACGGACCGCGAGAUCGUGACCUGGCUGAAGUCGGACGUUUAACCGACUGCGCCACCCAGGCGCCCCUCAAAUGGAAGUAUAUUUUGAUGUAAUUUCACGUGCACAGAAAAGUUUCAAAAAUACCUUAAGGUAUUCUCAUGUACCUUUUACUCAUUUCCACCAGUCGUUUACAUUUUGCCCAUUUGCUUGCUCUCUCUUGGUGUCUCUUUCUCUUUCUCUAUUUUUUCCUGAAAAAAAAAGUUUUUGAGAGCAAGAUCAAGACAUCAUGUCCCUUUAUACUUAAAUAUGUCAUUAAAUAUGUCAGUGUGCAUAUACUAAGGAAACAAGGGCAUCCUCUUAUGUAACUAGAUUAGAGUUAUAAAAACCAGGAAAUUUGAUAUUAAUACAAUAAUGUCAUCUCAUCCUUUUUAUCAAUUGUCCCAGUAAUGUCCUGAAUAGUAACUGAUUGUUCCAGUCCAGGAUCAAAUCCAGGAUCCUGAAUUAUAUUCAGUUGUCACAUCUCUUUAGUGUCUAAUUUGGAACAGUUCUUCAGCCUUUCUUUGUGCUUUUUGACCUUGAAAUUUUUGAAGACUUUCAGCCAUCUGCUUUGUAGAAUGUUCCUCAGUUUUGAUUUGUCUGAUGUUUCUUCAUGAUUAGAUUCAGGAUAUGCAUUUUUGGCAAGAAUACUACUGAAGUGAUAGUGUAUUCUCCUCAGUGAAUCUUAUUAGGAGGCACAUAAUGUCAGUUUGCUCCCAAAUUGGCUGUGUUAGCUUUGAUGGCUUGGAUAAAAUGGUAUUUUCUAAGUUUCUUUACUUAAAAAAUUUCCCCUUUGUAAUUAAUAAGUAACUUCAGUGAAAUAUUUUAAAAAUCUAUGAAUACACAACUAUCAUCAAACUUUUGCCUACCAGUUUUAGCAUCCAGUAAUAAUGUUCUAAUUCCACCAGUCUCCCUAUGUUAAUUAGUCGGAUUUUACUAUAAGGAAAACUUUCUUUGCUCUCCUAUUGAUAUGUUUUUAUGAUGGAAGUCUCUUCGAUUUUUAGAUUUUAUUAAUGUAUUAUAAUACAUAUGUAAUAAUAUAUAUUGUAACAUAUAGCACAUUAUAUUUAAUUAGAUAUAGCACUUUAUUUAAUUAGAUAUUCAUCCCAAGUUUGAUGAGUGGAGAAUCCCUCUGUCUUCUGUUGCAUUUUGAUAGAUCUUCAUGUUUUUUUUUGAGUAUUUUUUUAGUUUUUGUACCAAUGAGAUACUCCAGGCAUUGCUUGUAGUUUCUCUGCAUUAGCCCUGGAAUCAUCAUUUCUUUAUGAGCCUUUGGUUUAUGGUAAGGAUAAUAAUAUUUAGAAACCAAGAUAUGGGCACAGUGUGUAUUUAUUGUUACCAAAGUGCCAUCACUUGGAAACACACACACACACACACACACACACACACACACACACACAUUCUUAAUUCUACCUGCAUCUGUUUAUUAAAAAGCAUGAGUUUAGGGGCGCCUGGGUGGCUCAGUCGGUCACGCAGCCAACUUUGGCUCAGGUCAUGAUCUCGCCAUACGUGAGUUAGAGCCCUGUGUCGGGUUCACUGCUGACAGCUCAGAGCAUGGAGCCUGCUUUGGAUUCUGUGUCUCCCUCUCACUCUGCCCCUCCUUGGCUCAUGCUCUCUCUCUCUUUCAAAAGUAAAUAUUAAAAAAUUUUUAAAGAAAAGCAUCAGUUUAUUCUUACACCUUUAAUUCUCAUCAGAUACCAUGGGAUAUAUCUUACUUUUCCUUGUCCCCAUAUUUUAAAUCCAUUUUCCAACAAUGGGAAACCUGGCUUCAAUAUUCUCAAUAUAUUUGUUAAUAGUAUACUUGCAAAUGUUUAAUAAAUUGUUCUUCAAAAAACAAACUGAAACAAAAAUAUUUAUAACAUUUGCUUAUUUUUAUAGUGUGAAUACUUUCUCCAUGGCCAAAUUCAGUCUACCAACAUGACUCCAUCAGCGAACACAGAACUGUGAAGAGAUGUUCACACUUGAUGGGGUGAGUUAAUGGCAAGACCUACACACCAUAGCACGCAAUGCAAAGAAGUCGUAUCAUAAUUACAAACCCCUAUCUCUGUAAAAAGCAAAUAUAUUAACAAGGGUCCAAUAUUUAUAACUUUUUAAAGUAAAAUGUACAUAGUGAAUUAAAUCUUAUAUGUACAAUGUCAAUGAGUUUUGAUAUGUAACUAACACGUGUAUUAAGAUACAAAACAUUUUCAUCACUCUAAAUGUUCUCUGAUAGCUUUUUCUAGUCAGUGAGACACUCAGAGGAAAGCACUGUUGUAAUUUUUGUCAUCAGAGAUCAGCUUUGACUGUUCUAGAUCGUCACUCUAAGUAAAAUGAUAUGAUAUAAUUUUUUUUUUGAUCUGGCUUUUUUCACUCAGAAAAAUAUAUGUCAGAGUCAUCUUUAUUAAUGCAUAUGUAAGCAAUUUUUUUGUGUUGCUGGGUAGUAUUCAGUCCUUUAAAUCUACAAUAAUUUGUUUACCCAUUUUCCAGUGAGGAGCGUUUGCAUUGUUUUUACUUUUUUUGGUUAUUAUGAAAAAAACUAUAAACAUUUCCAUAUAAUUCACUUUGUAAAUAAAUGUUUUUAUUUCUCUUUGAUAUAUAUCUAAAAAUGAAAUUGCUGGUUUAUAGGGUAGAUGUUUGUUUAAUUUUACAUGAAAUAAACAUUUUUUUAAUUGUUUGUAUCAUUAACACUUUCAUCAGCAAUAUACAAAUUUUGGGCCAAAGUUCAGUCUUUGCAGGCUUCUUAUUUUAGCAACUCUAUUGGGUGAAUGGUAGUAUCUUAGGGAUUUAUUUUGCAUUUUACUAACUGGUGAUGCUGUGAACUUUAUAUGUGCUCAUUAACCGUUGCAUGUAUCAUUUAAGUUUUUAGAAAUGUAGUGUCAUAGUGUAUUUUUCAUAAUAUUCUCUUAAUUUCUUUUUAAAAUCUGUAGUAUGUAUAGUAACAUCUACUUUUUCAUUAUUUCUGUUGGUAAUAAAUUAUUUCAGCCUUUUUAUUUCUGAAAAGGAUAUUUUGUUAGUUUAUAAAAGAUAUUUUUGCUGGAUAUUGAGUUUCUAGGAUUACAGCAAUAUUGUUACACUUCAUGUUUACUGAUAUUUUCUUCUACAAUAUCUAAUGUGCCAUUUUCCAUAUCUAGUGUAUUUCUAUCUUACACAUGUUAGAAUUAAUUUCUAUAAUUUUGAUUGAGCUGUUAUAAAACAUCCUCUAAGCCUACAGUAAAUAUUUGAAUUUUUCCUCUAGCUUCUUGAAUAUGGAGAAUAGAAUUAUAGUAACUAUUUAAAAAACAUUGUCUCCUAAUUCUGUCAUCCAUGUCUUUUGGGGGGAUGGUUUGGAUUGAUUGACUUUUUUUUUAUUGCUAUAAGUCUUCUUUCUACCACUCAGCUUUUUUGCAUGCUUCUAAUAUUUAAUUGGUUGUCAUACACUGCAAAUUUUACCUUGUGGAUGGUAAGAUAUUUUUACUAUUGUAAGUACUAUUGAGGUGUUUCUCCUUUUUUUGACACGGUUAAUUUACCUGGAGACAGUUUGAUCCUUUUAGCUCUUCAGUCUCUGUGAUUCUGGGAGCAGGACAGUGUUUAGUCUUGGGCUAAUUUUGCUCCACUACUGAGGCAAAACCAUUCUUAUGAUUCUACCUGUUGCUCCCUAGAUUAUGAGGUAUUUCCACUUUGGCAAGUGAAACUGUCUUCAGACCUAGGUGAGCUCUGGGGACUGUUUUCCUGGUUGGUUCUUUCCCUAACCUUGGGUAGUUUCCUCACAUGAGUUUUAGGAUAAAUAAUCUGAAUAUUUGGGAGAGUCCUCCCACUCUUGUUUUCUCUCUUUCUCAGCAGCUCCCUCCUUUGUGUUAUUCUGACCUGUGUAUUCUAGCUGUCCUUGCCUCCCCAUUCUUCCAGCUCUGUCUCAUCAAUUCAGAAAGACCAAUAGGUUCUGUCUGGGUUCUUUUCCUUUUACAAUUAGGAACCUCUGUCCACACAAUUGGCUCAAGAUUUCAUAAGGUUUACUUCAUUUGUUUCCAUUAUCUUAAGGAUCUCUUUUAUUCACUGGCUUAUAGCCAGUGUCUUGAAAAACAUUGUUUCAUGUAUUUCCUCAGGUUUUUAGUUGUUUCAGGUGAGAUAGUAAAUCUGGUCCCUAUUCUUCUAUCUUGGGUGAAAGUAGAGACCCAUAUGUCUUUUAAAAAUUUACGUGAGGAGGGGGUGGCAGAGUAAGGAAGUCCAAAAGUCUAUGCUUCCAAAAAAAAAAUGAGAAAAAAAAACUGUUAAAAACUAUCUGGGUCAAGAGGAACCUGAGUGGCUUCGUGUUUAAGCAUCCAACUCUUGAUUUCAUUUCAGGUCCUGAUUUAAUGGUUCAUGGGUUCCACAUUGGGCUCUGCAGCUGGCAGCAUGAAGCCUGCUUGAUAUUCUCUCUCUCUCCCCCUCUCUCUCUGCCCCUCCCCCUCUAGUGCCUUCCCUCCCCCCCGCCUUCUCUCUCUCUCAGAAAUAAAUAAAAACGUUAAAAAAUUUUUUAAAAACCUUUCUGGGCCAACAUUUUACAGAAUCUGGAAACUAAUCAAAAGCUUGCAAAAACCAGGGAAUACUUACUCAGGAAAACCUAGCUUGAUCUAAAUAAUUACAGUGAGCUUUGUGGUAUUUUAAACUUUUUUGGAUCCUUCCCUACUCUGUAACACAGUGGUACCGUUGAAAAUUAAGUUUGUAUUCUGGCACUAACACCAGAGGGAGCAGAAUGAACUACAUUAGCAAAAAUUUGUGAUGGUGUUGACCUGUCUGGUGCCUCCUUAGUAGGUCAGUUCAAAAGGCUUGCCUUUAUCAUGCAUAACACAGAAUUAUCCCACUGCUCUAGCAGCUACCCAGGGUGCAUUUGUCAAAAAUGUUUAUAGCCAAAGAUACUUGUUGUUUCCAUAAGCAAUGGAUAACAGUUAAGGCAAACAGUAUGUCAUAAAAACAGUUGGGAGGAGAGAUUGAUGAAUGAAAUGUUUUGGGGAAUAAGAAAUCUGAAAAACUCUGACAUAUUCUUGGAAAUAUUCACCCCUAGACUGUGCAUAUACUCAAGAAAGCCCUGAGGAGGUUCUGACUCUCAUUUCUAUCUGUUUUCUGCCUUGUUCAAGCAGGUAGUGAAGGUUAAGGCAGAGAUGUAAAUUAUGUGGCUGAAUGUAGAAGGCAUACACACAUAGAGUUCAUCUACCAGACUGGGAGGUUUUUUGCAUUCCACACCAUUAGGGAAAUCCAUGUCCCAUCACUAUCUGGCCAUUAAGCAAAUGGAACGGAGACUUCAGGGGCCAUAAGUGACAAAACCUACAGAUGUUACAAAAUUAGCUCAAAAAGUCACUAAACAAGAAACCAGCAAUAAUUACAACAGACAGCAAUGGUAAACCUAUGGAGCAGGGAGGGGAAUGUGAUUUCCAGAGUUGCUGUAUCAUAUUAUUCAAAAUAUCCAGUUUUCAAUAAUUAGAAGUUAUGCAACGAAAUGAGAAAGUCUGACCCAUAUACAGGAAAAGCAAAUUAAUCAUCAGAAACUCUUUCUGAGGAAGCACUGACAUUGAACUUAUUAGACAAAUACUUUAAGUCAGAAGUUUAAAUAUGUUCAGUUAAGGAAACCAUGUGCAAGGAACCAAAAGGAAUUAUUGGGGCACCUGGGUGUCUCAGUCGGUUAAGCGUCCGACUUUGGCUCAGGUCAUGAUCUCACAAUUCAUGGGUUUGAGCCCCACAUCGGGCUCUGUGCUGACAGCCUGGAGCCUGCUUCUGAUUCUGUGUCUCGCUCUCUCUCUGCCCCUCCCCUGCUCACACUCUGUCUCUCUCUGUCUCUCAAAAAUAAAUAAAUGUAAAAAUUUUUUUUUAAAAAAAGGAACUAAAAGGAAUUAUGAAAAUGAUAUCUCAAAUACAGUACAUCAGUAGAGACAGAAAAUUUUUAAAGGAACCAAAUAUUUUGGUAUGGAUAAAAACAGUAACUGAAGUGAAAAACUCACUAGGGGAUCUCAAUAGCAGAUUUUAUCAAUAGAAGGAAGAAUCAGUUAACUUAAAGAUAGGUGAAUUGAAAUUGUCCAGUCUGAGGAAUAGAAAAAAAAGGAAGAAAAAUAAUCAGAGCCUCAAAGACUGAUGGGAUACUGUCAAGCAUAUAGUAGGAGGCCUAGAGGGAGAGGAGAGAAAGGUGAAGAAAGAAUAUUUGAAGAAAUAAUGAGUGAGGCCUCCUAGAAUUGAUGAAAAAUUUGAAUCUGAAUAUCUAAGAGUCUCAGUGAACUCCAAUUAGAUAAGUUCAAAUAGAUCCACACUGAGAUACAUUAUAAUCAAACUGUUGAAAGGCAAAGAAUACUGAAAACAGCAAGAGAAGUGACUUGUCAUAAGCAAAGGAUCCUUAAUAAGAUUAGCAGCUAAUCUUGCAUCAGAAACCAUAGAGGGUAGAAUACAUCUGUAUGAUAUAUUCAGAGUACUGAAAGAAAAAAGAAACUGCCAACCAAGAAUUCUAUCCAGCAAAACUAUCCCUCAAAGAUUGGCAAAUUGAGACAUUCCAAGACAAACAAAAACUGGGAGAGUUCAUUGCUAGCAUACAGUAACUUGAAGGGACACAAAGAAACAAAGAACACCAGUAAUGAUAACUACAAAUGAAAUUAUAAAAUUUGUAUUAAUGUUUUUUUUACUCCUUUUUUUCUAUUAUUUAAAGUAAGUUACAUCAAACUAUAAUUAUAAAUCUAUAUCAGUGGGCACAAAUGUAUAAAGACAUGAUUUGUGACAAUAACAUAAGAGGGGACAGUUUUUUUUAUAUGUAGGAGGAAGUUUUUGUAUGUGUAAAAAUAGGCACUGAAUUAUAAGUUAAGAUUGUAAUAAAUUAAUAUUAUUAUAAAUAAAGAUGUUAAGUAUAAUACCCGGGACGUCUACUAAGAAAAUAACUCAAAACUAUAUGAUAAAAGAAUAAAAAUAGAAUUAAAAUGAUAAACUAGAAAAUAUUUAACACAAAAUAAGAUAGUAAUAAGAGGAACUGAGGAACAAAACUGAUGUGACAUAUAGAAAACAAGUAGCAAAAUGGCAGAGCAAAUCCUUAUCAGUAAUAAUUAAAUGUAAAUGGAUUAAAUUCUCCAGUUAAAAGACAGAGAUGAAUAGAAUGGAUUAAAGAAUCAUGGUUCAACUACAUCUCUAUAAGAGAUUCACUUUAGAUUUAGAUAUUCAAAUAGGUUGAAAAAAAAAGUAUGGAAAAUAUACUCCUGAAAACAGUAUACAAAAGAGAUCUGAAGUGGCUAAACUAAUAUACAAAAUUACUUUAAUCUAGAAAUUAUUAUUUUUUUUUUAAUUUUUUUUUCAACGUUUUUAUUUAUUUUUGGGACAGAGAGAGACAGAGCAUGAACAGGGGAGGGGCAGAGAGAGAGGGAGACACAGAAUCGGAAACAGGCUCCAGGCUCCGAGCCAUCAGCCCAGAGCCUGACGCGGGGCUCGAACUCACGGACCGCGAGAUCGUGACCUGGCUGAAGUCGGACGCUUAACCGACUGCGCCACCCAGGCGCCCCUAAUCUAGAAAUUAUUAUGAGAGACAAAGGACAUUUAAAGGGUCAAUUCGUCAAGAAAAUAUAACAGUUAUAAACAAUAGAACUACAAAAUACAUGAAACCAAAGCUGACUUAAUUGCAGGGAGAGAUAGUUCAAAAAUAAUAGUUGGAAUCCUCAGUAUUCUGUUUCAAUAAUGGAUAGAACAACUUGACAGAAAGCAAGGAAGUAGAAAGGUAAAUGAACUACACUAUAAACCUACUAGAUCUAACAGACAUUCAGGCAUUCUUCUGAAGUACACGUGGAACUUUGUAUAUGCCAAAGAUAAUUGAAAACAUAUAUUCACACAAAAACUUGUACAUGAAUGUUCACAGCUAUAUUAUUCAGCAUAGCCAAAACAGUAGAACCACCCAAAUAUCCAUCAACUGAUUAGUGGAAAAGCAAAUAGUAGUUUUCUUAUAAAAUGGGAUAUUAUUUGUCCAUAAAAAGGAAAGAAGUACUAAUGCACGCUACAACAUGGAUGAAUCUUGAAAACAUUUUGCUCCGUGAAAGAAUCCAGACACAAAAAUCCACAAUAUAUGAUUCCAUUUAUAUGAAACAUCCUGAAUGGGAAAAUCCAUUGAGACAGAAAGUAGAUUAGCAGUUGUCAUAGGCUAGGGUAAGGAUGAAAUGGGGAUGGCAGCUUAAUAGAUGUGGAGCUUCUCUGGAGGGUGACAAAAAUAUAAAAAUGCACAUUAAUGAUGGUUGUAUAUCACUGUGAACAUACUAAAAACUCCAAAGAUUAUACUCUAAAAUGUUUAAAUGUGAAUAUUAUAUUCUUGGGAAUUUUAUCUCAGUAAAAAAUAAAUUUAAAAACUUAAGCAAAGAAAACAUAGUCUUUUAUAUUUGUGUUUUUUGAUUAUUAUUCCUUUCUGUAGAUCUGAGUUUCUGAUAUCAUUUCCCUUAAUUUAUUUAAGUCAAUAAAUUUUUACUUAAGGAGUUUUACAUGUGAAUCCUUCCACUCCCAAUCACUGUAGUUUUUCCAAAGUCAGAAUCAUUACCUUCAAAAUAACCCUUUUAAAAAGAACUUUUGGGGGUGUCUGGGUGGCUCAGUCAGUUAAGCAUCCAACUUCAGCUCAGGUCAUGAACUCCCAGUUCGUGAGUUUGAGUCCCACAUCAGGCUCUGUGCUGACCACUCAGAGACUGGAACCCGCCUCAGAUUCUGUGUCUCCCUCUCUUUCUGCCCCUUCCCCCCACUCAAGAAUAAAUAAAGAACUUUUGUUCAAUCUACAGUUGUCACUGUCAGUCCAGAAUUAUUUCAGUUGGGCUUCUUUGAACGCCAUUUGAACAUGGACAUACUUCAAAAAUUCCCCACCUGUAACCUUUGGGAUUCAGCAUAACAUGCAUCUCAGUAAACCACUCAUUUCCCUUUAUUCUAAAGAACUUUUUUGUUCUCUAGUACAGUUCUGCUGGAGAUGAAUUAUCUCAAUAAUUUUUUUUGAAUAUUUUGUCAUUUAAUUUAAAGGACAUUUUUGCUAGCUUUAAGAUUCUGGGAUGACAAUGUUUUCAACACUUUAAAGAUGUUAUAGGGGUUUAUUUCUGUGUGAAGCUAAAUGUAAUUUCUUUUGCUGUUUUUCUCGAUAUUAUGUUUCUUUUUUCCCCUAAGAUUACUUUUAAGAUUGUAUCUUUAUCUUUGGCCUUCAGUGGUAUGGUUAUGAUAUGCCUAGAUGAGUUUCUCUUUGUGUUUACCUUUAUUGAGAUUUUGGAGAUUCUUUGUUCUGUCACUUAUUUUUCCCUAAACUUGAGAAAUUUUUCAAGUACAUUUUCUUACAUUUUAUAUUUUUUCCUUCUGAGACUUUAAUGAAGAGAGUAUUACACAGAAGAAUAUUUUCCUACAUGUCACUUAAUAUGUUUAUUUAUGUCAAAUGUUUUCUUCCUGUUCUUCUACUAGCUUGUUUGUAUUGAUACAACUUCAAGUUAAAUGACUCUUUUUCUUCUUUCUCCAAUAUGCUGGUAAGAAUUUCCAUUAAAUUUUCAUUAUAGCAAUUAUGUACACUUUAAUUCUGGUGGUAUUUUUGUAUUAAUCUUUUUAAUGGUUUCCAUUUUUCUGCUGAGAUUUCCCACAUGAAAAAAUUCUUCACAGAUUCUUUUAAGUCCUGAACAUACUUUAUGCCACUGAUAUGAAGUCCUUAUGCUGUUUAUACCAUUUGAUUCUUUGGGGUAUCUGCUUCUAUUGAAUGCUUCCUCUCUUGACUCUAGGCAUAUUUUUCUGUUUCUUUGUAUCUCUAUUAAUAUUUUGUUCUUUUUUAAAUAUUUAUUUUUAUGGGGGGGGGGGGAUGGGCAGAGAGAGACUCUCACGCAGGCUUUCUCUGUCAGCACAGAGCCUUUCACAGGGCUUGAUCUUAGACUUUGUGAGAUCAUGACCUGAGCCGAAAUUAAGAGUUGAACUCUUAACCAAAUAAACCCACCCAGGUGCCUCUAGUAAUAUUUUGUUCUGAACUGGACUCUGGGUGUAUGGUGUUUUAGAGACUUUGAACUCUGCUAUUUUCCUCUGUUGAGUGUUGAUUUUUGUUCUAGCCUGAAGCUAAUUGGGCUGGAUUUAACCUCCAAACAGUAUCUUCCCUGUUGUGUUCAGCUAAUGAAAUACCCUCUUAGACUUUUUCAGUUCUGUUUUUAACUAAGUCCCUUGAAGUUUUCCCCAUGAAUGUGUAUUCUAGUGAUCAGCCAAGUGUUGGGCAGACUUUGUAUUCCAAUAUAGAGGCUUAUCCCACCCUGUGGCUCCACUCUUCAUAUAAUUUUCUCCCUAACCCACUAGCCACUUUGACAGCCCCAGUUUCUUCCUCUGAUUACUCAAGCUGUGAGACUACAACUUUAUUCUACUCUACACCAUAUAUACUGAGAAAUGGCCUUGGGUGAAGGGUCACAUAUAUAACUCUAACCUAAUGGACUUCACUCUCCAAGAGUCAAUUCCUGUAAAGUUUCUGCCUUAAUUACUCAAUUAGUUUUUCAGGCUUUCUGUAAUAAAGCACCACAAACAGGGAAGCUUAACCAAUAGAAAUUUAUUGUUUCAUAGUUCUAGAGGCUAGAAGUCUGAGAUCAGUGUAUUAGCAGGGUUGGUUCCUUCUGAGGGCUGUGAGGGAGAAUCUGCUCUAUGCCUUCCUCCAACCGUCUGGUUUGCUGGCAAUAUAUGGCACAGCUUGGCUUGUAGGUGCAUCAAACUCUGCUCUCAUCUUUACAUGGUGCUCUUCCUUUGUGUGUGUGUUUCUGUGUCCAAAUUUCCUGUUUUUAUAUGGACACCAGUCUUAUUGGAUCAGGGUCUAUUUUUAUGACCUCAUAUUAACUUGAUUACCUGUGUAAAGACCUCUUUCUGCAUAAGGUUGCAUCCUGAGAUAUUGGGGGUCAGGAUUUCAAAUAAUCGUUUUUGGGGGAAAUCACAGUUCCACUCAGAACAGUCACUCUCCAUUGCCUUCCAGUUGUUGUUUAUAAAAUACUUUGUCUAUAUUUAUAACUUUUUUCUGCCAUUUUGCCUCUCUAUGCCUCUUCUCUUUGGCAGUCAUGAGUCUGUUCUUUGUAUAUAUAGGAAUGUUUCUUCUUUUGUAUAUGGGUGGGUGUGUGUGUGUGUGUGUGUGUGUGUGUGUGUGUGCGUGCCACAUGCCACAUUUUUGUAUCCAUUGGGUUGCAUCCAUAUCUCAGCUAUUGUAAAUAAUGCUGCAAUAAACAUAGGGGUGAAAUAUAUCUUUUUGAAUUAGUGUUUUCAUUUUCUUUUGGCAAAUACCCAGUAAUAGAAUUACUAGAUCAUAUGGCAUUUCUAUUUUUAAUUUUCUGAACAACCUCCGUACUGGUUAGCAUAGUGGCUGCACCAGUUUGCAUUUCCAUCAACAGUAUACUUGUUGUUUCUUGUGUUUUUGUUUCUGAUAGAUUCUGACAGGUAUAGGGUGAUAUCUCAUUGUGGUUUUGGUUUGUACUUACGAUUAGUGAUGUUGAGCAUGUUUUCAUAUGUCUAUUGGCUAUUUAUAUAUCUUCUCUGGAAAAAUGUCUAAUCACAUUUUUUAAAUUGGGUUAUUGUUGUAGGAUUUUUUUCUUGGUGGUGAGUUUUAUAAAUUCUUCAUAUAUUUUGGAUAUUAAUCCCUUAUUGGGUAUAUCAUUUUCAAAUAUUCUUUCCCAUUCAGUAGGUUGCCUUUUCAUUUUGUUCAUGGUUUCUUUUACUAUCAGGUUUUAUAGUAGCUAUCUGUGGAUAUUCUGCCAUUAUUGGAAAUGGGAAUUAUCUGAAAAUUUUUGUUAGCAGAUAGACAUUGUGUAUAAUAUAUGCUAGACAGUUUGUUUUAUCUUGUCUUCCUUUAUACAAUGUUAGUUUUGUUUUGGCAGAGAGUUAAAUACUGACUCUCCUUAAAACUUUCAGAUUUGGUUUUAUACCUUUGCGUGUAGGAAUCCUCUCUAAAUUGUUCUUAUGCUAGGCUGUGGCCCUUAAUCUAGGCAAAGCGUCUGCAAAUUUUGGCUCAUGGAACUAAUCUGACCUGAAUUUUUUUUCCUAUGGCCCAUAGCUAAAAAUGUUUUUUUUUUUUCAUUUUUAAAGAGUUGAAGGAGGAGUAGAAGAAACAAAGAUGACUAUAUGUGGCUGUAAGUCUUAAAAUAUUUACUAUAUGAUUCUUUACAGAAGAUAUUUAUGACCCCUGCUCUGAACUAUAGACUUUUUAGUGUCACAAAUGAAUAAAGAAGUGCUCAGUGAGGUCUUUCCACCUAGGCUGGGUUGGACUAUAUCUCCUAGCACCACAUCACCUUUGGUGAUGGGAGCGGCACCACAAGCAUGAAGAAGGGACAGGAGCAGACCCCAGCACUCCAGGUACAAGGGGCCUGCACUUGGAAGACAAGUUCCCAUAACAUUUGGUUUUGGAAACCAGUGAGUCGUAACCUCAUGAGUUUUUACAGGUACUGGGACUUAACUCUGGGUACUUUAAAAAUCAGUGGACUUGUUUUGGGAGAGCCAGAGAGCAAUAGGAAAUUAAGCCUGUCCCUUUAGAGAGGCAGCAUAACAAACAAUCCCACGGAGAUACUGCACAGAAGUAGAAGUUUGAAAAACACCUGAGGUAUAUGUAAAGGAGGGUUAUUUACUAAUCUCAGAACAGGUUUUGGAGAGGCGAGGAUCUUUAGGAGACUUCUCCAAGAACAAAAGAGCUGGUAGGAGCCACUUCUAUCCCCCUUCUCCCAAGUCUGAACAGCUUGACACCUGUGGGAACCAGUGCAAAUACUGUCUACCCUCAUCCCACCCCUGUAUUCUCCUGCAGAUUCACCCAUUCGACCUGCCCCAUGUGGCAGGAGUCCCUUCAAAGCAGUUCCUGCCAUGUCUCAUCAUGCAGGCAGCCCCAGCAGUGAACAGCCCCACCUCCAAAGUGACUCCUUCCUUGGGUAGAGGGGAAGAUAACCAUACACACUAGUUCCACUGCAGUCCCAGAAGCUAAACCAUAUAACUGGCAGUGCAGAGAGAGUACCCUGCUGAUCCGUGCACCUGUAGCCCUAGCACAUGUCCUGGGGGUAGGUUCUGAUCUGACUGCCAGCCCUACCCACCAAUACCAGCCUCUCAGGGAACAGCACAGGAAAGCAGUCUAGCUCAGUGCAACUACAGCCCCAGCAAAUGGGUUGAGGGCAGACAUCUGAUCUGACUGCUUACACUGCCCAACUACAAGCCCAUGGUGUAGGCACAAUAGGCAAAGGGGGCUAUUGUAGCCAAAUGGACUGAAGGCAAACUAGGCCCAGCCACAACAGUAGAGCACAUUCAACCCACAUAGGAGACACUCCUGAAGCUCCUGAUUUUGGUGAGCAGGGGACAUUGUGCUAAAGUGCAUCAUAGGACCUCUUCUCCAUCAGGAUAGUACUUUCAAGAUCAGAAGACAUAACUGACUUUCCUAAUGCAUAGAAACAAACAGAGAGUUAAACAAAAUGAGGAUACAGAAGAAUAUGUCUCAAAUGAAAAAAAAAAAAAGAAACAGGACAAAACCACAGCAAAACACCUACGUGAAAUUGAGAUAAACAAUAUUCCUGAUAAAGAAUUCAAAGUAAUCAUUAUAAAGAUACUUACUGGACUUGAGAAAAAAGUGGAAGACUUCAGUGAGACCUUCAACAAAGUGAAAGACAAUAUAAAAAAAGAGAUGAAGAACUCAACUGAAAUUGAAAGUACACUAGAAGGAAUUGAUGGACUAGAGGAGGCAGAAGAAAGAACCAGUGAACUAGAAAACAGAGUAAUGAAAAGCAACCAAGGGGAACAGCAAAAAGAAAAAAAAAAUAAAAGAUGGGAAUAGGUUAAGGGAACUCAGUGACAUAAUCAAGCCAGGAGGCACAGAGAGCUCCCAACAAAAUCAACCCAAUCAGAUCCACACCAAGACACAUAAUAAUUAAAACAGAACAGUAGUGAUAAAGAGAGAAUUUUUAAAGCAUUAAGAGAAGAGAAAACAGUUGCAUGCAAGGGAAGCUCCAUAAGGUCCUCAGCUGAUUUUUAACAGAAAUUUUGCAGACCAGAAGGAAGUGGCAUGGUAUACUCAAAAUGCUAAAUGGAAGAAAACUUGAAAUCAAAGAUACUGUACCUGGCAAGACUAUCAUUCAAAAUAGGAGAGAUAGAAUUUCUCAGACAAACAAAAGUUAAAGAAGUUCAUCACCACUAAACCAGCCUUACAAGAAACAUUAAAAGGAAUUCUUUGAGUUGAAAGAAAAGGCCAUAAUGAAGAGUAGGAAAAUUGUGGAAGGGAAAAAUUUCACAGGUGAAUACAAAAUAAUAAAAGUAAUACAUUAAUAACUUAUAAACCAGGCAGAGGUUAAGCCACAAAAGCAGUAAUAUCAAUUAUAUCUGUAAAAAUCAGACAAGGGCUUCACAAAAUAAAAUGAUGUCACAUGUGAUGUCAUAUGCAUAAAAAAUGUCAUAGGGGAGUAAAAAGUUGGUGCUUUUAGAAUGGGUUCAAAUUUGAGCAACCAUCAACUUAAUACAGACCACUAUAUGCAUAAGAUGAUAUAUAUGAGCCUAAUGGUAACUAUAAAUAAAAAAUCCAUAAUAGGAUACUGGCACAAAUAUAGAUCAACGGAAUAGAAUAGAAAGCCCUGAAACAAACCCACAAUUAUAUGGUCAAUUAAUCUUCAACAAAGCAAGAAAAAAUAUCCAGUGGGGAAAAGUCUCUUCAACAAAUGGUGUUGGGAAAACUGGACAGCUACAUGCAAAAGAAAGAAACUGGAUCACUUCCUUGCACCAUACACAAAAAUAAACUCAAAAUGGUUUAAGCACAUAAAUGUGAGACCUGAAACCAUAAAAACUCCUAGAAGAGAGCACAGGCAAUAAUUUCUCUGAUACUGGCAGUAGCAGCAUCUUUCUAGAUAUGUCUCCUGAGGCAAGGUAAACAAAAGCAAAAAUAAACUAUGAGAAUAUACCAAAAUAAAAAUCUUCUUCAUAGUGAAGGAAACAGCCAACAAAACUAAAAGAUAACUUAUAGCAUGGGAGAAGAUAUUUGCAAAUGACAUACCAGAUAAAGGAUUAGUGUCCAAAAUAUGUAAAGAACUUACUAAACUCAACACCCAAAAAACCAAAUAAUCCAAUUAAAAAGGGGCAGAAGAUAUGAACAGACAUUUCUCCAAAGAAGACAUCCAGAUGGCCAACAGACACAUGAAAAGGUGCUCAGCAUCACUCAUAAUCAGAGGAAUACAAAUCACAACCACAAUGAGAUAUUCCCUCACACCAGUCAGAUGGCUAAAAUCAAGAACAGAAGAAACAAUAAAUGUUGGUGAGGAUGUGGAGAAAACAGAGCCCUCAUGCACUGUUGGUGGGAAUACAAACUGGUGCAGCAACUAUGGAAGACAAUAUGAAGGUCCUCAAAAAAAUAAAAACAGAACUACCCUAUGACCCAUUAGUUGAACAAUUGGGUAUUUACUCAAAGAAUACAAAAACACUAAUUUGAAGAAAUAUAUGCACCCCUGUGUUUAUAGCAGCAUUACUUAAAGUAGGCAAACUAUGGAAGCAACAGCUCGUGUCCAGUGAUGAAUGGAUAAAGAAAAUGGGAUGCAUAUAUGUGUGUGUUUGUGUGUAUCCCUGCAUACUCACACACAAUGGAAUAUUAUUCCACCAUUAAAAAAAGAAUGAAAUCUUGCCAUUUAACAACAUGGGUAGAUCUAGAGUGUAUAAUGCUAAGUGAAAUAAGCCAGUCAGAGAAAGACAAAUACCAUAUGAUCUCAUAUAUAUGUGGAGUUUAAGAAACAAAACAAAUGAACAAAGGGAAAAAAAGAGACAAACUAAAAAUCAGACUCUUAACUAUAGAGAAUAAACAAGAUGGUUACCAGAGGGGAGGUGAGUGGAGGGAUGGGUGAAAUAGGUGAAGGUGAUUAAGAGUACACUCAUUUUGGUGCCUGGGUGGCUCAGUCAGUUAAGCGUCCGACUUCAGCUCAGGUCAUGAUCUCACAGUUUGUGGGUUCGAGCCCUGCAUCGGGCUCUCUGCUGACAGCUCAGAGCCUGGAGCCUGGUUUGGAUUCUGUGUCUCCCUCUCUCUCUGCUCCUCCCCCACUCAUGCUCUGUCCUUUCAAAAAUAAGUAAAGAUUAAAAAAAAAGUUAAAAGAGUACACUCAUUUUGAUGAGCACUAAUAUAUGGAAGCAUUGAAUUACUAUACGGUAUGCCUGGAACUACUAUAACACUGUAUGUUAACUAUACUGGAAUUAAAAAAAAAAACUAAAAAAAAAAACCCCUAUUAUAUAUAUGCAAAAAAUAAAGAGAAAGGACUCCAAGCAUAUUACUAAAGAAAGCCAUCAAACCACAAUGUAAGAGAGCAGGAGAAGAAAUGAGCAGAGAAAUACAAAAACACCUGUAAAACAAAUAACAAAAUAACAAUAAGUACAUAGGUAUCAAUAAUUACUUUGAAUGUAAAUGGACUAAUUGCUCCAAUCAAAAGGCAUAGGGUAACUGAAUGGAUAGAAAAGCAAGAGCCAACUAUGUCUGCUUACAAGAGACUCACUUCAGACCUAAAGGCAGGUGCAAAUUGAAAGUAAAGGAGUUAAAAAACAUUUACCAUGCAAAUGGAUGCAGAAAGAAAUCUGGGGCAGCAAUACUUACAUCAGACAAAAUAGAUCUAAAAACCAAUUUUUGUAACGAGACAAAGAAGGACACUACACCAUGAUAAAGGGAACAGUCUGACAGGAGGAUAUAAAAAUUGUAAACAUUUAUGUACCCAGCAUGAGAGCACUCAAAGAGAUAAAGUAACUACUAACAGACAUAAAAGAAGAAAUUGACAGUAAUACAAUAAUAGUAGGGGGACUUAACACCCCACUUACAUCAAUGGAUAGAUCAUCCAGACAGAAAAUCAACAAAGAAAUAGUAGCUGAAUGACACAUUGGACCAGAUGGCCCUAACAAAUAUAUUCAGAACAUUCCAUCCCAAAAUAGCCCAGUAUACAUUUUUUAAGUACACAUGCAACAUUAUCCAGAAUAAUCACAUGGUAGGCCACAAAACAAGUCUCAAUAAAUUCAAAAAGACUAAAAUAAUAUCAUGUCUCUUUUCUUUUUUUACUUUUUUUAAUGUUUGUUUAUUUUUGAGAGGGAGAAACAGAGCAUGAGGGAGGGAGGGCCAGAGAGAGAGGGAGAUACAGAAUCUGAAACAGGCUCCAGGCUUGGAGCUCUCAGCACAGAGCCUGAUGCUGGGCUUGAACUUGGAACAGCGAGAUCAUGACCUAGGCCAAAGUUGGACGCUUAAUCGACUGAGUCACCUGGGAGGGAGCCCCUAUCAUGCCUCUUUUCUAACAACAAAAAUAUGAAACUAGAAAUCGGUCACAAGAAAAAGUCUGGAAAGAACACAAAUAAAUGGAGACUAAAUGACAUACUCCUAAACAAUGACUAGGUCAACCAAGGAAAUAAAAAGUAAGUUAAAAAAAACAUGGAGAAAUAUGAAAGUAAAAAUACAGUGGUCCAAAAUCUUCAGGAUGCAGCAAAAGUUGUUCUGAAAUAAGAUUAUAGCAACAUAGGCCUACUUCAAGAAGCAAUAAAAAUCUCAAAUAAACAACCUAACCUUACACCUAAAGAAGCUAGAAAAAGAACAAAGAAAGCCCAAAGCCAAUAGAAAGAAGGAAAUAGUAAAGAUUAGAGCAGAAAUAAAUGAAAUAGAAAUUAAAAAGAAAACCCAAUAGAACAGAUCAAUGAAACCAUGAGCUGGUUCUUUGAAAAGAUCAACAAAAUUGAUAAGCCAUUAGCCAGAUGAGAGAGAGAGAGAGAGGAAAGGAAAGGGGGGAGAGGGGAGGGAAAGGACUCAAAAUCAGAAAUGAAAGAGGAGUGGGGUGCUUGGGUGGCUCAGUUGGUUAAGCAUCUGGCUCUUGCUUUUGGCUCAGGUAAUGAUCUCAUCGUUCAUGAAUUCGAGCCCCACAUCAGCAUCUGCACUGACAGCAUGGAGCUUUCUUGGGAUUCUGUCUCCCCUACUCUCUCUCUCUCUCUGUGCCUGCCCAGCUUGUGCUUUCUCUCUCUCUUUCUCUCUCAAAAAUAAAUAAAUAAACAUUUUUUAAAAAUGAAAGAGGAGAAAUAACAGACACCACAGAAAUACAAAGGAUUAUAAGAGAUUAUGAUGAAAAAUUAAAUGCCAACAAAUUGGACAACCUACAAUAAAUAGAUAAAUUGGUAGAAACAUGUAACCUUCCAAAACUGAAUCAGGAAGAAAUAGAAAAUUUGAUAGACUAAUUACUAGCAAUGAAAUUGAGGCAGUAGUCAAAAAAUUCCCAAUAAACAAAAGUCCAGGAUCAGAUGGAUUCACAGGAAUCCAACCAAUAUUUAAAGAAGAAUUAAUAACUCUUCUUCUCAAACUAUUCCCAAAAAAAAGUAGAAGAGGAAGGAAUGGUUCUAAAGUCAUUCUAUGAGGCCAGUGUUACCCUGAUACCAAAAUUAGAUAAAGACACUUACAAAAAAAGAAAACUACAGGCCAAUAUCUCUGAUGAACAUAGGUGCAGUAUUCCUCAACAACAUAUUAGCAGACUGAAUUCAACAGUACAUUUUUUUAAAAAGUCAUUCACCACAGGUAAAAUUUGUUCUUGGCAUGCAAGAAUGAUUCAGUAUUUGCAAAUCAAUCACAGCACAUUAAUAACAGAAAGGAUAAAAACCACAUGAUCAUCUCCAGAGAUUCAUUUGACAAAGUACAACAUCCAUUCAUUAUAAAAACUCAAUAAAGUAGGUUUGGAGGGAAUGCACCUAACGUAAUAAGGCCAUAUAUGAAAAACCCAUAGCUAACAUCAUACUCAAGGGUGAAAAACUGAGAGCUUUUCAUGUAAGAUCAGGAAGAAGGCAAGGAUGUCCACUCUCACUACUUUUAUUUAACUAGCAUCAGAAGUCCUAUCCACAGCAAUUAAACAACAAAAAGAAAUAAAAGGCAUCCAUACCUGUAAGGAAGUAAAACUUUUACUAUUUGCAGAUGACAUGAUACUCUACAUAGAAAACCCUAAAGACUCCACCAAAAACCUACUAGAACUAAUAAAGAUACAAAAUUAAUAUACAGAAAUUAUAUUUCUACACACUAAUGAAGUAGCAGAACAAGAAAUUAAGAAAACAAUUACAUUUAUAAUUGCACCAAAAAGAGUAAAAUACCUAUGAAGAAACUUAAGGAGGUGAAAGACCUAUACUCUGAAAACUAUAAAACACUGAUGAAAGAAACCAAAGAUAACACAAAUAGAAAGUUAUUCCAUGUUUAUGGAUUUGAACCAAUACUGUUAAGAUGUCCAUACCACCUAAAGCAGUCUACAGAUUUAAUGCAAUCCCUAUCAAAACACCAGCAGCAUUUUUCACAGAACUAGAACAAUUAAUCCUAAAAUUUGUUUGAAAUCACAAAAGAAAAAAAUUCUUAAGGAAUAUAUCUUUAAUCUUGGCCACACUGAUUUCUACAGAUAAGAGUCAUUGAAAAUUAAAUAAAAAUUUAAAUUAUAUAAUACAGGGGAACAUUCCACCAUAUGCACAAGUCAGCAUAUACCACAAACAUCAGGGAAUUGGAUUGUUAUGAAUUUGAGAUUAUCAAACAACCUAAGAGAUAUAUCUGUAAAAUUAUUAAAUAAAUGAAAAAAAAGAUAACUUAGAGCAAGAUGCUAUUUAAAAAAGGCUAGGCAGUUUCAAAAAGGAAUUGAUUAAAACUUACAUAGAAAAAAAGUUACAUAAGGUAAAACAUCAUUAUUCUGUUAAGCAUAUCCUUCCCAGCUGAAAAGGGAAUUAGUGAAAUCAGAAAAAGCUUCUCAGUGGUAUAAAAAAGAUGAAAAAUAUGACAGAAAAGUCAAGAGAUGUAGCAAAGAGAAUAUUCUUUUAAAAAUCAUAGAACUGGGGCGCCUGGGUGGCUCAGUCCGUUAAGCGUCCGACUUCGGCUCAGGUCAUGGUCUUACGGUCCGUGAGUUCGAGCCCCGUGUCAGGCUCUGUGCUGACGGCUCAGAGCCUGGCCUGCUUCAGAUUCUGUGUCUCCCUCUCUCUCUGACCCUCCCCCAUUCAUGCUCUGUCUCUCUCUGUCUCAAAAAUAAAUAAACAUUAAAAAAUAAAAAAAAAUUAAAAAAAAUCAUAGAACUAACACUCCUGAAACAAAACAGUAAAAGUAAGUAAAUUUUUUAAAAUGUUAAAUCCAUAUUCCAGUGAAGAAGUGGGCAGAAGACAUGAAUAGAGAGUUUUCAAAAGAAGACAUCCACAUGGCUAACAGGCCCAUGAAAAAGAUGCUUAGCAUCACUCAUCGGAGAAAUACAAAACAAAACUACAGUGAUAUACCACCUCACACCUGUCAGAAUGGCUAAAGUGAACAACUCAGGAAACAACAGAUGGCAAGAUGCAGAGAUAGGGGAACCCUUUUGCACUGUUGGUGGGAAUGCAUACUGGUGAAGGCACUCUGGAAAACACUCAGAGAAUUAAAAAUAGAACUACCCUAUGACCCAGAAAUUGCACUACUAGGUAUUUAUCCAGAGGAUACAAAAAUUCUGUUUCACAGGGGCACAUGCACCCCAAUGUUUAUAGCAGCACUAUCAACAAUACACAAAGUAUGGCAAAAGCCCAAAUAUCCAUCGACUGACAAAUGGGUAAAGAAGAUACGGUGUGUUAUUCCACCAUUAAUUUCUACAACUCAUUAACAAAAGUAAAACAGCAAAUAAGAAACAGGCAAAAAGUCUGAGGAGACACAUCACAAAAGAAGAUGUACAAAAGGCCAAUAAACAUGAAAAAGUAUCCAGUAUCUUUAGUACUCAAGGAAAUGCAUACACAAUGGAAUGUUAUUCUGCGAUCAAAAUAAUGAAAUCUUGCCAUUUGCAACAACGUGGAUGGCCCCAGAGUGUAUUAUGCUAAGUGAGAUAAUUCAGUCAGAGAAAGACAAAUAUCGUAUGAUUUCACUGAUAUGUGGAAUUUAAAAAACACAAAAGAUGAACAUGGGGAGGGGAAGGAAAGAUAAGGUAAAAAUAUGGAGGCAAACCGCAAGAGACCCUUAAAUACAGAGAACAAACUGAGAGUUGCUAAGGGGAGGUAGUAGGGGGACGGACUAAAUGGGUGAUGAGUAUUAAGGAGGACACUUGGGAUGAGCACUGGGUGUCAUAUGUGAGUGAUGAAUCACUGGAUUCUACUUCUGAAACCAAUACUACAUUGUAUAUUAACUAACUUGAAUUUAAAUAAACUAAUUAAAAAUAAAAAUAAUGAUAAAAUGUUGAAUCCAAAAGAACAAACAGAAUUGGAGAGAAGAUUGUGAAGAGAAGUAGCAACAGAACUAGGAAGAAUAAAAAAGAUGAGUGAGUAUUAACUAAUAUAGAAUACUGGAGAAAGACAAUGUGUACUAAUGCAAUUGGAGUAAGUGAAAAAGGAGGAAGAUUAUCGACACUGUGGAACCUCAGAAAAUCUUUGGAAUUGGAGACAUAAAAUACAUCUGAAGACUAGUGUGAUAUGGAGCUGAAACCAGAAAGAGAUUGCAGUAUAGAAAGUCUAGACUCAGGAAUACAAAGUGCUCCUCAGAGUGUUAGUGCUAUACAGAAUACGUGGUUAUUAAGUGAAAGUUUACAUAGUGAAUGAUGAGGUUUCCACCUCAACUGCCAAAGCACUAGCUGUUGGGUAUUUAUACACUAUAUGGAAAUACCAUUCAUGAGCCUAGUACUGCCUUAUUCUCAGCUGUUUGGUCAGUGGAGACUUCUAGAUGUACAUCUGUGUGUCAUCUUUUAAUACUCUCAGCUAUUUUAGCUUCCCCUCAAUGAGUGCAGCUUAGACACCUUCUCCAACAUGGCAGGAGUCGCAGCAAUUCCAACACUCAGUUCCAGUACAACCAGACUCAAAGAAGCUCUCAACAAAGUUUCCACCAAGUCUCUGGCUCUUUCUUCUAUUUCCUGCCUGGUGAUGGUAGUAGAUCAGGGUGUUCAAGGGUGAGACAGUUGGGAAACCUACUAUGGUUGUGCUUAACUUAUAUGAUGAAUAGAAGUUGAGUCCUGGUGAACAGAAAGAAAAGGAAAAUAAGCUUUAUGAAUAAAACUGCAUUUUUUUGGAGGGACAUGUUUUUGUUCUUCUGCUCCUUUGUUCUUCCUAGGAGUAGAAUUUCUGGGUUAUAAGGUAGGUGUAUGUUUACUUUUAUAAUAGGCAGCCAGAUAUUUUCCCAAAGUGGUUGAACCAUUCAGUAUUUCCAAUGCAGUGUAUAAGAGCUCUGGGUUACCACCAUUGGAUGCUGUUUAUUUUUUAAGCAUUUUAACUAUUUUAACUGUAUGAUUUUAUUUCAUGGUGAAUUUCAAUUGCAUUUCUUUUUUUUUCUUUUCUGAAAUUGUUAUUUAAAUCCAAGUUAGUUAACAUGUAUUGUAAUAAUGAUUUUAGGAAUAGAUUUUAGUGAUUCAUCACUUACAUAUAACACCCAGUGCUCAUCCCAGCAAGUGCCGUCCUUAAUGCCCAUCACCCAUUUAGCCCAUUCCUCCACUUAACACCCCACCAGCAACUUUUAGUUUGUUCUCUGUAUUUAAGAGUCUCUCAGGGUUUGCCUCCCUCUCCAUUUUUAUCUUAUUUUUCCUUCCCUUCCCUUAUGUUCGUCUUUUGUGUUUCUUAAAUUCCACAUAUGAGUGAAAUCAUAUAUUUUUCUCUGACUUAUUUCACUUAGCAUAAUACACUCUAGUUCCAUCCAUGUUGCAAAUGGCAAGAUUUCAUUCUUUUUGAUUGCUGAGUAACAUUCCAUUGUAUAUGCAUUUCUUUGAGGACUAAAGAUACUGAGUACUUUUUCAUGUUUAUUGGCCUUUUUUACAUCUUCUUUUGUGGUGUGUCUCUUUAGCCUGUUUAUUAUUAGGUUGUUUUAUUUUUAAUAAUGUGUUGUAGGAAUUUUUUUAUAUUAACUAGAUGAUAACCCUUUGUGAAGGGUAAGUUUUGCAAGUAUUUUUUCCUAGCCUGUGACUUAACAAUGUUUUCUUAUUUUUUUUUUUUAUUUUUUGAAGACCAGAAUAUUUUUAUGUAUGUAUGUAUGUAUGUUUAUUUAUUUUUUUUUAAUUUUUUAAAAUUUACAUCCAAAUUAGUUAGCAUAUAGUGCAACAAUGAUUUCAGGAGUAGAUUCCUUAAUACCCCUUACCCAUUUAGCCCACCCCCCUCCCACAACCCCUCCAGUAACCCUCUGUUUGUUUUCCAUAUUUGAGUCUCUUGUGUUUUGUCCACCUCCCUGCUUUUAUAUUAUUUUUGCUUCCUUUCCCUUAUGUUCAUCUGUUUUGUAUACAAAAGUCCUCAUAUGGGUGAAGUCAUAUGAUAUUUGUCUUUGACUAAUUUCGCUUAGCAUAAUACCCUCUAGUUCCAUCCACAUAGUUGCACAUGGCAAGAUUUCAUUCUUUUUGAUUUCUGAGUAAUACCACAUCUUCUUUAUCCAUUCAUCUAUCAAUGGACAUUUGGGCUCUUUCCAUACUCUGGCUAUUGUUGACAGUGUUGCUAUAAACAUGGGGGUGCAUGUGCCCCUUCAAAACAGCAUACCUGUAUCCCUUGGAUAAAUGCCUAGUAGUGCACUUGCUGCGUCAUAGGGUAGUUCUAUUUUUAAUUUUUUGAGGAACCUCCAUACUGGUUUCCAGAGUGGCUGCACCAGCUUGCAUUCCUACCAGCAGUGCAAAAGAGAUCCUCUUUCUCUGCAUUCUCACCAACAUCUGUUGUUGCCUGAGUUAAUGUGAGCCAUUCUGACAGGUGUGAGGUGGUAUCUCAUUGUGGUUUUGAUUUGUAUUUCCCUGAUGAUGAGUGAUGUGGAGCAUUUUUUCAUGUGUCAGUUGGCCAUCUGGAUGUCUUCUUUGGAGAAGUGUCUAUUCAUGUCUUUUGCCCAUUUCUUCACUGGAUUAUUUGUUUUUUUGGGGGGUGUUGAGUUUGAUAAGUUCUUUAUAGAUUUUGGAUACUAACCCUUUAUCUGAUAGGUCAUUUGCAAAUAUUUUCUCCCAUUCCACCAGUUGGUUGCCUUUUAGUUUUGAUGAUUGUUUCCUUCACUGUGCAGAAGCUUUUUAUUAUGAUGAGGUCCCAAUAGUUCAUUUUUGCUUUGGUUUCCCUUGCUUCUGGAGAUGUAUUGAGUAAGAAGUUGCUGCGGCCAAGAUCAAAGAGGUUUUUGCCUGCUUUCUCCUCAAGGAUUUUGAUGGCUUCCUGUCUUAUAUUUAGGUCUUUCAUCCACUUUGAGUUUAUUUUUGUGUAUGGUGUAAGAAAGUGGUCCAGGUUCAUUCUUUUGCAUGUCACUGUCUAGUUUUCCCAGUACCACUUGCUGAAGAGAUUGUCUUUAUUACAUUGGAUGUUCUUUCCUGCUUUGUCAAAGAUUAGUUGGCCAUACAUUUGUGGGUCUAUUUCUGGAUUCUCUAUUCUGUUCCAUUGAUCUGAGUGUCUGUUUUCGUGCCAGUACCAUACUGUCUUGAUGAUUAUAGCUUUGUAGUGUAGCUUGAAGUCCAGGAUUGUGAUGCCUCCUGCUUUGGUUUUCUUUUUCAAGAUUGCUUUUGCUAAUCGGGGUCUUUUCUGGUUCCAUACAAAUUUUAGGAUUAUUUGUUCUAGCUCUGUGAAGAAUGCUGGUGUUUUUUUGAUAGGGAUUGCAUUGAAUAUGUAGAUUGCUUUGGGUAAUAUUGCCAUUUUAACAAUAUGUAUUCUUCCUAUCCAGGAGCAUGGAAUAUUUUUCCUUUUCUUGUGUGUUGUCUUCAAUUUCUUUCAUAAGCUUUCUAUAGUUUUCAGUGUAUAGAUUUCUACCUCUUUGGUUAGAUUUAUUCCUAGGUAUUUUAUAGUUUUUGGUGCAAUUGUAAAUAGAAUCGAUUCCUUGAUUUCUCUUUCUGUUGCUUCAUUGUUGUUGUAUAGGAAUUCAACCCAUUUCUGUGGAUUGAUUUUAUAUCCUGCAACUUUGCUGAACUCAUGAAUCAGUUCUAGCAUUUUUUUGGUGGAAUCUUUUUGGUUUUCCAUAUAGAGUGUCAUGUCAUCUGUGAAGAGUGGAUGACCAGAAUAUUUUAAUUUUGAUAAAACCAAUUUAUAAAUUCUUUUAUAGUUACUGAUUUUUGUAUUCAGCUUAUGAAAACUUUGCUUACCCCCCAGUUGGAAUGACAUUAAUAGUAUCAAAAGUAAUGAUGAUUAAUAUUAAUAGUUUUAGCUUUUACUUUUGGACUAGAAAUCACUGUAAAUUAAUGUUUCUGUAUUAUGUGAAGUAAGGAUCAAGGUUCAUUUUUUUCCAUAUAUGUGUAUUUAGUUGUUCAUAAUUCAUUAAUAAGAUAUUCCUUACCACAUUGGAUUGCUUUGAGAUUUUGCCAGAAAUUAAGUUACCAUGUAACUGUGGGUAUGUUUCUGAUCUUUAUUCUGUUCCUUUGCAUUAACUUAUUGACUUUUAUGUCAUUGCCAUGUUUCUUGAUUACACUAUCUCUAUUAAGUCUGAAAUCAUGUGGUGUAAAUCGUGUAACUUUAUUCUUUUUAAACAUUAUUUUGGAUAUUUAAGUCUUUUGCAUUUCAGUAUAUAUUUUUUCAUAUUAUCAAUUUCUACAGUAAGUUGGCUGAAAUUAUUUAAAUUGCAUUCAAGAAAUUUGUAGAGAAUUUUGGAGGUUAAAUUAUGGAUAAUUGACAGCUUUACAGUAUUUAGUCUUGCCAUCCAUGAACAUGGUAUAUCUUUCAACUUUUUAGGUCUCAAAUUUCUCUGCAGUGUUUUCUCAUUUUCACUUUACAGAUACUAAAUUUAUUUGUAAGUAUUUUUUGAUGAUAUUUGAUGAUUUUAGGAAUAGUUUUCACUAAAUUUUAUGAUUAUUGGUACAGUGUAAAAUAUUAUGGAUUUUUGUGUAUUAACUUUAUAUUAUGCAAUUUUGAUAAAUACACUUAUUGUUCCUAAUAGAUGUUUUACAAAUUCCUUACAAUUUUUUGUGUUAAGCUUCAUAUCAUUUGCAAAGAGACAGUUUUACUUAUAUUCUUUUUUUUUUUUUUUUUUAAUUUUUUUUUCAACGUUUAUUUAUUUUUGGGACAGAGAGAGACAGAGCAUGAACGGGGGAGGGGCAGAGAGAGAGGGAGACACAGAAUCGGAAACAGGCUCCAGGCUCUGAGCCAUCAGCCCAGAGCCCGACGCGGGGCUCGAACUCACGGACCGCGAGAUCGUGACCUGGCUGAAGUCGGACGCUUAACCGACUGCGCCACCCAGGCGCCCCUUAUAUUCUUAUUUUUAUGUGUUUUACAUCCUUUUCUUCACUUUUUUCUGUGGCCAUCACUUCCAGUAAAAUGUUGAAUAGGAAUGGUGAGAAUGGACAUCUUCUUCAUAAUCUUAUGGAAAAAAUGUUUAGUCCUUAUCACAAAAUAUUACAAUAUGUUUUUUUUAUAGAUGACUUUUAUCAGGUCAAUGAAUUUCUGUUUUACCUCUAGUUUGAUAAUACUCAUAAAAAUCAUGAGUUGACAUAAAAAUUUGUCAGUUUUUUUCCCUGCAUCAUGAUUAUAUAUCAAUGGAUCCAACGUAGUUACCAUUUCUGUUAAGUAUUUCUGCACUUUGUUCAUGAAGGAUAUUAGUAGUUCUUGUUCUCUUUGUCUCUCUUUUUGCAAUGUCUAUUUCACGUUCUGGUAGUAGCAUCAUUCUUGACAUAGAAAAUUAGUUGGGAAGUUUUUUCCUUUUUUCUUAAAGAACUUGUUUAUGUUUGAUUUUGUUUCUUCCUUAUAUGUCUGAUAGAAUUUACCAAUAAAAUCACCUGAGACUGGUGUUUUCUUUGUGGAAAAGAUUUUUUUAUGUAAUAAAUUGAUUUUCCUAAGCAGAUAUAGGAGUUUUCCAAUUUUCUGUUGUGUCUUAUAUCAGUUAAGUGUAUUUUUUGAGGAAUUUGUUCAUUUUUUUAAGCUGCAGAAUUUAUAAGCAUAAAGUUCCCUAUUAUCUUUUUAAAUGUGAGUACAUACUUUAGGGAGACUCUCCCCCUCCACCCCCACCCGCAGAUAGUUGUAAUUUGUAACGGACUUGUUUUACUGGAUGAGUAGUAUGUCCAGGUUUUAAUCAACUGUAUUUUUUUCCUGUUUUUUUUUUAACUUUCUGUUCUCAUUUUUAUUAUUUCCUUUUAUCUUCACCUUAUAACCAAGUUUCCUUAAUUUUACUGUUAUAAAUGUAGAAAUAGAUAUAGCUCAAAAAACUUUUUUAAAUAUUUAUUUACUUUUGAGACACAGGGGAAGAGAGAAUGAGACAGAGUGCGAAUGCACACACAGGGAAGGGGCAGAGAGAUAGGGAGACAUAGAACCUCAGGUAGACUCCAGGCUGCCAGUGCAGAGCCCGGGGGCUCAAACCCGUGAACCAUGAGAUCAUGACCUGAACUGAAAUCUAGUCAGACACCCAUACCUCAAAAAUUUUUUAUAAGAAUUAAAUGAGAAAAUGUUCUUUGACACAUAAUACUAAAUUAGUGGUAUUCAGCAUUUAGAUACCACCUCAUACCAGUCAGAGUGGCUAAAAUUAACAACUCAGGAAACAACAGAUGUUGGCGAGGCUGUGGAGAAAUGGGAACCCUCUUGCACCGUUAGUGGCAAUGAAAACUGGUGCAGCCACUCUGGAAAAUAGUAUGUAGGUUCCUCAAAAAAUUAAAAAUAGAAUUAACCUGUGACCCAGAAAGAGCACUGUUAGGUAUUUAUCCAAAGGAUACAGGAGUGUUGAUUCAUAGGGGCACAUGUACCCCAUUGUUCAUAGCAGCAGUAUCAACAAUAGUCAAAUUAUGGAAAGAGCCCAAAUGCCCAUCAACUGAUGAAUGGAUAAAGAAGAUGUGGUUUAUAUAUACAAUGGAAUACUACUUGGCAAUGAGAUAGAAUGAAAUCUUGCCAUUUGCAGCAACGUGGAUGGAACUAGAGGGUAUUAUGCUAAGUGAAAUAAGUCAGAGAAAGACAGACAUCAUGAUUUCACUCAUAUAUGGAAUUUGAGAAACUUAACAGAAGACCAUGGGGGAAGGGAAGGGGAAAAAAUAGUUUCAAACAGAGAGGGAGGCAAACCAUAAGAGACUCUUAAAUACAGAGAACAAACUGAGGGAUGAUGGAGGGAGCGGGGGAGAGGGGUAGAUGGGUGAUGGGCACUGAGGAGGGCACUUGUUGGAAAUGAGCACUGAGCGUGUAUGUAGGUGAUGAAUCAUGGGAAUCUACUCCCGAAACCCAGAGCACACUGUAUACACUGUUUGUUAGCCAACUUGACAAUAAAUUAUACAUACAUACAGACGUACAUACAUACAUACAUAAAGUGGUAUUCAUUAUAAUAAUUAUAGUGAUUUCCCUGGUACUUCAUUUGAGGUUUCUAGUUAAGAAUGAUUAAGUAUUUUCUUUCUGUAUGUAGACAGGAGAAAUUUCUUAAAUUUUUUUUAUUUGCAUAUAGUUGAUAGACAGGGAUACAUUAGUUUCAGGUGUAUAACGUAUUGAUUCAGUAUUUCUAUAUGUUACGAUGUGCUCACUACAAGUGUAGCUACCAUCUUCACCAUACAAUGCUAUUACAGUAUCAUUGACUGUAUUCCUUAUGCUGUGCCUUUUACUCCUAUAAUUAUUCAUUCCAUAACCACUAUCUUGUAUCUCCCAUACCCCUCUCUGCCCCUUUCCUCUGGUAACCAUCAGUUUGUUCUAUGUAUUUAUAGGUCUGAUUCUGUUUUUUGUUUGUUUAUUCAUUUGUUUUUUUCCAAUUCGACAUAUGAGUGAAAUCAUUUGGUAUCUGUCUUUAUCAGUCUGACUUAUUUUACUAAGUGUAAAAGCCUCUUUGUCCAUCCAUGUUGUUGCAAAUGGCAAGAUCUUAUCCUUUUUUGUGGCUAUGUGAUACUCCGUGUGUGUGUGUGUGUGUGUGUGUGUGUGUGUUUAUGUGUAUACGUACUGCAUCUUCCUUACCCAUUUGUCUAUCAGUGGACACUUGGGUUGCUUCCAUAUCUUGGCUAUUGUACAUAAUGCUGCAGUAAACAUAGGGUGCAUACAUCUUUUUGAAUUAGUGUUUUCAUUUUCUCUGGGUAAAUACUGAGUAGUGGAAUUGUUAGAUUAUAUGAUAUUUCUAUUUUUAGUCUUUGGAUGAACCUCCGUACUGUUUUCCAUAGCAGCUUUACCAAUCUCCCUUCCCACCAAUGGUGCCUGAGGAUUCCUUCCUCUUCACAUCCUCACCAGUGCUUAUUUCUUAUCUUUUUUAUUUUAGCCAUUCUGACAGAUUUAAGAUGACAUCUCAUUGUGGUUUUGAUUGGCAUUUGAUUAGUGAUGUUGGACAUUUUCCCAUGUGUCUAUUGGCCAUCUGUAUGUUUUUAGAAAAAUGUGUAUCCAAGUCCUCUGCCCAUUUUUUAAAUCAGAUAGUUUGGGUUUUUUGUUGUUGUUUGUUUUUUGUUUUGUUCUGGUGUUGAGUUGUGUAAGUUUUUUAUAUACUUUGGACAUUAACUUCUUAUCAGAUGUAUCAUUGGCAAAUAUCUUCUUCCAUUCUGUAGGUUGCCUCUUAGUUUUGUUGAUGGUUUCCUUUGCAAUGUAAAAGGUUUUUAUUUUGAUGUAGUUCCAGUAGUUUGUUUCUGCUUUUGCUUUUGUUUCUCUUGCUUGAAGAAACACGUAGAAAAAUGUGCCAUGGCCAGUGUCAGAGAAAUUACUGCCUGUGUUCUUUUCUAGGAUUUAUUUUGGUUUCAGGUCUCACACUUAGGUCUUUAAUCCAUUUCAAGUUUAUUUUAGAAUAUGGAGUAGAAAGUGACCCAGUUUCAUUCUUUUGCAUAGAGCUGUCCAGUUUUCCCAGCACCAGUUAUUGAGGAGGCUUUUUCCCAUUGUUUAUUCUUGCUUCCUUUGUCAUAGAUUUAUUGACCAUAUAAGUAUGGAUUUUAUUCUGGGCUUUCUAUUCUAUUCCAUUGAUCUAUGUGUUUGUUUUUGUGCCAGUAUCAUCAUACUGUUUUGAUUACUACAUUUUUGUAGUAUGUCUUGAAAUGUGGAAUUGUGAUACCUGCAGCUUUGUUUUCUUUCUCAACAUUGCUUUGGCUAUUUGGGGUCUUUCAUGGUUCCAUAAAAAUUUUAGUAUUAUUUGUUCUAUUUCUAUGAUAAAUGUUCUUGGUACUUUGAUAGGGAUUGCUUUGAAUCUGUAGAUUACUUUGGGUAGUAUAGACACUUUAACGAUAUUAAUUUUUCAGUCUAUGAGCAUGGAAUAUCUUUCCAAUUGUUUGCUUUGUCUUUAGUAUCUUUCAUCCAUGUUUUAUAGUUUUCAAAGUGUGCAUCUUUCACUUACUUGGUUAAGUUUAUUCCUAGGUAUUUUAUUCUUUAAUACAAUUAUAAAUGGAAUUGUUUUCUUAAUUUCUCUUUUUUCUCUUUUGUUGUUAGUGUAUAGAAAUGCUACUGAUUUCUGGGUAUUAAUUUUGUAUCUUGUAACUUUACUGAAUUCAUUUAUUCUAGUAGCUUUUUGGUAGAGUCUGUAGGGUUUUCUGUGUAUAGUAUCAUAUCAUCUAAACGUUUAUCUUCUUUACCAAUAUGAAUGCCUCUUUUUUCUUUUUGUUGUCUGAUUGCUAUGGCUAGGAUUUCUAGUACUAUGUUGAUAAAAGUGGUGAAAGUGGUCCUCUUUAGAAAGGAGAAAUUUUAACCAGGUGGAGUACAACAGCUUAAUAGUUUGAGGUCUUUACUGAACAAAGUCACUAAUAUUUAUAAGGCUGUAUGCCCUUCAAAAUGGAAACAAAACAGGGACCAUCCCUCCCUGAGUGAGACAAUCUUCUCUUAAGCUGUAGCUUCAAUUUCUCACUGUCUGAUGAGGACAUUUUUAUAGGACUGUACUGAGUCAGCAUGCCAGUUCCAUUUAUGUACCUUGAGUGAGAUUAGCCUUGUUUGAAAAGAGGUAGGGAUUCAUAGAACCUUACAUCUGUGGAAGCUUUGAAUAGAGGGGAAAAACUCAUAGAAGAUGGGAAAGUUGGAACAGAGAGUUGCAAUGGAACUGCUGCUCUUUGAAACCCAACUGUGUUGAUAGGCCCAUACUAGGCCCUUUAUGUAUUUAGCUGCUGAUAUUCCUGAUAUCAUGUGACAUAGAUUAUGGUAUCAUUUUAGAGAUGAGGACAUUCAAAGUUUUAUGAGCUAUGAGAUGGAGUUCAAAUUUAGGAUUUUAAGACUCAAAUGCCCAUUUAUUAACACUGCAUAAAAGCUUAUAUGUAGAUAGCCCUCCAAAGUAAAUGAAGAGCAAUGCACUUGUUCAAGUAUUGGUGUGGUGUCUAAUAGUGGUGUCACCUGGAGUACUGAUUAAGCACACUUGUUAAUGCUCAUCUGCAACCCCAGGCUUUAAAAUCUGCCAUGAUGCAAAGUGGGAGGCAAGUUUCUACAGAUCUGAAAAAAAAAAUUGGAGAGGGGUAGGAGUGGGUCUAUACAGUAAAACAACUGUAGAAUUCCCAAUUUAUGUUUUAUUGGGAGGUAAUGAGGGCUGAGGGGGUUUUAAAAGUCCCCAGGAAAAUACAAUGGAAUAUUAUUUAGCCAUAAAACAAGAAUGAAUUCUUGCCAUUUGCAACAAUGUGGAUGGAUCUAGAGAGUAUUAUGCUAAGCAAAAUAAGUCAGUGAGAGAAAGAUAAAUAUCAUAUUAUUUUACUCAUAUGGGGAAUUUAAGAAACAAAACAAAUGAGCAAAAGGGCAAAAAGAGAGAGAGAGGCAAACCAAGAAACAGACUCUUAACUAUAGAGAACAGACUGAUGAUUACCAGGGGGAAGGCUGUUGGAGGGAUGGGUUAAAUAGGUGAUGGGGAUUAAGGAGUGCACUUCUGAUGACAUCAGGUGUUCUAUGGAAGUGUCAAAUCACUAUAUUGUACACCAGAAACUAAUAUUACACUCUAUGUUAGCUAACUGGAAUUUAAAUGAAAACUUUUAAAAAAAAUUCCCCAGGAAAGUAAAAGUUGACCUUGUCUUACGCACUUGAUACAUUAAGUUGAACAUGAAGCUAAUAUUUGUCUAUCAAAUCUGUUUUGAUAUUAUUUUAAUGUUUUACUCCCAUUAGAAAACACACACACUGAAAUUCAAGGUCUUGAAUACAAGACCCAAUAAAAACAACUCUUAAGCAUCCUAACAUUUACCUCAGAGAAGCAUUUUGUUUCUGUCAAUAUGUAGUCUACAGUGCAUUUAAUUCUCUGAGGAAACUCCUGUGAGCAGUUGGCUAAACCAGUAAUCAGUCCACUUGAUCUUGCCCGGUCCCAUUAAAGUAUACCUACAAGAACACAGACCCUGCCUCUUACACUUGAGGUGAGGGAGACUAGCAAGUGGAAGUUCCUAGCCCAACUGGGGCAUGUCCUUGGACCCCACUUUCCUUCAUGAUAUGAAGGUCAGGAAGAUGGCAGAGGACAGCCCAUUUGCCCCUUUACAUGCUGAGUCUUCUGUUGCUCUAAAUCUGUGGCUCUCUUUCUCAUUGCACACUCAUUCCUUGGUGGUUUUGUCUCCUCAUUUCUCACUCACUCCCCUUCCCUCUUCCUCCUCUGUUUUUCUCCCCCCUAGGGCUACCUUUGGUUCUUUUGGUUAUAGUUCUUGAUAAGUGACAUCAGAUAUUUCUUGACUGUGUUGGUUGUAAUCUUACUCUAGAACCAAUUACUGAAGAGUUCGGAAACUGAAAAUUCUGCAGGAAGGUGCUGAUAAAGACUCCUUUUCAGAGAGAAUGAGCCAUAACUACUAUUCAUUCACUCAGCAAAUAAUUUAUUUUGAAUCAAUCCCUGAUCUACAUUCUUCAACAAGAUAGUAAAACAAAAGCAAAAGCAUAUACAUGCAGAGAUUUAUUCUUGGCAGGAUAUGGAAAGAUAAAUAAUUUUUUAAAUUACAUAGUAUAUUGAAGAUGCUAAGGGCUGUGGCAAAAAUGGGAGGAGGGCAAGAAGGAGGAAGUGCUGUAAAGUUACAGUUGUAAAAAAAGGGUUGUAGGAUUGGCCUUGCUGAGAAGAUAACAUUUGAACCAAACUUGAUGGAGGUGGAGGUGCAGGAGUAGACUGUGAUUCUCUCGAGGAAGAUUUGCAGAGAAAACAGCCAGUGAGAUGAGAGUACUUCUAGAGUAUUUGGUGGAAGACGAGGAUGUACAGUUGGAAUGCAGUGAGCGGGUCUGAAUUUCCCAGUAAAGUUGCCAUUGAACUUUUAUGUCUAAUUUCUCAGGUGUUCAAUAAGCGUUUGUUGGUACUAAAGACUGAUUAAUUGAUUUCAAAGAUGAGCUCUUACAACAUCAGAAAGAACAUAGUUUGCUAGAACCAACAGGGGCAUGUAACAGGUUGUUGGAAUAUCAUUUCAGGCUUCAGGAGGUGGAAAUCUCAGGCUGAUUACUGGCACUUUAGCAAAUGUUGGCACAUUAACUCAUUCGAACCAGGCUGCAUUACAAUACCACAUACCUCUAGUGGGUGAAAAGCAGGAAAACAACUAUACUUAUCAAAGUCAAGAACACAUUUCCUGUAUUUUAUACUAUCUUUAUUUUCUCCCUUCUCAGACUUUACUCCCAGCAAGUACCUCCAAGCUUAUUGAGAAGUUCUUGGCCAUAUGACCUUAGCUUCCUCACCUUCACCUCCACUUAGACCUGUUCCCCCACAGCCUUUUCUUCCUUCUCACAAGCUCAUUUUCUCUAACUUCCUCACCUCAGCCUUUUUUUGGUGUUGCUCCCAAACUUCUACUCUCCAUAGAAGCUGCAGAUUUUCCCAUUUGACGAAAUCCCUUCUUCUGCCUUCACAUGAUAGGAGUUUGUUUUGUUUGUGUUGCUUGCUCCUGGAUACUCAGAACCUGGUACUUCCUAGCAUCAAGUACGCAUUCCUUAAGUAUUUGUGAGUGAAAAGAAUGGUAGUUCUUUCUUGUCGUAAAGAAAAUCUUAAUCUCUUUCUGGAGGUAGUGGGAGACAUAUGUGCAUGUGGAUGAGAAGCUCCCCUUCCCUUUUCCAUCUCUCUCCUAACUCCCACUUUCCUCUUUUCCUAAAGAGCAAACCUUCCAGGGGGCACCUGGGUGGCUCACUCAGUUAAGCCUCCGACUCUUGAUUUUUGACUCCAUUCAUGAUCUCACGGUUUGUGAGAUUGAGCCCCAUGUCGGGCUCUGCACUAACAGCAUGGAGUCUCCUUGGGAUUCUACCCAUCUCUCUCUCUGUCCCUCUCCUGCUCUCCACCCCUCUUUCAAAGUAAAAAAUAAACAUUAAAAGAAACCCCAGCAAACCUCCCUGGUGCCCUAAGCCCUGAAACCCCAACAGACCUUCCUGUUGCCCUAAGCCUUGAAGUUGCACAUAUGUCAAAGUUACCCAUGUCUUGUCUUCUUCAACCCAAAGCCCUGUUCCCUCAAUGGAGGGCAUUUCCCUGAGAGGAAAGGAGGGAAAUAAUCUGAUUCAGGUAAUUUACUGUGGUGUUCCAAUAAUUACAUCAGAGCCUUCUUGGGAAUAUCUGGAUUUCCAAAAGAGGAGCCUUGUUAAUCUACAGGAUAUUUUUAUGUUGGAAAUGUUAUGAAAAACUACAAGUGAAUUUUAAGAGAUGUCGGUAGUUUGGGAAAAAAAUAUUGCCUGUUUCCCUUUAUGAGAGAUAUUUCCUUAGAAUUGUUUUGUUUGUUGGUUUCUUUGUGCACCUGCCUUUUUUUCCUUCAGAAAAUUUUAAGUGCUCUGUCUGUGGGUCUCAUCAUGGUUAUUUUCAAACAUCCAUUUACAGAUGUCUUUUUGCAGCUGAGGCAUUUCUGAGUGACAUUUCCCAUCAGGUCUGCAGGUGCAUCUAACCGACCUCUGUGAUUGUCCCACAUCAGUGCCAUGAAGGCCAAACAAGGCUCUGUGAUUGUGGGGUGGCAGGCAUUCCCAACCAAUAGGUUAGCUCUAUUUUACUCAGCAUGCUCUUCAGCUAAGAACUCGUAUUUUAAGGGCCACUCAUGGGGCAAAGGGUGCAGGAACAAAGUGUAGCUUGGAAAAUCAGUAGUUCUGUUAUUUGAUAGAGAACCAUUUCCAGUGGUUUUGGAAUCAGGGCAAGAUGUAUCUGUCCUGAAGGGUCUGACAUGUCUGAGGUAACCACAGUGGCUCUCUUAAAUAGUGGAAACACUCACAGGAUAAGGCCCUGUGUACAGGAAAUGUAGACACUUUCAAAUUACUUUAACUUCUCUGGUUUCUUGCCAGAUUGAUUUCUUUCAUUAGGGGAAGUUACUUCCAUCUACAUACAGUUCUAGCCUCAGGAGGUAGGAGACUGAUUUAGUGGUCUUAAUUUAGGAGUGUCCUGCAUUUUCAGGAAUUUAUUGUUUAAUAUUUGAAUGCCCGUAUGUGACAUUUGGAUUAAUCGGCUUGAUUUGGGUAUAAGUCUUUUGUGAGUUAUGCCCCAAGUUGAAUUUGAAACACAGUUUCCAAUUAGUGGUGCCACCAUCUUGGACAUCAAGCCUAGAGGUAACAGAUUUGAACACUAUUUUCAGCCCAGUCCCCAUUUAAGACCAAUAGUAGCUUUCUAUUUCCUAUUUUCUCUGCCUUAACUUUCUUAGUUUCACAUCAGAACCCUAGAACAAAGGUUUUUCUGACCUCAUCUCUCUUUACUCUGGGCUAGUGCCUUCAAUGGAGGCAUUACUGGUCCAUACUUACCCCCAGGGAGAGAUUUGGAAGUACGGGGUAAUUUUAAAAGUCUCUAUUACUCAGGGGCAGGACCAGCAUUUGAUGGGUGGAGUUUAGGGAUGCUAUAAGUCCUGUGUUGUGUGGCAGUCAUAUAAAUCAAGAAUUGUUCCCAAUAUUAAAAGGCACUCAUUGAUAAAUACUGCCUCCCUUCAGCAGCUGUACCAUGAUCUCUCUGCCCCUUGCUUAUGUUCUAGGUCCUCACUCCUUAUUUUUUAUCGGGAUUUACCCUCUCUCCUUUACACAUCUAUACCUAUCCCACUGAGACAUCUAUUCAUACUAUACUGUCUGCCUCUCUGAACCAUCCUUAAAGGCUCAGCGUUAUGUCCAUAUAUCCUCAAAACCUUUCCGAAUCAUGCCACCCUGAGCAACCUCUCAAUGCCAUGAGUCCCCUUUCACCUUUGAGUGCUUCACUUUCAGGAGAAUCAGGCACAUUCUUUUGUUUAUUUUUUAAACCUUCUGCCCUGAGCUCCUAGAGCGCAGUCUCAUGUCUUUCCCAUUUUGGGGUCAGUCUAGUUCUCUAGCCCUUUUUCCAGCUCAUGGGUUGACUUUCCUUCUCCCAAACACAAUGUGGCAGACUGCUGUGAGUUUACCACUGCUUACUUCCUUUUCCUCCCUUGCAGGUGGGUGUGGUGUUGGAAUUGAGGUCUAGUCAAAGGAAUGUGGGCAGAAAUGAAGCGUAUCACUUCUAGGCCUUCUUGUGAAAAAUUUCCACGUACAGUCAGUUCUCCUUACUCUUUCUUGGUCCUGCCCAACAGCUAAAGGGAGAGGACUCCACAGACCUAGAGGGGGAGAGAGCCAUAAGAUGAAAAGAAUUGCGUCCUUAAAUGGCCUACUCUCUGGGAACAUCUGAAUUGGACUAUCUAUGAACAAGAAAUAAACUUUAAUUUUAUUUAGCCAUUGGGGAUUGUUGCAUUUUUGUUAUAGUGGCAGGUGUUACUAACCUACAUGCCAUGUACUUUCUCAUCUCCAUGAACUUACGUGCAUUGUUCCCAUUGCCCUGAAAGGAUUUCCUCUUCACAGUGCUUACAUUUUAUGCUUCGUCUAAGUACCUGGAUCAAUUCCUACCUCUUCCAUGAAGAUUUCUAUGAUUUUACCAAUUCAGAGUGACUUACUCUCCCCAAAUUCUUGAAAAUGACAUGCACUGCUUUACCAUUCAAUCAUCAAAUAAUAUUAUGCUGCACAUAUUUUUAUUUAACUUUAAUGUGUAUAUUCUGUCUUUUCUGGUAAAAUUUAAGACCUUUCAAAGUAGUGUCUUUGUCUCAUGCUUUAUAAUAUUAAGGAUGUUGUUGGUGCUUAGGAAAUAAUUGUAAAAUUGUUAUUAUUUUACUCAGGCCCUUUUUUACAUCUUAUCCUUUUCUUUUGACACAGCUUAUACUGUAAUCUUUUGCUCCUUCCAUGGAUAGUUUUUGUUUUUUAAAGUUUUUAUUUACUUAUUUUGAGAGGGAGACAGAGCGAGUGGGGAAAAGGCAGAGAAAGAGAAUCCUAAGCAGGCUCCAUGCUGUCAGUGCAGGGUCCGAUCCCACGAACCAUGAGAUCAUGAUCUGAGGCAAGAUAAAGAGUCAGAUGCUUAACCAACUGAGCCACCCAGGCACCCCCACGGAUGGUUUUUAUGUCACUUCUUUUUUGUCUACUCAGAAAUACAGAUGGAAGAUUAUACCUUCCCAACAUCCCUUCUUUUUCAUCCUAUUUACUUUAGUGCUGCUUAUUUGUGUAAUGCAUGUUAGUUGAAGAAACAAGUCAAAUUAUUUCCUCUGAAUUUAGGAAAGAAUAUAGGUAAAGCAUCCUGAACCUCCUGUUUUUAGAGAUGUCAAAACACUGUAUCAUGUUUCUUUAUUUUCUUUGCUAUACAUACAGGCAACUGAUUAUUGUGAAUGAGGUCAAACAUUACCAUAUCGACUUCUGUCCAACAAAAGAAAAGAUUCUUAAGUCUUAUUGUAGUGUGAUCAUCACUUUUGCCGGAUUCAUCUUUUGAGUUAAUGUAUCCUCAUGGAUAUGUUCUCUUUCAAGUUGGUGAGGUAAUCUGGUGAGACUUUGCUUACAGGGAUUUGUCUGCAGGAAAGCCUACUGAGGCGAAGGCCUUGCCAAGAAAUCCAGUUAUUGGCUCUGCUCUUUCUUCUUCUCCACUGAACCUUGAGACCCCAUUCGUAUAUCAGUCGUGACCAUAAAGAGGAGACACAUGGGUCAAGUCGUGGAAGACCUGGCCCCUUAUUCCAACAGCUUGAUCCUCAGCAGCCCACUUCUUUCUGCAUCACUCUCUCCACAGGAAAAUGGGUCAAUAUAUUUCUCACUUCCUUUUUGGUGUCUUUUUAGAGUCAGCGUGGCAGUAUUAAGAACCAUAUAGGUAAAUUUUGACUAAUGGCCAGAUAGUAGGCAGAAAGUCCCAUAAUAUGUUGGUGUAGGAGAAUCUUUCUGAAUCAGUGUUAAACAGAGCGCUUAGUAUCUAGUCUCAGUUACUUGGAUGUACCAGGUUCUAAUAACAGGUCUGCUUCCUUGCGUACAUCCCUGAGUUUCUUUCAGCACUGAAGGGGGCAGAUGCUAGUCCAGAAGGGCUAAGGCCAGUGACUGGGACAUUCCUGAGUAGCAAAAUGAGAAGGCUGUUUCAGUGAGGAAGUGAGCAAGGAGUUAAGCCAGGGCUCCAGUGGUUGGUCCUAACAGGGAGAGUCAUGUAGGAAGGAGACAUUUAUGGCAGAGAUAGGAGAAGUGAUGGGAGUGGGAAACAUCCAGUGGCUCAGAGCAAAGCGAUACAGAUUUAUUAACUAAUUAGCUUUAAUUUAAAGACUUCCACUACUUUUCUAUAAAUGGUCUCAUUUACUAAUUAUUCACUAUGUCUGCUCAACUUCGCUGCCUGCUUAUUAUGAGAAAGGACAAAACUUGUUUAAGUUAACAUUGUGUCUAUCACAACAACACAGGGUGAAAUGUUUGGUACAUACCUGCCAGAGGACUGUAGUCUGGUUUUAGUUUCUGUUUAUUCCAUUCUAUUUUGGUUCAGAUUCUGGGAUGUAUUUUCAGCUGUUCAUUCCCUUAUUUCAUUCAAUGGACUUGUAUUAAAUGCCCGAUAAGAGCUAGAGAUACAGACAAAGUUCAUAGUCUCACAGAGCUUACAUUCUUGGGGGAGGAGAAAGUCUGCAUGUAUAUACUUAUGAUGUAAAUAUAUGAUAUUUAAGCAGAGUCCUGAAGGAAGUGAGGGAGGAAACCAUGCAAACUUCUAGAGGGAGAGAAUUCUAGGCAGAAUGAUUGCUUAGUGGCAGAGAUAGGGUAUGUACGUGCCAUGUUGGAGGAGCAGCAAAGAGGUUAGUAUCACCAAAGUGUUGUAGCACCGGAGAAAGGUAUAGGAAAUGAGAUCGAAGAGUUAGAUUAGGGCCAGAUUACUUAGCAUUCUUAGGCAGUGAUGAGGACUGGGAUUUAUUCCAGGUGAAAUGGGAAGACAUUGAAUGGCUUUGAGCAAGGGAGGGAGCUAAUCUGAUUCCCUCCUUGAAAGGAUUCUUCUGGUUGCAGUGUAGAAUACAGAUAUAAGGGGACAGAAUGCAAAGGAUUUUUUGCUUUGGUCCAGAGAGGAAUGAUGGUGACCUGGAAUAGAGGGUAGUGGCAGAGGUGGCCUUUUCCAUAAUCACUCCCAGUCACUGUCAGGGUAGAAGGAUGAUACUCUGUUUCACAAGUCUGAUUGUCUGGCAUACAGUACCAUACUGAAAUUAGAGCACCCCGGAAAUUGUGCUCUAAUUGUGAUCUUGUUACUGCUAGGGCCUCAGGUCCUGAUCACAGCUGGAUCUGGAAUCUAGGAGUACAAAGGAAGGAAGUCAGAAAAGUUAGAGGAGAAGCAGAAGGUGGAGAAAGAAGAGUAAUGGGAUCUUGUUUCUGGUUACAGGGACCCCUAACAAUGCCCUCCUCAGCCUGGAAGACAUAAUCCAAUAUGGAUUACUGGAAGCUGUGUUCUCAUAGCCCAUUUCCUUCUCAGCCCAUUGGCUUCCAUGCCCAUCAGUGUGUUAGAUGCCUGCUUUGCUGUGUCAGCAGUGAUGUCGACAUGGGCAUUCAACACUGCAUUUCAGUUAUCGCCCUCCUUGAUUUUGCAUCAUUGGGCACCAUGUCCUUUCCUGGUGUAGACACCACGCUCUACACAACACCUGCCUUCUACUUCCCCCUUUCUCCCUCUCCUUUGUAAGUUCUUUCUCUGUUAGCUUUUCCAGCAUUGGUGUUUCCCAGGAUUUUGUCCUCUGACCCUUUAUCUUCUCACUCUUUCCACUGCCCCUGGGGCUCCCACCCAGUUCUGGGGUUCAAACUGUCGUGUGUGUGCAGAUGCACCCUCUCUCCCCAUAUUUAUUCCUAGUCUAAAUUCUGAAUUUAGCCUCAGACUGCUAUAUCAGCUGCCAGCCAGUCACUGCUACCUGUUUGUCCCAGCAUCAUCUAAAAUUGACAAAUUAAUUGACUUUGCAGUCUCAACCUUCUCUAGGAUUAGUCUGCUUUUCUCUUUAUUUUGCCUCUAGGUUUGUCAUGCCAUCCUGUAUUCCUCCUCCAUUCUACCCAACCUCUGGUGCUAUCAGUCAUUCACCCAAUCUGGAUGAUUUUUGUUUCCUAAAUAUAUUUUAGUCCUUCUCCUUCCCCUUCCCCUUCCACUUCCCCUCUGCCUUCCCUUCCCUCCCUUCCCUCACUUCCUAGCUGAGGCUGUCAUUAUCUCUGUCCUGGGCUCCUACCUGAUCUCCUUGCCUCCCAUCCAUUGUCUUUACUGCCUCAGGGAUCUACCUAUCUUAAGACCUGAUCAUGUCAUUUCUUUGCCAUAAACUCCAAAGAGUUCCUAUCACACGUAGUGUCCUGUCUGGUUCCUCAGGAGACUAGGCAGGUUGUUCAUCAUCUGAUCCUUGCCCAUCCUCCAGCAGGAUGACCCGCACACCCGUCCCCAUCUUCCAUUAUCCUUCAUACUCUCCAUCAUUGUGUCAUGGCAGAACUUCCUACCAUUCUCCACUCAGAUCAGGGUUCUGGACGGUGCUUAUGCUGUGUCCUCUGCCCAGUAAGCCCUUCUUCCUUACUGCCUGGAUAAUUCUGAGUCUUUAAAACUCAGUUCAGUGACACACAUCCCCUGGGAUGCCGUCCUUAGUCUCCCCAGGAUAGGUUAGAUGCCCUUCCUCCCUGUCUCUGGUGCCCUCAUAGCAUCCUGUCCUCAUAAUUGUAGCAUCAGUAAUCUUAGUGAUAUGCGUAUAUGUCUGUUUCCCUUUCUGAGUCUUCAUUUCCCUAUCUGUAAAAUGGGGAUAAUAAUAGUACUUAUCUCAGAAUAACAUUUGGAGGAUUAGAUAAGGUAAUCCAUGCAAUGAAAUUAUAAUAGCACCUGAUGCAUACAAAACCUAUUUGUUAAUAGCCAUUAUAAUAAUAUCAACAAUAUUGUUAUUAUGCAAUAAUUAAAAUAAUUAUAUAAUUAACAUUAUUAAUAAUAAUAUUAACACAUUAUUGAGGGAAAGGACUCCCUCCUAAACAGUGCUUCUCUAACUAGCAGAGCACUAGGCAAUUUGAGAGUGAUAUCACAAAGUGGACAUACCUGAAAUAAUGUGAGCUGUUCUUUUUUCUAAUGUCAGCUGUGAAUAGUUUUAAUUAUAAGAAAACAUGGAUGGUAGUUUGAGAUGAAAACACAGCCCCUGGCUGCAACAAAAAGCUCUUGGCCCAGUAAGAGAAAGGCCAUCGUUUUUCAAAUCAUGUUUCCAGUUCCUGAGAACAACAUUACAACAAGUUAAACAGGUAUCAAAACCAUCUAAAUUGCUGACCCUGAAGGACUUGGUGUCCAAAGAACAAAGGCAUACCAGAAUAAAGUCUCAUGUUAGAAAAUAUGUUGGACCAGGAAAAUAUAGAGGAAGGGAACAGACCCUUAUUGAGCAGCUAUGAUGUACUGAGUAUUUUGCACAUACUUAUCCAUUCAGUAACCACAGUUCCAUGAAUUAACGGAUAUUACCCUGCUUACUGAUGAGGCACAGAGAGGCUUGUAAUUUGUCACUCAUUACAAAGCUAAUUUUGUGACGCUGAGUGAACCACUUGGCUUCAGUAGCCAGCUACUCUUUGCUUUCCUGCUUUGUUCAAAUUCUUCAAGACUCAGUUUAAGUCGUUCCUUAGGAAAUUUCCACACCUGGCCAUGUCCACUGCUGUCAUCGCAUUCUGGGCUUUUACCUCUUAUCAUUCUGCAAUUUAGUGUGACCAACCAUCCCCCUGCUCAGUUUGUACACCCAUGAGAGUAGGUAGGGGUGUGUCUCUCUGGUUCACACCUUUGGGACCAAGAACUAGUGCACGUCUUGGCUUGUAGUAGGUGCUCGGUGAAUGUUGUUUAAUUAGUGUUCUUAUCUUUAAAAAGAGACAUAUAGAGCAUGUGACCUGCAAAGUUCCCUCCAGUUCUUUGUUUCUGGUGCUAAUGUUUAGACCUAGCAAAGGCCCAGACCCGAAUAGGACUUCAUGUCCUCAGGCAGCUGAUGCUGUAGGAAGGGGCAUGCCUGCCGAUGGUGUGGGCUUCAGUUCUUGUCAAAAAUUCCACCCAGGUUUUUUUUUACUUCUUAGCAGGUGCCACAGGGGCUUUUCAUCUUCUUCUCCGCCCCCCCCCCCCUUUCCUGGAGAGCCUGGAGAUAGUCUGCAGUUGCUUUCCUCUUCAACACUGCUGCCACUCAUUCCACCCUUGAAGUCCUUCUCUCCCCAGAUCCGAGUAGGAAGUGGGGUGUAGUCUUCGUGCAGAGACACACACACACAGCUCAUUUCACCAUACAGAGUUUUACUAUGAGUCGGCACAAAGUCAGAGUUUGGGGAGCCAAAAUUGUAAAUAUAGGGAAGUUAUAAAGCUGAAAAUAACCUUUGCUAAUUAGCCGAGACAUGACUCUUGGUUUCUAGUUCCUGCCCAUGACUGGCCCCUUGGGAAACCAGAUAGGGCUGUUUGCCAUCUGGUCCUAGGGCUGCCUGGUUCCAAUCCUAGCUCUUGGAACCUCAAUUCCUAAUCUUUAAAAUGGGGACAAUGGUAUCUAUUAGGUUGCGACAUAAAAUUGCCAUUUUAGUAGGUCAAAGGGGUCAAAUACUGACAAUUUCAUAAAGCUCAGCUUAAGACAUCAUAGGAUUGUUGUCGGUGAAAUGAAUAAUGGAUGUAGAUUACUUAUCAUAAUGCCUAUCACAAAAGUACUCAAUACAUGCAACUAAGAUGAUCCCAGUGAUUUUUAUCUGAGACAGUGACUGAGGUCUUAUUGGACUUCUGCCCUCAGUUCAAUUUUUCUGAGUGGCACCAACCAAAUAAAUGCCUAGCUUUAUCUGACCAUUGCCAAAAAAGCAAGCAGACAGCCCCAGAAGGCACUUUUCCCUGUAUAUUGCCUUGAAGACGGUCCUGGAAAAGAAUGACAAGACUCUGAUGUCCCAGAUGGACACGUUCAAUCUUCAAAACCCUUGAUACUGAAAGAAAACUAUUCUCUGAGCAUCUCCAUACAAUGGAGGCAUUUUCUCACACUGCCCACUUAAUAUUACUGUGACCCCAAUUGGGUCAUUUAAUAUUUGAGUGGCAGAUCAUUCAUUUUCAUAUUCAAACAAAUAUAUAUUAAGUAUUUGCUGGGUUUUAGGUAAUGCCAUGCUGCUUUCACAAACAAAAGUCUAUCCUCAUAGUAAUAUUGUCCAUCAUUUUCAUCCAUUCCACAAAUAUUUGUUGAGCAUCUAUUAAAUGUCAAGGCUUAUGUCAGACAAUGGAUAAAGUGUGGAUGAAAUUAAAUAUAGCUCCUGGGAGCUUCUCGGAGAGAUACUGUACUAGGAGAGAUAGACACUAACCACAUAAUCUUAUGCAAGUAAGUGUAAAAUAGCAAUUGUGGGAAGUAUUAUGGAUGAGAAUAUAUGCUCUUAUGGCAGCAAGAAAUACAGAGCUUUGACCUAGUUUGGCGAUAUAGGACAGAGCUGCUAACUCACACCAUGCCUUUGAGAGAAUUAGAUAACGAUGUCAUAGGAGAUGCAGGUCUAUGUCAGAAUAAAGGGAUUGGCAGGUGGAAUAUGACUCACUUCUACCCAUCACUUGCUCCUUAGCCAAUGCUCUUGUGUGGGGUGAAGGCUGCACAAAUGUAUAUGGCAGCUUGAGUUGGGAGGGCUUCUUCAAGAAAUUGAUGUUGGAACUCUUGUUUUUGGAAAGGGGUAAAACUAAUUAUAAAUAAAGAAAGACGCAUUCUUGUAUUUGAUAGAGUUGAGAGUUGGAGUAAUGCUCCAGACAAAGAGAAUUGUGUAUGCAAAGGCCCUGUGGCAAGAAGAAACAGGAUCUACUUGAAAAACAGAAAAUAUCCAGUGAAACUACAGAUCAGAGUAAUAGCAAAAUGGAAAGGAAAUUUGGGGAUAAAAGAACAGAUUAGAACUUCUGGGCCUUGGAAGGGAUUUUGGUCUCCAUCAUGAGAACAAUGAAGGGUCACUUAACUGUUUGAGGUUGAUGACAAUGACAUAACUAAAUUUUUGUUGUAAGACCACUUUGGAUGUUAGGAAGAAAAUGGAUUUGGAGAGAGCUGGCGAUAAUGAAUACACAGAGACCUGUUAGGAGGAUGUUGAAAGUGAGAAAUGGUGAUAGUUUGUAAUAGUGUGGCAUCCAAGGAAAUGGAGAAAAUGGUACAUAUUCAAUAAAUAUUAGGAGCUAAACUUGAUAGAGUUGCUGAUGGAUUGAAUAUUGGGGACAAGGAGAAGCAGCAGUCAAGGAUAAUACCCAAGUUUUUGGCUUGUGGAACAGCAUGGAUGGUGACCCCACAGCCUGAGAUAGAGGGCUCUGGAAGAGGGCCAUGUGGGGCAGGGUAGGGGAGGGGCUGCGUUGGGGUUUCUUUGGCAUCAUCCAAGUGGAGUUGCCAGGUCCACAAAUGAGAGGAGAAAUCUGUGUCUGAGAUAGAAAUCUGUGAGGUGCCUGCACAAAGAGGAUGAAUGCAGCCAUCAGUGUGAUUGAGGCCAUCAAGGAAGAAAACAUAAGACAGGGGGGCUUAGAAAUGAGCCUUUAGGAAUCUCAAAUUUCCUGGCCUGAUACAGGAAGGGAAACCUUCAAAGUUCUUUUCAUAUCCAUUUUCCAGAAACCAAGGCUCAGAGGAGUCGAGUAAUCUGCCCAAGGCAAAUGGCUGGCAGAUGGUAAAGGUGGAAUUUAAAUCUCAAGCUUUUAUAUUCUAGAACUCUCACUCUCCCACCAUGUCAUAGUUUCCAGUUUUUAAAUACUUAGUUUUUAAAAAAACUUCAAAGGAUAUUGUCAUUAUUUCAUUUAGCAUUGAAUAACUCUAUAUUCUUCAAUAUAACUAAAAGAUUUUUUUUUAAAGCCUAAAAGAUCCACUUAGCCAAGGGUGAGGAGAGAAAGGCAAAGUAGGUGCUGUAAGGAAGGAUAAAACAAAGAAACUCAUCAUCCCCUGGGAGCCUGGAGUUCACCAACUUGACAUAAUUAGGUGUUCACUUAACACUCAGCAAUUAAAUGACUUUACACCAACUUCUUUAUGAGAGAAAAAAUUCGUGUGAGGUGCAGCAGACACCUUCAGGCUCUUUCACAAAAGCUGCAUCAUGGCUGGGUUUUGAGGCUGGCUCCUGCUGAGUUACUAACUGCACUGUCACACCUCCAUGGAACACACAGGCACUCCUCUCUCCCAGGCUCAGGUCUAAGAGCUGAGAAACUAGUCCCACCAAGUUCUGGAAAUAAGGUGCCGAGCCUCUGCUGGGUCUGUUUUGUAUAGUCACUUCUUUCACUAAAGGAUAUUCCCCUGGCAGUGGACAGCAUGCGAGUUAAGUCCAGGGUUCUGGGAAGUAAUCUGGGACUUAGAAGAUUUGGUGAGGAGCUUUCUAAGUUUACCCCAUCCUCAGAUGACUGGGUGGCAUUGGGUGUGUCUUCUAGAUUCCUUCAGAUUUUCUCCCUUUCUUUAUAAUUAAAGGUCAGAAGAGGAUUCUGACUUGGAAACAGCACCAAAAGGAAAACCGAAGAGAGGGGCUUAAGUGACAUGCUCCAUAUGAGCACAGACCCAGAAGGGCUGAAAAUUUCACUUUAAUUUCUUUAUGGCAGGAAAGUGAUUCAAGAAUUUAAAUGCUAGUCAAACCCAAAAAAGUAUUCUCACCUACUCACCCACUUCAAACAAACAAACAAACAAACAAACAAACAGCAGAUUUUAAAAUGUAUUACCCAGAAAUACAAUACUUGGAAAGAGUCCAAACUGGGCAGAAUUUGGGGCUGCACAGAAAUUGCAGACAAAGUUGUCCCCUCUGGAAUAGCCACUUUGUAUUCCUUGCUUUGGCUUUGCAGCAGUUCUAAUUAAUAUUCAAUUACCAUGGAAUGGGCCUCUUCUUCCAAGAGCUCAUUGGGAACCUGAAGCGGCUUCUUCCUAAAAUGACCAACUUUCAUUUGGUAAUGAUGACUUUGGUUGGCUUACCACAAAAGCAUUCAAUUGUGGACCUCAGACCAUGGAAGUGACUAGGAGCAUUGGGCUAUUUAUAGUCUUUAGAUUUUUUUUUGACAUCUGUGAGUGUCUGUGGGCGGGAUGAAGCAGUGAAGAAAAUGCUGGGCAUAGAGUCCAAGGACUUUACAUUUCAGCCCCUGUGCCACCAUUUGCCAGCUGCAUGACCUUGGCUAAGUCCUUCAAUUCAGUUUAACCAAACCUGUAUUGAGUGUGACUAGGGAGCUUGGCCACCGCUAAACAGUGAGGUAUUACAGGUUAUUAUGUCAAGGAAUUUGGAUUUUUUUUUAAGGAACCUGGGGAGCCAGAGGACCAUCUUGAGCCAGAGAAUGACAUGAUCAGAUGUGUGUACUACAAAGAUCUCCCUGGUGUUAGUGUAUAAGGCAGAUUGGACAAAGAUAAGGAUAGAUACAAGAAACCAUUCAAGAAACUUCUACAGUUGUCUAAGUAAAAAAUGUGAAUGCAAGAACUACUAGGGAAAUGAUAACAAACAUGCAAAGGAGGUGAUAGAUACGAGGUGUGUUAAGAAAGUAGAAAAGGGAAGACACUGUGAAGGUUGGAUAUGAACAUAAAGGAGAAGUUCAGGAUGACUUAUAGAUUUUUGGCAUGGGCUACCCAGUAGAUAUGGCUACAUCAUUGAGUUAAUAAAUAAAAGAAAAGGACCUGAUUUUAUGUUUGAUGAUGAUGAAUUUGGUUUGGAAAAUGCUCAGUUUGAAGUUUCUAUAGAGGAUUCUAGGUGGAAAUGUUUGGUGAACAGCUUUGGUACAAAUCAGGAGAAAGUCUGAGUAAGAGGUAAAGAUUUUGAAGCCAUGUAUUUAUACACAGUAGAUGAAAUUGUGAAUACAGGAAACCUCAUGCAGACAGGGUGUGCAAAAUGAAAAGAGAAGUUGACUGAGUAAAGAACCUUCUGGGAACAUUAAGCAUUUAAGAGGCAGAUGGUGGAAGAAGAGCUAUGAAGUAUAAUAAGAAGCUAUCAUAUUAGGUAAAGGAGACUAUAAGAGGUCAUAAAGAAUCCCAGAGAAGAAGGUGUUUCAAGGAGAGCCUGGCCAACAGUGUCAGUCAAAGAAAGUCACUGAGAAUUCAUGUAUGAUAGGAGCUCAAAAAUAGAUGCCUGAGAUGGGUUGACAAGAUGGAAUGAGAGGUAUUUUAUAAGUUCACUUGUGGGAAAAAGACAGAUUAUAUGGUGGUAAUUACUAAUGAAUGAAGGGAUAAGAUAUUUUUAUUCAGAGAGAAGAGACUUGAGGCUACUCAUAUCCUCAUAUGCUAGUAAGAAAUAGCCAGUGAAAGAGAAUUUGCACAGAAGAGUUUAUUGAUGGGGUUGGAGUUCUUAGGCUGGAACCUUCUUUAAGGAGGAAGGAUGAACUUUAGGCAGGUCUCUUUCUUCCUCUAAGACCAAGGAAAGAAAAUGAGAAUGGUUGUGGAUUUAAUCAUCUGUAACAGAGUGGGUAAGAAUUCAUGAGUGUUACCCAGUGAUCACUGUUGUCCUUACCGUGAGGAUGGGAAGCAAAGUCAGUUUCAGACUGUAUAGGGGAAAAGGGUAGAUUAGGAGUUCAAAGAAUGUUACAGUUUGUAAUAGCUGUAAAUUGGACAGUCUCAGAGCAAGGAAAUACACAAAGACUAUAGUUUAUCAAUGAAGAUUCAGCUGAAGUUGAACACCUUAGGGCAAGGGUGGCAUCAAUCCAGAAGAUAGUGGAUUUUCUCCAUUAGCACCAGUUGCUAGAGUGUAAGUAUACAAAAUGUGGAUGUUUAGAUUGACCUGUUCGGGGGACUUUCUUUAAGGUAGAUAGCUAAAGAACCAAGGUAGAAGGAGCUCGAGUUGCAAGCCAGAAAAAUGUUGAUUGAUGAACUAUAGAAUAUAGACUCCCUAUGAAAUUACAGAAGUUCACAGGCCUGGUAGACUGGAGAAAAGUGAUGUAUUAAGAGGUGGGCUAUAACCCAUGGGAUUGGAGGAUAAUGGGGAAAGGAAAUCAGAGAGCUGGACAUUUUGAAGGGUGAGCUUUAAAAAGAUGGAAUUUAAACUUUGGCAUGGAGCAGAUUGGGGUGUGUCGUGGCAGAGCAGUGGGAAUGGGUUUUUACCUAGAGUGAAGGACAGAGCUCUUGCAGUCAAAGGGAUCAAGGAAAUCUGGAGCUAGGUUAUUGAAUUGAUGGUCUAUAAAUAGAGGAAUACAGGAUCAUGGAGGGGCAUGGGGUGAAGAGAGAGAAUGCUAAGAUGCCACAUAGAGAUGGAGUAUUAUCUACAGAUAACUGAAUUAUAAUGUUAGGAGUUUUAUAGAACCCCAUAGAACAGUAGGUAUAGCCACCCAGGCUUAGGAAGCUGUCGACCCCUGAAGACUUCUGGGGAAUGAGAGACAGACCCUUUCCAGAUUAUCAGAAAAAGGAAAGAAGACAUGCUCUUUGAAGAGAAGUCAGCUUCUAAAAGGAGGACAGGAAGAGAUGGAUAUAUAUGUAUGCCUAGGUCCAUAGCCUCAUAAAUCAUUUAGAUAACCACACCUCAGGCAGGAGAAAAAAAGUGUAGGUGUUAAAGCUAGUGAUACUUUCUCUGCAUGAAAGAAAGUAUAAGGAUUAGAGACAAAGAUUUUUUUUCCCCUCUAAAGUCUUGAGUCAGAAAAACAGAAAUUGUUCUAGGUAUUCCAAGUAGACAGACUUUUUCUUUAAAUUGAGGCAUAUUUAUAUACAGUAGAUAUGCAGAAUAGGAAUAUUGGAAAUAAUCCAAACUUAUAAUAGCAAACCUCUGCCAUGUAAAAAGGUUUAACAAUGAUGAUGAGUUACAACAGAUCAAUUCAGCACAUGUCCCAUGCCCCAGCACACAACCUCUCUGGGCUUCAGUUUCCUUAUAUGUCAAAUGAUGGUGAGCUUGAUGAUUCUGAAGUCUUAUAAAGUCUUGUAAUAUAUACAAGAAAGUGAUGCAGACAGUGGUUGAUUUCUAAGUCAAAAGAAAGUUCUAUGGUGAGGUGGGACACUAAAGUGGUACAGGGGAGCUGGGCGAAUGAUGAUUCCCUCUCAUGGUGCCAUGGCACUUAUGGCAUGGAAGUGAAUACUUUCUCAUUUGAAUAAUCUGCGAGUGAAAACAUCCUUUCACAGACAACCUUAUUUCCAUUUAGUAAGAAAUGGAAUGGCUAAAAAAGUAGAAGUUUUAAUUUUCUACAAAAUACAGUUUCUAGCUCUAGUGAAAAGAGCUGGCUGGGAAGAAGGACAGUGGAGGGAAUGCGUGUCAGUGAAACAGUGGUGGAGGAUGGAAUGGAGAUGAUGACGUGGUUAACUUCUACCAGAAGACAGGCCGAUCAAGUCUGGUCCAGCUUGACCUACCCAACUAGUGGGUGCUUGCAGGGCAUCAGUGUGGCUCCACUGAAGGGGUAAUCUGCAUCUCUUUGUCAGGGAUAUCGUGGUUGUAAGAAACAGAAACAGUCUGAGACUACUUUAAAGAAAGGGAUUAGAGAAAAUUUAUAAAACACAGGGGAAAAAAGGAAAGCUACAUUCCAGGAACUAGAAAAAUUGAAUUCUAGGCUUCUCUGUAUAUUUCUCUGCAACAAGAAUUUCCACCCCCACUUCUGUCAGCACAUUUGCUCUGUUCUUUUCUCUAUGGAGGUAAGGUUUAUCUGUCUUGGCAUAUAUGAGGUAGGAAGUGGAUUCUGUGGUUAUAGUUUCUACUUGAUCUUGCAGAUCCUAUGCCCACCAUCUUUUAACUAGGUUCUCCAUGUCCCAGCUCCAAAUUCCUAGGAGAGAUAACAGCUCACUUUGAGUCAAUAAUCUAUUCAAGAUUUAGUCAGCUUUGUCCUAGGACAGAGGGUCACUUGACCCCAACAUGGAAGGUUGAUUCACACUUCAACCAGGUCCAUGGUUCAUAGACAAUUCUCAGAGAAAAAAGCAUGAGCUAGACAUGGGUCCAAGAAGUCUCUAUAAUGCAGACAAAGUCUGAAAGGAAAGUGUAGACCCUGGGACCUGAAGGACACAGGAAAAAGCAAGAGGUAAGGUCAUAGAACCUAUCUAUUUAGUUACCUCUAAAUUCUGUAAUGAAUGUAUAAAUCUUCUCUGUUUAGAAUUGUUAUAAGAAUUUGUUAAGAGAGGUAAUAUGAAAAUGGAACAUAAAUAUAAGAUUAUCUCUUGAAACUAGAUUAGGUGAUUCUCAAUCUAGAAAAUUUGAAAUCAUCUAGUUGUGUUGUAACCUGGGUUGUUCUUGAGUUUCUAUUCUCUUUCUUGGCCUCAAUUACUAGAAAUCUUGUGGAGUCACAUAUUUUACCUCCCAAUCAGUAUUUUUUGUCUUUAUGUACUUGAUAAAUACAUCUUUACCGUUCUACUGUAUCUUUGUGUGUGUGUUUCCAGGCUCAAAUCAGAUUCUUAUUUAGAGCCAUUAACCAAGACCUCUUCUGUACUCUGGGAACGGCAGGAUCCCUUCUUUCGCUGCUACCAGGUAGAAGAAGUGAUCGUUAAUAUCCCAUCGGCCUCAUGGUGGACCUUAUGCUUUGAGGGUCUUCUGCACAUAAUCUAUAGUCCUAACCAUGAGUGAUAGGGUGAAGACACUAAUGAUCACCAUGAUCCCUUGUCAGCCCCAUGCCUAACAGAACCCACAUGGUGGUCAGGGUCCUGCCCUAUUCCUGAACAUGACCAUCCCUGUCUUCUCACUGCACACAUUAGAACCCUGACAGAAGUUCAGGCAACCCUUUUCAUGAAGAAUGGGGAGGCUUCCCGAGAUAGGACAGAGUGAGAAGACCAAUAAUUGGUCAUUCCUCCUUUUCUCACUAACUCAUUCUUGUACCACACAAGGGCUUGGGGGACCUCUGCCUCAUAGGUUAGGACUUUGGAAAAGAUCCAUGUGCAUACACCCUCUCUCCUGACACUUCUCUAAUUCCUCAACCUCCUCUUGUCUUCCUUAUGCAUCACUCUUAGGUGUUUUCUCCCCAAAUGUGAGGUGGCCAAUCUGAGACCCAUGAGAAAGGAAUCUAGAGCCUCUGUGUCCACUUGUGUUUUGAAAACACUAAUAUUCCACGUUUCAAGUAGAUAAAAAGUAGAUUCUUCCCUCUGCCUUGGGGUUUGUUGACUCUAACUAGGGACAUACUGGCUCUUGAACAGAGUGAUGGUGACAAAGAUGCUUUGAUUCCAGUUCCAUAUCUUCCCUGCUGAGGACUGGGAUCAGUUUUUUCCUGAGUUUCCCAAAUUCAAACACUUCUUGGAUGGUAAGCUGAGGGCAAGCAGUUUAGUCCCUGAAAAGGGAUAACAUAUUUUUCCUAUCGACAUAACUUUAAAUCUAUAUCUCCAGAAAUAAGAACCCUGAUGGUAUUGUGUAAGGAGCAUUGUGUGCGACUCCUUUCAUAGCCUAUUUUUAUUACAAAGAAGAAUCACAUUGGUGGGAAGUGGCAUCUGAGUCCCAUACGCUGAAAAUGCUACUCCCAAGUAGAUUCUUUUCGAUCCCUAAAGUUUUUCUCUGAUAGAAGAAAGUUUGUUCUGACACAUCAAGAUUUAUUCUUCUGGAGUAUUGUAUAUCUCCUGUGCAUGUAUGAUUGUCAUCAAAUACCCCCAUGUGCAGGCAAUAGGUCAGUUUUCCUCUGUGGGGUCCUACUGUGUAGCUUUGUAGCACAAAAGGUAAAGUGACCUCUGUGAUAUCAUUACUAGCCCUCGUGAAUGAAAGUGUGGCUAGGUCCUGAAGAAAGCCCAGUCCUUCACUAUUACUGUAGAUAAUAUAGUUUCCCUCACAUCCUGCCCCUGUUCCUCCUACAGUUAAAUAGUAUAAAUGUGCUCUAUCUCAGUAGUGUCUGGAAUGCUCUUCUUCAGUCAUCUGUAGGAUCUAAUGGAUAGAUGGAAGAGACAAGGGAAGAAAAAAGAGGGAAGAGGAAAGAAGAUUAAAGAUCUCAAGGGUUUUUUUUUUGGCUAAUUUUCAGUAGAAAAUAGAAAGAAAUCCAGGGAAGUUUAAAGUAAUGAAUCAAAUGAAAGUUCUCUUCAGAAUACAAUGAUGAUCUGCCUCAUCAUAGAGAAAACAAAGUGUGUGUAUUAUUACCUGAACAGUUUAUGGGAAGGAACAGGUAUUUGAGGAGGGUCAAACUGCCCACAGCCACUUUAAAUAAUAUCAGGCUUGAAAAAUAAAAUGGGUAACUCAGUUCUGGUCCUAAAGGAAGGUAAUUCUUGAGAUUAGAUUUAUGAAGGGAAUAUAUAGAAAACAGCACAAGCGGGUCACGUUAGGCUUUAUGUGAGCAAGAGCCAAAAUGCAGACUAUAAACCCUGGAAUAACAGGAGACAGUAACCAAGGUAGGUGGCCCAUUGCUCUUUUUCCCUUAAGAUGAAGGAUGUCUCUUUGGAGAACUACACCUCUUGGUUCAGCUGUGAGUUUAUGGAUUCCUUCUGUGGGCCAGCAGUUUUGUUUUUGAUGUGUCAACGGCUGCUGCUGGUACAGAGACAGUAGCCCAGACCCAUGGGUAAUUUCUUCUCUGUAAGCUCCACUCAAGGCAAGAAUGCUAGAUUUCUGAUCCUUUUCUUUUUUACUAACGUGCUUCCUGUAUAUCGUCAGCCGUCUCAACUUCUUGUUCAUUUUGGUCUUGAGCUGUUCGCUCCAGGGCUUAUGAUCAGCAAGAUCAUACUGAAAGAAAGAAUAAGAAAGUGAAAGAAAGCUGAAGUUCAAAGCAUUUGAUUAUAAGCUCCUCCAUGGAGUUCCAGGGUGUUUAGAAUAUUCUGCACAGUGUGUAAUGGUAAUUGAUGAUGGUGUAGCUAUACAGUAGCUUUAAGUGGAUGUCAAUAGAAUAAGGAGAUACUAUCUGCUCCCUAUUCAGUUUCUAAUUCUCCAUCAAUCCUGCUCUCUUGGUUGCUCUGAAGCUGCCAUCUCCUCUAGGUGAUGUUUAGGCCUGUCCCACCCCUCCUCUCACAUACCUUAUGAAAAAUGGUUGUGCCAUCUGCAGCUGUCAUGAGGCUGUGGAAUAGGGAGUACGGCUCAAUGAAUAUACAAAUGUGCAGCUGGACCACAGCCCCUUCCAGAAGGCAGCUGCAAUAUAAAUCACAGUGAGCUCACACUUCUCAAGUAGCAGGCUGCCAUUGGGGGCUGCCAUGCAUAAGGGACUGGAGAGAAAUAGAAGAAUGUGAGAAAGGUCUCAGUGGAAAUCGGCCCUGCAGUAUGUGGAAAGGUUGGCUGGAAAGCCAAAGCCAAGAGUAGCAUGUUCUGAAAAACCUAAUUGCUUGGGCUCUUGCAGAUCAUGGAACAAAGCUAAGCACAACAUGGGGUUUAUUGAGUUUCAGUACAUUUGCUUCCCUUUGAGCUGAUGGGAGUCUCUCCCUCUCCCUCCAACUCCUGCCUCUCUCAGCACCUCCCAUUUUCCAGGCACCGGGCAAGGUUCUGGAGCCACAGUUGUAGUUUUUGAAUCAAACAAAAUCUCUGCCCUAAAUUUUAAGGGUGGAGAGACAUGGGGGUUGGCAGUGAUGAUGGGGAAACAGACUUUAUAAUAAUGAAAAAUAAAAUAAACUACAAUGCAAUGUGCUGAAUUGGAAUGGAAAUAGAUACCAGAAUCUGUGAGAUGUCAAGAGGCAGAAUGGGUAAGUCUGCUUUGGGGUGGUUUUUCAGAGGUGACAUUUGAAUGAAAAUCUUGCAGCAUGAGUGGGUGUUCCUUAGGAAGGUCAGGAUGAAGCAGGGUAAUAGCGGAUGUAAGGCUGGAGGCAGGAAAAGUGUGCAUUGAUCCUCUUUUGCUGCCAAAAUUUUAAUCAGCCCAAAUUAUUGAAUGUUUUCCUUCAAGCCUCUCUUAUUAAAGUCACUGCAAAUUCUACUGGUAUACUUGUCUUUCACACAUCUGGCUUUACCCCAAAUACAUCUGGCCCAUGCACUCCUGGGUCCCCAUGAAAAUAAAAAAAUAAAUAUAAAUGUAACUACUUUUCUUCAUAUUCUCUCUCUCUCUCUCUCUCUCUCUCAUGUACACAUGCAUAAGCACACACAGACAUACACACUAAAGAAUGUGGGCAGUUCCUAGGGAUGGAAAAAGCAGAAACUAAACAAAACGGAUUCUCCUUAGAGUCUUCAGAAAGGAACACAGCCCUGCUGACACUGAAACCUUGACUUUAAACCCAGUGAGACCCAUUUCAAACUUCAGACCUCCUGAACUGUAAGAUAAUAACCUUCUGUUGUUUUAAACCAUGAAGUUUGUGGUAAUACGUUGCAGCAGCAAUAGGAAAUUAAUAUAGACUCUAGUAUCUGGAAGUGAUGUGCUACGGUAACAAAUAAAAAUGGAGAACUGGCUUUUAAAUUAGGCAAUGGACAGAGGCUGGGAUAAUAAAGUUUUUGAUAAUAAAAAUGUGUAUGGUAAUGAUUCUGCUAAUGAGGACUCAGAAAGAAGUGAGGAGUAUGGUAGAAAAGGUAUGUAGUCUUAGAGAAUGCCUAAAUUGUUAUGAAAAGACUAUUGGUAGAAAUACGGGUGUUGAAGUCACUGCCAGGGGAAUGAGGACUCGAAAACAAAAUGUAUAAGCAGUGAACUUGGAUAUUUAACUAAGGAGAUAUCCAAGCAAAGCAUUGAAGGCAUGGUCUGGUUCUGUUGCUCUUUAUAGCAAAAUAUGAAGGCAAAGAGAUAGAUUGAGAGAAUCAUUGUUAAACAAGAAUGAGCCAGGCCUUCCUUGGUGAUUGGGGAAAUUUUCAGCCUAUCUGGAUUACAAAAGACAGUAAAAUUUGGUGAUUCACAGUCAGGAAAGUAUGCUCUGGAGAAAAAGCCAAGGACAUGGCUCAAUACUCUUUUGCUUGUGCCUCUGAAGGUUAGCGUAUCUAGUCACACAGAAGGCUUUUUGAAGAGAUUAGGUAUGUGAAUCCCCUCAGCCAUCUCAGGAGAAGCCAGGAAUAUAAAUGAAAUUAUCUAGGAAAGAUUUGUGAACGUCUUGUUUAAUAGAGUUCUCAUGACAUACACAGGAGACACAUGAAAUAUUUCAGAAUCUUAUAUCAUUAGAAGCGUGUACCUUUCAUGAAAUCGGAAGUAGGACUGAGAGGGCAGAGCCAUUAGGGCAAAGGGCAGAGCUGAGAAUCACCACGGGUUAUCCCCAGGUUUUGAAACCAAAUGGAGGUUUCCUGGAUGGAUUUUGAAAUUGCUUGGGAAUGACAGUUCCUUUUUUUUCUUCAUUUCCUCCCUGUUUUUUUCAAGUAAGUGUCUGUAACUGUUACCCUUUACCUUUCCCAAUAUUGUCUUUUUGGGAGAAGGUAACUUGUUACUUGCGUUUCACAAAUUGAUAAGAUGUAUGGAUUAUACCUAGGGUUUCCCCCAUAAUCUCGUUUUGAUGAAUUAGGAUCAGGUUUCGGUUUCAUUGGCUUUUUUGUUUUCAGUUUCCUUGGUUUCUGCUCUAGUUUUUGUUAUUUCAUUCUUCUGCUGGCUUUAGGGUUGAGUUGCUCUUCUUUCUCUAUUUUGCUAAGGUGGAAGCUCAGGCUGUUGGUUUUAGAUCUUGCUUCUUUUCUCAUAUACACAGUUAAUGCUACAAUUUUUCCUGGAAGUGCUACUUUCUCCACGUAUGACAAGUUUUGGUAUGUUGUAUUUUCAUUUAGCUAAAAAUAUUUUUGGUUUUAAUCUUGAGGUUUCUUCUUUGAGCCAUGUGUUAUGUAGGAAUGUGUGGUUAAAUUUCCAAAUAUUUGGAGAUUUUCCAGCUAUCUUUCUCUUUGGAUUUCUAGUUCAAUUUCAUUAUAAUCUGAGACUAUACUUUGUAUGAGUUCUCUUCUUUUAAAUUGUCUAAGUUAUGCUUUAUGACCCAGAAUGGGGUCUAUGUUGGUCUUUCCAUGUGAAUGUGUAUAAAAUGUGUAUUCUGGUAUUGUUGAUAGCAUAUUCUACAAAUGCCAAUUAUCAAGUUGAUUUAUAAUGUUGUUUAGGUCAACUAUAUCUUUGCUGACUACCUGCUUGCUUGAUUUCUCAACUGCUGAAAGAGGCAUAUUAAAGCCUCCAACUAUAAUAGUGGAUUUGCCUACUUUUUUUUUCAGGGAUACCAGCUUUUGACACUGUGUUGUUAAGUGCAUAUACCUUUAGGAUUGCUCUGUCUUCUUGGAGAAUUGACUCCUUUUUUUCAUUAUGAGAUGCUCUUCCUCAUGCCUGAUAAUUUUUCCUGUUCUAAGGACUCAUUUGACUGAUAUUAAAAUAGCUACUCCAGUUUCCUUGUGGUUAUUGCUAGCAUGGUAUAUCUUUUUUUCCAUUAAAGAAAGUCUAUUUGACUAUUUAUAUUGAAAUGUGUUUCUUGUAGACAACAUAUAGUUGUUUGAUUGGGUCUCUGUCUUUUAAAUCCCUCUGACAGUCUCUGUCUUUUCAUUAAUAAAUUUAAUUCAUUCACAUUUGAAAUCUUUUUUUUUUACUUUAAAAUUGUUUUAUUUUUAUUUGUUUUGAGGGAGAGAGAGAUAGAGCAGGGGAGGGGCAGAGAGACAGGGAGACAGAAUCCCAAGCAGGCUCUGUGCUAGCAACACAAUUGCUCAAUGCAGGGCUUGAACUCAUGAACCAUGAGAUCAUGACCUGAGCCGAAAUCAAGAGUUGGAUGCUUAACCGACUGAGACACCCAGGCACCCUCCCCUGAAAUCAUUAUUGAUGUAGUUGACUUAAUAUCUAUCACAUUUUUAACUAUUCUCUAUAAAGUUACAUUUGUUCUCCCCCCCCCCUUUUAUCUGCUUUCCUGGUUUUAAUUAAGUGUUUAAAAUGAUGAUCUCUGGGCAUAUCAAUUAUACUUAUGUAAAAAAAAUAGUGGUUGUCCUAGACUUUGAAGUAUGCAUUUUUAAUUAAUCUAAGUCCAUUUUCAAAUAGCACUAUGCUGUUUCACAUGUCGUAUAUCUUCCUUAUGACAGAGUAUUCUCAGUCCCUCCCAUCCACUAUGACACUGUUGUCAUUCCGUAUUUGCUAUAAUUACCCAAUAUGUUGUUAAUAUUACUUUGAACUGUUACCUUUUAGAUCAAUUAAGAACAAAAAAGGUAAGACUUUAACUCUAUUCCCUUCCUGCUGCUCUUCCCAUUGCUUUGUAUAUAUAUUUGUGUUUUGAUAUACAUCAUUUUUCUUCUCCCUGAAGACCUUUAAAAAUUUCUUUCAUGGAAAAUGUGCCCAAGAUGUAAUUCCUCAAUUUUUGUUUGUUUAAGGAGAUUUCUAUUUCUCCUUCACUUUUGAAGGGUAGUUUCACUGGCUAUUGGAUUUUAGGUUGGUAUCUUUUUCUUUUAACACUUUAAAUAUUUCAAUUCACUCCCUUCUUCACUUGCCUGAUUUCUGAUGAGAGUCCACUGUAGUUCUUAGGGAAGGUGAUAGUUCUCUGAUUUCUUUUGGGAUUUCCUCCUUGUCUUUGGUUUACAGAAGUUUGAAUAUGACAUGCUUUGCUGUAGUUCUUUGUUAUUAUUCUUGUCAUUAUUUAUCUUUCCUUUAUCUUCUCAGAUCACUGGAUCUGUCAUGUGGUGUUUUUAUUUAAUGUCACAAAGUUCAUUAUUUCUUUAAACAUUUCUUUUAUGCCCUUUUCUCUCUUUCCUCAUCUUCUGAUAUUCUUAUUACUCAUAUACUACGUCUUCUGAAAUUGUCCCACAUUUCCUGGAUGUUCUAUUAUAGGUCUGUUUUUGUUGUUCUUUUUUUUUUCUCUUUGCAUUGUAGUUUUAUUGAGCUAUUUUCAUCCGCACCGAUUCUUUCUUUAGUGUGUGUAGUCUACUGAUAGGCCCAUUAAAGGCAUUCUUUAUGUUACAUUGUUUUUAAUUUCUCACAUUUCCUUUGGAUUUUUCUUAGUGUUUCCAUCUCUCUGUUUAUAUUACCCAUCUAUUCUUGCAUACUGUUUACUUUUGCAUUUGAACCCUUCACAUAUUAAUCAUAGUUAUUUUAAAUUCCCUGAUACCUCUGACAUUUGUGUCAUAUCUGAGUCUGGUUCUGAAGCUUGCAUUGUUUGUUUCUUCUUUCUUCUUCUUCUUCUUCUUCUUCUUCUUCUUUUUUUUUUUUUUUUUUGGUUACAAGAUGGACAUGUAUCAAGUAACCCAAUACUGAAGUACCUAGGCCGUUAGUGAGAACAUUUAUAUUUAUCUGGCUAUGAGUUUGUCUAUGCUCAAUGUUUGUUGUAGCCAUAGGUGCCUUGAGACUUCAGAUUCCUCUAGUGUCUUUGUUACUAUUUAUCCUCUUGAUUUUGAAAUGCUCUAAGUACUCCUCUUAAGAGACAGCCCUACAUCUUGCAAUUCUUUCAGCUAUCAACUGCUUUUCUUUGGAUCCCUGUUGUGUGGUAGUCUGAUGUUGGGGAGAAGGAACAUACUAUAGUCCUGCCACUAAAUCUCUUUUACUAGGCUUGUGGCUCUGGAUUGUGACUCUCACAGUAUUUUUUUUUUUCUGGUGGCUUUGUUUUGUUUUGUUUUGUUUUGUUUUUCCUUCAUCCCUAAAGUGAGACAGUAAGGCUAGAGGGGACUAGAGUGGGAGGAACACUCUUCCUCAGCUGGAAUGGGGCUUUGGUAAAUGUUUUUCCCUGGAGUGUAGGUCUUCAUUAUAAAGAAUGCUCUGAGUGCAUUUCUGAGUGAUUUUCUCCCCUCCCCACCCUUGUGAGAGCCACAAGCAUAUUUUUCUUGGCUCUUUGCUGUGAGGACCUGGAGGGAUGCUUGGAAGUAAAACCCAUGAACAUAUGGUAUACCCCGUAGACUGUGAUCUCUAGGAUUUUCUCAUUCUCAUGCUAAUCCACACUCAACAGUCAACAAUUCAUCAAAAUUACCAUUUAAGUGUUCCUAUCAGUUGCUCCAACAGUUUCUGCUUCAGGUAAGGAGCUCUUGGAUGGAUCUCUGAAUGAGCCUGUGUGUGCACAUUGGAGGGUGGCAGCCCUACAGACUCAGUUCCCUGGUGGUUUUAAGAAGAGUCAUUGGUUUGUAGUUUGUCAAGCUUUUUCUUGUCAUAAGGACUAGUGUGACAACUCCUCAACUUCUUACAUGUUAGAGCUGAAACGGGAAGUUGUCAUUGUUAUUUUUGUUACUAUUGUUAUCCCAACUCUUUAAGGAGGCAUAUUAGUUUAAGGGAGAUAGAAGCUGCCGCUUUAUAUUUCUCAGUGGUCAAAUUCAUUUUUGCAUUUAGUGUGCCAAAAAGGAGAGAUCAGGUUUUGACCAUCCAUUUCCCCUCUAAGUAUCUAUUUGAACCUGAUUUAUCAUCAGAGUGACUAUACCCACACUGAAAAAAAAGUUAUAGCUUUGUUUUGCCUUUCUGGACGUCAGCUACCUUGCAAUCCCAUCUCUUUGGAGUGCAGCUGAAAACCAGAAAAUAAGCAAAAAAAGGUCUCCUGAAUAGUUAAUGUCACAAGUACAGGUGCUGAAUUUCUUAAAAUAUAAUUUUGGUAGAAGCAAAACUAUAUGCAAUCCAUAUAUAGGCUACGAAGUAUAAUGAUAUAAUCAGCACUGAUGAGUCCACCACCUGUCAUAAAAACUAGAGCAUCGCCAGUACCUCCAAAGCUAUCUCUCAUCUGGAGGACUGCUAGCCUCCUAGGGAGAACUACUUUCUGAAGGUUUAGGCCCAUAAUUCAUCUGUUCUUUGAAAAACGUUUUCUUCUAUAUAUAUUCCAAGACAAUAUAAUCUUGAGUAUUGUUUGGUUUUUAGCUUUACUGAAAUAACAUUAUCGUGCUAUAUGUUGUCUUCUGGACUUGCAUUUUUCAUUUAAUUAAUUACUUGUACUCUCUGUGCCCAGUGGCCCUCUCUGCAAAAUGGAGGUAAUAAUAGUACCUAUAUCACUGCAUUUUUAUAAGAAUUAAAUAAGUUAAUAUUUGUAAAUCACUUAGAAUAGUAACAGACAUACAGAUCGUGCUUUGUAUAUUUGUUAAAGAAAAUAUACAUAUAUUCAUUUACACUGUGGAUCUAUUUGGAGUUCAUCCAUUUUUACUGCUAUAUAAUAUUUCACAUAUACUAUAAUUUAUUAAUCCAGUCUCAUGUUGAUUGGCUUUUGGAUGAUAUCAAGCUUUCUGUUACUACAUAUAAUAUCAAUUUGAAUGAUUUUACUCACGUCUUGUCAUAUGCCUUUGUGAGAGUUUCUCUAGGGGUAUAUCCACAGUAAAAGUGCCAUAUCACAGGACUUGAGCAUAUUCAGCUUUAACACCAGAAUGAUUGUACACAUUUACACCUCUAUUAGUAGAACAUUAGAGGUCUUGGUGUUCCACAUAUUUGCUGUCAUUUGGUAUUAUAAAAUUUAGUGGGUUUUGCACUCUAGAUGGAGUAGAAUAUGGUUUAUUUUGUGCAUUUCCAGAAUUUCAAAUGAUAUUGAGCAUUUUUCAAACUCAUUAUCAAGUUCCUUCUAUUGUAAAAUAACCAUAUUGUUUGCCUACUUUUCUGUUUGGAGAUAUAUAUGUGAUUUUUUGUACUUUAUAUAUCUUCAUAUUUUUCUUUUGUCAAUUAAAUAUAUUGCAGUAAUCUCACACUCUGUACUUUGUCUUUUUGCUUACUUUGUGAUUUGGUUGAAAUAGAAGCCUUGAUUGUAAAGUGGUCAAAUUAAUAUUUUUUAUAUGCUUACUAUUCUUUAGAGCUUCUUUAGGAAACUCUUUUUAAAGCUCAAAUUACAAUUUUAUGUUUAAAAUUGGAGGUUUCACAAUGAAGUCUUUGUAAUUAAUGUUAUAUAUGGUAUGAGGUAUAGAUCAAAUUGUAUUUUUCUCUAGGUGAAUUGCAUGUAUCCUAAUAUCUCUAAUCCCUAUAUAUUAAGCCAUUCAGUUUUUACAUUGAUUUGCAGUGAUACCUAAAUCAUAUAUAAAACAUUCAUAUUUGCAAAGGUCUAUUUUUGAGUCUUGUAUUCUGUUCCUUUGUUUAAAUUAUCAAUUUAUUUUUUUAAAAAAAUAGUUUAUAUUUUUGAGUAAUCUUUACACCCAAACUUGGGGCUUCAGUUUACAACCUUGAGAUAGAGAGUCUCAUGCUCUACUGACUGAGCCAGCCAGGCACCCAUAAAAUUUUAAUUUUCAACACCAAUACCACAUUAACUUAAUUACACAGAUUUUAAACACAUCUUGAUAUUUGUAUGUUUCUCUUCUACAGGAGAGCCCUGGCUAUUCGUCACUAUCCCAUAUUUGUUCUUCCAUAUAGGUUUUAGAAUAGGCUUUCUGUGAACCUUAAUAUUUUAUUGGAAUUACAUUCAAUAUAAAGAUUAAUUUGGCUAAAUUUGAUAUAGUAUUGAACUACUAUCUGUGGACAUGGCAUAUAUAUCUAUUUUUUUGGUCUUCUUUAAUAUCUUUAAAUAAAAUGAAAAAUUUUUUACCAUAAAUACUGAUAUUUUACAAAUCCUUGAUAAGUACCUUCUUUUUCCUUUUCUUUUUUUCUUUUUGUUUCUCUUUUAAUUUUUGAUUUUGUUUUUUGCUACUGUAAAGAAUCUCUUUAAAUGGUUUUUAAAAACAAUUGCUGCUAGCAUAUAGAAAUCAUGUUAUUUUGUGUAUCAAUUACACAUUUAGCAAAUUUGUUAAACUUCUAAAAAGAAUUCUAACAAUUUGUCUGUAAACUAUCAUGGAUUUCUCUAUGAAUAGUUACAUCAUCUGUAAAAGUGGUUAUUUUUCUCCUUUUCCAGUUCUUCUUUUUAUUGCACUGGGUAGAACAUUCAGUAAAAUGUUGAAUAGUCAGGUAUAGUUCUAUCCUUUUCCUGGUUUAAAAUGGACUUCUUCUAAAUAUUUCAUAUGUAAGAAUGAUAUAUCUGUAGACUUGGGGUAGGUAACCUCUUUCAGAUUAAAAAGGUCACUUUGUAGUUCCAGUUUGUUGUUGUAGUUAGAUACCGAAUAUUAUCAAAUGCUUAUUUCUGCUUCUAUUAAACUAAUAAUGUAGUUGUACUGCUUUAGUAUGUUAAUAAGUGAAUUUGCUUUUAGAUUUUCUGAAGUUAAACUACAUUGCACUCCUGAAAUGAAGCCAAGCUGUUUAUGACAUCAUAUUUUUUAUAUACUCCUGGAUUAAUUUUUUCACUAUUUGUAGAAGUAUUUUAACUACUGAUUUGAGUUCUUUAAUGGUUACAGGCCUUCUAAGGUAGGUUUUCACAAGUUUGUUUUUCUAUGAUUUUGCCUAAUUCACAUACUUUUUCAGUUUUUGUCAUUAAGCUAGUCACACCACUUUCUUAUUGCUUUUAAUUGUCUGGGUUUUUAGGUAGUUAUCCUCCAUCAUCCAGCUUAGUAUUUUUUUUUUUAAUUAAUCUCACCAGGAGUUUGUCUCCUCAUUGGUCUCUUCAAAGAGCCAUUAUUUGAUUUUCUUAAAUCUUACCCAUUAUUCUUGUUUUCUGUUUUUAUCUUUAUUACCUCCCUCCUUUUACUUCCUAAAUAUUUAUUUUGAAGUGCUUUUCCUAUUCUCACCACUAUUUCUUGUAUCUCAGACCUUCCUACUGAUGCCAUUUUCCCUAUUCUUAAUAUCUAUCUUUUGGAAGUCUUUUUAAUGAAAGCCUACUUGUGGUAAACUUGCUUAAGUUUUUUGUGCCUGAGAGUGUCUAUAUUUUUUUUCUCAGUCCUUCAAAUAUUAUUAUAUGUCUUCUAGCUUUCAUUAUAGCUCUUGAGAAGACUGCAUUAAGUCUUUCAUUCUUACAUAGGUGAUCUGUCAUUUCUCCCUGACAUCUUCUAGUAUAUCCUUUUGCCUUUGGUGUUCAUGUUUUACUACAGAAUAGUUACCUGAGGGUUUCUUUGUGUUUUUCUGGCUUGUGUGUGUUUUUAUCUCUGGAUUCUUGAUGUUCAUAAAUUCUAGAAAACUGUCAUUAAUUAUUGUUUCAAAUAUUUCCUCUCUUGUUUUCUCUGAUCUUCUGAUGAAAAAUUAGGCCUUUUCAUUCUAUCCUUCUUGCUGCUUGUUUUCUCUUUCACUGGUUUCCUUUUUGUUGUCUUUCUGUUGCUUUCUGGGUAAGUCUUUCUUCAUCUGUAAUCAGCCUGUCCAGGGUGCUUUUAAUUUCACUGAUUAUAGUUUUUACCUCUAAAAAUUCUAUUUAUUUUGUUUUAUAGGUUUUCCUGGUAACUUCUUUCUUUCUUUCUUUCUUUCUUUCUUUCUUUCUUUCUUUCUUUCUUUCUUUCUUUCUUUCUAUUUUUUAUUUAAAUCCAAGUUAGCUAACAUAAAGCGUAAUAAUGAUUUCAGGAAUAGAGUUUAGUGAUUCGUCACUUACAUACAACACCCAGUGCUCAUCCCAACAAGUGCCCUCAUUAAUGCCCAUCACCCAUUUAGUCCAUCCCCCCACCCAACACCCCUCCAGCAACCCGCAGUUUAUUCUCUGUAUAUGGUUUGCCUCCCUCUCUGGUUUGCCUAUGGUUUGCCUCCCUCUCUGUUUUUAUCUUAUUUUUAUUUCCCUUCCCUUAUGUUCAUCUGUUUUAUUUCUUAAAUUCCACAUAUGAGUGAAAUCAUAUGAUAUUUGUCUUUCUCUGACUUAUUUCACUUAGCAUAAUAUACUCUAGUUCCAUCCAUGUUGUUGCAAAUGGCAAGAUUUCAUUCUUUUUGAUCACUGAGUAAUAUUCCAUCAUGUAUAUAUACCAUAUCAUCUUUAGCCAUUCAACAGUGGAUGGACAUUUGGGCUCUGUUCAUACUUUGACUGUUGUCAGUAGUGCUGCUAUAAACAUUGGGGUGCAUAUGCCCCUUUGAAUCAGCAUUUUUGUAUCCUUUGUACAAAUAAAUACCUAGUAGUGCAAUUGCUGGGUUGUAGGCUAGUUCUAUUUUUAAUUCUCUGAGGAACCUCUGAUCUAUUUUCCAGAGUGUCUGCACUAGUCUGCAUUCCCACCAGCAGUGCGAAAGCAUUCCCCUUUCUCUGCAUCCUCACCAACAUCUGUUGUUUCCUGCAUUCAUGUUAGCCAUUCUGACAGGUUUGAGGUGGUGGUAUCUCAUUGUGGUUUUGAUUUGUAUUUCUCAGAUGAUAAGUGAUGUUGAGCAUCUUUUCAUGUGUCUGUAAGCCAUCUGGAUGUCUUCUUUGGAAAAGUAUCUAUUCAUGUCUGUUGCCCAUAUCUUCACUGGAUUAUUUGUUUUUUGAUUGUUGAGUUUGAUAAGUUCUUUAUAGGUUUUGAAUAGUAACCCUUUAUCUGAUAUGUCAUUUGCAAAUAUCUUCUUCCAUUCUUUCAGUUGCCGUUUAGUUUUGCUGAUUGUUUCCUUCACUGUGCAGAUUUUUUUUUAUCUUGAUGAUGACCCAGUAGUUCGUUUUUGCCUUAAUAUCCCUUGCCUCCAGAGACAUGUCAAGUAAGAGGUUGCUGUGACCAAGGUCAUAGUGGUUGCUGCCUGUUUUCUCCUCUAGGAUUUUGAUGGCUUCUUACAUUUAGGCCUUUCAUCCGUUUUGAGUUUAUUUUUGUGUAUGGUGUAAGAAAGUGGUCCCAGUUCAUUCUUCUGCAUGUUGGUGUCCAGUUUUUCCACCACCAUUUGCUGAAGAGACUGUCUUUUUUUCCCCACUGGAUAUUCUUUCCUGCUUUGUCAAAGAUUAGUUUGCCAUAUGUUUGUGGGUCCAUUUCUGGGAUCUCUAUUCUGUUCCAUUGAUCUAUGUGUCUGUUUUUGUGCCAGUACCAUACUAUCUUGAUGCCUCCAGCUUUGCUUUCUUCUUCUUCUUCUUCUUCUUCUUUUUCUUCUUCUUCUUCUUCUUCUGCUGCUUCUUUUAUUAUUAUUAUUAUUAUUAUUAUUACUAUUAUUAUUGUUUUAAUUUUUAAUGUGUAUUUAUUUUUGAGAGAGAGAUACAGAACAUGAGCAGGGGAGAGGCAGAGAGAGAGAGGAAGAUGCAGAAUCUGAAGCAGGUUCAAGGUUCUGAGCUGUCAGCACAGAGCCCAAUGAGGGGCUUGAACCCACAAACCUCAGAUCAUGACCUGAGCCGAAGUCGGUCACUUAACCAGCCAAGCCACCCAGGUGCCCCUGGUUUUCUUUUUUAACAUUACUUUGGCUAUUCAGGGUCUUUUCUGGUUUCAUACAGAUUUCAGAAUUGUUUGUUCUAGUUCUGUGAAGAAUACUGGUGUUAUUUUGAUAGGGAUUGCACUGAAAAUGUAGAUUGCUUUGGGUAAUAAUGACAUUUUAACAAUACUUGUUCUUCCAAUCCAUGGGCAUGGAAGUUGUUCCAUUUCUUUGUGUCUUCUUCAGUUUCUUUCAUAAGCUUUCUAUAGUUUUCAGAGUACAGAUCUUUUACCUCUUUGGUCAGGAUUUUUAGUGCAAUUGUAAUUGGUAUCGAUUCCUUCAUUUCUCUUUCUGUUGCUUCGUUAUUGGUGUAUAGAAAUGCAACCGAUUUCUGUAUGUUGAUUUUGUAUCCUCUUUGCUGAAUUCAUGUAACAGUUCUAGCAGUUUUUUGGUGGAGUCUUUUGGGUUUUCCACGUAGAGUAUUAUGUCAUACUCUGUGUGACAAGUGAAAGUUUGGUUUCCUCCUUGCUGAUUUGGAUGUUUUUUAUUUCUUUUUGUUAUUUGAUUGCUGAGGCUAGGACUUCCAACACUAUGUUGAAUAACAGUGGUGAGAGUGGACAUCCUGUGAGGAAUAAGACCCAGUUCUGUCCUCUUUUUCUACUCCACAUGUGGUAUAUGCAAGAGUGUAUGUGUAUGUGUGUGUGUUCACGUGCACCCCCACACACAGGUGUGAAUGUAAGUCACUUAGUAAAAUGUCAAGUGUGAUCUAGCCACUCAUUAAUAACACCUAACUCUGCAUUUCUGGGUAAAUAACUAAAUUGCUACUUUUCUUGUGUCAUCUCUUUCUUCCUCAAUUCUUCCUUGUCUAGUUCCUGACUGUAGGGGGAAAGCUCUUAGUGUUUCCCCAUUGAGGAUGAUAUUAGCUGUGGAUCUUUCAUAUAUAGCCUUUAUUACCUUCAGGUAUGAUUCUUCUAUCCCUACUUUCUUGAGGGUUUUUAUCAAGAAAGGAUGCUGUAUUUUGUCAAAUGCUUUUUCUGCAUCUGUUGAGAGGUUCAUGUGGUUCUUAUUCUUUCUUUCAUUAAUGUAAUGUAUGACAUUGAUUGAUUUUUAGAUAUUGAAUCAGCCCUGCAUCCCAGGAAUAAAUCCCACUUGAUCAUGGUGAAUAAUUCUUUUAAUGUAUUGUUGGAUCUGGUUGGCUAGUAUCUUGUUGAAAAUUUUUGCAUGUAUGUUCAUCAGGGAAAUUGCUUUGUAGUUCUUCUGAUUUUUAGUGGGGUCUUUGUCUGGUUUUGGAAUCAAGAUAAUGCUGGCCUCAUAGAAUGAGUUUGGAAGUUUUCCUUCCAUUUCCAUUUCUUGGAACAGCUUCAAAUGAAUAGGUGUUAACUCUUCUUUAAAUGUUUGGUAUAAUUCCCCUGGAAGCCAUCCGGCCCUGGACUCUUGUUUGUUGGGAGAUUUUUAAUUACUGAUUCAGUUUCUUUACUGGUAUGGGUCUGUUCAAAUUUUAUUUUUCUUCCUGUUUUAGUUUUAGUAGUUUAUAUGUUUCUAGGAAUUUGUCCAUUUCUUCCAAAUUGUCCAAUUUGUUGGCAUAUAAUUGCUCAUAAUAUUCUCUUAUUAUUCUUUGUAUUUUUGUGGUGUCAGUUGUGAUCUCUCCUCUUUCAUUCAUGAUUUUAUUUAUUUGGGGCCUUUUCUUUUUUUGAUCAGUCUGGCUAGGGGUUUAUCAAUUUUGUUAAGUUUUUCAAAGAACCAGCUCCUGAUUCCACUGAUUUGUUCUAUUGUUUUUUUUUUUUUUAUUUUGUUAUCAUUGAUUUCUGCUCUAAUCUUUAUUAUUUCCCUUCUUCUGUUGUUUUUGGGCUUUAUUUGUUCUUUUUCAAGCUCCUUUAGGAUUGUAUAUUUGAGGUUGUAUAGUUGAGACCUUUCUUCCUUCUUUAGGAAAGCCUGGAUUGUUAUAUACUUCCCCCUUAUGAACCCCCUUUGCUGCAUCCCAGAGGUUUUAGACUGUUCUAUUUUCAAUUUUCAUUGGCUUCCAUGUACUUUUUAAUUUCAUCUUUAAUUUCUUGGUUAACCCAUUCAUUCUUUAGUCAGGUGUUCUUUAAUUUCCAAAUAUUCAUGGUCUUUCCAAAUUUUUUCUUGUAGCUGAUUUUAAGUUUCAUAGCAUUGUGGUCUGAAAAUAUGCAUAGUAUGAUAUCAAUUUUUUUUUACUUGUUGAGGGCUUUUCUGGCAAUUUGAUUGGAUUUUGUUUCAUGUUUAUUUUUACUUUAUAUUUUUGAAAAAUACCUGAUUUGGUACUUAUUUUAUAUUCUUAAUCUGCUGAUUCUGGUACCUAAAGUCCUUGAGGUUCUAAAAUCUUUGAUUCCCUCCCCUCCCCACCCCCAAGCUUUUUGUUUCUAAUAGUUUAUUUCCAUGGGUGAUUGGUGACUUUAUAAAAAUUGCGAGUCCACACUUGAUUUCCUUUAAUCUGUUUUAAUCCUGAGGGUCUAAUUUUGGUUUACUUUUAACUCAAAACCUUGGUUUCCAGACAGGAUUUGUAUUAACUUCUUCAGAAGCUGGGGACACUAGUGAGUGGGAUGUCUUUAACCCCCUUAUAGGGUCCUGUCUUAAUGCUGGUAUUUCAGGUUGAGCUCCAUCCCUACCCAACCCCCACACCUUGCAGCACACCCUGGCUGUAAUGUCAUAGUUUCAGGCUGUUAUUGGCAUUUGUCCCCAUGGUACAUCUGAAUUUGCCAUAGGGUAUUGUUCUCUCAUAGUGGAAAGGCUUUCAGAGUGUCUAGUCCACCAUAACAUUAUUACAGUCAUUACAUUUGAUUUGCUUCACUCAUAGCAGAGUCCUUACACCUUAUUUUGCACUCAUUUUUUUAUAUUUUAUGCUUAAUUAUAUGAUUUUCUGAACAGCAAUGCAUUAAUAGGAAGGGAGGAAGAAAGGUUUCUAGAAGCAGGCUUACAGAGAGAAAGGAGAUUUAAUGCCUAAACUUGAAUAGCAAGAGAAAACAAAAAAUAGGAAAAACAACAAAACAUUGGAAUAAGAACUCAAAAAUGACAAAGAUUUGGGGCUAUUUGGUAAGAGCAUAAAUAACCCACAAGCAUAAAUACAGAAGCAAGAUGGCAUGGGUUGGGGCACACCUGGGCAGGGCCCAUACUCUACCUUAACAUGCCCCUUUGUCCAGCCCCUAACCAGAAUUUUCCUGAAAUAAAAAAGGAGAAAAAUUGUACUUCUUGGAAAUAUGAUAGAACAUCAGUGAUAUAAAUUGUUAAACAUAGGUGAUGAUUCUUUCUUUAUGGAAUUGUUAAAAAUUGCAACAUUUUUAUGAAGGUAAAAAGCAAAAUUCUGGAUGUCAUUUUUGGGGAGAACAACAGCGCAUGUCACUCUGGCUUCUCUCUAUAGACCCCACUACUGCGUUGAAGUCUUCAUGUGACUAUAGCACAGUGUGAUCAUUUUAUGUCUGCUUCAUGAUCCUGAAGAAAGGUUAAAUCAUGUUCUGUACAUUAUGUUAAAGGAAUGGGAAAGUACAUAAUGCCUUUUAGAAAAAUUUCUGCUCAAGAUAGCAAAACAGGAAACUCAUUAAUUUUUUUCUGGAAAAUUCAGAAAAGGAGUUUUUUUUUUUUUUUCUGGAUGAUACUUCCUGUAAGAAUUUAAAUAAUGAUUUUGUACACUUUUUUUCAACCACCUUUCUAUCAGUUUUUGCAGGAUAACAUGCUACCUUAAAAUUUAGUGGCUUUAAACAGCUGUUUUUUUCAGCUCACAACUUGGGGGUUUCUGCUGGUCUCAACCAGCUUCAGUCCUGCACUUCAGCUGACAGGCAGUGUCUCACUCAUGUUGUCUGGUCGUUGGCUCGUGGGUAGACUGUCCCUUGUCCAGCAGGUUAGCAGACCUGGUUCAUGUGGUAAUGAUUUCAGGGUUCCCAAGGGCUCUAGAAGCUCAGGUUUGGAACUCCGACAGUGUCACUUUUAGUCAAAGCAAGUCACAAGGCCAGCCAGAUCCAAGUGUUAGAGAAAUAGACUUCUCUUCAUGGGAGGAGUCACAAAGCACUGUGGCCGGUUUUGCAACCUAGCAAUGCCUCUUCGGUGUAGCAGAGCAGAUCAGUCUAACCCCAGGCUUUGCAGUCUACCAUGGGUCCUUCAUCAGGAACCUGUCACCCUGCCUCUGCCUCUGCACUCCCCCCCCCCCCCCCCCCCGCCCCCUUAUAAACCCUGGGUCAUGUUGAGACUUGAGAUUAACUCAGAUGGUAGUUCAAGAUGAGUUAAAGGGGGAGUUCAGACAGCAGGACCUGUUGGCUCUUCAGAAUUUACUCUUGAUCUGGAGAUGCUGAUUUGAGACCACUUACUUCCUCUGUAGGUUGUGAGUGUUGGGGGUUCCAGGGGGCUCCUAAGCGCGGGGUGGGGAGUAUAGUGCUGUGUGUAAGUUCAUUUGUCUGAACAGGUGCAGCAUGCCGCAGAGGUGAGGGGUGGUGAGGGGGGAGUGUGAGGACAUAACCUCCCCACUUGCAGGCCUGCUUGCGUUCUGCCUCUUCAGAUUGCUCUCCCUCCUUCCCCGCUCCGGCUCUCUGCGUAGCACCACAUGGUGGGAAAUCGCAACUUGUCACUUCUUUGGGUGUGAUGGCAAAAUCUUGGUUCCUUGAAUAGAACAGUUUAAUGUUAAUUUGCAGUCAGAGAAGAACUGUGGAAGUGUGUGUGUGUGUGUGAGCACGUGCAUGUGCGCAAAUGUUUGUGGGGGUGGGGGCUGAUGUUCCCAAGACUGGAUUCAAACUAAAUCAUGCUGCAUCUGUGCUAGAAGAGACAUCUACCUAAAAUCUUCCCACAUCCUCUUCCCACACUGUAAGCGCCAUCAUACUGUUAUCCCCCUUUGCUCAUCACUGGCCUUGAAUUUCUUCCCUCUCCAGCUGAAAUCGAGAGAGAUUCUCUUAACGUUUCCUCAGGCAAAUCCACCCCCAGAAUGUAACUCUAAUUUUCUCUAGUUACAGUUAGCAAACUCUGCCCUCAGUUUCUUUAUUUCUCCCCUUUUCCUACCACCUUGAAUCUCAGCUUCCUUUUUCUUAUUCUGUGUACACUGUGAUAGUUUUCUUUCUUCUGUAACACACUUCUAAAUAAACAAACAACAAAGGGAGAUGGAGGAAAUAGCAAAAUACUAAGCAAUUUUUUUGACAGGUUUUUGUUCCUUAUCAGAGCAUUAAGAAUCUAGCUAUAGGCAAUUCUGUUGUAGGUAAUGUACAAAGCAAGUUACACAGACAUGAUCCUUGGUGCUAGAAAUUUAAUUCUUCUAAGGUAUGUUCUUCUUGUAUCUUCCCUAAAUUCAGAGUAGCUUAUGGGCAGUCAUUUUGUAUUAGAUUGAAUUGUGUGAAAUUGCUGGCGCUCAACAAUUAUUGAUGUACAAAAAUGGCAGUUUCAUAUGGUUCAAGCUGUUUUGUAAGUCCACUAAUAUUUUUAAUCAGUUAUUUGGUGAGGCAUUCUUCUGCUCAGUCUACAUUGAACCAGAAAAGAAAUCACCCCUUUUCCCAUCUUGCCUCUACUAUUGCAGUUGUUUCCUAUAGGGUCUCUUUGCUUCUGUCUGAACCCCCGCCCACCUGCUAAUCAAGUCACUACCUUCCUUAAGAGCAUCGGUGAUGCCUAGGAAUAAGGACUAAAUAACUUAACCUGGCAUUACAGGUAUUUUCUUGUAUGAGGCCCCAGUUGACCUCUGCAGCCUCUUAUGCUUUCGCUGUGUCCCAUAUACCUUUGGUUUUAGCCACGUUGCUCCAAGAACUGAACAGGUGGAAUAAAUCAGGGCUGUCCCGUAUCUGUGAGUUUGUUUGUGGUUCCUCCUCCCAGAAUCCCUGUUCACUACUUGUCUUCUUGAGAAACCCCUGCAUACCCUGGGAAGCCUCACUUCUAACGUUACGUACUUUUCUCUGCUUCCUUAACCCACCCCAGAGUGGAUUAAUUGUUCCUUUUCUUGGAUUCCCAUUAUAUGGUACUCCUAAAACUGCUAUACCAUUUCCCCAUGAUAUUAGACAUAUUUGCACAUAUGUAUGCUUUGCUGGUUUUGAAUCCUCUAAAGACUUGGCCUGUAUUUUAAUCCUCUUUGUAUCCCUCGUGUUGCCUGGCCCAUAGCAAAUGACCCAUCAGUGUUGGUGAAACGGAUUCCCUGUCUGCAAAAUUCAUCAGCACUUUCAUUUCCUAUUCAGAAUGGAGAAGGGAACUUGGAGGCAAGCAAGUUGCUAAUAUUAAAGUUAAUGAGCUUGCAAACAUUCCAUUUAAGUUUGGAUAGAGAGAAAAUACUCAGGGCAGUUUUGUUUUCCCCAAACCCUUUACCUGUCCCAGCUGUGAUUAGUUAUUUAAGAAAAGAUUAAUAUAUCUUUAAUCCAACUACAUCACCUGUUUCUCACUUAUUUUAAGCAGCAGAGAACACCUUUCAGAUUUAAUGUUGGAACACACAAUAAUUUCUAUUUAAACAUCACUUUAUAAACAAUGAAUUUUUGUUUUUUCCAUUAAUCCAGUUUAACUUAAUCCUCACAGUACCUCAAGGGAAUGCAGCUGGCCAAGAAUAUAGUGGUUCCUCUGGGUGAUGAAACUCCCUGCUUAGUUCUGAGAGACUGAGAUGUUCAAAUUCAGAUUCAAAUUCAGUUUGCUUUAGAGCUAGCCCCAGAUGCUAACCCCUGAAUUAUAGGGCUUUUUUUGCUAGUUCUUUGACUCCUGGGUCUUAGCAAGUACCCGAGGAAGCUCUCUGUUUCGAAGUUGGGAGAGUUCAGCCACAGAAGGGGCCUAAACCGGUGACAUUGUGGCUAAGCUUCCUAGGGCCCUGCCAAGGGCAGUUAGAAGCCCCAGCACCUGGGGUGCAGAAAGCAUGGGUCUGACCCAGUGGGAGGCUGCAGCCUGAUUGCACACCUUUUUCUGAAAAGGCGAGGAUAGGUUGGGGGCGUGGGCACACAGUGGGAAAGGAGAGCUGCCGCAGGCAGAGCCACCAACGGCAGCAGCCACAGCAGCAGGACUGGCUGGGGGAGCACCAUUGCCAGCAGCUCUGUGCUAACGAUGCCCUCUUCUCCCCACUCAGCAGAAGCUCUGAGGCAGACAGCAACACAAAUGUCCCGAAAGGGAUCUGUGUGACUGCUCAUUUGUGCAGUGGUUUUCCAUUCUUCCCAUUCUAUACUCUUAAAGGAGUACAGAAACUACUAUUCAGGCUUUGGCUCUGGGGCCAUUUGGGGGGGACUCUGCCCCACCCUACCCAGUAUUCACUCUCAUUUCUCACUUCACGUCAUCUGGAUGAUCUCUUGGGGAAGGAGAGGUGGGGAAGAGUGAGUGUUAGAAGUUAGGUUGAUGGUAGUGUUUCUAAAGCUUGGAGAUUUAGACCAAUUGUUAUGUUGGGCUUGCCCAAGGGACCUGGACAUCACUGUAUUUUUUAAAAAUUGACUUAAGCCAAAAACAUGUAGGAUUUACAAACUCUAAAUCCACAAAUUCAAAUAUCUGUUUUUAUAAUUCAGAUUAACUAUAUCAUAUUUCCACAGAUAAAUUUAAUAUUGAGCAAUUCAAGAUAAACUCAGUCAAUCCAGAGUUUCUCCCCUUCCUACUUCUCUCCUCGAGGGCUUGUAAAUUGCCAGGAUCCUAUGUAUCAUCAGUGUGAUUGAGGUCCUAUCUGGUCUUUGGUCUCUGCUACAUUUUCUUGGCACCCACUGAGAUGUUUGCAAGUUCACGUGAUCCGGAGUGAGUUGAAUAUUCUACUCAGAUCAUUCUGUCCCUUUCUUAAGAAACUGGGAGGCCACUGAAAUUCACCAGUCCUAUGUAGUCUACUUCCUCAGGUCUCUUGGGUACCUGAAAAAAUUCCAUAUGCUUUCCUAAAGGUGCUUCAAGGAUGGGGAAACCAGGGUGUGGUGGGGGGCAGUGCGGUGCUACUUUAGGGCCUUCCUUUCUGUGCACUCACACUCAUUUUUACCCUGAAGCUGCUGCUUCAUGCAGACAUGGGGAUUUCUGGUGCCUUGACACUUUCCUGGGUUCUAUUUGGCCUGUAAAGCACAGAUCCUCACUGAUCUUAGACUCUCAAACUCUUUUGGAUUUUCUAACCUCCCCUUCACUAAUGUGAAGGCUUAGGGUGUGGCUUAGGGUACAGGCCAGGACUUUUUCUUAGAGAACUCUUGGCAUCUAAGCUCAUUUCUUCUCCCUUUUGAGUAUCGUCUCUCCCUCCCAGGGAUGGACUCUUGACUGAGUUGGGAUAGGAUGGUCUGAUCUUUCAUCUUUUCUACCUAAGCCUGUGUUUACAUGGAACAAACUUUACCCUCGGAAUCUUUGAAGACUUUGGUUUUGAUACUCAAAAGCCAAGAUUUUGGAACAUAAAAGUCUUUUUUUUUUUCUCAAAAAAUUGUCUCUGGUAAUCAUUUCAAAACACUUUUGAGACUCAAAAACUAUACUCUCCUUUAGUAUUUCUGUUCUAACUGAAAUACUUAAUAUAGAUGUGUAUUUCUACUAAAUGCAGGAAAGAGCCCUGGGAGAUGCCAAGGGAGGGAAUUGGCAAUAAGAUCAUUGGAAGUGUCAGGGGAACCACAGCUAAUACCUCACAUUGUUCUUUUGUCACACUUGUGAUAAGGUCUUUCUGUGUGUUUAUGAGACCCACAAUGAUAGAUCAUUUUUCUAGAUUCAACAUAUGGGAUAGUCUAGGAAGCAUUAUACAUUGUUGUAGCAAUCACGGAGAGCAAGGUCAUGAAGAAUCAGGUCUCUCACAAGAAGAUUGAGUCCCUAUUUCAAGCUUUGGGAUAUGGAUAGUACUCGUUUAGAUGAAUUUCACAUUGCAUUGGACCCCCUAACUUGCUCUCAAAGUAGGCACCAGAAGAAGCCAAAGUAUGCUUCAAGAAGAGCCAUUAUCAUCCCACCCAUCAUUAGAGCUUCAUGAGACAGACCAUGGUCAGAAACCUAUCACUGGGGAUGGGUGUUUAGGCCACUACUUCGGUUUUCACUUCCUUGUAAUAAACACGUAGUUCUCAGAGAACUUUACAUUAAAAGAGAUUGAUCAGUUAGGAAGAAUUGUGAAAAACCAUUUCCUAUAUGCAUGCAUUUUGCCUCCUGUCCUAGGAACUAAUGAGAAGGAAGUUGGUGAAUGGAACAAAUGACCAGAGAAGAGUAUACAGAAUGAGAGGAGAGCAGGGCCAAGGAUGGAAUGCCAGCACCAAUAAUAUUUAAAAGGAAGAAAGAUCUAAAAGUGUAUGGGGUAUAAUCCAAAAAUGGAAAAAGAGAGCCAGAACAAAAAACAAUCUGCUACAAAUAUCAGAGAAUACAUCUCAAGAAGGGGAAAGUGACCCAAAGUGUUAAAUGCCCCAAAGGAGUCAAGCAAGAGGACUGCAGGUCAAUUACUGGUCUUUAAAAGGUCAACAGCCAUAGAGUGGGGAAACUGGGAAUCAAACUACUGAGGAGUGAAGAUGAGGGAAUGAUGAAUGUGAACCAGUAUGUCCCAAAGGAUGUACUUUGCUAUUAUUGUGCCAAGGAACACGCCAUGAGAAGAGAGGUCCUGUUUGGUUUUCAGUGUCUUUGAUUAUAGCAGAUAUUCAAAUGUUGGCUUCCUUAUAAGUUCUUCAGAGACUGCUGUCCCAGUGUCCCAUUGCUGGGGCCUCCCUAAAUGUUCCCAAUGUGAGUGAUGACUCCUCUGGCUCGUCACUUUCAAUUCUUUCUCAGCCUUGAUGACAAAUCUAACUUCUGAUAAUCCACCCCACAACGCUUGUACUUACUGAGGUCAUAUCAUUAUCCUAAUUUGAAUGAACUCGUAGGUGAAGUCUCAAGUUCAGCUUCUUUCUACACGUGCAGAUGUGGUCCUUGAACAACAUACAUCUUUCUCUGCUGACAGUGGCUCCCUUGGGAGGACUUUCUCCUUGCCCCAUGGUCGGAGGAAGUUCCAGCUAACCUUCAGGCUUUUCCAGGAAAGUGCUAAUCAGGGUUAAGGCUGUAGUUAAAUGGUUUGAGCAAUCAAGCAGGGCCCUGGGACUCAGAAGACUGAGUGCUUGAUGGGAAACCAGAAGCAGAUUCCCAGUCACCUUGGUUGGUUUCAUGACACAUGUGUGUAGGUGUGUAUGUAUCUUGAUCAAAUCGUUAAUCCUGACACGUAAACAUAACAGAAGAUGUGUGUGUGUGUAACUCAGAUUACUUACCAAGACAUUUGUGGUGCCAACAUCUUUUGGUAGUUUUCUUUAUAUUCCCAGUCAGCCAAAUAAUUUAUUCCAGCCAUAUGCAAAAGAUGCUGUCUUUUUGUGGUCAUGUUUCCAAAGUGAGAGAAGUCUAAACCUAGAAUUUAGAUGUAGACUCUUGUAUUGGUGGCUGUCCAUAAUAAUUUUGCAGUCCAUUCUCCAUCUUUGGAUUUUGAAUCACCUUCAGUAUUAAUUGUGACAUUUAUUUGCUUGUUGCUGUUGUGCCCUCAACAUUUCACUUCUCUAGAUCAUCAUGAUGUGAUGUUUCUUCCUCAAAUCAAAAUAGAGAGAUACAAAUCUAUGAGAAGUGUGUGCUACUGGCAUUUAUAGAAUUUUUUCUAGUCCAGAUACUCACCAAAAUAUGCCUUUUAUUGGCCACAAAGCAUUUGAAAAGUGUUUUAUGUUUUAUCGCCACACACUAACUACUUUUUCAAAGUCUGACAUCUCCUUAUCUCUCACUUUUACCUCCAUGUAUGUAUGUGUAUUCACCCACCUGUACUUUUAUUCCCCGUUUUGAAUUUCAGGAGAGUUUUCUGGGCUCAGGAGGUUAGAAGCUGUGGGAGAGUAUCACUCACCUGUGCCUACAGUGUGCACAGGGCUCUUUCCUGCAAAGUUCUUCUGUGUUCAGUCCCUCCUCUUCUCCUCUCCUUUCCCAACAACCUGGACAUACCGCAAAGGAGGUGCUUCUCACCAUGUACCUCAUGACCUGGUGAUAUGUUUACACAUCCCCUCACCCUGACUGUAGUCUUCAUGAGAACAGUGACCUUGUCUUGUUAAGUUUGUAUUUCCUGAGUCAUACACAGUGCCUGACACAUAGUAGGCAUUCACUGCAUGCUUACUCUAGGGCUGGAUUUCACUUUGGUGGCCCAGUGUCAGGGCUUAGACUGAGAAUACUCCUAUAGUGAAGGACCUCCUGGAGUUUCCACUUACAUAUUGUUACAUAGAAUGGUAUGAUGUGUGUCUCUCCCUGUGUGUGUUCAGGGGAGUGUUGUAUUUGAGAAGGGACUAAAGAGAGAAUUGAAAAGAGAAUAAAAUUCUUUGGCCUUCCUGAUAAAUUGAACUGAGAAGGACAUGAACUUUCUCUCUGCUCUGAACUCCUUUUGCACCUGCUGCCUGUACCACUCAUCUUAGUACUUAAUUAGCACAUUGCCUUAAAUUAAAGUCGCCCAGGAUCAUAGAGGGGUCUAAUCUGCAUAGUUACCUCAGGAAUUCUGUUAUGCCAUAGCAGGUUACACGGGGUUCUGUCUUCACCAAGGCUCCUCAGUCACUGGGGAAGAACUGUGAUAGGAACUUUGGGGAACCCAGGAAAGGAGCUGAGAACAAAGCCUGCCCUGCAUUCCCUUGGGAAGGUGUCCUAGGAAGUCAGAGAAUUUAUCCUGAUGUGGGAAAAGUCAGAGGACUGUGCUGGACCUCGGCUCUCAGGGUGAGGAGCAAAUGAGCAAGGUUUCCAGUGGAUUUCUCUGGGAUUACACCAACUCUUCCUGCCUGGCCAAUCUCAGAGAUCAAUGGAGUUUCAAACAUUUGGCAAUUGAAAAAUGCCACAAAAACUGUUCUCUUGGGUGGGCAAACCUCCUUUUCACUUGGGGAAGAGGGCACAGGUACCUUCAGCAGAAACCGUUGGAGGGGGUUCCUAGGGGAGAAGGGCAGAGAUGUGUGGGCAGGCCCCAGGGCCUUGGUAAAAGGGAGCUGAAGCCUGGAGACCAGCACUCUUCUCUUACUUCUUUCAUUAAGCUUCUCUGACACAAAGAAAGAGGUGGAUACACUGAGGUCCUUUUCACCUGAAGGACACCAGUGGCGAUACUAAGUACAUUGCGAGCCAAGGGGAUUCUUGGUGCAGGCUUGAGUCAACGCCCUUGGUCUGAAAUGGACUGAGAAAUUAAGGUGACAGUUCUUAUUUAACCAGUUCUUUUAAUAAAUCUACAAACCAUAAAAUAAUAAGGAACAGAGCCUUUUAGUGAAAUCAUCACAGGGCUAAUUCCAAGCCUGAGCUUUAUUUGUUGUUCUGUUGUUGUUGUGAUUAUUACCAUCAUUAUCUUCCCUGGGCUUUCUCUGAGCAAGUGACUCUACCACCUGAAUUUUUAAAAACGCCAGUAUAACUGAUGUAUAUUAAACAGUUAUAUCUUUUAGCCAACACAUAUAAUUAAACAUACAAAACAUCCUGUCACACCCAUUUGCCAAGGCAGUUGCUAUGUUGCAAAUUAUGGCCCAACACAUCCUCUGGUUCUCUCCAGCAGCUUGUCUUCCUUGGGUUGCCUGGUGCUGGAUUUUCUUCUUCCUUUUGCUUCCCACAGCCAUGGUAGGAGCAGGGCACUUAGACUUUCCAGAUGAUCCACUACUUCUGGCUACCUGCACCAUUGCUUCCCAACAUUAUUAGCCUCUGUAAUCAAACAUUGACUGUAUAUGUGUCCAUCAUGCAUCCUCACUUAAGUUCUGAGGGCGGAGGCGCUGUUUGAUCUGUUGAGUGCCUAGCACGGUGCUGAGCAAAUCGCGGGUGCCCUGGACACACUAACUGGAUGCCAGGCUCCAUGCCAGAUGCCGGCUCUUUGAUUUGGCGCCUCUCAGGUCUGUUUAGCCACAGUUCACAUCCACUGAGAUUUAGACCCUGUUUUAUAACCCACAUUCUUCUGAUCUUGGUGUGAAGAAUGUGCUGGAACAGCUCUUGGCUAUGACCCACAUUAAUAUUAAGAGCCUCUAACAGUGGACAGAGACCAGAGGUGAGCUAGGACUUUCCGUCCUAGGCAUGAGGACAAUUCAAGUGUAUUAGUCCAUUUCCCCUGUCACCUGUGACUGUAAUGCCUAAUCUCCCCGCCCACCUCCAUCAGAGUGCCAUUCUUUUUAUUUCUCUUUCUCUCUGGAAUGGUGUAUUUUUUAAAUGUAAAUACACCCAGAUAGGUAACCUAGUAAGUAGUUACUAGCUUCUUAGUGUAAAUAGGCUUAAGUACCAAAUUCAAAUGGGAUUUUUAAGAUGGGAAUCAGGUAGAGAUUAAAUGUUUGUUUAAAUAUCUAUGGCUAAAGGACCCAUUCUACAUGAAGUGGAGACCAGGAUAAAUGAAGGCCACACAGUUUGAAAGGCCUUUAAGGAUGAACACGGUUCCUAAUUUGGCUUUAACUGAAGGGCAAUCAAUGUGUAAGUAGAGGUGGUGGGAGGUUAGUAUGUCCAACCUCAAAAAUAAAAACGAGGAACAGAAAUCAAAUGUAGUUUUCAGCUACCAUCUGAAGGGGAAUCAUAAUUAUAGCCUAGAGACUAAUGCUGUAGAAACUUUGAAGGUUUUCUUAAGAUUUGUAACUUCACUGUCUUUAUUGUCAGUGUUAGUUUUUUUGGUGUCGUUAUUUUUUUUUUUCAGUAGUUAUUAAAAGUAAACCCUUAAAACCAAAAGGGCCUUUAUGGUUAUUGUGGGGAAAACAAGGAAGAGGAAAGAGCCGAGCAGACCAUUUUCCACACCAGUGCCAGAUCUUUGGGAGAAAAACGACAUAGAUGAUUCAUAAAAUGAAAAGAACUGAAAAGGGGCCUGAGGAAGCAGACAUAAGUCUAAGAAAAGACUCUGGGCUUAAUAAUAGAAGGGCCCAUUUGGGGGCAGAAACCAAGGCUUUCUACAUCCUCCAGAAGGUAAAACAAAGCCAUAUUGAAGAACAGGUACUGAACUGAAGAGCAGGGGAAGUCUAGACUAGCAGAAAAAAGAGCUAGCCAGGAAGUAGGGGAGGUACUCUUUCCGUGCUGUUUUGUCUAAGGCUGGCCUCCAAUAAAGCUCAAGGGAGUAACUUCCCAUGAGGUCCAAGGGCCUCCAGAGUGGAAAGAAAGCUCUUGGUUUCAAUUCCAGGCAUGUACGCUUCUUCUUGAAGUGAGUUUAGAUCACGUUUCAGCAAGUGUCCUCCUGCAGAGAAAGGUCUUCAUGUUAAAAAUAAAGUUCACUGGAGACACACUUGAUAUUUCCAGUGGCAUUUCUACCUGUCCAGCCUGGGGAGGUCUUAGCUCCAUUGUCCAUCACUGCCUCACCACACUCCCUCAUGCAAUUCAAGUUGCUGGGUUUAAUCUAUAAAGUUUUAACAGUGUGGAGCCUAAUUGUUUCCAAGGUCACCCCUGACACUGUGCAUCCCCCGCUGGAUGGAACCACAUUCCCAGUGCUGAUCUGAACUUGAGAAGAAUAGAGGUAGAGUGUUUUUGAUGUGGGGUGAAAGGAUGAUGGGUGGGGGGGUGAAAAGGUAUCUUUCAACACCCUUUUCUUCCCCAUGGGUUCAAAUCCCUGAUGUGCUACAAACACAUCGCUUGUUCUUAGGCAGUGAGGUCAGAAGCUUGCCAUCUCAAUUUAUCUGCUUUGCUAUAGGAUUCAUGACAAGUUUUCUUCAAAAAGAAAAACGAACAGAGUGAAAAUAUGGUUUGGUUGCCUCAUAUCAGACAUAUAUAUAGCUUAUUGGAUAUGCAUUUUUCAUUUAUCUGUUUGUUGGCACGAAUGUUCCGUGACAAAUUUGAUAAAUAUAAUUCCCCUUUAACCUGGGUUGGGUAGAUAUUUCAGGCUUCCAUGUUGAAACAAAACAAUGAGAACUUUAAAUAUGCAUACUUCCCAAAUUUUGCAGUGAACUUUGGAUUUUUAUAAUGUGAUAUAUUAGCAGAGAUUGUAAAAAUAAAUGGGAGUGUAGUGAAUGUCAUUCAUAGAAUGCCAUCCUUUUAAAACCGAAUGGUACUACAACAUUCUACCUUAAUUCUUCCUGAAGUCAUAUUUUUUUAAUGUUUAUUUAUUUUGAGAGAGAGAGUGAGCAAGAGAACACAAGAGAGGUAGGAGCAGAGAGACAGGGAGAGAGAGAAUUCCAAGUAGACUCUACACUAUCAGCACAGAGCUCAACUUGGGGCUCUAACUCAGGAACCAAACCUGUGAGAUCAAGUCCUGAGCUGAGAUCAAGGGUCCGAGACUUUACCAGCUGAGCCACCAGGCGCCCCUGGAGGCAUCUUUUGAAAGUGUCUUGGAGAUGACUGUCCCUGAUUGGAUUGAGGGCAGAUUUGGGCACGUGUGAACCCUGUGAAGGAUACAGAUGCUCAACUGCUCCACCCCUUGGAAUGGGAACAGAAAUCUUGUGAGAUCUGCCUAAAUUGGUAGCAAACUAAUUAAAUGGAGAGGCAGAGUUACACAAUAAAUCUUGCCUGGUAUAAAGCAGGCUAUGUGUAGGAGGAAGCGGGGGCGCCCUGUGGAGGGUGGAGAGACAGGCCAGUUUAGCAGAGAUGGCACCACGGCAGAUUUGAUGAAGAUGCUCUCAGAAGUAAUUGUCGCUGUCGCUUUUGAACCCUCUGGAAAAAUAACCUGAAGCACCAAGAGAAACGAAUUUUCCCUCAAGUCACAAGGGAAGAAAUCCUCAAAAUGACGAUUUUAUUCCCCACAGCAGAAGAGAGAGAAAAAGAAAGAACCGGAAAGAAAGAAGUAUUUUGCUUUCUUCUGCUUGGAAGUUUGAAGAAUGAAGCCCACGGGCAGGAAGAGAGAGUCACCGGGUGGAGGGGAUGGACGCAAGAAGGAACUCAGACGGGCCGGUAUCUGGAGUGAUCUCACUCUCAUUUUCUACAUGAGUGCGAAUGCAGCACGGGACCAUCAAUCACAGUCACAGCCAGCUCAGAACGUCACCUUUCGCUGCUGCUCCUCUCACCUCCUCCUUCCCAGCCUCCUCCCCCUUUGAAAAGCAGAUGUAUUAUGUGUGACUAGAAAUUUGACUUGCUACUUUGAUAUGCUAUGUAAUUUAUUUUUUGUUGUCGGGCUGUUUUCUUUAAACUAGUCUUACAUUUCAGCUCCUCUGGGUGUUACUCCUUCUUUCUCGUGAAUUUCAACACACAAUUCGUGCAGACUCCCUUAGCAAACAUGUAUUGAGCAGGAACUAUACUGCUCUGUUAAAACCUGCUUAUAAAUCCUUCUUAUUGGAGUCUAAGUGGCCACUUGCUUAAAAUGCCACUUGUUCUUGGAGAUACCUGUAUUUUCAAAGAAUUUGAGGACUUAUGGCUGGGAAGUUAUGUCAGAGAAGAGAGACUUCCAGGGAUGAUUUUUGCUGGGGAGAGUAUUUGAGACCAGAAUUCUCCCUCACCUCCCAUAGUGCCAGGAGGGGGAAUGAUAGGGGGCCCCCAUCCUUCGGAAAGAUGGCCUUUGGCUGCUUCCUAGGGGGAGGAGCUGGGGGAUAAUGAGGCUACACUGUGGCAGGAAAGCAAAUUCCUUGUCUAAAACGGACUGUUUGGGGUUUUUCUUUUUAAGGCGUUGCUUCAUUAGUACAUCCCUGUCCGUCUCUCUGAUCUUAUACUUCUGGCAGGCUAAUCAGGAGGCUGUAGCUGAAUCAUCUAUUGUCCGUGGGGCACUGGCCACGCUCAGAUGCAUCGCCUUGUAUGAGAGCUCUUUGGCGAAACUGGUUGCGUUCUGCCCCGGUUGCCAUCUCCCAGAGCCCCGCAGCUGCUGGUUACCAUGAACACCUCCUUUUGGUUUUGUUCUCAGAAUGUCACAGUGACCGGCUUGCAGGUGGCAUCCUGCUGUAGAUGCUGGCACAGAUUUUAAACCAGUAUGCUGCCUGUACUGAUUUUUCCCUAUUAUUUGUUGCCAAUGAGUCAUUUUGAUCUACCUCUCCCUCCUCCUUUUUCCUUUCCCCAUGCAUUGGGCUUCUUUGGAAUCACUCAGGCUCAGUAAUUAGAGAAAGAAACACCUCCUUUAUGCUAAUCCCAAAAUUUCUAGGUUUCCUUGCACUCAGAUUCCGCCAUGAGCAGCCUGGGCCUUCUGCAUCUUGCUGACUCCCUCUAUCCCCGAGCCCAUAUGGCCCCGAGGCCAGCCAGUCUUCCCGGCUUUAUGCCCAGCAUAAACAUGAUUUUCUAGUCCUUCUCUUCUGCUGAAUCUGCUGAAUGUGAAAAUCACAUGGAUCCCACUGACGUCAGACUUUGGGUUGUAAUACUCCAGGAGCUACCAACCCCUGAACAGUCCCAUGGCCCUUACCUCUCUUGCCGCCAUUCAUCAGGAGCAAGUUGACUUCAUGUUGAAAUAAAUGAGUUUUUCAGGUGCUGCAAAUAACAUUUGUUUUCCGUCCGUGGGAAUAUGAGUGUGGGAUGGAGUUGAGAAGGACUGGGUUAAAUUUGGGGGGCCAUGAUGCUUAGUAAGGAGUGAAUAUGAUUUCCUAGGAAAAGUAACACAACAAAAUGAACUCUUUGGAAGUCCCAAGAAACCCUUCUGGAGCCAUGUAGAAAGGGUGUGACUUCUGUUGCAAGAGGGAAAUGUCAGUGGAGCAGUGAGGAGGCAGUGGGUAAGCAGAUAAGAGAGACAGCCUUAUAUUCAACAGUUGAGACUUACUUUGCACAGUACUCAUUCUAGCACCCAGAGAGCAGGAAUACAGCCAACAUUUACUCUAAGACAGUGUUCUAAGUUAAUUUUUACAUGCUUUGUUUCAUUUAAUCCUAUAGCCAUGCUACAGUGGAAUACAGUAAUAUCUCCACUUAAAGAAACUCCUUAUCUAAAAUGACACAGCUAGUGAGUGUUGAAACCAACCUUUGAACCCAGACAGUCUGUUUCCAGAGUUUCGCUUUUAACCUAUGCUAAUUCUAUGUAAUGACAAUACUUCUGCCUCAGUGCCUUUUCUAAUACUAGCAUAAAGUAUGCUCAAUGCUUAUUUGCUGAAAGAAAAUCUCUUCUCAAGAAAGAAAAUAAACCCAAUUAAAUCUUAUCAGAGGAGGGAGUGAAGGAUAUGGGAUGCUGUCAACAGUGACUUUUUCUCCUGAGGACUGUAGUCUCAGCUGGGUGGGGUGUUCAGGGUGGGGACUACAUAGCACUGUGGAAGGGACCAAGAUGUCUGCUCUAUGUUUCAAAGGACGUGAGUUAGGACAGAGUUGGGACACAGCUUCUCCACUCUAGCCACUUCAAACCUUUUAGUGUUAUUCCUUGGUCAUACCAUGCAGAGUUGCCCCUCCAUGUACUGGCUCUUAUCUCCUAUUGCUUGCAGUGCACUCUCCUUUUUACCCCACAGGACAAACAAUAAUUGUCUAAAGAUCACCAGUCCUAUAUUUUUUUUCUCCACUUCACCUUCUCGAUUCAGAAGUAGCUAUCUUUUCACAUUUCAGUUUAUAUCCAACUUUACCAUUUUGCCGUGUAACUGUUUACGAUCUUUUUUCCCCCACUCAAGUGAGCAUUUUGGAGGCAGGGUCAUAUUGCAUUCAUCAGUAUAUCCACAAUACCAAGAAUGUCUGUAAUACCAAGCAUAGUGCUGGAUGCAUACUAGAUGCUUAUUAAUACAUAUUACACUGAAUUUGGUUUCUCAUUUGCUGGACUUUUCUUAGUGCUCCAGAAGCUCAGCAGGCAUGCAUGGGUGCUCAUUGCCAGAACAAUUGCAGGAACCUCUCAUCUUAACUGGCCAUCAGCCACAGCCACCUACUGCAUGGGAAGGUCAAGUUGAUCUAAAGAUACAAGAUUGAGUGGAGAAUAGGCAUAUGAAAAGGUACUCAACAUUACUAACCAUUAGGGAAAUGCAAAUAAAAAGAACAAUGAGAGGUCUCCUCAUACCUGUUAGAAUGGCUAUCAUCAAGAAGACAAGGGGCGCCUGCGUGGCUCAGUUGGUUAAGCGGCCGGCUUCGGCUCAGGUCAUGGUCUUACGGUCCGUGAGUUCGAGCCCCGCGUCAGGCUCUGUGCUGACAGCUCAGAGCCUGGAGCCUACUUCAGAUUCUGUGUCUCCCUCUCUCUGACCCUCCCCUGUUCAUGCUCUGUCUCUCUCUGUCUCAAAAAUAAACGUUAAAAAAAAAAAAAAAGACAAGACACAACAAGUACUAGCAAAGAUGCGGUGGAAAGAAAACCCUUAUAUACGGUUGAUAGGAAUGUCAGUUAGUCCAACCACUAUAGAAAACAAUAUGGAGAGUUCUCAAAAAAUUAAAAAUAGAUCUACCAUAGGAUUCAGCAAUUCCACUUCUAAGGGUGCACCCAAAGGAAAUAAAAACAGAAUUUCACUAAGGUAUAGCCACACCCCUGUUUAUCACAGCACUAGCCAAGAUAUGGAAGCACCCCAGAUGCCCAUCAAUGAUGAAUGGAUGAAAGAGAUGUGAUAUAUAUACAUAGUGGAAUAUUAUUCAGUAAUGAGAAAGGAGGAUAGCCUGCCAUUUGUGACUACGUGGAUGGGCCUUGAGCACAUUUUGGUAAAUGAACUUAGGCAGAGAAAGACAAAUACUUUGUGUGUCACAUGUGGAAUAUAAAAAAAGUCAAACCUAUAUUAAAAAAAAACACAUUAAAAUUGUGGUUACCAGGGGAUGCAGGAUGGGAGGUGGUAAGAUUGAUGGUGUUUAAGGGUAUAAACCUGUAACAAGUAUUAAAUAAGCUGUAGAGAUCUAAUAUACGUUAUAAUAAAUAUAGACAAUAGUAUUGUAGCAUAAUGAUGUGAUAAAUAUUGCUUCAGUGGUAAUUAUAUUAUAAUAUGUGAAUGUAUCAAAGUAACACACUGUACACCUUAAAUUUACAAAGUGUAACACAUCAAAUUUAUUAAAUACAAAAAAAAAAUAAAGGUGCAGGAUUGAGGAAGAAUAUGUCAUGAACUUGACUAAAUGAUUUUCUUAACCAGUGUCAGCCCAUUGAACUGUCCCUUCAGUUUUAACUGUUCCAUCCAUCCAGCCAGCUUACUCAGCUUUUCCGGGGCCUAUUACUUGAUCUGAAAACAUUGGCAACAUUUUGACCUCCCAUCCAACUUUAAGCCUGUUAUAGAUAAUGCGUUUUCUCUGGCUUAGGUGACGCGUCUUGGUUAUAUCGGAGAAACAUUCGUUAUGUCUAUGUCUUGGCUAGUAUCAGCCAGAAUUGGGAAUGUGCCAGCUUUCACUUCAUUGCUAACAGACUCCCUAAUUAACCUGCUAAAUCUAGUGUACGAUUCACUGUUGUUUUAGAAACGACAUGCAUAAUAUGUACACUUUUUCUUCGUCUACGCUUUUUUUUUAUAUGUUCAGGUUAUUAGAUAGUCAAAUUCUCUUGGGUUGUGUACUGAACCUUCUCAAAAGAAGUGAAGAUUUGAGAAACACCCAGUGGAGUUUGGUUUCUUUUGACAAGACUCACUUUUGCUACAUCUUCCCCUUGAUAAUUGAGUUCUUCUUUGCCCUACUAUUUAAGUACAUCAACUCACUUCAUCUAAAGUGUCUCCUUGUAAUGUCUCCAUUCUUAUAAACCACUAUUUGUAAAAUAAAAGGCUGGAGAAGCCCCUUGGAGGAGUUUUUAAAAGAGGUCUGUAUAGUGAGAGUAGAGGCCAUGCCUUUUCAUGGUGCUUGGGCUAUGCAUAUGCAUGCCUCCCCUUUGUCAUGCUUGAAAUAAAUUUGCUACCUGUGUUUUUACUUCAUGCUUUGCACAUAGUGCCCCAAAUUGCCACUCUUUGGGAGGCUAAGCCAAGGACGUUGUGUUCCAUUUUCAUGAUGAAAUGCAGAUUUCCCAUUGAACCUAAUCAACCUUCAUUUCAAAAGGUUGACAAGGCAGAUACUUAAAGAAUUCAGUUGGUUAAAUUUAUGGUACUGAAAAGAGUCCAUUCCAAGAAUAUUCUCUGAUUCCUAAGCUGUGGAGUUUUAUUUGAUUGUGAAUUAAAUUACAUUUUUAUUCACUUCAAGUCCUUGCUUUGCAAUUUUGUGUCCCUCAAAGAGAGACAAACUUGUUGACAGUGUUGGUCUCUGUAACAUUCUGUCCUAGAUUGAAAAGAUCUACAGUCUGGCAGUCGUGCUUCCACUGGUUGAUUUUUAUACCAGCUAAUAGAUUUGAGAUUUUUACACGAGAGAGCAUGAUAUCUUUGUGGUCGGGAAGGAGAACUAAUGUACUUUGAAAUAUUAACCAUGUGCCAGGAACUGUGCUGGGUUUUAUUAUGUGAUAAAUUAUUUUCUAGAAAUUUUGUGGGUGGGUGCUAUUACCCUGGUUUCACAAAUAAGGGUAUCUGGACUCAGAGAGUCUUUUAAGUUCUUUGCCUAAAGCAGAUACUUAGCAGAAGAGUCAGCAUUUGAACCUAGACUUGUCUUUCUACAAAGCAGGCUUUUUUAUAUUUUUCAUUCUACCAAACGCUUCCUUGAAAAUCUGUGUUCCCUGGGGCAGCCCAACAGCACUGAGAGUAACGAAGGAGACAAAACUUUUGCCUGUUUACCCUCAACGUGACCUCAGAAUUCUUCUCAAUACAACGUGUAAGUAGGCACCACCAAUCAAUUAGUGUUAGUUAUGCACGUUGAGAGUUAUUUGGCAUUCCUGUGUCUAAAGUUAUCUCCACAGCAUGCAGGUGUGAACUUUAUUGGUAGACCAUAGGAUCAUAACCCUAACCUACUCUACCAGAGAAGCAACUCUAAUGAAAAGGGGAUGUUAAUACAGAGCUGCAAGAUAUGAAGCCAUUGACGUGGAGAAGCAGGGUGGGUGUUAACAAGAGGCAUUAAUGACAUAAAUAAGUGACACACAGAGAAAUCAUGUUGUUUGUCAUUCAUCCAAUUUUGAGUUCCUUCUGCUUAGAGGCUUAUUAACUUUGGAACUAUCUCAGAAAGGUAUAUAAAACCAGACUUCUCUCCCAUUCUAAUUUAUUCUUUUAGGUUAAAUAUGGUGUAUCAUCAUGCACCUGCAUGAAUCCUACAUGAUUGCUUGCUCCCUCUCACAUAGUUUGCACAUGCUCCUUUUUUUUAAGGUUUCAUUUUUAAGUAAUCUCUACACCCAACAUGGGGUUUGAACUCAAAACCCUGAGGUCAAGAGCCAUUUGCUGUACCAACUGAGCUAGCCAGGUGCCUCUGCCCACGCUCCUUAACAUCAUUGUAUCUUUGGUUACCCAUCCAGGAUCCAUCUUCUGCCUUCUAGAUCACAUCAGUAUCCCUUGCUCACCUCUUCCUCUAGCAACAUCAGCAUCCUAGUCAUACACUUUGAACAUUCAGGCCUUCGCUAGCAUGGGAGAUUUGUUCAGGAGUCAGGAUAUCCUAGACUACGGGUGGCACAUAUGGCUUGAGUCCCAAGGUCAAACAACAUGGCUUGUGGAUAACAUUAACAGUAAAAAUAUGCAUGCCUUUCUCCCCACACUCACAAUUUUGGAACACUUGACACACUAUGUCUGUGCCACAAGAAGGUUUAUUUUCCACAUAUAACUCAGCCUGCUUCCAAGCAGGGUUAAUAUUGUCAACAGCAAGGUCUUCAUUUUUCUGAAGUGCAGAAUAGGCUUGGUUAUGUGAAGUUGAGGGUACAGCCCUGGAGCCAAGAAGAAUUGCUUUGCAUAAUGAAGGGGAAAGAAAGUUGAAGUUUCUGGGGCAAGGAAAGAUCCAGGAGUAGUGACAAGCAAAAGGGCAGUUGUACAGUCAUAUGCACAGAGACCCUCAGGAUUGACAUGGCUGAGAGGGGAAUUUGAGGUACAGACAUGUUCCAGAGGGAACAUUUAAGAGGUCUGCAGUGAGAGAUUGUAUGUAAAACUUCUCUUUCAUCAUUUGUUGACGCCAGCCCCUAUUUUAGGAUGAUUGGAUUUUUGAUGGGAUUUAGAAAGGUGCUAAGUUCUAUAUCUAGGAUAAGGCAAAAACAGGGAGUAGGUUUGUGUGAAGGAGCUGCAGGAAUUGUGGAAGGGGGACUCAAUCCAAGAUAUUUUAUUUUAUUUUUUAUUUUAUUUUAUUUUACUUUUUUUUUAAGAGAGAGAGAAUGUGUGGGUGAGCAGGGAAGGUGUGUGGGGAUGUGGGGAGGGAGAGAGAGAAUCCCAAGCAGGCUCCACACCUAGUGGAGCUUUGCCUUUCCAGCACUAGGUGUGGAGCCUGAUGUGGGGCUGGAUAUCACGACCGUGAGAUCGUGACCUGAGCCAAAAUCAAGAAUUGGAUGCUUCACCAACUGGGCCACCCAGGUGCUCCUAAGAGAGACAAUUUAGAGUUUGUAUGGGAUUGUUUGAAUCAUCAAGGUAUCAACAUUAUCAAGUUCAGCCUUUCCCAGUAUGGUUCCUUGCCUAAAGCAUAGAAACACAGAAAAAUGAUUUUAGGAACUGUUUUCUCAAGAUUGAUAUGACUAAUAUUAUUCUAGAUGCACUGAAGAGCAGCCAAAUUAUUACAUACCUUGUGGAUGCUUUAGGCAACAUUUGUCAAAGUAGUACUGGGACCACAUUCAACCCACUGCCUGUUCUUGCAUUUAUGUAUCGUCUGUGGCAGCACUCAUGCUACAGCAGGAGAGUUGAGUAGUUGGAACAGAGAACGUAUGCCCACUGUUCUGUGUUCUUUUACGAGGUGAUCAGGUGCUGCCACCAGAGGAGCCACAUGAGAAAGACACCAGAGUGCUCAAGAGGCAGAAGACAGGAGUGGGUGAAGUGCUUAGGUCACUGCCUUACUAGGUUUCUGCUGGAAAGGCAAAGCAGAAUGAACAGUUUAGGAUUGGUUAGUUUGAUGGCUCUAGAGUGCGUAGUUUACAUAUCAGAAGAAUGUUUCCAGUUGGGCCCUUCGUUUUCUCUAAGAAUUGGCUAGUUCCGGGAUUGGCAUCCAGAAAAUACAUCCAGAAAAGUUUUUUUAAGGUGUCAAAACAUUGAAAUAUGCAUAAAAUUAAAAAUAUAUACAAUAUACCGACAAAGUCUAAAAUAUGUUCUGUCUGGCUCUGUAAUAAAGUUUGCCACUGCAUGCUUUAGGGCAGUAGAUCUUCAUUAGGUCUUCAUUUUUUAGUGAACCCCUGUUGAAAAAGGCUGACCUAGUACAUCUGGGUCACCAGAUGACCAACUUAGAAUGAAAUCGCCAACUUAGAAUUGAGCUGGGAUUGUGUCCCUUCCAAGAAUGCCAAGUUCUCAGAUAUGUACAGCCAGCGAGUAGUUAUUUAUUACAUAGAGGAUGCUAGCCUUCACCGAAGACUAUAAUUGAGAUUAAACAUAUCUGAAAGAAUCUAGAGCAAAAGGAAGGAAAUGUGGUUGCAACUUCUCCAGAAUGCCGCUCAGUUGAUGCCCUGACCUAUGAAUUUGAAUCCAGCUCAGAAUAGAGUUCCCUUGAAGGAACCCCUCAUGGCCAUGGGUUUGUCAGAGCUGAGGGGAAACUCAAAUAUACACGCAAUCCCCUUUCUCAGAAAGAGAGGGUUCAUUCUCCAAAUGAACGCUAAUGCGGUGAUGGUAGUCCCAACCAUCAGUAUUUGAGACCCCCUUUGACCCACCCUGCAUAUACAGAACCCCUUAUUUUGCCUUUUCCCAUUGGAGCCUGUGUACCUGGCACCAUGGACAAAGUUGAUGUGGGCUGUUUAGAGAUACAAUCUCAACUGGGGCUUCGUGUGCAGAUAUUUACCAGUCCUGUGCCUCAGUGGCCCCACCAUUGCCUUUCUCUGGGGCAUUGUUUAAUCAUAAGAAACUAUCCUUUGAGAAAGCUUUUACCCUUGCCCUGACAUCCCUUUUAGCUAGAGCAUUACCCUUGGAAAGUUCCUAAACUUAAAGUUGUGGUUGUCAUUUCUGAAGUCUGUGCCCCUAAGCACAUCUGCUAUGUGAUUCUUAUUUUUCCUGUGCAUUUGGAUGUUACAGGCCUUAAGUAACGUUUCUUUCUCUCAUAAUUUUUUUCUGUAAUAAUGGGAUAUGCCUCUGGUGCUUCCUUUUCCUUGCUAGUUCCCCUGUGCCUUAGAAAGUCCUAGCUAAGGCUUUGACAGUUUAACCUUCUUCUUUAGUUAGUUCCUUUCCUUCUCUACCCCAUGGAAGGCUGGCGAUGUUUACUGGACUGAGUGCUCUCUUUUCUCCUUUUUGAUUUCUGGCCUAGACAGGAGUGAUACUCAAUAUUUAACCUUCAGUAUAGCACAGGCACCAACCAAUCAAAAGAGAUUCUAACUAAUUGAUGCAUAAGGGUGUGUUGUUAUGAACCAGUGCAUUGUUGCUGAAUAUCAGUCCAGCCCUAGACACUGGCUUUUAAAAAAUUUAUGCUUAUAUAUAUAUUUUUUCUUCUGGGAGCCCUUACAGUGAAACAUGAAAAGUCCGUGUGUUCUAGUCAAUAAGAUCAUCUAUUUUCAAGCAAAUCCCCAUCCAACUUCUUAACCCUGAGUUGGUUAACCUCAUCUAGGAAAUAUUAUCUCAGCUGACCAAUAUCUAAAGUAGUCCAGGAUUCCGUCUUUUGUUGUCUUUUCCAGGUCCCUGUUAAUAUGUUUUAUUUGUUCCUCUCAUUUCCUUAGAGGCCAGAUUUAACACAAUUUUGAGCCUACUCCAAUAAAUACCUGCCCUCAGUGGUGUGCUGGAGCUGGCUCACGUAGGCUCACAAGAAGCUUCAUUGUGCACAUCUCUUCCCAAGUCCAUGUUCAGUGAUAUUGGCUUCAAAUCAGCCAUGGAGGGAGUAUUCAGAAAUCGGCAAACACUACAAAUAAGGCUAUUACUUUUUUUUUCUUUCUGGAGAGUGGGUUGUUACACAUUAACCAUCACAAUACUGCAUCCCCAACUAUAAUAACUAAGUGACCUUGAAACUCACCCCCAGUUAAUGCUGUGAGUAUUUAUGUUGGUCUUUAUUAAAGUUGUCUAUUUUUAUUCUGAAACCCUUUAUAUAACUGUCCCCACGCUCAAGAGUUUUUCCCUAAUUCCUCUUACAAGCAGAGACCAUCUUCAUCUGAGCAUUGGCAUUGAGCAUUUUGUAUAUCUAGGCUCCCUUUAGGGAAACACUACUGGUCAGACUAGGCCCUUGCUCUCUUGUUCUGUGGAAUUUCUUUGGACUAGAACGAUCCUUUUGCGCAUAGAACAAGUAAAACAUCCCUUCACCUUUCUGAAUCCUGUCUUUUGGAGCCACUUGACCCUGGAACAUCUGUUUUUCCCUUUUAUAUCUGUCCAUUGGCCCCAAGAUUUUCUUUUCUUAUUUGGUUUGGUUUAUGUAUUCCUCUUAGAUCUCCUAAGGAAAGCUUUUCUUCCUUUCUCUGAGAGCUCCUGAUAUGAUAAUAAAAUAAUGUGUAUUUUUAAAGCAAAUUAGGGGUCCCUGGGUGGCUGAGUCAGUUAAGCAUCUGACUCUUAAUUUUGGCUCAGGUCAUGAUCUCACAACAGUAAGAUCAAGCCCUGCAUCGGGCUCCACGCUGGGCAUGGGGCCUGCUUGGGAUUCUCUCCCUCCCUUUCCCUUUGUCUCACUCCUGCUCUCUUUCUCUCAAAAAAUAAAACAAAAUUAAAAAUUAAAAACAACAACAACUUAAGUUUCUUUUCUGCUCAAACUUGAUUCUUUGGGACUAUUCAGAUAUAGGCCUUUUUUUGAGGCUUUUUUUCAAUUCCUUAAUCCAAGAAGAUACUGUGUCUUUCAUGAAAUAAAAAUGUCCAUUGAUAAAAUCUACCAUCUUGGGAAUCUAAUGUAUAACAUGGUGAUUAUGGUUAAUAAUACUGUGUCAUACAUUUGACAGUUGCUAAGAAAGUAGAUCUUAAAUGUUCUUAUUAUGAAAAAGAAACGGUAAUUAUGUGACAUGUCAGAGGUGUUAGCUAGCAGUAUAGUGGUAAACAUUUUGCAGUAUAUCUAGUAUACCAAAUCAAGGCAUCAUACACCUUCAACUUGCACAAUGUUGUAUGUCAAUUUUGUGUCAGUAAACCUGGAACAAAGUAAACUCCACUGUCCCUCUGUAGAUGAAGGCAAAGUCUGGGUCUUUAAAACCUGAAGCCAUGGUCAAAACUUAUAUAAUUAAUAAAUCUAGAGCCAACCAGUAUUAUGACCCAGAGGACAACCAUUGGAAACAUAUAACAUGCUGCAUAAUCUCGGAAGUCGCCCCUCCACUUCUCACACUUGGCUCUGAACACAAUUCAAAAUAGCAUAAAAGAGCUAAUUCCUAGAAUGCAAUUCACCUCUUUUCUCCUAGUCAUCUUUCAAGCGUAAACUUAAAUAUCACCUCUAUAAAGACUUCUCUGACUCCCAGUGGCAGAGUCUUCCUUGUGUACUUUCUCCAUUCUGUUUUAUUACACUUGUAUUGUGUAAUAACUCUUGUUCUUCCACAAUACUAGUAAGUCAUCUUAGAUCAGACACCUUUUAUUCUUCUUUAUAUUCCCAGAACUUAGGACAAGACAUAGCUGGAACUUCAUAAUGUUUGAUUAGUGAUAGAAUGCAGCAUUUUUUUCUAGCAUUUACAAGUUUACUUAAAAAAUUAAGAAGUGUCAUGGAGAAACUAAUGUCAUUGGAUUCAGUGUUCCAUUUGAGAGCUGUUGAUCUUUUCUCUCUGGUCCAGAGUAGAACAAACUAACGGUAGUUAUGCUAUCAUCGAGAGGAGUCUUGGUUUUCUUGUCCCUCUCUAGUGGGCCAAAAAUGUGCUUUGAGUUUUACAACCCGAUGGUGAUGGGAGAUAGAUGCGGAGUAGCAUCUUGCUUCGGUGAUGCAGUGACUUAGCCUAAUCGAUUAGCACACCCAUUCUUUUAUGGCCUAUUGAAAUGAAUUUACGACUUCAGAAAAUCUGGAUUUCACUCUUGGCUGUGCCAUUUAACGCUUAUGUGUCAUCUAAUCUUGGUGGGGUCUGGAUCCAUAUCCAAGAGUUAACUUGAGGAUCAUACAGGAGAUGUUGUAAACAUUUAUUCUCUAGAAAUCAGUGUUUUUGUGUGACUGACUAUUGCUAGAGUCAGGGGGAACUAACUGUAGAUGUGGACCCUGAAUAAUGCAGAAACUCCAUGUAAUUAUGAGACAUGUGCCAUUUCUCCUCUGACAUUUCAGGAUAUUCAUCUUUCUCAACACAAAAACAGUUAACCUGGAAAUGGCCAUGCUUCAUGGCUCAUCCUGAAGUGAGUUUUUUUUUUUUUCUUUUUCAAAAGUUUGAUACAAUUUCACAAGCUUCUCUGCGUCUAAGAACACACAGGCUUUUUUUCCCCCCUCCAAGUUCCCCUCUCAAAUAAAAUACUUCAAUCUCUUUCUUGUGAUUGUGUAACUCAGAAAUGUCUAAAGCUAUAAGCUUCAAACUUUGCAAGGUUGUCAUCUUUACUGUGAAAGAAAAAAACAAGGAAAAUUUGAAGGAGAAAACUUCCACUGUUUUUUUUUCUUUUAAGUUAAAUAUAAAAAAUAACAUGGAGUUGUUAUUUACAUGUUUUCAUUCUCCUUGCUAAUAACAUCAUUGUAUUGCCUGAGGAGAUCCCAUAUCACCAUCCUAUUGACAUACAGGAUAAAGACAUACUCCUAUUCUAAUCAAGGAUGAUACAUAAAGUUUGUUCUAGUCUUGCAAGCCAUAAAUGUUUCCCAUCUUCUGUUAGACUAAUUUGUAUCCAGGUCUAAUAUCAAAGUCAAUUAUGGUAAGUAAGAGAGGUGGUUGUCUUCAGGGUACCUUGCCACCCCAGAAUCCUCCCCUAUUUUAGCACAAAUGAAAUUCUAACUUCAGAUUUUCCUUUAUCUAAGCAGCUAUACUUUUUGCAAAAAGACAAAUAGUGGGUAUUACCUGUGGACCACUCUGAGCUAAUAAAGAAUCUGAAAAUAUAUUUAAAAUUUUUUUUAAUGUUUGUUUAUUUUCAUGAGAGAGAGAGAGUACAAGUGAAAGAGGGACAGAGAGAGAGAGAGGGAGGAAGACAAAGAAUCUGAGCUGUCAGCUCAGAGCCCAAUGUAGGGCUCGAACCCAUGAACUGUAAGAUCAUGACCUGAGCUGAAGUCAACACUUAACUGACUGAGCCACCCAGGUGCCCCUGAAAAGAAUUUUUGAAGCGAGUUGGAGCAGGUUGUAUAUAUAUGUAGACUGUGUGUAUAAAGAUUAGCAAAAAGGGGGCUUAGAAGGUAGAACGAAGAGGAUGAAGAGGUUACCAUUUAAUUGACCUAUUUUAUAUAUGAAGGAAGGGACAUACAUGAAAACCUUUGUGAGUAACUUGUUCUGUGAGUGUUCUACAAGAUGAACAAACAUUUAUAAUAAAUUUUAACUUGAUAAACAAGUGAUAUCUUACAAUAUGAGUAGUACAUGAUACAGAAUAUCACAUGAUCACCACUGAGCCAAUCGUUCUUCUCUCUCUCUCUCACUGUGGGAUUGUGGGUGAUCAUCUCACAUGCUUGGAUGCUUGGUCUCAGGCCUCAGUGUUUGGUGAUUUUUCAGAACGUUGGAAGUUGCCGACAACUGGUUACUAGUGUAUUUUUUGUCACUUCAAAGCACCUAUGGACAGUCCUAUGCUUUUCUGUACAAGAGUAAGCUUAGGAAUGCUUUGCUUCAUUCUAGGUAAGGCUUCCUGCAGACCUUUCUUCUGCUGCCUUAUUGCCAGUCAUAUUAAAUACAGUAUGUGACAGAAAUUUAUUUUUUUAUUUUAUUUUUUAUUUUUUAAAAGUUACAUCCAAAUUAGCAUAUAGUGCAACAAUGAUUUCAGGAGUAGAUUCUUUAAUGCCCCUUACCCAUUUAGCUCAUCCCCUCCUCCCACAACCCCUCCAGCAAUCCUCAGUUUUUUCUCCAUAUUUAUGAGUCUCUUCUGUUUUGUCCCCCUCCCUGUUUUUAUAUUAUUUUUGUUUCCCUUCCCUUAUGUUCAUCUGUUUUGUAUGACAAGAGUUUAUUAAUACCGUACUGUUGUCAACAUCCAUGUGAGUGUAUACAGUAGCCCCCACGCAAAAAAAGAUUCCAUUGAGCCAAUAGAUAGCAGUGAUUCCAUUAGUGAUAGUGAAAGUCGUCGUAUACAGUAUGCCUCCCUCACACCAGCCACAAAGGUUUUUAAAGGUCAGUGCAGGUUAAUUUAUUUUUCAUUAUAUUUUGUAUUUUCUUUAUUUUGUAUUAUAUUACACUAUUGUAAUCAUUUUUAUAUGAAUAUUUUUGCAUUGUGGAACGAAUCAUCUGAGUUUCGAUUGCUUCUUAUGGGGCAAUUCACUUUGAUAGACAAGUGCUUUGGAUUACAGCAUGUUUCCAGAACGAAUUAUGCUCACAAACUAAGGUUUUACUGAACUUAGCUGCAGUUCACUUAUAAGGAAUGAGAACUUCAGAGGGCAGUCUCAGAGUAUAGGGAAGAGCCUGGAAUAGACAAAGCAACAUGGAAUGUGAGAUGAAGAACAGAGAGAUACCCGGAAGACUUACAUCUUUGUCUUUGUCCAAGAGUGACAAACAUGUGAGGCAUGGCAAGUUUGACUAGCUGAGGUUUCCUAUGGAAUGAUGCCCAGUGUCCUUACCAGAUUUAGUUAGCAGCCACAUCUCCAUGUACCAAAGACAGAGGAGAUAGAGGUCCAGGUGGCCAGUGAACCUCCAGGUACUCUUUUGCCUAGAUUUCCUCACCAAGAGCAAUUCACAGUUUGUAUUGGCUAGAAAAAAAAAAACAAGAAAGAAAUUUAAAAACAAAAGAUCUAGUGUUGUUGCAAAAGACGUGACUUACAAAUUCUGCAAUUUGACAAUAAGUUUCAUAUAUUAAAAUAAAUAAACAAAAAAAAUUUUUAAUAGAAUUCUAUGUAUGGGGAACUCAGAGUUGAAAAAGAAUGUUGGGUAUUUGGGCUGCAGGAAACUUGCUCAAGUCAUAUUAGUAGUGGACGUUUCUUGAAAGGGCACAUGUGACAGUAGAGAAGACAGUAUGCUCAUGGGAAUCCACAUUCCUAGGUAGUGCUAAGAACUAGAGUCCUCUCUAGUGUUCCCCUGGGAGUAAGAAUCUACAGUUCUGCCCUAACACCGUUAACAAGUGUCCGGUACUUUCUGUUUAUGCUUCUCCUUGUGUCUUUUCUCAUUGCCCAUCAACUCUUGGGAUAUCCAAAGUGACUAGACAGAUUCUGGAGCUAAAAUACCUAGUUAAAAUACCUAAUUCUAUUCCUUACUAAUUGUGCAUGUUACCCAACCUCAGUCUUCUCAUCUGUAAAAUGGAGGCAAUAGUGAUACCUCAUUGGUUGUUUUAAGAACUAAUGAGUUUAUAUUCUAAAGCCCUAUUGCUAAUAUAUUCUAUCUAUUUUCCCCUCUUCUAACUCUGGAGAAAGAUACUAGAUUUCCUAGAAAAUUGUAUUACCUCUAUUAUGUAGGGUUUUUUUUUUUUUUUUCUGAGAGUAUCAGAUGGGUGGUGACCAGUGACUGGCCACACUUGGGUCAGGUUUCUGUGAUGUCCAGUCCAUGGCCAACCCUUGUUUAUAAAACACCCUAUGACCAUUUUCAUUAGGAAAAGGCUGUGGGUAGACAAUUUUCCUUAGAAGGGAUUGUGAGUGUGGCAAGCUCUGACUGGCAAGCCCAUUUUGGGAAGAAUUAGUGUAAAAAGGAUGCUUUAUCUAAUUAACUAAAUCUGUCCAUCAUGGUGCUAUUAAAGUCUCUGACCCUUCUUUCUUUCUCAUUUAACUCAUGUAAUUAGUUCAAUUAUGUGUUUCUUCAAUUAUUAUAAUUAUGUAUUUUUUAUUGAAGACAUUCUUAGAUGGUAUGAUGUUGACAAAAUGAUCUUUAAGCUUCCUUUCCAUCUUGAUAAUUCAGUUAGGAUGUCUUUACAAUGAUUCCUGUUAGUUUGGAGGGCAAGGGCCUUGUCUUCUUCUUUAUGGCUACAUUCCCAGCAUUAGAAUAGUGCCUGACAUGUGAUAAGUGCUCAAUAAAUAUUAGUUGAAUGAAUGUAUAAAAAAGAUUUGGAAGAGGGAAAAUGGUCAGGCAGAGUGAUACUGGGCAUACAUUUUAUGGUCUUUCUCUAAUGUUUAAUGUCUAAUGUUUUUCUAUUAUAAGAUAGAAAAUUAUCCAUCAUUCAUUUUUUACUGGUGUAUUUUCCUUACUGGACCAAAAUAAACCUUCUGGAGGUCAGUUCAAUAAGCUAAGCCAGGCACUGAACAGGCAGGAAUAGAGGAUGGAGAUGUUUACACCCAGAAGUUGAACUGGUGUAUUGCUGAUAACUAGAAAAAGCAUCACCGAAGUCACUCUGCUGUUGCCAUGGAUACUAUCUUGGGUGCUCUGAGAUGUCAUUACACAGUGGAAAGAGUCAUGCAGAGUUGGGCUCAAAUCCCAGGUCUGCUCUUCUUUGGCUGUAUGUCCUUGAACAAGUUAUUUAAACUCUAGAGCCUCAAUUUUCUUAUUUGUAAUAAAAUGCAGAGUUGGAUUGAAGAUGAUAAUGGUGGUUACCAUGUAGUAAACAUUUUCCAUUACCCAGCACUAAUCCUUCUCAAUUAUUCUAUAAGGUAGGUGUUGUUAUUCCUAUUGAUAGAUGAGACACCCAAGGUACAGAGAGGCAAACUAAUUCGUCAAGGUCAUAACAACUGAUAAUAGGUGGAGCUAAGAUUUAAACCUGGGUUUGGCUUUUGCCUCAUACGUUGAAUAGAGAUAAUUUAUGUAAUGUACCUGGCCCAUACGGGCAUUUAAUAAGUGGGAAUGUUAAGAUUACUUCUCAGUAUAUACUGCCCUCGGGACUUUCUCAUCCUCAGUGUUUCUUCCCAUGUCAGAUUUAAACACCCUCCUUUCCACCUCACCCCAUUUGUUUACACAAACUCAUGAACUUCAAAGACCUUGUAAAUGAAGUAGACAAGAAGUGUCUACUUUUUAGACACUGCCGGGAAAGGACAGUCCAUUUCCUUGGUUUAAGAAUCAUUUAGGGGUUCACAUGUAUCUUAUAGUGGUGUGCUCAGAUCCCCAACAACUGGGUAAAAAUGGGUCAAGUAGGCCUUUAUCCCUAAGUAAACACAGAAAAGUGGGUGUUCAAACCUUUCUCCCACUCACCAUCGUGCAUCAGCAUUGCCUUUUCAAGUGUUCUGUGCUAUAGCCAGGAAAGAUUCUUUAUAAAACCAAAUUUGAUUCUGUUCUCUGGAUCAAAGAAAUGAUUACACCCUGGAGGGCUAAAACUAUUAUACAUGAGGAAAGAGAAGAAGAGGGUAAACGCUGAGAUGGGGAAUAAUUACUGCCAAAGGUGAAGGAGAUUGACUGGGAGCAUGAUACCUGUAUAAUUGAGGCAAAGUGAAUAUAAAAUCUAUGCUUGUUUCCAGCAUGCACAUUCAGAGGUCCUUGGCGACUGGCGUGUACAGCAGGUGGGGUGCUUAAAUGUUUGCUUCUCUUGGAUGUUUGCUUUUAUAAUCUGCUUUUAUAAGGCCUAUUUAAGGAGUCCACUUUACUGCUGGCAGGGGAGUGGAGCACAAUAAAGCUAUAUUUAAGAAACAAUCCCAGUUAUCUUAAGUUUCUUAUGGCAUUCUUUGAGUGUUAAAUCUGCAGACGAAGGUAAUGUGCAACUCUCUCCCGACCUUAAAAAGAAUUUCUGGUUAUGGUUGGGUUUCCCAACAGAAGCUCAGAUGGUGGGGUGAGCGGCAUGGGACACCAGAGAACCUGACCUGGAUCUAUCUACAUGCGUAAUUUUCUGCCUCUGUGCUUUCUGUUCUUUAUUGGGAGCUGGAGUUUGUUUUCUGACUGCUCUAGGAACUUAUUUCAGGGUCUCCUUCUGGACUCUGGGGAGAACUGUGUAUCCCAGCCAACAAACUGUAUUUGACAACUAAAGGGCAUAUCAGGGUUCUAGUUGAAGAAAUUCUGUCUCAGAUCUUGGCUUCUUUACCUACCUUCACUUUCUAGAUUGUCAGUUUCAUUUCCAUGAUGAGACUAUGCUCAGUCUGUGUGUGAUAUGGCUUAUCAAAGGGAGUAUGCCGUUCUCUGUGAAGUUUAGAGCUCAGCCUGGUGUUCCUGAUCCCCUUUCCUCCCUCUUCUCUUUUUCCUCUUCCUGGAAGUCCUGUUUCUCCCCCUCUCCAUCCGCUUCCUCCUCUUUCUCUUCUUCCGCUUCUUUCCUUGGUGUCCUUGCCCACACUUUUAUUUCUUAUCUAUUCUACUUUCUUCACUUCGUUUGUUACUUCACCUUGAUUUUUUCCUCCAUAUCUCAAGCCUAACUCAUCUUCUGUAGUUUUGUCCUGCAUGUCUGUUCCUUCCCCCUCUAUGAUAUUUUCCAUUUUCUCAAAGUAAUAUUAUUUAUCACAUUUUCAAAAGAACAUGCAUCAUUCAUGGUCAUGAAACCCCCAGGGGACAGAAGCAGAAGUGAAAAGCUCUGUUCCUCAACACACAGAUGGACUGACAAGAGGGGAGGACUAGCUCCGGUACCCCAGACAAACUAGCCUGGGCUGAGUGCUCCCCAGUCUCCUCUGGAUGCUUCUGUGGGUCCCACUCAACAGGAGACAUUCACCUGUCUGACCCUUUAGAGCAAAACUUUGAAUUGAUUUGUCUGCUGGUUUUUGUUCCCACCCCCAGUAAGUCUGUAAUUAUUUGCUCUUGAGGACAAGCAUUAAUAUUGUUAAAAGUGCUUGCCCACUCACCAUGCUCAGAAACAUAACGGGAGUGGCAGCAGAGACAACACUGCAAAUCGUUGUUGAGGAAAGCUUUUAUUCUGAGAAAAGCAGAAAAUCGGUGGUGGGAGCCAGACAGAAUGAGCACUGGUCAGCAAAAGAAGAAAAAAAAAAACCAUGGGGUGCAGACCUCAUGAAAGGUACCAUGAAAAGUACUGCAGCCAGAAUGAGUAAAGAGGUAGGAGCAAAGCCCGUGUGGCUGGUGAGGGACUGACACAGAUGGGCAGAGCAGGAAGGGGAAGAUUGGUGGGCAAGAGGGCCAAGUUUGGAGACCUAUGAUAUACUUAGAAGUGCACUUCCCAGUCCUCCUUCAAAGAAGAAAUUGUUGCCCCCGCUGCAGGGAACGCUCUCUGCAGACAGCUUUCAGCUCUCAGUCCAUUAAGGGAUUGGAUUAGCUGCAGAGAGCCUCUUGUCAAAGGCCACAUCUUCCUGAAGUGACCUACAUCUAAAGACUGAUAGAAGUGGGAGGAAAAAGGCUCAGCCACUUCAGGCCAAUGCAGGACAACUCUGUUGGGGCAUUUUAGCACCAGAGUUCUUCAUGAGAUUGGCCAAGGCUGUCUUUUGGGUUUGUGUUGUAGCUCAGCUUCUCCCUCUACCCAGUCUUCUUUCUUUUUUUCUCCCACAGGUACUUCCCUAAUCAGUAUCCUCCAUACUGACCUCCAUCCUAGUCUGCUUCCCAGAGAACUC
RNAcentral lists this long non-coding RNA (204026 nucleotides) under Lynx pardinus (Iberian lynx). The stretch from base 79376 to 79460 matches the Rfam family "tRNA". Lineage: Eukaryota; Metazoa; Chordata; Mammalia; Carnivora; Felidae. The record is from RNAcentral.